This 221018-nucleotide long non-coding RNA is filed under the name Coffea arabica (coffee). RNAcentral's name for it is "long non-coding RNA (CARA_LNC002661)". The record is from RNAcentral. Lineage: Eukaryota; Viridiplantae; Streptophyta; Magnoliopsida; Gentianales; Rubiaceae.
UAGGUUCAACAACAUCUACUGCAUAGACUUCAAUAUUGGACAGCAAAUGGCAGAAAUAUGUUGCAAAAGGAAGAAAUAAUUGAUGACAUGCCACAGUUUUUCCAUAUUUAAGCUUUUCCACGCGUCCAACCAUCAAUUCUUUUCUAGAACCCUCUGUGUUUUUCGAUGCCAAUGCCACCAAAUUCUUGUCACCUAUGGCAGUUUUUGAAAAUUCAAUCAUUUCCUCAAGGGAUUUUGCACAGCUCUGAGGCUCUUCCUUAAGAGCAGGAGUAUUGCAAUAAAUAAGGGUGUAUUGAAUGGCAUCUUUUGUUUGCGGGCUUUCAAAGGAUUGAGGAAAUAAUUUUCGUAGGUCAUUUUCCGUAACAGAGAUCUUUGAUGCCGUUUGAGAAGGAAGAAAUGACUGUUGGGGCAAUUGGUUUUCCAAGCUUGAGAGAUGCACCAUGUUUCCUUGUUUGAGAAGUGAGAGUCUGAAGAAAGAAAAAGGAUCAACAUGUAGGACAACAUUUGGGCUAAUUCUGCCAUAGCCGUAAUUAUUCUUGUCCAAGAAACUAUCAACACGUGCUUUGGAUAAACAAGCUAGGUUUGCAAGAGAGCAAAGAUUUGCAUCAAAUGGAAGAUUUUUCUCGGACGCUAAUGAAGUGAAAUGUUCAGCUUGUUCCUUGCUCAGUGGAGAUAGUUUGGACAGAAGAUUUCCAGGCAUGGUGCCUUGGACAUUUUCUGACCAAUAUUUGAGCUGAUUCAAUGCAGUGAAUGAAGAAGAUGAAAUGUGUGCAGCAAAAUGGGACGUAGGAAACGUGAGGGCAAUGACAAAGAGAACGAUAGCAAACGUUGAAGAGGCCAUUGGUUUCAUCGACACUAAUAUUGAGCUAAUUUUCUUCAGUGGAUGAAGUGCUGAUGACUUUGCUAGUGCAGCUUCUAAUUUAUACUAGUGCUCGAGCCUGGACACAGGGCCUCACCUGCCCAUUUCAGGAUAAAAUGGUUACUCUAAAUUUUUUUUACAUCUUGUUUUAGUUGGUAUAUAUCUUUACUUCAAUUUAUUUACAUCCCACUCCAACUUAUUUGUACCUUAGUCUAAACCGGUUGGAAAUGGAACUUGUGAGGCCUCAUCCCCCACUCUAGCCUUGUGUUUGCUCCAGCUAUAAUCUCUAAAGGGAAACCGUUCAAAAUGUUCCUUAUAUUUUGUCAUAUAAAUUUUUUCCUUCUUGUUGUCCCUAAAAAUUAUCAAUCCUCAAUCAUUAUUGUCCCUAAAUAAGUAGAAUCUAAUCCAUACCAUGUUCAUUUUUCUCCAUAAAAAAGUGGAAUAUGACCCAAUCCAUAUUUAUUUUUGCCACAAAAAAAUGGGAUCUACCCUUUUUGGACAUAAAAAAUAACUGUAUAUAGGUCACAUGGUGAUUUUAAACUAGUCAGAUAUUUAGGUUGGAACUAAAUUUUGCUAAUUUGAAUUUUUAAGUGAUUUAAUUUGAAGUUUAUAUUUUAAAAGUGAAGAACGAAAAAAUUUAUUUGAUAAAAUGUGUGGCAUGUUUUGAAUGAUUUUCUCAUCUUCACAUGUAUAUAUUGUACAAUUAAUCCAAAACAAAACUCCAAAUGUACCUGUGUUUACUAAUCCAGAAAAAAAGAGACAAAAUUGAAAAAUAAAUUUAUUUGAAUAGACAAUUUGCAACUUGUUCCACGUUCGCAUUUGAAUGGGUUAAAUACACUAAUCAUACAUCCACGUUAGACAAUUUGCGGUUGUCCCAUUUUAUGCUCUCAGCUUGCGGUCCAUAACCUGAGAUAUGUGGUAGUUAAAAAGACAAUAUUUGUAAUCUCGAAAGUGACGGACAAUACAGUCCCGCACAUUUAGUGCGUCUUGUAGGUAUAUAUGGACAACCGCAGCAAGGAAUUACAUCUCCAAAUACGAAAAUUUCAUGAAAUGAGAUGUAGGUGUGUGUAUAUGUAUAUAGGUAUAUAAAUAUGUAUGUAAGUUUGGUUUAUAAAAUAUUAGUCAAUACUAAUCGUUCAAAAUGACCAACAAAUUUCUUAAUAAAAAAACAUUGAUAUCCUUGGGGAUACUUUUUUAUCCAAUAAAGCAGCUGAAAAUUGUGUAAAAAAUGCAUGCUUCCUAUAAACAAGAUUGGAAAAGAAAACGAAAAUGAAUAAGUCACAUGCUAUGAAAGUCAGUUGAAAAGGAAAAGAUUGGCUCGUGUAGCCAAAAAUUCAUAAGCAUUGCAGUUACCAGCAACACGUAUUUCCGAUUUUCAGAUGUCCACGAUUUGUAUAAGGGUUCUAGUCUGUUGCAUUUGCAUCCCACAUACAUUGAUAACUCCAUUUGAUUUGAAGAGGAACACCUUGCGCAAAAGAAAGAUGUUGCAGAAAUUUGAGACAUGAAAAAAAAUUUAGAGACUAGCAUUGAAACUUUUCCAUUAAGGAAAUAGAAAGUUUAAGAGCUAUCAAUUGCUACAGCUAAAAUAAAAUAAGAAUGAGACAGAGAAAUAGGUUUUGAAACACACUGUGUGAAAAAUGGAUUUAAAAUGUGGUCAAUUGUUUGUACUAGUAGCAAAGGGUAAUUCCAACAGUCCCAAACGUAGGGGCAAGUGUAGGCAUUUAACAAAAGAAAAUUCUAUAUUAAGUGAUAUACAAUAAUACAAUAAUCACAAUUUAAAAGAUGGCGUACCUCAUGAUAUCUAAGAGUUCUCAUAUUUAAAUUUGAUAAAUGGGAACGUCAUGCAAGUUGUUCUUAUAGCAUGCAAGUGUUUUUGGAGUAAAUCGAUUUUAGAAAAGUUUAGAACAGUACUAAGAAAAGUUGCUUUCUAUAAUUGGUUAUCAGUUUUAACAGCAUUGAUUUGGUUUAGUUACUAUUACACUAUAAUGUCUUAGGGAAACAAUUAUCUGUUCACAAAAAGAUAUUAAAGUGCUACAAUUAACGAACUCUUUAAUAGGCUUUGUUGAUUAAUUCUAGAAUUAGAUGAUUGUAAAAAACAAUUAGACUAUUAACAUCGAACUUUUAUUUUUUUUCUUCUAAGAACAAUAGGAAGGAAUAGCCUUACAUUCUUUGACAAAAAGAAAGAAAGUAAAAAUCCCUAGCUACAUUAUUUGAGUUCUCAAGUACUACUGAUUAUGGAUGGAGAAAGAUUGCUCAAAAUUGCUGUCCUUUUGAAAUUCAUGAAAUUAUUAAUCAAUUGGCAACUUUGGUUGACUGGUCUUUUAUUGGGCAAUUUUUUGACAGAAGUUUGUCGGAGAAUAUCCUCUCCUUCAAUUUAAAAGAAGAAAAUUUUGAAGUAAUUCCUCCUACACUAGCCAAAAAUCUUUUCUAUGUUCUUCAGCUUGGGCUGGAUAGUGACCUGAUCGAGUUUAGGUAUUAAGAGCCAAUGAGUUCGAUCGAUUAGUUCGGGAUCUAGCUGAAUGAUGUCAUAAUGAUGCCAUAAAUAUAUUUUAAUUAUCUAUAAAGUAAAAAUUAUAUAUAAAUUACACAUUAGCUUGACAUAUUUGGUGAGUUUAUAACAAAUAUGAAGAACUCAUUCAAAUAGUUGUACAAAUUUAGGCUGGAAAUAUAAUUUGAUAAGUAUUUGUGGUUUAAUAUAUAAUUUUUUUGAAACAAUUCAGUGUCAAUUCUUGAACUUAAAGUCCAAAUACACAUUGAUGAGCCUAAAACUUUUUAAUAGGACAAUUCUUCAACAAAAUUGAGGUUUGUAUGUAAAAAUACAAAAGUUAGAGUUGCGUAGAGUAAUUAUAAAAGAAGUUUGGGAGUAUAUUUAUGAUUAUAAAAAAUGGAGGGUCAAAACAAAAUACUAGAAAAGUUUUAUAUUUAAUUGGCAAUUUCUUCUCCACCAUGCAUCUUCAUCAGCCAGGAAUCGGGAGGUUUCAACCUUCAUCUGCAUUCCCCUUUUUUUUGGUUUCUUUUUGUAAUGAUUUCAUUGUUUUUUUGUCCCUUUUCUUCAACUGGGUAAGAAUCUUCCCCUUAUUCUUUAUUUUCGUUCUCUCCUGUUUUCUUCUUUUUCUAUUUAGAUCUAUAAAUCUUUGAGAGAUGACAAUGAUAGAUUUAUAGAUCUAUUUUCUCUUUUCCUUUUUUCUUCUCUUGCAGUAAUUGAAACUUUUUAUUAUGAUUUGUCAAAUAUCUUACCACCUUUUUUUGGAGAGAUAAAAUUAGGCUUUAGAAAUGAAGAAAAUUUUUGGAAAAAAAUCACAAAUCAGCAAUGAAGAAAUUCAGGUAAAAUGAGGUUUUUCCCGAUUUUAUUGAUUCCCAGUUUAACACUCGAUUUUUUAAGGUGACUUGGACCGAAUGCUUGAUCGGUCUUGGUUUGCCCGGUCAGACUGAUUAGUCUAAUCCAAAUUUUAAAACAUAGGAUUUAAAAGGACAUAUUUGACUUGGGGAUCUAGCAGCAGAGCAUUUGAGACUGAAAAUAUAUAUGGAUGUUAAACAAGGGCGGCAAUGGAAAGAUAGUCUAAUGCUAUACCAAAGCAAGGAAACAAAAAGAAAAAGGAUUAAAAGUAAAAUUAGUUGUGACCAAAUAAAUGUAGCCAACUUGAACAUGGUAUAAAAGCAAUUGAGCAAAUGCCUUGUUCAAUUCAAGAUAAUUGAGGUACAAAAUCUAGAUUAACACAGCAAAUUAGGUUGCAGAAUGUUGGGUGUGGGCCAGCUCAUUUGUGAGCCAAACUAGAAAAUCAAAUAUUUUUAGGUUUAAGUCAAAAAUUUGACUUAAAUAAAAAAGGCGAGCAGCCGCAUGAAGUAUGAUUCUUCGGUCCUUGUGCGAGAAAAAAGAUUUCAGCCGCCGCUCUUGCUGGCUUGGUGAAGAAGGAAAAGAGAAAAAUAACUGGGAGAUCUUGAUUGGAAGGUGAUUCGAAUCCCGAUUGAAAUAAAAUUUUACAUACGCGAUCCUCUCAUCAAUCUCUACUCAUCUACUGGUCCAGAUUUUAGAUUUCCUCUUCGUUUGGUGACACCUUUCUAAACUCACUUCUUUGAUAGUUGUAGUUUUUGGGGGUGAUUUUGUAGUAAUUUCGUUUGAUUGGUAUUGGUGAUAUUAUUGUCAACCGAAUAUUUUGGGUAGACCUGUGUAUUCCUAUUGUUGUGAUAGUGAAGAUUUUUGACUGGACUAGAUCCCGUGGUUUUUCCCAAUUUGGAUUUUUCACGUAAAAAUCUUGGUGUCAUGUGCCUUUUAUUUUUCUUGCAUUUUAUUAUCACUACUGGUAUUAUUACUUGGUGAUUUGAUUUAUUCCUAUUUUUAACCGGUACAUAGAGAAAGAGAAAUUUGUCUUGGAUUAACUCUGAUAUUGUGUGUCUAUACCCAUACCUCUUUCCCAACAAAUGGUAUAUUAGACAAUCUUCACAUUUUGCACUUUCAUAAAGCAAUUACACCACAACUAUUCAGUUUUAGAUCGACAACUUUGUAUGCUACAGUUCCUUAGGCUGUCAACCACGUAAAAGAUGUCUUUCCGCAUCAUAUUGAAUGCGUUAGUUACUUUGUUUAGCAAAUUUAUAAUUAUUGAGAUGCAUGAAAUACUUUUUUUUCUGCAAGAAGAAUGGUUAAAUUCUCAAUUACAAUGAAAACAGAUAAUAUAGUAAUCCCACCAAUAUUGUUUCUUUAAACAUUUUGUUGUAAUACUCUCAACCUUUUGCUUUUCUGGUAAUAUACUUUCUUUUCAUUUCCUUUCCUUCAAUUCAAAAGGUCACUAAAUUUUUUUCCUCAAAUGGCGCCUAAAUUACUUUAAAAGCAAAGAUAACUAGUGAGAUGCCAAAAAUUUCCAAUCAAUUAUAUGCUUUACUUUGAAACUUACCGGUAGUUCCACUUGUUUUAAAUUUGUAUUAUUUAGGUAGGUUAAAAAUCGAACCAAACUAUUCGAUAUUUGAAAUAAGUUUGGUUCAGUAAAAACUUGUUCUAACUUGAUUUAUGAAUUAAUCAAACAAAGUUUGAACAUCAUUUUGUGUUCAAUUAACUUUUAAACUCUAUUUAAUCCUGGUACAAUUAGCAUAAAACUUGAUUUUAUAAGUAAAAAAUUCAAGCUAUUUGAGCUCAACUCAAAUCUGGCUUGAUUAAAGUCAACAUUAAAUAUAAUUUCAAAUUUGCUAAAAUAAUUAAACAAAAUUGAACGCUAACUUGUCCUCAAUCUUACUAUUGUCCUUAAAUGCAGCCAUGCUGCAAAAUACCUAUGCAUUAUUAGUUGGCCACUUACUUCGACAUCUUCUUAUCCUCAACUUCUUUUGCCUUUCUUUCCUUUUUUGUCUUCUUUUGUUUUUAUGUUACAGUACGGUACACCUACAAAAUUAUUUUGCUACCCACUUUACCCCGCUAUACAACACGGAUGAAGGUUACUAAAUACAAAUUAGGGACAUGAGACUUAUGAAAUAGAGGCCGUAGAAAACAAAUGGGAGAACAAGAAAUCUAUAUUCUUUCUGUCAACUUGCAAUACUCAAUCUCCUUCAACUUCAAUUUCCUUCAAAGUUUCUUUUAAUUUUUUCUUGGUGCUUUAAACAUGACACAUUUCCUACUACCUUUUCUUUAAAAAAAAAAAAAAAAAAAAAACAUUGGCACGUGAAGUUGGCAAUUGGCACUUAUCAUACAAGUGGCUCCGGAUGUGCGGUAUCGUUUGUUUCUUUUGUUUCCUGGGGAUGAGUUUUUGGACUUGGACCACUCAUAAAUAAAGUUGUUUCCUCCUGUGCGGUAUUUCUUGUCAUGGUUGCUCUUACAAUACAGCCAGCCAAUGAAAGUGAAUGUGACAGAGAGAUAUACGCACGGAGACAAAGACAAGGCUGCUCGUGUCUCAUCGUACGAUCCAAUAAUUUGGGAAUUCGAAAAAUCUAAAACCAAAGGAGAAAACAAAUGUAAAUGUGUAAAUUUACAAGUAACCAGUAUUGGUGUAAUCAAUGCAUAAAUGUGUACAUUACAACUGAUAACAUGCAUAAACAAGAUAAACUCACAUUUAACGAGACUUGACUCAACGGUUAUGAUUGUUGAAUCUCAACCUUGAUUUUCUAGACGAACAUCUCGCUGUACAAAUUAUUUAAAUUGCUAUUUUUAAAAUUUUUGUAAAAAAAUAUAUUAUAGUGAUUUGAUAUAUGUGAAAUAAAAGGGUGAUUGAAAAAUUUAUUUAUAAAAAAUCUAAAAAAUUAUCUAUAGAAAAUAGUAAUGGAAGCAAAGGUUUUUGAAUUAUUGGAGCACCCCUAAAUUAGGAAGGACGAAAAUUCAUUAUCACAUCAUAGGACCAGCUAGUCUAUUAUUCUACAAGGUGAGAUAAUUAUGAAAUUGACAUGAAGAAAUACUUCCCACACGAGUCAUGAAUCGAUCAGAUGUGGGACUGGUGGCGGCCGCCAUCUCAAAAAUUAUCAUACGACAAGACGUGUUUCAACACCAUAAGUUGCUUUCGAAGAAUAUUAAAAAUAAUGUUCUGCACAAUAUUUGGACAAGGUCACAAGAAUGGCUCAAAUCACUGAAUCAAAAAAUCCUUUAGCUGCUCAGCUUGAGUUUCACUAAAUAUUUUGAAUUGCAGAGACCUAGUCAAAAAUCGAGUUUGAUCAUGAAAAACAAGGAAAAAAUAGAAAAGUUUUUCAUUUUUUGGUGAACCAUUUUCUUUUUUCUAUUUUGUUAAAGUUUUCCAUAAAAUAUGUUUACCAUAGUUUGAUGGGUUAGAUGCAAAACUUAGCUCUUAAUUAUAACAAAUUUUGCACUUUACUCCUUAAAAUUAUCUUAUUUUGACUUUACUCCACUAUUAGUCAACUCAAACAUUAUAUACCCAUAACCUGAAAAAAACAUUCAUCCUGAGGGUUAAUGACAGUAAAUCCCCUCAAGGUAUUGCAUGUUUUAUACUUUACUCUAUAAAGUCAUCUUUUCUCAAUUUGUAGGUUUGUCCCAAGACCAUUAGUUAACUCCAAUAUUCUGUAACACCCAAGAAAAAACAAUAGCUAAGAGACAUUUAUAUCCUUGACAGGAUAGUGAACUGAAUAAUAUUUUAUGGAUAUGAGUCUAGUUAAAUUUCAUCUCGUAAUUACACUUUUUUAAGACAGGGGGAAAUUUCUCGAUCAUUUUAUGCCUUAAGGAGGAAAAAUAAACAAAAUAUUAUUUAAAAAUAAAAUAUGAAAACUGAAAAUAUUACUAAAUUUGUAAAACCCGCUUAAAAACUGUCAAUCUCUCUUUUCAAAUGUGCAUAUAGGUUUGCUUUUCAUUUAAUGGCUACAUUUUUGCUUUGCAUAAAAAAUAUACACUUUUCGUUGUUAGUAACACUACAAAGGGGCAAAAACAUGAUGGAUUUGGCAUUCCAAAGCUUUAUUGUCACUUGUGCUCAGAGCGCACCCGACGUGUGUACAAUCAAAAAAUAUAUAAUAUUAAUAGUCAUAUAUUUUAAAUAAAAUUUUUAUUACUAAAGCAAAUUUUAAUCUUUUAAAUAUUUUUCAUAAAAUAAUUUUAUAUUGGUAGUUAUGUUGAAUACAUAUACUUAAAAGUAAAAAUAGUCAUGGGUGGUUAUAGAUAGUUAAAGUAAAAGUAAUUUUUAUAAGGGCAAAAAAGAAAGUUCAUAAAGUGACGAUAAAAGUUAACCCUAAUUUUAACCCCAAAUCUCUUUGUCAAGCUUUACAUAUAACUAGUGCCAAAGGCACACCCACAUGUAUGCAAUUUAAGAAUAAAUUAAUUUUUAUGAAAUUUUCUUUAAUGAAUUGAUAGUUAGUAUUUUGGUAGUUAUGUCAAUUGGUAGUUAUCUUGGUAAUUAAACUUUUUUUCAUAAUAAAAAGUUUGGAUGUUUAAAUUUUAAACAUAUUGGUAGUUGCAACAAAAAUUAUGUUGGUUAUAUAUAAUUGGAUAGUUAGGAUAAAAUUUAAUUUUGUGAGGAUAAAAAUGGAAGUUUAAAAAGUGACAAAAGGUAUUUACCCCACCCUUUCAUUUCCUAGAGUAAGUAAGGGUAAAUUUGAAAACACACAAAACUAACACCAAGUUAACUACCUACACAUGUUUUAUUAUUUUAAAGAUAUAGAUUUUGUAAUGCUAAAAGGCACUUUUCUCAAACUUCAACGGUUUACUACAGAGGCAUUUUUUUUACAAGUGCUCAAUACACACCCAAUGUGUGUGCAAUCAAAAAAUACAUAAUUUUUAUGGUCAUAUAUUUUAAAUAAAGUUUUUAUUACUGAAGCAAACUUUAAUCUUCUAAAUGAUUUUCAUAAAAUAAUUUUAUAUUGGUAGUUAUAAUGUUUAGGGGUAGUUAUGUUGAAAACAUAUAUUUAAAUAGUUGAAAGUAAAAAUAAUCAUGAGUAGAUAUAGGUAGUUAAAGUUAAAGUAGUUUUUAUAAGGGUGAAAAAGGAAGUUCAUAAAGUGAUCAUAAAUGUUAAUCCCAAAGUUAACCACAAACCCUUUCCUUAGACUUUAUAUGUAGUAUAGAUAUUGGUGAAUUUAACUAAUGAGGGAACAAAGUGAUAAAAAGAUAAUAAAAUUUGGAAUUCUAUGGGGGAAUUCUUAUAAAUAACCCGAGUUUGAUACUAAAAAAAUUAAUGCCUUGUUUAGAAAGAGAUUUUUUAUCAAAAAAUCUAUACGUUUUUCAUAAACACAUUUUUUAAUCACCUUUUUACCUCACAUAUAUGAAAUCGCUACAGUUUAUUUUUUACAAAAAUUUCAAAAAAUUGCAAUCCAAACAUAACCUAAACUUUUAUAGUGCGCCCAUGGAUAAUUAGGAAACUGUGAUGAUCUAAUAAAAGUUUUCCAGGGUUAAAAGUAAUAAGCCCCCAAAACUUUUGGGAUGCUUUGCACUACAGUCUCUAACGUUGAUUUUGUGCCAUUUAGUACUUUUGUUUUUUUAAAUGAGAUGUCUUAAAUUCAAAACUUCAUACUUACAAUUCCUUCCACCUCACCACUUAACCAUACCCUCCACCCCAAACUCCAAUUUUAGUACUUGUGUUAGUCAACCUCAACAUUUGCCGUUAAAUGGUACUAAUUUCUAAAAUUACCCUGAUUUCUAUGACAAAAAUACCUGUUGUCCUAAAUACAAUAAAAAGAUCUCCACAAAACCCUGCAAUCCUUUUGUUUAAUAUAAAAAAGUUUAAAAAAAAAACCGCAAGCAUUUUGACAGUGCCAAUACAACAAAACCACAAUCUUCCUUUAAUUAACUUAAAUGCAGCGAAGUAUUUCUUCCAAUCUUCUACUCCAUAGUCUUUUUUUUUUUUUUUUUGGAUUAACCGUAGGAGAGCGAAGUACUUUUGUCCUUUUUCUCCUUUUUAUCAAUCUCACAGCUGACAAAACAAAAAUUUUCAAAUAUAUCUAAACUAGCAGUUCCGUCUCUCACUUAUCUUUUUGCUUUCAACAGGUUUUGUACCUAAACAUUAUGUUUUUUUUUUCCCGCAAAAUUAUGUGCUAAGUACAUUCAUUUCCAGAAUAGACAAUUAGAAACAGCAAUGCUAUUAUUCAUGUUCAACUCGUUUGAAUUUGGAAAAGGUUUAAUCACAGAAUAAACAAAUAAAACUCGAAAACAAGAUUGAUUUGGAACCAACACACAAAUUUGGGUGCAAGCGGAUUGAAUAUGUUAUUGAACCCCACAAAAAAUUAUAUUGUUGCCCCACUUUGCCCCCUUAUUCUCCUUACCAGUAUUGCAACUAGAGGUGUUAAAAUGGAUGAUUUGGACGGGUUUGGAUUGGCAAAAAUGGAUAAUAGGUAUAAGUAAGUCAACCCAUUUAUACCUAUUUAAUUAAAUGGGUAUAAAUAGGCAAGCCAAAAAUGAAUUGGAUAACCCAAUUACUCAUUUAUAACCCAUUUAUUUUAAUUUUUUAUAAACUCAUUUAAAUUCAUUUUGCAAACUAGGUUAUCAAUUUAUACCACCCUUUACACCCAUCAUUAGUUUUAAAUAUUUACUUAUAAUGCUCAAUAAGCCUAUUUACCAAAUUUUUUUCCAUCCGUACUCUAUGUCGUAAAAUUACAUGCUAUUUAAUAAUUGAACAAUCAGAAUAUAAAAAUUUGAACUAAGUACUAUAAAAGUUAAACAUAAAAAUUUAAUCCAAAAAUUUUAAACUCCUAGCAUUUUUUUCAUGUGUAAAUUUAAAAUUUCAUUUUGAAAAAGUAGGAAAAGAGGCUAAAACUUGUCAUAAAUUGGUAACACUAAAGAGUAAGUUAACAAACUAAGAGAAAAAAAAAUGAUAAGAUAAAACCAACCAAUGAUAAUAAUAAUGAAACAAAAAUAGUUAACAUCAUAACAAAAUGAAGAAUCUGAAAAAAAAAAUGGGUGGGAGAAGAGAGAAUGCUUGGGGGAAGAUAAUUCUAAAUGGAUUAAUUGGAUUUGAUGGGUUAUCAAUAAUACCCAUUUAUUUAAAUGGGUAUUAUUGGAUAAUCCAUUUAUACCCAUAUGCAAAAACUUAAGAUACCCAUAUCCAUAUAUUCAUGGGCGGGUAUGGGUAAAUUUAGUUAAAUGGAUUCAUUUGCCACCUAUAAUUGCAACCAAUGCAAGUAAAAAUUGCGAUACUUGUUUACUACAAAAUAAGGACGUGAAUUUAUCAAAUAGAAAGUGGAGAGAAAAAAAAGGGCAAAAUACACUUAACUCUCUUGUGAUUUAUUGAUUUUUUACAUAACCUCCCUAUAGUUUCAAAUACUAUAUAUAACCCCCUCAUAAUUUGCAUUAAAGUUUCAAAGUGACAAAAGUGAUUAUUUGCAAUGAAACCCAUGAAAAUAUCGAAAUUGCCUUUGUUUAAAACCUAAAAUGACUGAACUGAUCAAAAAAUAUAAAUAUAAUAUGCAUGACACUCUAACAUCGUAUAGUUUUAUAUUUUACUAUAUAGUCCCCUUAUAGUUUAGUGUUUUACCAUAUAAUCCCCUUAUAAUUUUUAAAAUAUAUACAUAAUCUUUUAUGGUUAUAAAUAAUUUUUAACUUUACAUAAGAGUAUUUUUAACAUUCUAGUUGACUCCAUUAUGGAAUACAAAUUCAGUUAUUUUAAGACUUUAAUUCAAAUCAUGAGAGGGGUAUGUGUAUCUUUUGAAACUAUAGGAGAAUUAUGUGAAAAAAUAUUAAACCAUAGGGGGUAAAGUGUAUUUUUCCAAAAAAAAAAAAGGAAAAACAAGGAGUGAGACCAUUUUCUCAUUUUAUAUGUGCACUUUAGUAAAAUAGUUAAUCAUUUUUCUUCUUUUAAAUUGUAAAACUCAACCUCUUUUAAUUUAAAAUUUCAUUCGAAUGUUAUUUUAAUUUUGAUCUUAGUUCUUCAAAAUUGGCAUAUUAAUUUCCUACAAUUUUUGUAAGGAAAAAAAAAGCAUAAAACAUGGCACUUGAAGUUGGUUGUCGGCACUUAUAGCUUGUAUCAUUUGUUUGCUGGGUACAAGUUAUUGGACUUAGACAACUCAUGGAUAAUUAAGUUGAUUUCACCAGUGGGGUUUAUGGUGGCUUAUCUCCUUCUUAUCAUGUUUGUUCCGACGAUGCAGCCGGCCAAAGAAAUAGGAUGAGAAAGAGAAAUGGGCGCAUGGAGACGAAGGGCCGGCGGCUCCUUUUGAUAUAUCAUCGGUCCCAAUUGUUUGGGAAAUCUAAAAGCGAAGGAGAAAACAAAUGCAUGCAAUUAUGCGAAUCGGAAGAGAUCUGAAUUUUUUUGGAUCAAUUCAAGAACUCUCUAUAUUAGAAAGGGCAAUAAUGCAAUGUCACAUCCACAGGACCAGCUGGUCGUUUGUCAAUUAUUUUACAGUGGGAAAUUAUGAAAUUCGCAUAGGGAAAUACUUUCCUGCUCAUGAGCCGAUGAAACAGUGGAGUGGCGGCAGCCGCCGCCCUUCGAAAAUUUAAGUUUGUUUUUGGAUUGUAAUUUUUUUUAAAAAAAAUUCCUACGUUUUUUGUGGAUAUAUUUUUCAAUCACUUUUUUAUUUUACAUAUAUUAAAUCGCUACAGUAUUUCUUUUACAAAAAAUCCAGAAAAAUGCAAUUCAAACAAAGCUUAAAAUUUUAUUUAUAUCAGAUUUUUUUUUGUAAAACAUUAUAAUUUUAUUAAAUUUUGUAUUAAUGGCAAAAGUUACAUCAUCUGAAAAGUGGAUACUAUAGAUAUGAAAAACAGAUAAAAAUUACACUGUAAAAUUCUAAAAAAUAGUUUAAAAAAUGAGAUAAAAUAAUUGUAACCUCACGAAUAUCUAUGCAUGCUUGUGAUCGUCAAAUCUAUUGAUUAAUUUUUUCAAUUCUGAAUAUUAUGGUGAGAUUUACCAAAUAAACUCAAGAAAUUCCAAAUUUGAUAAAUAAAAUCUAAAAAAAAAGAGUUAGAUCGAAUAAAAGAAAAUAAAAAAAACUACCUAAAGCAUUCAUUAGAAAUCUCUAGGAAAGAAGAAAACUCUCACUAGGUAACACUAAGAGAGGAAAAAAUUCUCACUAGAAAAUUGUAAGAAAUUUUAUUUGUACAAAUGAAAAAAAACUAUAGAUAAAGCUCCUCCUAUGGAGAAAGAUUGAAAAAAUGUGAUUUCUCACCCGAAAGAAUUGAAUGAAGUUUUGGUUAGAGAAUUUUCCUAAAGAGAAACUAAUUCUCUCUUUCUUCUCUCAAGAAUUGGUGGGAGGUUUUUUUUAUGUCUUAUACAGUUCUUUCUUAUUUAUAUCAGAAUUAAGAGAAUGGAAAGUGAUAAUUUGGAGAAAAAAAUUUGAUCAAAGCCUUGAUAAUUGUAAGGUCCAAUUAAUAUUCUAGAUCUUGGCCAUAUUAGCUCGAGCUAAUCUAGGUCAUCCAUCUCUUUUCUAAAGAAAAUUUAUAUUUUUUUUUUGUUGUAAAAGUUAAUGGCCAGAUUUGGACCACAUCAGCAAAACUUGAUUUGAACCAUUAAUUGUACGUAUGCCAGGCAAUCGUGCAUUCUCCUAAAAGUAGCCAAUUGCCAUGGAAGGUUGUAAAUGACCAUCUUAAUCCCUGAAUUAAGAAACAGUCAUCCCAUAAAUCCUCUUCCUCCUUCCACAUUCGAAGACCGCCACCGCAGCUUACUCCACCCUUCAUUCACAAACCCAGUCAACAAUUUUUGCCUACAUAUCAAUCUUGAUUACCUUGCUAUAUCCCCUUACUCUUCCCUUCACGCUAUCUUCUUCCCAUAUUGAAGAAGCAAAACCAUGAUGAAAUAUUGUUUUGGGACAGGAAUAUGUCCAAAAGGGUGAUUUUAGGGCUAUCAAUGGGUCCGGACCCAAAUCUGAUCCAAUAUGCUCGUUUGUUCGAACCUGACCAAAUCCAAAUUAUAUGCAUUCUAAAUGGAUCGGGUAUGGAAUGACAUGUUCCGAUUCAUUCGGAUCCGAUCCAAUUAAUUGGACAUAUAUAAGUAAUAAUUAUAAUAUUCAUUAUAAAUUGUUACUAACCCACAUGUUUUCUCUUUGAAAAAAAAAGGAGGUACUCUAAGAACCAAAUAAUCUUUGGAAUUUUUCUCAUUGUGUAGUUACUAUUUUAUUAACAAAAUUUGUGUAAAAAUAGAAUUCAAAAAUUAUCAAAAAUUUUGUUAUACUAAAUUGAUUUUAUGGAUUGGAUAUAUCCGAAAUAGAUUUGAAUCCAACAGAAACUGGAUCCAGAAAUACAUAUUAAGACUUCAUUAGGUAAAUGGAUUGGGAUCCAAAAUAAUUAUUACCUGUCGGAUUUGUGUUAGCAGUUAUCAAUUUUACCCAGAAUCAACCCGAUGAGUUCUUAUUUUGUUUCUUUUUGGGCAAAGCUCAUACUAAUGGAGAGGGAUGCCAGUCCCAAAUUUAUUACUAAUAGAGAAAGGAAGGGCCAGGCAUUAAUCUAAACUCUAAUACAAGAAAAAGAAGCUAAUGAAAUGGAAAAAGGAGUACUACUCCCGUGCCGAUCUUAAUCUAAUGUUUGGCAAACUAAUACUAUCAACAGAAAUAAUAGCUUUUACUGUGAAGCAUGGUUCAAAGUCUCGGCCGACUCGUCACCGUCUCAGACCCUUCGAUACGUCACUGUGAACGGUUGAAACGGUCGAGUUACACUGAAUCACUCCGAGUCAUCCUAAGUCAACUCGAUUUUUUAUUAUUUUUACUAAUUUUUUAAUUAAUUUUGUUUACCAUAUUUUUUAUAAAUUUUAGAAUAUUAAAUAUUUCAAAAAUUCGCGUCUCACCGAGACUGCAUGCCAAGAUCGAUGUAGAACGGUCUAGGCCGCGACCGCGACUUUGAACCAUGCAGUGAAGGCAAUUCCGACGUAGAAGUGUAAAUCUGCUGCCGAGAGAGAGUUAAAGAAACAAGAAAGUAAACUGAAAAACUUGCUCCACCAUAAAUGUGAUGAACAAAAACCCGAUAACACCUUGAAGCAAAUGACGAAUUUGAACUAGGGCACUACACAUUGGCCAAUUAGCUAAAGCAUUGGUUGAUAAAGGUGCACAGGUAGCUUAGCAUCCACCUGUACCAGUACAUCAUCAGUAGUGCAUUAUUUUCUACCAGCAAAAAAUUUGCCUUGUCAAAUUCUUCAUAAAAUACAAAGACAAUCCUAUCAAUAUUAUGAUGCUAAAUGAGAAAUUUUGGGUUCGAGUCCUUCCAUCUAAAUUAUUUUAAAAAAAGCAAAAAAAAAAAUCCAUGAUGGUCUUGUAGAAGACUCUCUCGAGAUGAAGUUAACCUUUUAGUACUGGUAAUGGUAUUGAGUUUAUAAUGCUUUUCCAUGGUGGAAACCAUCAGACAGCCAUUACCGAUGUCCUCAUGGAAGUUUCUAGCCUAAAAAACUUUGCAGUAUAAGUAUUCUAAUCACUUAUUACAUAAAAUCCUAUCACCAAGGAACGUGCUCCUAACACAGCAAGACAAUUAUCAACCUUCAAAAUAAUCUUAAAAGCGAGCGAAGAGAUUCUUUGAAAAUGUGUUUCGUUCUUUCCACACCAUGAAAACCACAAAGCUAAUAUAGGUAAAAUACAUCUAAUGUGAUCAAGAGGUGCUUUAUCUAGAGACAAAUUAACAAGAAGACAUCAGCAAAGAAGAGAUACAUGUAUGAGGCUAGAAGGGAAUUCUGAAAACUGGGAAGUAAUGCCCGGCAAACUUGAACUGGAAUCGAGCCUUCUGUUAAAGUAUGCGGCAAAGAUGUUGUAAAAACUUGAUAUUUCAAAAGAUUUUUCGUUUGUUUCGGACUAGAGCUUUAUCUGAUAAUAUUUCAUCAGAUAUGGUUGUUUCUAUUUUGAUGGAGAAGUUUUCAAAGAUAAGGUUUUGACUAAAAGGCAAGUUCAAGUGCUAGAUAGGAAGUUAAGCUUCGGAUGGCCUUUUUUCAAAUGACUUGACCUUUUCCAAACUUAUCACCACAGAGGAUAGACCUCUGACUACUUCAAAAGAUAAAGUCUGGCACGAAGCAAGCCUAUUCUCACGGAAAAUUAGCUUUCAAAAUUCUAUCUUCUUCCGUCCCGUGAAGCUUAUAAAUAGAACCAGUUGCCAGGCUCAUUUCGCACUGCAAAAACGAAGUCUACACUUUAAAACACUCUCUACCUCCUCCUUUGUCUAUCCUUCACAACAUUCUUGCUUUUCUGCUGGGUUAGAAACAAGAUUUUUUUUGCUGGUUCUAUGUCCCUCUCACAAAGUAGAGGAAAACUUGUUUAAUUCUGGGGAAACGUUUCAAUACCCUGAAAUAGUUUCUUAGGACAGUGCUUUCUAGCACGACUCAAGUAUCCACGUGUUGACAUUGUUCGGGCCGCUUUAUCCAACAAUCUAAGAAACUAUGGCAUCUAACAAUGUUAGCACCCCACAGCCUUCAUCAGCAACUGUUGCAGUGGCACUACCAUUCGCCAAGCUCUUUCCGGAUGUAUCCAAAAUUGAAAUUUUCGCCAAUGAAAAUUUUAAAAGAUGGCAAGAACGUGUGCACUCUCUACUUGACAUCCAUGGAGUAGCUUAUGCGCUCACUGAAUCUCAACCUUCUGCAACUGCGGAUGCCAAGAGUCAAGAAGCAUGGCAAUAUGCCAAUAAGGUAUGUCGACACACUAUCCUUCAAACACUCUCUAAUGAAUUAUUUGACGUCUACUAUAGCAGCAAAGAAGCCAAGGCAAUUUGGGAAGCCUUGGUAACAAAGUUUACUGCCGAAGAUGCAACCAAGCAAAAAUUCGUCGUAGGAAAAUACAACCAAUGGCAAAUGACUGAUGACAAGGAAAUGAAAAUUCAAAUCACCGAAUAUCAAAUGCUGCUAGAGGACUUGAAAAAUGAAGACAUCAAUCUUCCUGAGAAAUUCGCUGCAAGCAUGCUGAUUGAAAAACUACCAGAGUCAUGGGCCGACUAUAAAAACAACUUGAAACACAAGGAGAAAAAUUAUACCAUGGAUGAGCUCGUGAAGCACAUCCUCAUUGAAGAUUCAAACAAAAGGGAGUUAAGAGCUACCAAGGCAAAGGAGACGGCUUUCAAAGCCAAUCUGGUACAAGGUAAUAAUAAAAGGUACGCCAAUAAAUCCCAGAAUUACAAGCCCAAAAAUUUUAAUUUCAAGCCUAACAAUCCCAACUUUAAGAAAAGGAAAGGCAAUUGAUUUUAUUGUGGAAAACCAGGACAUCAUGCAUUACAAUGCAGACAUAAUAAAGGUGACAGAGCAAAUGGUAAUCUUCCUAAGGUGCACUUAACCGAAGGAGAUGAUAUAAUUGCUGCUGUCAUCUCUCAAGUGAACAUUGCAGCCAAUGUCAAAGAGUGGGUGGUAGACUCUGGGGCUACUCGGCACAUAUGUGCAAAUUGAGAAGCAUUUUCCUCCUAUACUCCUAUAGGGGAUGAUGAGGAAGUUGUCUACCUUGGUGACUCACGAACUGCUAAUGUUCUGGGUAAGGGCAAAAUAUUCUUGAAACUCACUUCAGGAAAAACUUUGGCUCUCAAUGAUGUACUGCAUGUGCCCAACAUUCGGGCAAAUCUGGUUUCCGUAGGAUUGCUAGGAAAAGUUGGAGUGAAAGUGUCAUUUGAAUUUGGAAAGAUCAUAAUGACCAAAAAUAAUGUAUUUGUGGGCAAGGGCUAUUGUAAUCAGGGACUCUUUGUACUUAACAUUGCCAAUGUGAUCAAUGAGAAUGCUUCUUCUUCUGCUUAUAUUAUUGAUUCAAUUUCUUUAUGGCAUGCAAGAUUAGGACAUGUUAAUAUGAGUUAUAUAAAGAAAAUGCAAUCUUGUGGCCUGAUUUCUGGUGUUAAUGAUAAAAUGGAUAAAUGUGAGAUAUGUGCAGAAACUAAAAUGACAAAGAAGACUUGUAUAACUGUUCAAAGAGAAACUGAACUAUUAAAUUUAAUCCACACAGAUUUAGGUGAUUUAAAACAAACUAUGACUAGAGGAGGAAAAAGAUAUUAUGUCACUUUUAUCGAUGACUACUCUAGAUAUACUAAACUUUACUUACUUAGAAAUAAAGAUGAUACUCAUAAUGCCUUUUUAUCUUAUAAGUCUGAGGUAGAAAAUCAACUUAAUAAGAAGAUAAAAAGAAUUAGGUCUGAUAGAGGAGGCAAAUAUUUAGCCCUAGAUAAAUUUUGUGAACAUGAAGGCAUAAUACACGAAACAACACCUCCUUAUUCGCCAGAAUCUAAUGGAGUAGCUGAAAGGAAAAAUAGAACAUUAAAAGAAAUGAUGAAUUCUAUGUUAGUUAGUUCUCAUGCUCCUGAUAAUUUAUGAGGAGAAUCUAUUUUAUCUGCAUGUCAUUUACAAAAUAGGAUACCUCAUAAGAAAACUGGCAAAACUCCUUAUGAGUUAUGGAAAAGUUAUAAACCAAAUUUGAAAUAUUUAAAAGUAUGGGGAUGUCUUGCUAAAGUAUUGUUGCCUGAACCUAAGAAAAGAAAAUUAGGUUCUAAAACUUCUGACUGUAUGUUUAUUGGAUAUGCUGAACAUAGUGCUGCAUACAGAUUUCUUGUUUUAAAAAGUGAUACGCUUGAUUGUAAUACAAUUAUUGAGACAAAGAAUGCUGAAUUCUUUGAACAUAUUUUUCCAUUGUCGAGUAAAAUUUCUCAUGCACCUGUUGAAAUAAAUAGAGAAAUAAUUCCGAAUGAGGAAUUAAGAAGGAGUAAAAGGCCAAGAAAAGAAUUUUCUUAUGGAAAUGAUGUUCAAACUUUUCUUGUUGAUAAUGAUUCUUUAACAUACUCCGAUGCUAUUUCUUCCCCUGAUUGUAAAGUUUGGAAAUAAGCAAUUAAAUCUGAAAUUGAUUCUAUCUUGUCAAAUAAAACUUGGAUUUUGGUGGACUUACCUCCUGGUGCAAAACCUAUUGGUUGCAAAUGAAUUUUUAAAAGAAAAUAUAACUCUGAUGGCUCUAUAGAAAAGUACAAAGCUCGUUUAGUAGCAAAAGGAUUUUCUCAAAAACAAAAUAUUGACUAUUUUGAUACAUUUGCACCAGUAACAAGAAUUGCGUCUAUUCGAGUUUUAUUUGCUUUAGCUUCUAUCCAUAAACUUGUUAUUCAUCAAAUGGAUGUCAAAACAGCAUUUCUAAAUGGUGAUUUAGAGGAAGAAAUUUAUAUGUUUCAACCUGAGGGGUGUAUUGUAUCUGGACAAGAAAAUAAGGUUUGUAAACUAAUUAAAUCUCUUUAUGGCCUAAAACAAGCUCCUAAACAAUGGCAUGAGAAAUUUGAUCAAGUAUUGAUAAAAGAUGAAUUCUUGUCUGUAGAAGUGGAUAAAUGUGUGUAUGUCAAAAUUAUAAAUGAUCAAUAUGUGAUAAUCAGCUUAUAUGUGGAUGACAUGCUUAUAUUUGGUACUAGUCUAGAUAUUGUAAAUAAUACUAAAUAUUUUUUGUCCUCUAAUUUUGAUAUGAAAGACUUGGGUGAAGCCAAAAUGAUAUUGGGUGUUAAAAUCAUAAGGAGAGGUGAUGGUAUAAUGUUGUCACAAGAACAUUAUACAGAGAGACUUCUUAGGAAGUUUGAAAAUUAUGAUGUGACACCUGUGAGUACUCCUUAUGACGCUAACAUUCAAUUGAGGAAAAAUAAUGGCGACCCAAUUGCUCAGUCUAAAUAUGCUCAGAUCAUUGGGAGUCUGAUGCAUCUGAUGAAUUUCACUAGACCGGAUAUAGCUUAUGCUGUAUGUAGACUGAGUAGAUAUACUCAUAAUCCCAAUCGUGAGCAUUGGUUUGCAUUAGUCAGACUAAUGAAAUAUUUGAGAGGUACCAUGAAUUUUGGUAUACUAUAUAGUGGAUUUCCCACUGUAUUAGAGGGUUACAGUGAUGCUAACUGGAUCUCUGAUCCAAAUGAUACAAAAUCCACUAGUGGUUAUGUGUUCACCCUUGGUGGUGGUGCGGUAGCAUGGAAAUCAGCCAGACAGACAAUUAUUGCUCGGUCAACUAGGGAAUCGGAGUUCAUAGCUCUGGAGUUAACUGGCUCUGAGGCAGAUUGGUUAAGAAAUUUCUUAGUCAAUAUUCCUCCUAUUAAGGAUCUGUUGUCUCCUGUGUCUAUACACUGUGACUGUCAAGCGGCUAUUGCUAUUGCAAAAAUAAAUCUUAUAAUUGUAAAAGUCGACACAUGAGAUUAAGACAUGAUGUCGUAAAGCAGCUGCUUAGAGAUGGAAUUAUUUCCAUUGAUUUUGUGAAGUCAGAGUUGAAUUUGGCCGAUCUUCUGACUAAACCUGUAGGAAGAAAAUUAAUUCUUCAAACUACAAGGGAGAUGGGACUUAGGCUAACGGUUGUCAAUAGAGAUGGUAACCCAACCUAUGUGAUUAGUGAUCCCAUGAAAUAGGUUCAUAUGGGUAAUAACAAGUCGAUAUUGACUGUAAAAGCACUUGAAAUUUAAGUCCCUUCAAAAUUAAGUGCUUUGACUGCCAAUAAUUGUGAGGCUGAGUUUAAUACUCUUAAUGAAUUUAUAUUCCUUCAGGAAGGUGUAUUUAGGGCAGUAUACACUUGAUAAAUUCACCUAUAUGUGAGUGGAGUGGGGCCGCUCCUAUAAGAUUUUUUGGCCGAAUCUUUAGAGCUCUCAUGAACAACCAGGCGGGCGCACGACCUAAAUGCGCGAAACUGCAUUGAACAGCAAAAUUAUGGGUUAUAAUGUGAUUGAUAAGAUCUCUGUCAUACAAUAAGAAUUAUUGGUUCAUAGAAAGAUAUGUUUUCACCAAUAAUUCUGUAAGACAUAUUUUAUCAAUUUAAGUUUGGUUCAUAGUCCAAAAGACACCAAACUCAUUACAUUGAGCUCAGACAAAUCCAGCAGAUGUUUAUACUCUUUUGUCCAAAAUCUUUUGAAAUAGGUGGGAGAUUGUUGUAAAAACUUGAUAUUUCAAAAGAUUUUUCGUUUGUUUCGGACUAGAGCUUUAUCUGAUAAUAUUUCAUCAGAUAUGGUUGUUUCUAUUUUGAUGGAGAAGUUUUCAAAGAUAAGGUUUUGACUAAAAGGCAAGUUCAAGUGCUAGAUAGGAAGUUAAGCUUCGGAUGGCCUUUUUUCAAAUGACUUGACCUUUUCCAAACUUAUCACCACAGAGGAUAGACCUCUGACUACUUCAAAAGAUAAAGUCUAGACGAAACAAUCCUAUUCUCACGGAAAAUUAGCUUUCAAAAUUCUAUCUUCUUCCGUCCCGUGAAGCUUAUAAAUAGAACCAGUUGCCAGGCUCAUUUCGCACUGCAAAAACGAAGUCUACACUUUAAAACACUCUUUACCUCCUCCUUUGUCUAUCCUUCACAACAUUCUUGCUUUUCUGCUAGGUUAGAAACAAGAUUUUUUUUGCUGGUUCUACGUCCCUCUCACAAAGUAGAGGAAGACUUGUUUAAUCCUGGGGAAACGUUUCAAUACCCUGAAAUAGUUUCUUAGGACAGUGCUUUCUAGCACGACUCAAGUAUCCACGUGUUGACAUUGUUCGGACCGCUUUAUCCAACAAAAGAUUCAAUCGAAUAGCUACUAGCCAAAUUAUCUGAACAAGAAGAGCAUUAUUUGGAAACCAAAAUAAUACCAUGGACAUGAAUAUCCUCAUCUCAACGGCUAGAGGGAAUUCCAUGUGAUCUUCAAAACAAUGGAAGAAUUCUUCUUCUUUCUCACCUCCCCCCUCCCAAGCCGAAGCUAGAGUAAAACAACCAAAGGUAAAUAGCUGCCACACCAACAUAUCUUCUUGAUUUGAUCAAACCCUUAACUUCAAAAUUGCAGCCACUAUACGAAGAGGAAGCCGGUCAUUCAGCCGAGCAACAUUCCAAUCGAAAUUCAUAAGAAAAACUCAGCUACUAGACAAUAUGGUGGAUAAUCCAUAUCACAAACAACAGCAGAGGGUUCAUCCAAGACCCAUCUAUCAAACCAAAAAUCUAUCAUUCUCUACUCUACGCACCAAUCGAUAUUCACUUCAGCAACUCCUUUAAUGUAAAACAAAUGUUUUCAAACAACUUAACCCACGCAAGAUUGAACUUGCGUUGGAUGAAGAGCAUGAAGAUAUUUCCGCUACGUAAACUUUGCUUAAACUGUUUUUUUUUUCUAAAAUUCUAUCGUAGCUUAAUACUGAAAGCAUGGAUCUAAUCCCUUGACUUUCUCUACUAGAAAACGUAAGUUUUCCCAAGAAGACCAGUGAAUAUGCCUCGAAUUAUCUUUAACAUCUGACAGAAAGCUAUUAUACGUACAUUCAAUAGUUCUAACCACCACUUUUGGAGGAGAUAGCACUUGCAACAAGUACAUAAGAAUUUAAGAAGGGACAUGUUUCAGUAUAAUUAUUUUCCCACUAGCUGAUAAGAAUUUAGAAUGCCAACCAGAAUUCUCCCUCUGAUUUUCGAUACAAUGCUUCAAACAUUACUCUCUUUGAUCUACUCUCAUAUAAAGAAACUACCAAAUAGGAAAAGGGGAGACAUUGAAGUUGAAAUCCCAAAUAGAACAUACCAUACACAUCUAGCAGUCAAGAUCUUAUCGGAACAAAUAAAUAAGCUAUUUGCAACCUUGAUCCACUGAUCAGAUUAGUAGUGAGAAAGAAAGUACUUUAUCGCCUUCAAACACCUCUUCAAGCAAUGUGUAAAAAUGAUUGUAUCAUUAGCAAAAGCAAGAUGCAAAACUUGACCUCCUGAUAAUGUAAAAAACAUCCUCCUCCCAUUUUCAAAUAAAUCAAUCAAUCCAUGACCAAGAUAUUCAGCAGCUAUCACAAAUAAAGUUGGUGAUAAUGGAUCUCCUUGACGACGAACACCACGAAAGGACUUUAAGAAUCCCACAACUCCACUAUUUAAACUAAAUGAAAACCAAUUGUUGGAGACAAUGCGAAACACAAGAUCAUUCUUGUAUUCGCUAAACCAGAAAUCUCAAUAUUUGCAUAAUGAGAGACCAAUUCGCCUAAUCAUAUGCUUUCUCUUAACACAUUCAGUUCCUGGAGUUUCUUAUCAAUCUCAGCCACAAGCUCUUGAGCUAACAACAUGAAAUCAUUAAUUCGUCUUCCCAGAAGAAAUCCCGUCUGCAAUGGGGACAGAAAGAUAAUUUAUGGGAGAAUUGUUGGGUUUGUGAGUCCAACCCAUUUGUUGGGCCAAGUCACAAUUAGAGCCCAAAGCCCAUGGUCAUUUGGUUUCCGAGUCAAUAUUUGACUUGAGAUUAUAGGAAGUGACUAGUCAAUUAACUAAAACUUGAAGUCGCACAAAAGGGAAUAAAUAUCAACCUAUGAGAUUAAUUGCAACGUUAUUAAACUCGAACGGGAUAGCGACUUGGCUAAACUAUUGAAUCAAGGGUCAACUAGUCGGAUCGGUUGGACCGCUUUUAAAAACCCGCUCAUGUCAACAUGUCGUCAUAGUUAUUUUAUUUUUUUUUAUAAAUUAUAGAAAUAUAGAAAUUAACUUCUUAGUUAUAUUCGAUCAAUCAUAGAAAAUGUUCCAAAAAUAUUAGACUUGCAAUCAAAUAUACACCUAAUAAUUAUAUAUAAAAAUGUAAAUUCAUGGCUAAAAUAUGUCCAUUCUCCAAAACUACUUGAAAAACUAAAUUAAAACAAAUUAAUGCAAGUUGGAAUCACUGAUGCUAAAAUGAUAAGAUCAUAUGGAUGAAAACAUUUUGAUUUAGAGAUCAUUCAGGAAAGGGAAUGAUUUUUGUAUUUACACUAAGUGGAUGGCGUUUUCUUAUUCCUAUUAAUAAAUAAGACUCAAAUUAUGUUUGGGAAAAAGAAGCAAGAAAAGUUUGAAAAUUAGGUCAAUCAGUUGAACCGGGUCACUGGUUUAGUCAAUUUUUGACGGUUUUGACCAAAGCGAUUUUGUACUACAAACUAGCUCGGAAAGAUGGUCGAUUCAUAGUCGGACAGGUUGUCAGGACAGAAGAAAUAAGCUAAAUUUAAGAAUACUUUGUAACGGUGACGUUUGGGGAAUAAUUGUAGUGCAGCGAUGACGUUUUGUGAAAUGUUAGUAAUAAAAAGGGAUAAGUGGAACGGUGUCGUAUGAAAGGCUGAGUUAGUUAGAACAGUCACGUGGGUUGUGACAGAAAUUGGGUAGCGGUAGUUAAUUCAUCCUAUUUGUACACGUUUGAUUGGCUAAAGAGGCAUCAGAGAAUAACAAUUGCAUUUUCCCUCUUUUCCUACUUUCUCUUUCUACUCCCCUUACUCUCUGCAACUUCUUUUCAAUCUUCUCUCUCACGAAGCUCUUCUGAGCUUCUCUCCUUUCUCCAAUUCAGGGAUAUGGUCGUAGGAGCCUGACAAGUGAUAUCAGAGCUUGUCGAAUCCUUGGAAUUGAACAGCAAUGGCGGAGAGUACCAGAUUCAAGACUCUGGAAGAACAGAUCAAGAAAUAAGAUUCCAAGCUCCAGGAGGUAAUAGAAAGUCUGUAGGCUUCGCACCACCAACAACAGCAGCUUCGCGAGGAGCUGCGAACAGAACUCGAGGAGAACAACCAGAAAAUGGAAGGUCUGGUAAUAAGAUUGAAACAAGAGUUCAGCGCCUUCAUGAAGAUGAUGCUGGAAAGAGAGAAACUGAAUUAUGAACCAGGAAGAACCCUGAGUGAUCAACCACCUCUGCUGCCAACACCACCGCCUAGUCAGAGGCUGCAAGUUGGACUCGAAGGUAUCAAGAUUGGGAGGAGAGAAACAAACAAGGCACUGAUUCCAAAUCCCCCAAAAAUUGACUUGCCUCUAUUCGCUGGGGAAAGUCCAAGGGAAUGGAUCAGGAAGUGCAACAAGUAUUGCAUAAACUACCAAAUUCCUAAGGAACAGAAGGUAAAGGUGAUCGAGAUGUACUUGGAAGGGAAGGCGGGCAGGUGGUUCCAGGGAGUUAAGGCGGAGAAACCUGAAAUCACGUGGCCAAUGUUUGAAGAAUUAUUGGGCAAAAGGUUCGAUAACAAGGCAGGUAAGGAUAUUGUGGAGGAAUUUAACAAAUUGCACCAGACAGGGAAGGUGGAGGAGUAUCAGGAAAGGUUUGAGGAGCUCAAGGUCCUCAUGACAAUGAAGAAUCCGCAUCUGAGUGAAGAAUAUUUUGUAUCCAGCUUUAUCAGUGGAUUGAAAGAUGAAAUCAAGACUAUGAUCAAAAUGUUGAGGCCUACCUCUCUGUCCGAGACUUUUGAAUUAGCAGUAUUGCAGGAGAAUGCACUGAACCUUGUGAGGGCCUCAAAAUUUAUUAUUUUAAUAAGAAUAUUAUUAUUACUAUUUCAUUUAUUUAUUUUAUUGUUUUAUUUAUUUUAUAUAUAUAUUUUUUGAAAAGUUAAAUAAUAAAUGUGAAUACAAUUAUAUUAUGUAUUUAUAUAAAAUUACAUGAUCUUUAUGUGCAUAGUUCGCAUUUUCAUAAUUAAAUUAUUUUCAUUCGAACAAAAUUCCAAUGUUUGACUGACUAGUGCUAAGUUCAGUUUUUAAGCCGUGUCGAGGAAUUUAACUUUGGUGAAAGAUUAGUCUAUGAGUAGCUUUAAAAGAAUUAUAAAUGAGAUAGAACUAAGAUAGAUAAGAAAAGUGUAGUGGACAAAUUUAAGUGGAACAUAAGCAUUGGUCAAAGUUGGACAAUUUCCGCUAAAACUAAGUUUUAAUCUUGCCAUUGUUUCUUCCAUUUAAUUUCCUCCAAUUCACUUCAAUUUCUUUUCCUUUCUUCCUUAUUAUAGUCGAGAAUCCCCCUCCCUCAUUAGCCAAGAUAAUCACUUUCAUUCCCACUAAAUUUACUCUUAAGACAUUAAUAUGUAAGAGGGGACAUGAUCCUUAAAAUAGGGCUUUAAGUCCUAUCCUUCUCUUCCCAAUAUAAUGCUCCCAAUUUUUCAAACAUUUCAUUCCUUUUCUUCUUCCCUUAUCAGCCGACCACCCUCACACACUCUCUCCCUCUUUCUAGCCAAAGCUCUAUCUUCUUCUUCCUCAACUCAAACUCCAUGACCAACCAACUUCUAGCUUCACUCCAUCUCCUAUUUUUUUUUCUUGUUGUUCUAGCCGAGAGAAUGAGAGGGAGAAACCGAGAGGAGCUCUUUGUGGUGGCUGGCCAGAUUCUUGGAGAAGGAAAGAGAUCUCUUCGUGGUGAAGAUUGGACAUCCUAGCCUUGGGAAAAUCAGCUAGAACCUGAGGUAGUUCUCUAACCCAAAAGCUAGAGCUUUCAUGUUAUCUCUUGAAGAGUGAAUCUUGAAACUUCAUUGGGUUGAAUUCUUGUUGGAUUUGGUUAAUGUACGGGUUCUUGGGAUUCCCACAAAUGUAUGAUCUUGGUUGCUAGCAUGAUUUUUGAUUGGUAUAUGUGUGAAUAUUUGGAGUUGUGGCUUGAACUUUGGAAGGGAAGAACCUUAACAGAAAUCGGGAGAAAGAGGGGGAGAGAGAGAGAGGGGGGACCAAAAUGGUUUCUGUUUUCUCUAUUUUUCUUGGCUGUGUUUUCACAAAUUUAAAGAUUGAUUUGGGAGCUAAAAAUUUAAGCUUUAAGCUGUCAUUUUCUCUUACAAAAAAAAAAAAAAAACCCCUUCAAAUGGCGUUGCAAAAUGGUUCCAAAAGAAGGUUUCAAACCUGGAAAUUUCAAAUGAGAGUACGGUCCGAAAUUUCUGUGAUUAUUCGAAAAUGUUUGGGGCUCAAUUAGCCUUAGCACAUAACAUGAAAGUUGUAGAGAAUUGAGUUUAAAUUAUGCCUGUAAAGUUUCAGCUCAAUCGGAGCUGGGUAUCCUGUGAAAUGACAAAAUUGCCCCUGCUACCCUGUUUCUAUCAGAAAUGAUAAUCAGCCUCUGUAAUUGGUUAGUUUGACCGGGAAUAUUACUGAAUUGGUUGUCAAUGUCUUCUUAAGAAUUGUAGCCUUGUAUCUUAGCUUUGAAAUGGCUUUGGAAUCACCUGAAUCGGAGUUGUGUGUGCUGAGUUAAGAUUAACUGAAUCAGGACUAUCAGUAAUUGUGUCAGUGAGAAUUGAACCAAGAAACUUGGGCUAUUUCGGUAAAUUUGAUCUAGUUAGGGUGAGAACUGGGUUGAGAUGUCUUCACAAGAAUGGUAGAUCUAUGUCUUAGCUUCGAAACGGUAUAUUUUUUGUUUCAAUCCGAUAAGUGUAGCUCGAGUUGUGCUUAAAUUCCUAAAAGGAUUUGGUAAAUGGAUUUACGAACUGUACUUUCUUAUUAGGUGAGUGUGUACGUUAUCACACUCGCCAAAGGACAUGUGACUUUUCACUAUUUGAGUGACCUAUUUACCAAUGUGUUUAUGUGGUCAAUGUGGUUACUGGACGCUUGGUUUGAGGUGAUUAUUGUGAUUAUUGUGGCUGAACCCCUUGAGCAUUUGUUCGGGGUGACUAGCUUGAGGAUUUUAAUUGCUUUCUUGUUUUUGGCUUGAUGAUAGGUAGAGGUCUGGAGGUAUAUUGAGCUUUAGAUGCAUAUAUGUGAUAAAUCUUGCUUUAUUACAUGUUUGGCUUGUUAAUUAUUGCCAGAUAUUCCUUUAUUUGGAUAGAUGAACUUGUGUGUGUUUAAGUAUAGCAAGAGGAAAAAUUUUUGUUUUGAAUCUUUCAUGUUGGCCGAAAUUUUUGGGACAAAAUUUCAGAUUUUUGGAGCUUUUAUUUGAGUUAAAGUUGUGCCAAAAUAAUGGAUUCUAAGUGUAUUUGGGUUGAUUAAACCGAUUGGCUCUUCAAAGGAAAAAAAAGGAGUGAACUUGCUAAAGUGAAAACUGGAAAUCUGCUUUCUGGAACAACAGACCAGUUUCGGAAAAAAAAGUUAUAUUUUCAUGUAUACCACUCCAAAUCGAGUCCCAUUUGUUUUUUUUUUUUGAAACUAGACACAUAAGGUUACAAAUCAUGUAAAUUUCAGGGGCUAACUCAUUUUCUGUGAUUUUUGGUGUUUUUUUAAAGUCCGUUGGAAAAACGGAAUUUUACCUGCCCUGCAUUUUACUGUAGCAGUCUAUUGACGGAAACACUGGGCAAAAUUCGUAUGGAAUGUCAUCAAGGUGUCUUCUACAAAGUUUUAGCCCUUUCAAUUAGGUUUCCAACGGUAUCAACUAUGCAAAUUUUGGACUCGUAAAUAUUAAGUUACGAUUUUCUAAAGAUUUCUACCAUAAACCUCCAGUUUCCUGAUUUUUACAAUAAACAUGAAAACGACUUGAUAUUUUUGCUUGGCCUUGAAUAUGCACGUGAAUGAUCGUGAUUAUACAUGUCUCAGGUGAAUACGAGAACUCCGAAGAACCCGUUUAGCCGCUUAACUUUUUCUCUCUCAUGACUUUUGGUGAGUGUCAAAUGCAUGUUAAGUGUUUAAAUGAAAUGUUUCUCGUACUUGCUAGUUCAUGAGGGUAGAGUGUACUUUACCGCCCUUGUCCUCUAUUUCAUGAAAUUGCUUGCUUGAUAAGUGAUAAGUGUUACAUGUGAAUGUAAAUGAAAGUGUUUUCCGUGAGCAUUGAGCAGCAGAAUGUAUCACACCCUUUUAGGGUUGGAGGUACCGCUCAUCCCGUCUCAAUGCUAUGACCAAAUCUUGUCGAUUGGAGAUUCGUCUCAUCGACCCAAAAGUGAAUGGGGGGGGGAUGCCCCAACCCAUUGGCUAGCCUUGUAACUCGAGCCGGCAAGGGCUUGGUCGAGAAACUUGGUGAACCUUAGGCAGUGUUAUAACUUGAUCCAAAUAAGAUGUCUUGCUAGGUAUCCUUGUUAAGUGAUACCACCUACAAGCUUGUUUGGUUACGGAUCCAAGAGGGUGUCAUGGUGGCUGGAGGUAGUAAGUGGAGUUCUACAUGGAUAACUGUAAAAGUUGACGGAGGGUCAACUACCUGAGCUUGGAUAGCGCGUGGAUUAGCUCCUGAGAGCUCUCGUAUCCUUUUAAUUGUGAUUAAAUUCCUUACUUGCUAAAUGUUUCGAAGUUACUUGUUACUCAAGUUAUUGCUUUAUAUUGUGUCUUUGCUCGCAUGCUUGCAUGUUUUUCCCUUGGCCUCAUUGAGCGUCAGCUCACCCCAAUUUGUUUUCCUUAACAGGUUUGGAAGUGGAAGUUCUGAGGCUUAAUUAGUGACAAUCCCUUUGGGUAGAACUAGUCGUUAUCUUUAAUUCUGGGACUCCAUAGUGUAAAACUUAUGAUUAUUUUGGGCUUUCGGUAUUGUAAAAGUACAUUGAAAAUCUUGGAUGUAAUAUAGAAGCAUGAAUUGUUCUUUUAUAUUUUAGAGUACAUGAAUGUUUUAGUGGAGUAUUUCAUGUGAUAUUGGAGUUUAAUUUGUAAUUUACUUGAAGAUUGUAGUGAGUCCCGGCGAGAGUUGGGCAGGCGGUCUGCCGAACCCUUUGGUUCGCCUUAGGGGGAGGUGGGGUCGUCAUAGUUGGUAUCAGAGCUCUAGGUUUCAGAUCUCUGUAGUGUAUCCUAAGUUCUAAAAGUUGAGGAUGCCACACAGUGGGAUUCGGGUUCGUUUGAAUGUUAAGUGAAAAAGUGAAGUAGUGAGCAAUUGUGGUUUCGAUGGUUAUUAAGAUUCAAUAAUUGAGGAUUAUUGUGCUAGACUAGCAAGAGAGAAGAAGAUUGUAAGAGAUUAAACACUAUUUAAAAGAUAGUAAGUAAAUUUCUUGAAUAAUGGCAUUUGCUAGGAGGCGUUCUUGAUUUAAGGACUUAUGGGGAAAUAAAUGAUUAAUUUGUUUGGGAUAACCUUUAGUGCUUGAUCGUUGCCACUAGAUAUAUUUUAGAGUUGAUAUACCUUGUUCUUGCCUUGGGAACAUGACUGCAAUUAUGUCUUGGAAUUUGGAAGGCCUACCUUUUGUAGUACCUAGUUAAGUAUGUGGUGACUCGUGCUUGUUAAAGGAUAGAUAUUAUGAUGGAAUGCGGAACUUUAAUUGAAAAGAUAGUUGAUGUAGCUCUAAUGUUCAAAAUGAGGUUGGCCUUACCUAAGGGAAUUAAGCCCCCUCGCUCAGUUGCAAGCUAGACUAUGGAGCACGACCUUUUAUACCUUUUGUUUAUGAUAGUUGGGGUGAUGCUUGUGCUUUGGCCUGUAUAUUUUGUUAAGCAUGAUAUUUGUUCCCUUUUGAAGUAUUUGAAUGCUAUAAAUUCUAUACCUGAUCAUGUUGACUUGUUAAUUUGUUUGGUAGUACACAUGCAAAGUUUUAUUUUCAUUAUCGACUCAUGCAAUGACAUGCUCUCAUUUUGGUUGAUUGUUCUCCCUCUUGUAUGACCUUGUUCAUAAAAAAAAAAUUUGAUUUGUAUGUCAUCUGAUCUAUUGACUGUUCCUGUGAAAAUAUGAAGUGUGCUUUGAUUGCUUUUCAAGUUUUAAAUUCCAUUUUUCCUUCAUUGGACAUAUUUAGAUUUAUAUAUUUAUAUAUUUAUUCAUUUACUAGAGUUAUCCAUCUAUUAGUUAUUUAUUUAUUUAUUAUUUUUGGUCCUCCGUAAGAAUUAGAAAUAAAGGGUAGAAAGGAUCGAGACUGUGGGCCAGAGGGGCCAGGCAAACCCCAAAGCGUGGAAGAUAAUUGGGAAAUAAAGUUGAGGGUUAGUGAAUGAUGACAAAGAGAUAACUAGUGGAGUAUAUAUUGAAUUAUUAUAAUUAAAGAAAAAAAAAAGAGUAACUGCAAGGAGGUAAACUAGUGGAUAAGAUAAGCUGUUAUUAAGAAGUUUCAUUUAGUGCGAGUGUGACAAAAUUUAUGGUAAACUUUGGAGAUCUAAGACUUGUUAUAAUUAGGGUUGGAGUUUUGGAUGAGAUAGGUGUUUGAACUCAUUAGAUUUACAAGUUUAUGGUUAAAUUCAAUGAUUCCCGGUUAAUUGAGCUUGGGUUAUGGAAGAUAUUCCUUGGACUUUGAUUACUAGGCUAGAUGCCUCGGGAAUUCUCUAUGCUUCAUAGUGUAAAAUUGUGGUGAAUCUUGGCGGAUAAGAUAAGAGAGCUUGAUAUAUGUUGAUUAUUGGAUAUUGUGGUUAAUUCAUGAGAUUGAUGAAUUAUAAUAGGAAAGUGAUGAUAGGAUCGGUGAAAAUUUUUGGUAGUAUCUCUGCUGGCCGAACAUGUUUAGUUACCUUUAGCCCUGUUUUCUUACAAAUCAUUGGCAAAAUUUUGCUUAAUAUUUUAAACGUUGAUUCUUGAAAAUGAAAUUUGAAGUUGAAAGGAAAUAAUUUUUAAACCUGGUUUUGCUAAAAAUUUUUCCAAAAAGGAACACCGUACAGUUUUAAAAUUUGUGAUGCAUUGGUGUAAUAUAUAUAUAUAUAUAUACACAUAUAUACAUAUACAUAUAUCAUAAAAAAAAUCCAAAAUUUAGUUUCGUUUAUUAGAUUUAAAAGUUGACAAUGGCUCUUUUCACCGUGUAAAAUUUUCAAAUUUUCUUAAAUUCUAUGAGCAUCGGAAAUUUUCCUACGAUAAAUGAAAUGUCAAAUCCAUUCUUGCUUUUCCUAUUUGUUAAAGCUGUAGUUUAAGGUCAAGAUCCAUUUAUUUACAAAUUUAAUCUUGAAAGGAUGCCUUUUGGGACAAAUGUAGAACUUUUGAAUGGUAUAGGACUGGUGAUUUUUGGAUUUAUGGAACUUAAAAAUACAGACAAUUUUAGUUUGAAAUAAAAGUGUCCUUUUAAACCUUACGACCUUAAAUAUGAAAAUAUUGAUCCGAUUUGAACUUGAAAAGAGACACGAGAAAAAGUUAAGAUUAACUCGUCAAAGGAUAUUAAUGGUUCGAAACCGUUAAAAGAGUUAUACAGAUAAUAGAAGGAGAGAUUGAUAGAUAGUUUUGUAUAAUCCAAUGGGAUCCUAGUACUUGAUCUAAGUCGAAACCGAACGAGGAGAUGAGAUCUAUUGGUAUUUUGAUGGAUUGACCUAGUUGAGUAACUAGUAAGGUUCUCCCUUGUGAACUUAAUGAUUACUUUACAUAUAUCUUGUGAUUGGCCCUAUAGGCAUGUUUUAAACUUGUACGAAUAUUUGAACUUCCAAGUUUUGUAUUCAUUAUUUGUGGUGUGACCUGGAUGGAAUGAAAGUCCUUUCAAUUUUUGCUUAACCAUUACUGUGUAUAUAUCCAAUUACUUGUUGUUCCUUUUUACAAAAAAAAAAAUAUUUAUACAAAUGUAUAUACUCUGAACUCGCAUAAAAAUUGAAAAUCAGGCAGAGUUUGGGUUUGGACCUUUUCUUAGAAAUAAGAAUGAAUAUUGGUCGUGAAUUGGAGAGUAAAUAGUUAAGUUUUAUGUGGCAUAAAAGCUAAUUCUCAGAUUAGGUGUGAAGAGUAGAGGCGUUGGACCGAAGUUUAAGUAAAUAUGAACCUGCAUGUCUGCUUAUUUUCUUAAAAGCAUUUUAUUCUCAAAAGUGAUUUGUGGGGUUAAAUGAUUUUUCUUGAUCAAACGUCCAAAUAACAAAUGUUAAACUUCUUACCAAAAGUCGAAUGCAUUUAGAAAUUUUGACUAUCAAGAUCAGAACCAAUUUCUUUUCUUCUUGUCUUCCAUUCGAAUAGCCAUUUUAUUUAUAUAUAUAUAGACCACAAUUUUUCCAAAUGUGUAUUUGAUAUCCUGUUAUUAGUUUGGUUACGAAAGGUACGUGAAAAAGCUUUCCUCGAACAAAUAAGAUUUUCAGUUGGCCGUUUUGGGACAAAAGAAACUGGAUCAUUUCUAAAAUUGUUAAUUUUGAAAAUCGAAUACUAGUAAAUAAUUUUGGACAAUUUGAGUACAACCAUUUGGUGAGUGAAACCUUUUAUAGAAAAUAUAUCUUUGUACUCGAGUUUUGAACUACAUGAUUGAGUCAUUUGAUUUAGUCGAGAAAAAACAAAGUAAAUUUCGAGGACGAAAUUAUUUUAAGGAGGGAAGGAUAUGAGGGCCUCAAAAUUUAUUAUUUUAAUAUUAUUAUUAUUAUUACUAUUUCAUUUAUUUAUUUUAUUGUUUUAUUUAUUUUAUAUAUAUAUUUUUUGAAAAGUUAAAUAAUAAAUGUGAAAAUAACUAUAUUAUGUAUUUAUAUAAAAUUACAUGAUCUUUAUGUGCAUAGUUCACAUUUUCAUAAUUAAAUGAUUUUCAUUCGAACAAAAUUCAAAUGUUUGACCGACUAGUGCUAAGUUUAGUUUUUGAGCCGUGUCGAGGAAUUUAACUUUGGUGAAAGAUUAGUCUAUGAGUAGCUUUUAAAGAAUUAUAAAUGAGAUAGAACUAAGAUAGAUAAGAAAAGUGUAGUGGACAAAUUUAAGUGGAACAUAAGCAUUGGUCAAAGUUGGACAAUUUCCGCUAAAACUAAGUUUUAAUCUUGCCAUUGUUUCUUCCAUUUAAUUUCCUCCAAUUCACUUCAAUUUCUUUUCCUUUCUUCCUUAUUAUAGUCGAGAAUCCCCCUCCCUCAUUAGCCAAGAUAAUCACUUUCAUCCCCACUAAAUUUACUCUUAAGACAUUAAUAUGUAAGAUGGGACAUGAUCCUUAAAAUAGGGCUUUAAGUCCUAUCCUUCUCUUCCCAAUAUAAUGCUAUCAAUUUUUCAAACCUUUAAUUCCUUUUCUUCUUCCCUUAUCAGCCGACCACCCUCACACACUCUCUCCCUCUUUCCAGCCAAAGCUCUAUCUUCUUCUUCCUCAACUCAAACUCCAUGACCAACCAACUUCUAGCUUCACUCCAUCUCCUUUUUUUUUUUUUGUUGUUCUAGCCGAGAGAAUGAGAGGGAGAAACCGAGAGGAGCUCUUUGUGGUGGCUGGCCAGAUUCUUGGAGAAGGAAAGAGAUCUCUUCGUGGUGAAGAUUGGACAUCCUAGCCUUGGGAAAAUCAGUUAGAACCUGAGGUAGUUCUCUAACCCAAAAGCUAGAGCUUUCAUGUUAUCUCUUGAAGAGUGAAUCUUGAAACUUCAUUGGGUUGAAUUCUUGUUGGAUUUGGUUAAUGUACGGGCUCUUGGGAUUCCCACAAAUGGAUGAUCUUUGUUGCUAGCAUGAUUUUUGAUUGGUAUAUGUGUGAAUAUUUGGAGUUGUGGCUUGAACUUUGGAAGGGAAGAACCUUAACAGAAAUCGGGAGAAAGAGGGGGAGAGAGAGAGAGGGGGGACCAAAAUGGUUUCUGUUUUCUCUAUUUUUCUUGGCUGUGUUUUCACAAAUUUAAAGAUUGAUUUGGGAGCUAAAAAUUUAAGCUUUAAGCUGUCAUUUUCUCUUACAAAAAAAAAAAAAAAACCCCUUCAAAUGGCGUUGCAAAAUGGUUCCAAAAGAAGGUUUCAAACCUGGAAAUUUCAAAUGAGAGUACGGUCCGAAAUUUCUGUGAUUAUUCGAAAAUGUUUGGGGCUCAAUUAGCCUUAGCACAUAACAUGAAAGUUGUAGAGAAUUGAGUUUAAAUUAUGCCUGUAAAGUUUCAGCUCAAUCGGAGCUGGGUAUCCUGUGAAAUGACAAAAUUGCCCCUGCUACCCUGUUUCUAUCAGAAAUGAUAAUCAGCCUCUGUAAUUGGUUAGUUUGACCGGGAAUAUUACUGAAUUGGUUGUCAAUGUCUUCUUAAGAAUUGUAGCCUUGUAUCUUAGCUUUGAAAUGGCUUUGGAAUCACCUGAAUCGGAGUUGUGUGUGCUGAGUUAAGAUUAACUGAAUCAGGACUAUCAGUAAUUGUGUCAGUGAGAAUUGAACCAAGAAACUUGGGCUAUUUCGGUAAAUUUGAUCUAGUUAGGGUGAGAACUGGGUUGAGAUGUCUUCACAAGAAUGGUAGAUCUAUGUCUUAGCUUCGAAACGGUAUAUUUUUUGUUUCAAUCCGAUAAGUGUAGCUCGAGUUGUGCUUAAAUUCCUAAAAGGAUUUGGUAAAUGGAUUUACGAACUGUACUUUCUUAUUAGGUGAGUGUGUACGUUAUCACACUCGCCAAAGGACAUGUGACUUUUCACUAUUUGAGUGACCUAUUUACGAAUGUGUUUAUGUGGUCAAUGUGGUUACUGGACGCUUGGUUUGAGGUGAUUAUUGUGAUUAUUGUGGCUGAACCCCUUGAGCAUUUGUUCGGGGUGACUAGCUUGAGGAUUUUAAUUGCUUUCUUGUUUUUGGCUUGAUGAUAGGUAGAGGUCUGGAGGUAUAUUGAGCUUUAGAUGCAUAUAUGUGAUAAAUCUUGCUUUAUUACAUGUUUGGCUUGUUAAUUAUUGCCAGAUAUUCCUUAAUUUGGAUAGAUGAACUUGUGUGUGUUUAAGUAUAGCAAGAGGAAAAAUUUUUGUUUUGAAUCUUUCAUGUUGGCCGAAAUUUUUGGGACAAAAUUUCAGAUUUUUGGAGCUUUUAUUUGAGUUAAAGUUGUGCCAAAAUAAUGGAUUUUAAGUGUAUUUGGGUUGAUUAAACCGAUUGGCUCUUCAAAGGAAAAAAAAGGAGUGAACUUGCUAAAGUGAAAACUGGAAAUCUGCUUUCUGGAAUAUCAGACCAGUUUCGGAAAAAAAAAAGUUAUAUUUUCAUGUAUACCACUCCAAAUCGAGUCCCAUCUGUUUUUUUUUUUAAACUAGACACAUAAGGUUACAAACCAUGUAAAUUUCAGGAGCUAACUCAUUUUCUGUGAUUUUUGGUGUUUUUUUAAAGUUCGUUGGAAAAAUGGAAUUUUACCUGCCCUGCAUUUUACUGUAGCAGUCUAUUGACGGAAACACUGGGCAAAAUCCGUAUGGAAUCUCAUCAAGGUGUCUUCUACAAAGUUUUAGUCCUUUCAAUUAGGUUUCCAACGGUAUCAACUAUGCAAAUUUUGGACUCGUAAAUAUUAAGUUACGAUUUUCUAAAGAUUUCUACCAUAAACCUCCAGUUUCCUGAUUUUUACAAUAAACAUGAAAACGACUUGAUAUUUUUGCUUGGCCUUGAAUAUGCACGUGAAUGAUCGUGAUUAUACAUGUCUCAGGUGAAUACGAGGACUCCGAAGAACCCGUUUAGCCGCUUAACUUUUUCUCUCUCAUGACUUUUGGUGAGUGUCAAGUGCAUGUUAAGUGUUUAAAUGAAAUGUUUCUCGUACUUGCUAGUUAAUGAGGGUAGGGUGUACUUUACCGCCCUUGUCCUCUCUUUCAUGAAAUUACUUGCUUGAUAAGUGAUAAGUUUUAUAUGUGAAUGUAAAUGAAAGUGUUUUCCGUGAGCAUUGAGCGGCAGAAUGUAUCACGCCCUUUUAGGGUGGGAGGUACCGCUCAUCCCAUCUCAAUGCUAUGACCAAAUCUUGUCGAUUGGAGCUUCGUCUCAUCGACCCAAAAGUGAAUGGGGGGGGGGACGCCCCAACCCAUUGGCUAGCCUUGUAACUCGAGCCGGCAAGGGUUUGGUCGAGAAACUUGGUGAACCUUGGGCAGUGUUAUAGCUUGAUCCAAAUAAGGGGUCUUGCUAGGUAUACUUGUUAAGUGAUACCACCUACAUGCUUGUUUGGUUACGGAUCCAAGAGGGUGUCAUGGUGGCUGGAGGUAGUAAGUGGAGUUCUACAUGGAUAACUGUGAAAGUUGACGGAGGGUCAACUACCUGAGCUUGGAUCGCGCGUGGAUUAGCUCCUGAGAGCUCCCGUAUCUUUUUAAUUGUGAUUAAAUUCCUUACUUGCUAAAUGUUUCGAAUUUACUUGUUACUCAAGUUAUUGCUUUAUAUUGUGUCUUUGCUCGCAUGCUUGCAUGUUUUUCCCUUGGCCUCCCUGAGCGUUUACUCACCCCAAUUUGUUUUCCUUAACAGGUUUGGAAGUGGAAGUUCUGAGGCUUAAUUAGUGACAAUCCCUUUGGGUAGAACUAGUCGUUAUCUUUAAUUCUGGGACUCCAUAGUAUAAAACUUAUGAUUAUUUUGGGCUUUCGGUAUUGUAAAAGUACAUUGAAAAUCUUGGAUGUAAUAUUUAAGCAUGAAUCGUUCUUUUAUAUUUUAGAGUACAUGAAUGUUUUAGUGGAGUAUUUCAUGUGAUAUUGGAGUUUAAUUUGUUAUUUACUUGAAGAUUGUAGUGAGUCCCGGCGAGAGUUGGGCAGGCGGUCUGUCGAACCCUUUGGUUCGCCUUAGGGGGAGGUGGGGUCGUCACAAACUUACAGUCCAGAAAUUCUAAGGAAAAUGUAAGGACUACCUCAGAGAACAGGUUUGGAAUCUCUAAAAGUUCAUCUCAGCAGUUGAACCACAUUUCACACUACAAAGUAUCCCCUAUUAGUUCAUUCAGAAAUACUCAUUUCAAAGGUAGACCUGUUUCAACUACUGAAGCAGAACCUAGAAGAAUUUCAGCACAAGAAAUACAAUAUAGAAGGAACCAUGGCCUAUGCUUCAAGUGUGGAGAGAAGUUUGGGCAGGGACAUCAAUGCAAACUGGGCCAUCUGAACUUCCUGAUCAAUGAUGAGGGAGAAGAAUCUGAAUUCGAAGAUGCACUGGGAGAGCAGGAUGAAACCACAGGGAAUCCAGGGCAGAUCAUGGAGAUGUCCUUACACACACUGUCCGAGGCACUUAAACGAAAAACAAUCACACUGGUAGGAAGACUAGAUGGGGAAGAGAUGCUGAUACUGGUAGACACAGGCAGUUCUGAUAGUUACAUAAGCAGUGAGAAGGUAAUUGCCUUUGAUAUUCCUUAUAAAUUAGUCAAUCCUUUUUCUGUGGUUUUUGGGAAUGGGGCUUGUGUAACCAGCAAGGCCAUAUGUCCUAAGGUGGUAUGGGGAAUUAAUCAGCAUAGGUUCUGUUAUGACCUCAAAGUGAUGGAUCUAAGUGGAUGGGACAUAGUGCUUGGGGUGGACUGGAUGACUCAGUUCAGCCCUAUCACUUUUGAUUUCCACAAGCUGACUAUCUUCUUGCAAGAUCAAGGGGAAGCAGUGCACUUGCAUGGCCAAGCUGAAGACUGUGACUUAGAUCUAAUCAGAGGAGGCGACCUGAGGACAUUCAUUGAAUACAAGAGACAGUUGUGCAUGUCCAUGAGAUUGGGACAGGGUGAUCUGAUGCAGGGAAAUGACAUUCCUGCAGGAGUCCAGGGCAUCAUUGAAGAAUUUACAGAUGUGUUUGUAGCACCCUCUGAGUUACCACCAGCAAGAAGUAUAGAUCAUGAGAUACCACUAAAACCUGAGGUUCAACCCUUCAAGAUGAAGCCGUACAGAUACCCUCACUCCCAAAAGAGGGAAAUUGAACAACAGGUUAAGGAUAUGUUGCAGCAUGGAAUCAUAGUGCACAGUAACAAUCCUUUUGCCUCCCCAGUUCUGCUUGUCAAGAAGAAGGAAGGGACCUGGCAUUUUUGUGUAGACUACAGGAGACUGAACGAGAUGACCAUCAAGGACAGGUACCCCAUACCUAAUGUAGACGAACUGAUCAAUGAGCUAGCAGGAUCCAAAUACAAAUCAAAGUUGGACCUCACUUCAGGCUACCACCAAAUCAGGGUCAAGCCUAAGGAUACAUACAAAACUGCAUUUCAAACACACUGUGGCCACUAUGAGUUCUUGGUAAUGCCUUUUGUGUUAAGAAACGCUCCAGCCACAUUUCAGUCCCUCAUGAAUCAGAUAUUCCAGCCUUACCUGAGAAAAUUUGUUCUAGUUUUUUUUGAUGAUAUCCUAAUCUAUAGUCCUACAUUAGAGCUACACCAGCAACAUCUGAGGAUAGUCUUGACAGUAUUGAGGGAACAUAAGUUGUUUGUAAAACGUUCCAAGUGCUCGUUUGCACAGUCAACAGUGGACUACCUUCGUCACACUAUCAGAGAGAGUGAUUCAAGAAUAACCACACAAUGAAACGUAAUUUACCACAAACUUCAGAUACCAAAAGUAAUCAUGAAAUGCUUCAUGAUCCAAUCAACGCGAGAAUAAGUAAUUUUGACAGAAUAAUUAUUGACUUUCUUCAUCUCUUUAGUAUUAUUUAUUUUUCCAAUUUAUUGUUUAGAACAAAAAAAAAUAAGUCAAUUCAAGAUAUGAACAUAUGAAAGGCUCAACAGCUGGAUAAUACUCAUUAACGACAGAGGCUAUUAAUCCAAAAGGACUAAAAUGGAGUAAACUUUAUAUUCCAAAAGGCAUUUAUGGUGGGGGAAAAAGAUAGAAUCUAAUAUGGCAUUAUACGUCCUUUCAAACCUUAAUAACGAUUACAAAUAAUUCAUAAAGACGCCAAGACUUUUGAAAGGAUUUAGAUUUCGUUGCAAUUUAGCCUUUACUCAUGAAAGGGAUGGUUGGAUAGGAAUUCUGUAGCAUGCCGGUAGCAGCCAUCCAAAAAGAACUAGUCCAUUUGUGCACAAAAUAAAGUGAAUAUAAUGUGUGUGUGUGUGUGUAUUAAAAAGUAAUCAAUUGGGUUAGAUUUGAUGAUUUGUGAUUACAGUGUAAUCUUUUAUAUAUAUUUUGUAACUCUAUUAAAUCUAAUAUUUUUCAAAUCAAAUAUAUCUGUGACAUAUUCAAUGUAUUUUUUGACAUUGGUGCAGAUUACUUUGUUAAACAAAUCGUGCUGGAUGAUGUAAUGGCUGCUUCAGCAAGAAAUGAAGAGGGAGUUAGCAGAAAGGGAAAGAUGGGAGAGAGACUUGAGAGGGAAGAUAGAAAAUGCGGAAAAUGAGAGAACUGAAUUUGUUGUAUCUGAUAGCAUGCCCCUCACGUCUUACCUUUAGGCUUAUUCAUACAGGAUUCAUCCUCUAGAUCCUUCCAUGCCUUAGCUAUAACAGAAUGCUUAACAGAACGAUCACGCAUGCAUGCAUGCAGUGCAGUAACUAACUAGCCAACUAACUCUCUGAUAUGCUAACUGACUUCCAGAAAUGGAAACCAUGGCCACUACAUUAUUAGCUAUAAAUAACUAGGGAAUAUCUAAAAUAUCUAGAGGAAAUAUCCAGAAUAUCUAGGAUCAUUACAAUACCUCCCCCUCAAGAAUCCUAGUCACUAGGAUUGAGUUGGAAAUCUGGAAAUUGUGAUUGUAUCACUGUGAUAUCCUCCCAAGUUGAGUCUUCAGUGCCUAGGUUCAACCAUUUGAUCAACACUUGAGUUACCUUGUGUCUUUUCCUCAUGAUUUCACGAGUAGCAAUAACACUUUCAAGGGCAAUUUUAACCUGUCCAUCCGUAGUAGUCAAAGGUAGUUCUUGAGUAACUACAUGAUUCUUGGCUGAGGGCUUGAGUAAGGAGACAUGGAAGGUAGGGUGAAUCAAGGAGCCAGCAGGUAAUUCCAACCUAUAGGCUGCAUUUCCCACCUUCUAAAGAACUUUGUAGGGUCCAUAAUAUUUUGAAGACAAUUUCAGAUUCUUUUUGACUGCCACAGACGAUUGUCUAUAAGGUUGCAGUUUCAAAUAGACCCAAUCUCCCACUUGGAAACUCCUUUCACUCCUGUCCUUGUCCGCAAACUGUUUCAUUCGAUUUUGUGCUUUGAUUAAAUUCCCCUUCAGCAGCUCGUUCCAUUUUCUUCUGUCCCCUAGCCAUUGCUCCACAGCCGCUACUGGAGUCCCCAAGGCAUUGAUGCCUAGUUGAGAUGGUGGAUAUCCAUACAGAGCCUCGAAGGGAGUCAUUUUUAAGGCUGUGUGAUGGUUGGUGUUGUACCACCAUUCAGCAGCAGCUAGCAAGGACUUCCAUUUAUGGGGUUGCUGGAAACACAGGCACCUCAAAUUUGUCUCCACACAUCUGUUCAACCUUUUUGUCUGUCCAUCUGUUUGGGGAUGGUAAGCAAUAGAGUAGUGCAGCUCCGUGCCUAACUUCCCAAACAACUCCUGCCAGAACAAGCUGGUAAAUAGCCUAUCCCUAUCAGAUACAAUGCUCAGGGGUAAUCCAUGUAGCUUAUAGAUGUUUUCAAAAUACAUGUUAGCCACCGACUGUGCAGUAUACUUCGAUGGUAAUGCUAGGAGGUGAAAGUACUUGGUGAACCUAUCAAUGACAACUAGCAUUCCCUCAUACCCCUGAGAUUUAGGUAACCCCUCAAUGAAAUCCAUUGAAAUAUGCUGCCAUGCUUGUUCAGGAAUAGGUAGAGAUUGUAGCAGUCCUGGUGUCUUGCAAUUUUCUACCUUGCUCCUCUUGCAAACAUCACACUGUUGUACCCAUUGUUCUACUUCUCUUUUCAUUCCUGGCCAGAAGAAUGGUCCCUUUAAUCUUUGGUAGGUCCCCAGGUUGCCUGAAUGACCCCCAAUGAGAGAGUCAUGAAAGCAGGCUAUCAGUUUCUGUCUCAAGUUCCCUGAGGAACCAACGUACAUCCUGCCUUUAUACCUGAGUAAAUUCCCAGCAAAAGAAUAAUUUGGGAGAGAAUCAGGUGAAGUAGUCAGGCCUUCAGUCAACUUAGUCAUAGAACCAUCCCCUUGGUAACUCUCUAGGACUUCAGACAGCCAUGCCGGUUUCAUGACUGAGAUGCUAUGUGUAAAGCUGUCCUCUUCAUAGCAUCUUCUAGACAGUGCAUCAGCCACCAGGUUUUCAUUUCCUUUCUUGUACUAUAUUUCAUAAUCUAGGCCCAAUAACUUAGUGAGCCAUUUCUAUUGUAGGGGAGUAGUUAUCUUCUGUUCCAAUAGGUACUUUAAGCUCUGGUGAUCUGUCUUGAUGAUGAAGUGGCUUCCCAACAGGUAAUGCCUCCACUUGGACACAGCUGUAAUAAGGGACAACAACUCUUUUUCGUAUAUGGACAGUCCCAAAUUCUUAGGUCCCAGAGCUUGACUGAGAUAGGCAAUAGGCCUCUCUUGUUGCAUUAGGACUGCACCAAUAGCCUUCUGACUAGCAUAUGUUUCUAGAGAAAAAGGUAAAGAAAAGUUAGGAAGUGUUAGGACUGGUGUGCUACUCAUCAGCUACUUCAGUUUUUGAAAGGCUAGCUCAGCUUGUUCAUUCCAGUGGAAGUUUUCUUUCUUCAAUAACUCAGUGAGUGGUUUGGCAAUGAGUCCAUAUCCCCUCACAAACCUCCUGUAGUACCCUGUGAGUCCCAAAAAUCCUCUCAAUGCCUUUAGUGAUGUAGGGGUAGGCCAUUCUACCAUGCUCUUGAUUUUUGAGGGAUCUGCCUGCAUUCCAUCUCCACUGAUAAUAUGCCCCAAAUAUUCUAGUUGAGACUGUCCAAAGAUGCAUUUGGAAAGCUUGGCAAAUAGGGAGUGAGCUUUGAGUGUUUCUAGGAAAGUUUUGAGGUGCAAAAGGUGAGUGUCUGGAUCUGAACUGUAUAUGAGGAUGUCAUCAAAGAAAACUAACACAAACUUCCUCAGGUAAGGUUCAAAAACAUGGUUCAUCAGGCUUUGAAAUGUUACAGGUGCAUUGGUAAGACCAAAUGGCAUAACAGUGAACUCAUACAAUCCUAGGUAAGUUUUGAAGGCAGAUUUUGGGAUGUUAGUCUGGAGCAUUCUGAUCUGAUGGUAUCCAGCCCUUAAAUCAAUCUUGGAGAAGAUCUUAGCUCCAAACAGUUCAUCGAGUAAAUCAUCAAUGAUAGGUAUUGAAAAUUUAUCUUUGAUAGUCAGGUCAUUUAGUUGUCUGUAAUCAACACAAAAUCUCCAAGUUCCAUCUUUUUUUAACUAAUAGAACUGGAGAGGCAAACGGGCUAUGGCUAAACUGAAUAAUGCCACUACUGAGCAUGUCCUUCACUUGCCUUUCUAUUUCAUUUUUUUGGUUGUGAGGGUACCUAUAAGAUGCUAGCUUGAAUGGUUUGGCAUUUGGCACUAAGGGAAUUUGAUGGUCAUAGUUUUUGGAAGGGGGAAGGGAUUGUGGUUCUCCAAAUACAUCUUUGUAGUCUUCAAGUAAAGCACUUAGGGACUGUUGAAAACCAAUGUCUAGAUGAGUUACAGUGUUUACCUGAGUUCCCUUCAUUUUCAGUCUGCACGCGUGUUUCCAGAUUCUGGUGCUCAACCCCUCCUUCUCAGUACUAUUACUAGGAAGUUUGAGAACAGUCUCCUUAGACUCUCCAUGUAACAAGAUCCUCUCCCCUUUCUCAUCAAAGGACAUGUUCGGCUGCCUAAAGUCAAAGGUGAUGGGGCUGUGUGCAGCCAUCCAGUCUACUCCUAUAAUCACAUCAUAUGGCUCCAAGUUAAUGACAAACAUAUCAUGAGUGAACUGUUUACCUUGCAUUUCCCUGCUCAUAUUCGGAAUCAUCUUGUGACAAGUCAAGUGCUCCCCAUUAGCCAUCCUGACCCUGAAAGGCUUGAUAGAUUGGACCAGUUCUGGAUAGAGUUGUGCCACUGCCCCUUUGAUAAAAUUGAGUGCUUCCCCCAUCCACCAGGAUUGAUAGUGGAGUUUCUUUGAUCCUCCCCUGUAGCUUGAUGGUGUUGUAAGUCAUCUUCCCAGUCAGCGCAUGUAUCUCCAUUUCUACCCCCUUGGCCGACUGUGCUCCUUGGUACUCGAUCAUCUCCCCUUCUACCAGAUCCUCAGGACUAUCUUCUACUGCUACAAUCAGGUGGAUUUCCUUUUGCUUGCAUUGGUGGCCUGGUCCGAACUUUUCCCCACACCUAUAGCAAAGAUGGUGCUCCCUCCUGUACUGCAGCUCUACUGGUGUGAUUUUCUUGAAGUUCUGAGGAGUCUGUUUCUUUACAACAUUGGCAAUAAUAGGUUUGGUAUGUGGAAUGGUGUACUGCGCAACAGACUGUGGAGUAUUCCCCAAAGAGAGGGAUUUCGGAUGAUGUUUGUGCUUCUUGUGGUAGGCUUCAAAGGCAUUCUCUUGCAACCUGGCCAACUCAAAUGCUUUGGAUAAUGUCUUGGGGUCAUGAGUCUUCACCAUUGAUCUCAAUUCAUCUAGUAGUCUACUCAAAAAACAUGAAAUGUAAUAGUUUUCUGGAAGGUGUGGGGCUCGAAUCAUUACCUCUGAUAGUAGUUCCUCAAAUUUUUCUUGGUAGGCUAGGACUGUGGAGGAGAGUUGUAACUUAUUGAAUUCCUCCAUUGGAUCCAUUUGUCCCAAUGUUCCAAACCGCUUGCACAACUCUCCAGAGAACUCCAUCCAAUCCAUCUUGUUACCCCUAGUAGACUUGAAUCCCUGAUACCACACUUCAGCUUUACCUUCUAAAUGGAAUUCUGUCAGCUCCAUCCAUUGCUCCAUAGGAAUAUGCAGAAGCUGGAAAUACUUCUGAAGUUUUCUGAUCUACUUCCUAGGAUUGUUUCCUCUGAACACUGGUAUUUCCAGCUUAGGUGCACUAGCGUAGAAUGAACUUCUGACAUUCCUCUCUCCUUGCUCUCGAGUCACCAUAUCUGAGCUCCUGGAGUGACUUCCCUCUGGCGAUCCCAAUAUUCCUUUCUCAGGAUUUCCUCGGUUCAAACUGGAGAGCUGUUGAGAAAUGGCUACCAUGAAUGCAUCUAACUUAUUGUUCAGCUCCAUGCUUACUGCAUCCAACCUUUCCUCCAUGAUCUGUUUGUUUGCGGCCAUGGAUUCCAAAAUUCCUUGGAGUCUGCUGUCUUGCUUGCGUAGCUGUUCCUCCAUGGUCUUCAUUCGAGUUUCAUCUGCCAUUGUUAUAUUGAUUUCAGCUUCUUAGUCCAAGGACCGGAAGCUCUGAUACCACUUGUAAUGGCUGCUUCAGCAAGAAAUGAAGAGGGAGUUAGCAGAAAGGGAAAGAGGGGAGAGAGACUUGAGAGGGAAGAUAGAAAAUGCAGAAAAUGAGAGAACUGAAUUUGUUGUAUCUGAUAGCAUGCCCCUCACGUCUUACCUUUAGGCUUAUUUAUACAGGAUUCAUCCUCUAGAUCCUUCCAUUCCUUAGAUAUAACAGAAUGCUUAACAGAACGAUCACGCAUUCAUGCAUGCAGUGCAGUAACUAACUAGCCAACUAACUCUCUGAUAUGCUAACUAAUUAACUUCCAGAAAUGGAAACCAUGCCCACUACAUUAUUAGCUGUAAAUAACUAGGGAAUAUCUAAAAUAUCUAGAGGAAAUAUCUAGAAUAUCUAGGAUCAUUACAGAUGAUUUCUAACUAGUUUAUUAAUAAUAUUGACUUCUUUUUUAUAAAAAAAAAAGUAAUCAAGGAAAAAUGGGGAAUCUAACAGUCUAAUGCUUGCUUGCUUCUUUUUAUUGUUUGAAGUGAUUUUGGUGUCUUGCUAGUUUGUAAUUGAUUCAAGGUGGAUAGAAAGAAAUUGUUCAGAAAUGUGAAAUAGGGUAAGUAUCCCAGUUUGGUUUUGGAUUUUGAAAGUUAUAAAAACGAAAAUGAUGUCAGUGAUCCUCUUCAAUUUUUUAUCACCAACCAAAGCAAUGAUUUUUAAGAAUAAAAAUAACAUUUGAAAUCAAAUCACAAUCUUUAAAGAGAGGAAAUAGAUGGUUGAGGGCGAAAUGGCCAUGGUGAUGAAUUGACAUCAUGGAAAUCAAACUGUGCUUAGUAACGCCAAAACGUCACCAUAACUCACAAAUGAGUGACUAAUGUGAUGCCACAUUAAGGCUUCAAUCUACUAUUACAAGUUUUACUAUGGACUAAAUUGUGUGGUAAAUUUAGUACUACUAAUAUUAAGUUUAUGUUUAAAACAAGUAAAUUUCAAUAAUUUAGGUAACUUACUCUUUAAAUAACAAAUUUUACUAAAAUUUUAACAAAAAUUGCCACUUUUUCUUCGAAACUUACCAUUUUCUAUAUAAAACUUGCUAAUUUUUCAAGUAAAACAUAUGAUUUUAUUAGCAAAUCAUACCACUUUUUUUAGUAAAAUUCACUAAAUGGUAAGUUUUCAAAAAAAAACUUACCAUUUUUAAUGCAAAUCUUACUACUUUUUUCAAGCAAAAUGUAUGAUUUUAUUAACAAAUGUUACCAUAAUUUUCGUAAAGUUUACUAAAUCAUUAACAAAUCUUACCAUCUUUCAAGCAAAACUUAUCAUUUUCUAUACAAAACUUACUACUUUUUGGAGGCAGAACUUAUGACUUGAUUAUUAAAUCUUACCUUUAUUUAGGAAUAAUUUUGGAAACCUCCCCUGAGCUUUAUGCUAAUAUCACAUAACACUUCUAAAUUUUAAAAAUAUCACUAGCCUUCCCUUGAGUCAUAUUUUUUUGUAAGAAUUUGACCCCUAUAUCAAAAAUAAAUACUCCUAACAUAAUUUUUUAAAGGAAAAUAGAUAUAUUUUUCUUCUAGUUUUACACUUUUGUGUUGUCUUAUUUUUUAAUUUUCUGCCAAAUUGAUUUUAAGAUAAGAUUUGAAUGAGAAAGACUUAAAAUGAUUUUUUUUAAGGGGAGAAGGUGUUAAGUGCUAAAGCAAUUGCCAGAAUAGCGAUUUUUUUAUUUUUGGUUUAUCCUAGAUUUUUUCCUAAAUAGUUAUUAGAAUAACAAAGAAAUUAAAUUUAAUAUAAGAUUGGUAUAGGAAGAUCAAAGAAGGCAGAGAAGACAGAUAUUUGAAUACAAAACUAAUGGUUUUAGUAGGCAUUUCUAUGAAUUCAGAUUUAUUAUCUUCUAAUUUUUGUGGCAUAAAUAAUUAUUUGAAUAACAAUUAAAAUUUGAGAUAAGGUUGCCAUAGGAAGCUUGGGAGGGGGAGAAGGGUAUUAAAGGCAAAAAAUGAUUAUUUUAGUAGACUUUUCUUAAUAAUUUCCUUUUGUUCAAAUUUUUUUGCACAAGUAAUUGUUAAAAUAGUAAAGUUAAAUUAAUAAAUGCUUGGCAUAAUACUACAAAAUAAAGGGGUGUUUAAGUGAAAAUAGUAAUUGAUAGAGCAAUGUUUGGGCAUCUUAUGCGCUGUUAUGUGGUCAUAAUUUUGGCUACUUAUUAUGCUAAGUAUUGAGGUUUUGUUCAUGUUUGAUAUUUGUGUAAAUUGUAGGCAGUUGGUGUCAAAAAGUGAUCUCUGAAGGUGAAUUUCCAGAAGACUUUUAUUUCAGGGCGUGCCCACGCCAAAAACUGUUCAAGAGACGCCUCAAAGUCGGACCAUGGGACUAACUAACUAACUAAACUCAUCCUUAUUCCUGCGGGAUGCGGUUGGAAGUGCGUCAAAACAAAAAGGCAGCAAUUUCCAGUGGAUUUGGUAACAACCAAUAAGGAGGAUGCGGGGAAUUGGGGAAAUAUUUGGAAAAGCUACUAUUUUCUCGUGGGCCAAGAAGGGUGUAACAGACAAGUAGUUUUAGUCUUGCAGAUAGCUUUUUAGUUUCUUACGUUUUCUUUGGAGGGCUAUCUUCUGGGAACUGGCAAAAAGCCAGAUUCAUGUGGGAUUAGGAAAUUAUCUUUAGUUUUGUUAUCCCUUGGUAGAGGAUUUGCUCUCUGUUUUGUUAUUACAAUUUUCUUUAGACCUUUGCUUUACUUUUUCCGAAUGGACACAAAACAAAAAAAGAAGCAAGACAUUUUCUUUUGUUUCUUCAUCACUUCAUCUUUCCCAACUCUCUUGUGAUUGUGUGGAUGGAAUCAAUCAAAUCCCGCGAGAUUGAUAUGAUGAGGAGCGGUUAGGUUUCUCUUCUACCCAAAGGUCGACGCGAAGGCACGGUCCAUAACAUCUGUGAGAUUUAAUCGAACUUUCACUAGUUCUUCCAGUCCGUUACUAUUCGUGUGUUUCCUGGAUUAACUGUUUAUGAUUAUUUUAUUAAUUGAGUAUCAACGGCAGGACAUUUAAUUUAAUCUAAUAGCCUACUGUCACGUUAACUAAAUUGAAUCCGUAAUUAUUCGUUUAGUUGAUAACUAGUGACAACCAUCAUAAUUGGCUUUAUGUUAGGGAAACGUAAGAUCUAGUUUAAAUAAACCCUCUUAGCGUGUUUAUUGGUUAGGGUUGGGUUUUUCUAGUUUUAAUGCAACCGGAUAAUUAAAUUUAUUGGUUAGGGUUGGGUUUUUCUAGUUUUAAUGCAACCGGAUAAUUAAAUUCCUACGAUCGUACCUAAAGCUGUUUUCUAGUUAGAGAAACAGUCAACGGUCGUACCUUGGCUGUCGAAAAAGUAAGGAAGAACUGGCUGUCAGAGCUUGUUGAUAGCUAUAACUAACCUAGUGACGAAUGAAUGAAAUAUCUUUGUAUCGAUGAUCAUUUAAUUGGACCGCGCCUAAAAAGUUGAUCCUUUGGGUAGAAUUUUACUAAUUGCUAUUUUUAGUGAAUUGUACUUGGUGAGUUAGCUUUUGAAUUUUGUUUAUUCUAUUUUCUUUUUCAGUCCAUUAAAUAUUCCCCAAUUUUGUUCUAUUGACUUGGAAAGAAACAAGUUCCUACCCGUUCCCUGUGAAAUCGACCGUACUUGCCAUUGUAUGCAAAUUUAAUAUUUUUGUAGACAAAUCUUGUAUAUCGAAUCAAGCAUACUCUUUGGGGAGACAGGGUGAAUAUAGUAACCCAUUGCACAUCUAGAGUCACUGCUCCAGUACUUAGAUUUGUUCUAUAAUUAAUUAUGGUAGUAAUUAGGACUUUUUAGUAAUUAUUAUUGCACAGGUUCGACACCUGUCAAUUUUUGGCGGCAUUGCUGGGAAGAAAGUGUCGACAAACUGGUGAACAUGGGAUUCUGGCUUACAAGGCAUGCCCACGCCUUGCAAGACGCCCUUUCAAAAAAAAAAAGAAAGACAAAAAGAGAGAGAAAAGAGUUUCGACACUUGCGCAGUAGGUAUAGCAAAUGGAAAUGCCUUGCUUGUGGAAUUUCUCCAGUAAAGCGUUGAGGUUAUGUAGUAGAUAUCGGACAUUCUCUUGACAUAGUGCACCCUCUCUUUACCUCCUUAUCCCGCCUUUCACCCAAGCCCUAUUACAACCCUAUUAAAGUCCCUUUGAUUUAUGUAUUGAGUUCACUUUUGAGUGGUGGAGAUGUGAUAAAUGUGCAAGCCUAUGGUAAUGUCAUUCCGUGGUGUUGAUUUGAGCGUUCCUGGUAUCUAUACAUUUUCUUGAAAGUGAUGAGUAUUACUACUCAUACUCUUUGGAUAACUACCUAUCCAGUGUGCUCUAACUUUGGCGACAUUGUCAGGAAUGCAGGAUGCUUGUGUUAGUGUAGAUCACCGCAUAGUAGUUCCUUUCGUGAUUGAACUUCUGAGCUUCAAAAUGCUUGAGGACAAGCAUUGCCUAGGUGUGGGGGGAUUUGAUAGAGCAAUGUUUGGGCAUCUUAUGUGCUGUUAUGUGGUCAUAAUUUUGGCUAUUUAUUAUGCUAAGUACUGAGGUUUUGCUCAUAUUUGAUAUUUGUGUAAAUUGUAGGUGGUUGGUGUCAAAAAGUGAUCUCUGAAGGCGAAUUUCCAGAAGACUUUUUAUUUCAGGGCGUGCCCACGCCAGAAACUAUUGAAGAGACGCCUCAAAGUCGGACCGCGGGACUAACUAACUAACUAAACUCAUCCUUAUUCCUGCGGGAUGCGGUUGGAAGUGCGUCAAAACAAAAAGACAGUAAUUUCCAGUGGAUUUGGUAACAACCAAUAAGGAGGAUGUGGGGAAUUGGGGAAAUCUUUGGAAAAGCAGCUAUUUUCUCGUGGGCCAACGAGGGUGUAAAAGACAAGUAGUUUUAGUCUUGCAGAUAGCCUUUUAGUUUCUUACGUUUUCUUUGGAGGGCUAUCUUCGAGGAACUGGCAAAAAAGCCAGAUUCACGUGGAAUUGGGAGAUUAGCUUUAGUUUUGUUAUCCCUUGGUAGAGGAUUUGCUCUCUGUUUUGUUUUUACGAUUUUCUUUAGACCUUUGCUUUAUUUUUUUUGAACGGACAUGAAACAAAAAAAGAAGCAAGACUUUUUUUUUGUUUCUUCGUCACUUCAUCUUUCCCAACUUUCUUGUGAUUGUGUGGAUGGAAUCAAUCAAAUCCCGCGAGAUUGAUAUGAUGAGGAGCGGCUACAUUUCUCCUCUACCCAAAGUCGACGCGAAGGCGCGGUUUAUAACAUCUGUGAGAUCUAAUCGAACUUUCACUAGUUCUUCCAAUCCGUUACUAUUCGUGCAUUUUCUGGAUUAACUGUUUAUGGUUAUUUUAUUAAUUGAGUAUCAACGGUUGGAUAUUUAGUUUAAUCUAAUAGCCUACUGUCACGUUAACUAAAUUGAAUCCGUAAUUGUUCGUUUAGUUGAUAACUAGUGACAACUAUCAUAAUUGGCUUUAUGUUGGGGAAACGUAAGAUCUAGUUUAAAUAAACACUCUUAGCCUGUUUAUUGGUUAGGGUUGAAUUUUUCUAGUUUUAAUGCAACCGGAUAAUUAAAUUCCUACGGUCAUCCCUGAGGUUGUUUUCUAGUUAGAGAAGUGGUCAACGGUCGUACCUUGGUUGUCGAAAAAGUAAAGAAAAACUGGCUGUCAGAGCUUGUUGAUAGCUAUAACUAACCUAGUGACGAAUGAAUGAAAUAUCUUUGCAUCGAUGAUUAUUUAAUUGGACCGUGUCUGAAAAGUUGAUCCUUUGGAUAGAAUUUUACUAAUUGCUAUUUUUAGUUAAUUGUACUUGGUGAGUUAGCUUUUGAAUUUUUGUUUAUUCUAUUUUCAUUUUCAUUCCAUAAAUAUCCCCCAAUUUUGUUCUAUUGACUUGGAAAGAAACAACUUCCUACCCAUUCCCUGUGGAAUCGACCUUACUUGCCGUUGUAUGCAAAUUUAACACUUUUGUAGACAAAUCUAGUAUAUCGGAUCAAGCACACUCUUUGGAGACAGGGUGAAUAUAGUAACCCAUUGCACAUCUAGAGUCACUACUCCAGUACUUAGAUUUGUUCUAUAAUCAAUUAUAGUGGCAAUUAGGACUUUUUAGUAAUUAUUAUUGUACAGGCUCGACACCUGUCAAUUUUUUGCGUCGUUGCCGGGGAACGGUGUUUUGGUUAAUUUUGUUUCUUUUCAAGUUAUUUUCUUUGGAUUUGUCUGGCACUUUUCUAGUUUAUGCCUCGUUUUUCUCGUACAUGUGAAUUGAUUUUCGACCUGGAAGUAAAGAAGAUUGCGCGCCGAACUAGGAAAGAAACUAAACAGCUCAGAGAGGAGCAAUCUAGCAUUGCAUCUCAGAUGCUGGAUCCAGAGGUUGAGUCAACAGAUUCGAGUGGUGAUAAUUCAAGUGACUCAGGCCAAGAGGACAUCCCUAUGGCGAAUCCAAGAACACUAAAGGAGUUGGCUGCUCCGGAAUUGACCCAGCAGCUUUUGUGCAUUACAUUUCCAACUCUAGCUGAGAAUACCUCCUUCGAACUGAAGUCAGAGUUAAUUCAUCUCUUACCCUCAUUCCAUGGCCUCUUGAGUGAGGAACCCCAUAAACACAUCCAGGAGUUCGAUGUGGUAUGUUCUAGUAUGAAACCUCCAGGGAUUACUGAAGAGCAGAUCAAACUUAGAGCAUUCCCUUUCUCCCUCAAGGAUGUAGCGAAGGAUUGGUUAUACUACCUACCUGCAGGUAGUAUCAUAACAUGGGCCCAACUGAAAAAGAAGUUUUUGAAAAAAUUCUUCCCGGCAUCCCGGGCUGCAAGUUUGAGAAAAGAGAUAUGCAGCAUUAAGCAGUAUCCCAGGGAAUCCCUAUAUGACUAUUGGAAAAGGUUCAAUAAGUUGUGUACUAGAUGCCCACAGCAACAAAUUAGUGAACAACUAUUGAUCCAAUACUUCUAUGAGAGACUUCAGUCAUCUGAUAGAAAUAUUAUUGAUGCUGCAAGUAGGGGAGCACUGGCAAAUAAGACACCGAGAGAAGCAUUGCUGCUUAUUGAAGCAAUGGCAGAAAAUUCUCAACAGUUUGUGUUAUUCUUGGUUUUGAUGAUCACAAAAGUUCGUUGAAAUGUUUAUACAGACCAAGAAAGUGAACACUUUGAUCAGGCCUGAUGGAACAAAGUAAGCAUAUGUUCGAUUAACUCCAGACUACGAUGCUUUGGAUGUGGCAAACAAGAUUGGAAUAAUAUAAACAAAUUUAGUCAUUGUUUUGUUCCGAUCAAAGAUACUGUCUUUUAAGUAUGACAAUUUUGUUAGUCUUGGUUCCUUGAAAUGUUUUAUCUAACUUUCUUCAAAUAUAAGUGUUGUUGCCUAUCAAAGAAUCAGGUACGAAUAUGUCGUGAGCAAAAACAGGACACUCAUGUCGGACGGCCGAAAGGAAUCUGUCGGACGUCCGAAGGGAUGAAGAACAUCAGGAAGGAGUUUCUGUCGGACGCACAUCGAUCGUGUCGGACGUCCUAAAAAUUCCACAAAGCUUUGAUGACUCUCUGCCAAGACACUGUCGGACGCUCGCAAGGAAGCAUCGGACGUCCUGAAGGAUCGGACGCAUGCUUCGGACGAACAUCAAUAUCAUUGGACGUCCUAAAAAUUCCUCGAAGAUUUGAUAACUCUCUGGACGACGUUCGAACACUGAAGCUCGGACGAUAAAAUUCCAUCGAACGUCCGAACUUCAAUUUGGCUGUUUUUCGGACGAUUGGUUCGGACGAUAAUUUGAUCGUCGGACGUCCGAAAGCCCCAACGGCUAGCUGACUCUUCAUCUGCCUUCUAUCCGUUGGAAGCUUUAAUGAAGCCCAUUUCUGUUCCCCUUUAAAAACAAACUGUUCUGAACGAAGUAAGAACUUUUGCACACUUGGUCUACAAGAUCUCAAGAGAUAUUUUAGCUAGAAAAUAGUCUCCAAAGUUAGAUUUGUUCUCUAAGUGGUGUGAACUUCUGGUGAGCUUUUCUCUUGUGGUUGAAAGUUUCAUUAGUGUAGCUUUGUUGAGGGUUAUCUGAGUGUUUGUAAAACUUCUUAGCUUGACUAAGUGAGGUUUAGGGCAAGGAGGAAGUGCUCCCUCCAUUGUACAUCUAGUUGAUCAUAUUUCAUCAAAGAGAAGUUGCUCAACCUUGUGAUUGGUCUUCAAGUUUAAGGAAAGCUUGGUAGACAAUCGGUUUGAUUUCCUAUUUUACUUUUUGUUUAAUAAAAUUCUCAUUGCUUAUAUAUACUUAUUUUUCUGAUCAAUAUUGCUAUUGUCUUCUAAUCUACUUGGUUGAUCUUUACUAGAAAAGAAGGUAAAUUUUUAUUAAAGAAAAAGUGCAUAAAUUUGGUUAAGGUUUUAAUCAACCCAAUUCACCCCCCCUCUUGGUUGUCUUUGGGACUUACAAUUGGUAUCAGAGCUUGGUCUCCUUGAGAUUAAGCUCUAACGGCUUGGAGUAAAGAUGACAACCAGUCAUGCUAUGUUUGUUGAGGGGCAAUCUGUUACUAGGCCUCCCAUGUUCAGUGGCUCCAACUAUGUUAGCUGGAAAGAACGGAUGAUUAUCUUUUUGUAAUCUAUUGAUAUUGAACUAUGGUUUAUUGUGAGUGAAGGACCGCAUGAAGCUAACUUUCUUGAUGCAGAUACAGGGUUGCUUCGGCCAAAAAUGAGAGCUGAAAUGAAUGCUCAAGAUAGGACUAACCUCACAUUGAAUGCCAAGGCCAUGAAUGUUCUUUAUAGUGCCCUAGAUUCAAAUGAAUCAAUUAGAGUAAAAGGCUGCAAAUCGGCCAAAGAAAUGUGGGAUAAACUAAGAGAAAUCCAUGAGGGUGGUGACAACGUGAAAGAACAGAAAAAGGCUAUCUUGGUCACAAAAUAUGAAUCAUUUAGAAUUGAACCUCUUGAGGAUAUUGACAAAAUGUAUUGCAGGUUCACUGACUUGAUCAAAGAUCUCGAGGUGUUGGGCAAAGAGUACACCUUGGGAGAGAAGAACAGGAAAAUUCUCAAUGCGUUGGGCAAAGAAUGGGAAAAUAAAGUGACUGCAAUAGAGGAGGCUAAGGAUUUAAGUUCUGUGGCUAUUGAAUCUAUCAUUAACUCACUAACCUCUUAUGAGUUGAAACUGAAAUCUAAAGUGCAGGAGGAAGAGGAAGCUAGAGCAAAGAGAAACAUUGCUCUAAAGACUACUCAAGGUGAAGAUGAUACAGCUCACUUGGAUGAUGAAGACUCGGAUGGUGAUGAUAAUGAUCUUGCUCUCAUCACCAGAGGUUUCAAGAGAAUCUUGAAUAAAAGAAAGUUUAGAAGGGGAGGACCUAGCAAUCAAUUCCAGAAUCAGCCAUCUAUCGCAAAGUACAAAGGAAAACAGGAUUUCAACAAGAAACAGUUGGACAAAUGCUUCGAAUGUGGACAGCUUGGACACUAUGCAAAUGAAUGCCCCAUGAAGAAGAUGAAAGAUGGAAAAGCUGAUCGGAAGCCAAGAUUCAACAACUUUCAGAUUACUUGGAAUGAAUGCAACUCCGAAGGGGAAGUAGAAGAAGAAGAAGAAUCAGCUCAAAUGGCCUUCAUGGCUAUUGGAAAUAAUGAGGUAACUUCCACACAUUCUCAAUCUGAAAGUGAUGAUGAUGAAGAUGAUGAUCUUGAAUCCUUUGUUGAAAAACUGCAUAAUGCCUUGAAGGAAUCUUAUGAUAAAAACAAGCAGUUAAAACAGAAAAUGGCUUUUCUCAUUCAAGAAAAUGCAAGUCUUUUUCAACAAAAUAAACAACUAAAGACUGACAAUGAAAGUCUUGUAAGAGCCGGAUGUAAUGUUCAAAAUGAGCUUGAUAGAAAGACAAAUAUUUGUGAAAUGCUGAAGGAAAGACAUGGUGAUUUGAAAAAAAGAAUGGACAACUUGGAUGAGACUUUGAAAGCAAGAAAGCAGGAGUUUAUCAAAAGGAACAUGUCAUCUACACAUCCUACUACUUUUCAAAGAACAUUUGCACACAACAAAAAUGCACAUGGUUUCACAACAUAUAGAAGAGGUGGAUUGAGAUAUGUCAAACCAGUACAUGUUAAGGACUCUUCCAUUAUGUGUGGUUUUUGUUGUCAAAGAGGGCAUUUGAAAGGUGAUUGCUAUGUGAAAAGAAAUCUGAACAAAGGGAUGAAAUGCAUGUGGUUAGUUAGAUACAAUGCUAACUAUUGCGGACCCAAAAAUUAAAAUGGGUACCAAACACUUUCUCUUUUCAGGAAAAAUGCUCAAACAAGUCCAAAUGGUUUAUUGAUAGCGGUUGCUCAAGGCAUAUGACCGGUGAUCCCUCUUUGUUCAUAAAGCUGAAAUCAAAGUCAAGUGGAAAAGUGACAUUUGGUGAUGAUGUGAAAGCUAAGACAAUUGGAAUAGGUGAUGUUGGUAAGGAUGGUGAUACUUUUGUCCAUAAUGUGCUCUUAGUUGAUAACUUAAGUUAUAACUUGCUUAGUGUUAGUCAAUUGUGUGAUAAAGACUUGAAUGUGUUGUUUAAAAAACAUGAAUGCAUUGUGCUUGAUUCCAAAUAUAAUAUUGUGUUCAAAGGUAAGAGAUUCAACGACAUAUAUAUUGUGGUUCUUGAUAAAAUUGAUUCUUCUAGCUUAAAAUGUCUUAAAGCUUCAAAUGAAGAUCCUUGGUUGUGGCAUAGAAGACUUUGUCAUUUUAACAUGAAUUUACUAAAGGAAAUUUCGAAAAAGGAGUUGGUUAGAGGCUUGCCAAAAAUCAGUUUUGAUAAGGACAAAAUAUGUGAUGCAUGUCAAUUUGGGAAGCAAACAAAAAAUUCCUUUAAACCUAAGAUGUGUGUAUCUACUUCUAAACCUUUGGAACUCUUGCAUCUUGAUUUAUUUGGUCCCACUCAAAUUACUAGCUUGGGAGGUAAAAGAUAUUGUUUUGUAAUUGUUGAUGAUUAUUCUAGAUACACUUGGGUGAUAUUUCUUGCUCAUAAAGAUGAUGCCUUCAAGAAUUUUACUUCAUUGUUUGCUAAAAUGCAAAAUCUGCUUGGGUUAAAAAUUGUUAGGAUUAGAAGUGAUAAUGGGACGGAAUUCAAGUAUUGUGGUUUUCCAGAAUUUUGUGAUCAUAAUGGUAUAACACAUGAGUUCUCUAUUGCAAGGACUCCACAGCAAAAUGGUGUUGUAGAAAGGAAAAACAGGACUCUUCAAGAGGCUGCUAGAACUAUGUUGAAUGAAUGUAGGUUGCCUAAAUAUCUUUGGGCUGAAGCGGUAAACACUGCAUGUUAUGUGAUGAAUAGAAUACUCUUGAGACCUAUUUUAAAGAAAACUCCUUAUGAGCUGAUUUUUGAUAAGAAACCUACGGUUGGUUAUUUCAAAGUAUUUGGUUGUAAAUGCUUUAUUUUGAAUCUAAAGGAACAUCUUGGUAAGUUUGAUAAAAAAUCUGAUGUAGGAAUAUUUUUGGGGUAUUGUGAGAAUAAAAGACGAUAUAGAGUUUUUAAUAGAAGGACUCUUGUGAUUGAAGAAGCUAUACAUAUAACAUUUGAUGAAACCAAUGAUGAUAAUUCCAAAAGUUCGUGUGAGGAUGAUGAUGUAGGUGUUCGAGAAGCAAUGAAAAACCUAUCAAUUGGAAAUGAAGGAAGCUCUAAACCAGCAGCAACUGAAAUGGAAAAUGAAGUUCAUAAUGAUCAAGAAGAGGAAGAUGAAGACAAAAAUGAUGAUCCACUCAAAGAUCUUCCCAAGGCUUGGAAAUUCAGCCAAAAUCAUCCAAAAGAGCUUAUAAUUGGUGAUCCAUCCGAGAAGGUAAACACUAGUUCCUCAUCUAGAAAAUUGAUUGACAAUUUUGCUUUAGUUUCUCUUUUUGAACCCAAAAAUAUCAAUGAUGCUUUAAAGGAUGAAAACUGGAUUUUGGCAAUGCAAGAGGAACUUAAUCAAUUUGAGAGAAAUGAAGUUUGGACACUUGUUAAUAGACCUCAAAAUCAACCUAUCAUUGGCACAAAGUGGAUUUUUAGAAAUAAGUUGGAUGAUAAAGGUGUUGUUGUAAGAAAUAAAGCCAGAUUAGUUGCUAAAGGAUAUGCACAAGAAGAAGGAAUUGAUUUUGAUGAAACAUUUGCUCCCGUAGCAAGAUUAGAAUCUAUUAGAAUGCUUCUUGCUUUUGCAUGCUUUAAAGGCUUCAAAUUGUUUCAAAUGGAUGUUAAAAGUGCUUUUUUAAAUGGUUUUAUUGAUCAAGAAGUAUAUGUGGAUCAACCCCCCGGUUUUGAAAAUACAAAAUUUCCAAGUCAUGUGUUUAAACUAUCUAAAGCUUUAUAUGGUCUAAAACAGGCUCCAAGAGCUUGGUAUGAAAGACUAAGUGGUUUUUUGAUUGAAAAUGGUUUCAAAAGGGGUGUUGUGGACACCACACUUUUUACUAAGCAAGUGUUGAAUGACCUUCUUAUUGUGCAAAUAUAUGUUGAUGAUAUUAUUUUUGGUGCUACUAAUGAGUAUCUAUGUAAGGAGUUUUCCACCACUAUGCAAAGUGAAUUUGAAAUGAGUAUGAUGGGAGAAUUAAAUUUCUUCCUUGGACUUCAAAUACAUCAAGCUCUUGAGGGAAUUUUUAUAAAUCAAGCAAAAUAUACCAAGGAAUUGUUGAAAAGGUUUGGCAUGGAGGACUCAAAGCAAGUUGGAACUCCAAUGUGCACUUCUACAAAGCUUGACAAAGAUGAAGAAGGUAAUCAUGUGGAUGAAAAGCAUUAUAGAGGUAUGAUCGGAAGCCUACUCUAUUUAACCGCAAGUAGACCUGAUAUUAUGUUUGCUGUUUGCUUGUGUGCUAGAUUUCAAUCUUGUCCAAAAGAAUCACAUUUGAAUGCUGUAAAAAGGAUUUUUAGGUAUUUGAAAGGUACAUUAGACUAUGGUCUUUGGUAUGCUAGAUCUAAUGAGUUUGCACUAUAUGCUUAUUCGGAUGCUGAUUUUGGAGGUUGUCGUGUGGAUAGAAAGAGUACUAGUGGAACUUGUCAUUUUCUUGGAAAUUGUUUAGUCUCUUGGUUUAGCAAGAAACAAUGUGCAAUCUCUUUGUCUACAACCGAAGCGGAAUAUAUUGCCGCUAGUGCAUGUUGUGCUCAACAUUUAUGGAUGAAGCACACCUUGAAUGAUUUUUGAUUGUUGUAUGACUGCAUGCCUGUAUUCUGUGAUAAUACUAGUACUAUAAAUUUGACCAAAAAUCCUAUUCAUCAUUCUACGACAAAGCACAUAGAUAUAAAGCAUCACUUUAUUCGUGAUCUUGUUCAAAAAGGUGAAAUAUGUGUAAAUUAUGUUUGUUCUAAAGAUCAAUUUACGGAUAUUUUUACAAAAGCUUUGCCAUUAGAUCAGUUCAUUCAUCUAAGAUCAAAAUUAGGAAUAAUCGAAAAAUCAUCUUAAUUUUUGGGUCUUCGGACGUCCGAAAGAAGAUGAACGGACGUCCGAUGAUGUUCUUCAGCCAUUUUCCAGAUUGCGCCUGUUCGGACGCAGCUGUCGGACGCACAACGUCGUUCGGCCGUCCGACAGUGCAACGGAUCAAUUUUUUAAAUAACUUUCUUUCUCAUUUGCUUCAGACUCUUCCUAUUCUAUUUCCUCUCGGACGAAAACUCUCUCUUCCCUCACUCUCAAAUUCGUACCAUUUUGAAGCUCUCAUUCUCAAAUUGACUCAAACAAAACUUUUUCUGACUGAUUGCGAUUCAUUUCUCCUGAUCAUUUUCCCGAAUCGCAUAACAUUUCACAAAUUCCCAAAUUUCCUUCAAAACCCUACUUUCUCAUAACCGCUCUGCCAAAUCUUGUUUAAGGCCUUUUUGUCCCAAAAUUUCUGUGCAAAUCACUUCCCUACCACUGUGUGCAUCAUUUGCAUUCUUCAUUCCACACAUUUCACACAAUGGUGAAUCUGAGAGGAGGAAAGGUUACUGCCGGACGCAAGCAUCCACUCAGGGAUGAGGAUGAGGAUCUUCCUACGGUCAAACGUUCAUCCAAACGCUUCAAGAGAGGAGCCAUAAAGGGUCAAAUGUCACGGCCUACUCCUCAACCCACCUCUCAGCCUGAAUCUGGACAGGGAACCUCUGCUCAACCGCCUCCAAAAUCAGCCCCUCCCCCUACAUUCUUUGAUGAUACAGCAAGAGACAAACACUCCUUGAUAUCCCAGAAAGGUGUCAUCCCUCAACGUACUGUAAACCCUUCUGAAUUUCGUCUCAUAGGUUUAGAAACCAUUCUGAAGUUAUUUGCUUUUCAGAAAUGGUCGCAUAUCAUUUCUAUGCCAAAUGUUUACUAUCCUGAAAUGCUGCAUCAAUUUUUUGCUAAUCUUAGAAAAGGGUCUGACCAAACUGAAAUCUUUUCCAGGGUUAAUGGGGUAGACUUAAUCUUUGACUCUGAAAUUGUGAAUUCCAUUUUAAAUACUACCAUUGAACGUGGGUGCAAGGAUAAAAUUACAAAUUUCUUUUCCUAUGAAGAGCACCCUAAUGCUGAUAAUCAUUUUGAUGGGGCUAAAAUGAUGACCUAUUUUAAAAGAAGUUUUUCCUCCCCUGCUGAUGCUAAACUGAAUGAUCUUGCCCCUGUGAAUUUAAUUGCUUUUUCUAUCAUUUCAAACCUGCUUGUGCCUACUGAUGGCCAUAGAACUGAUGCAAACAAAAUGGAGUUGUACCUCUUUUAUUAUUUUCGAGAAAAAAUUUGGAUUGAUUUUGGUUUUGUCAUGUGCAAGUUUUUACUUCGCUAUACCACUGACUCUCGCAGAAAACUAUCCUAUGGAAAGUUUCUUCAAAAGAUUUUUGAGUUUUUCAAAGUUCCAAUUUUAGGUGUUUGUCCCAAAGAAGCAUCUUCUUAUGCCUUUACCAAAGGAUACUUUGAAAGGAAAAAUCUUGUUUUUAAAGAUAAUAUGUGGUCUUAUAAAGAGGCAUCGUCCAGUGAACGUAGGUCUAAGGCUGCACAUGAUCCUUCAUCUAUUCCACUCACUCCCAUUCAUCCUAGGAAAUCUGCCACUAAGGCAUCUUCCUCCUCCAAUGAUGGAGUGAUUGAGCUUCUUCAUGAACUCAAACAGCAUGUUCUUCUUCUAGAACAUGGCCUAAUGCUCACCAUGUCCUCUGAGCAACAAACUGCCUUUCUAGACAAAAAGAACCAUCUCUUUCCCCCACCUGUGGUUGAGGAAGUGUCCCAUGACAAAGAGCCACACCCCACUGAUCCAAGCUCAUCAAUUCCAGACCCUGGUUCAUCAACUCCUGUGACUCCUCAUGGUCCUUCCACAGCAGAUAAAGGCAAGGAACCAGUUGAAGUGGAUGCUGAAGCUGAUGAAGAAACUGAAGAGGAGGACCUCUCCCAAUAUCAGCUCUCUCGAAGAACUCCUGGAUCCACACAGUUCACUACUUAGGACAUUUGCAUUCUGUUUGUCUAUUUUAUGUGUUUGUAAUGGUCAACAUUUGUAACCUUCUUUUAAUGUUUCUCUUGUUGGUACUGUAUGUUUAUGUUAAGUAUUUUGAAUGAUGACUGUGUUUAUGGAUGUUUAAGUAUUUUGGUGCAAUGAAUUUGGUUUUCAUUGAUGAAUGUGUUUGUGGAUGUGUUGAUGUGAUUGGUUGCCCUUUUGUGAUGACAAAAAGGGGGAGAGGACUGGAUUGAUGAUUGAUGAUUGGUGUUGAGGACUGGAUUGAUUGAUGAUUGAUGAUUGGUAUUGAUUGAUGAUUGAUGAUUGGUGAUGUUGGAUAUGUUGGAUUGAUUGUUUAAAUUUGGAUUGGCUGAUAUGCUUAAUUGUCAUAUUUUUAGAAAAUUGUUUAACUCGGAUGGGCAGCCAAGUGAGGGGGAGCUUUUUCAAAAUUUUCAAAAUUUUAUGAUUCACUAAAUAAGGGGGAGUUCGUGAGAAAGGGGGAGCUUAUAAUGCAAUCAUCAAAUUUCAUUUCAAACUUUUGUUUUGUCAUCAUCAAAAAGGGGGAGAAUGUUAUUCUUGAUUUUGAUGAUCACAAAAGUUCGUUGAAAUGUUUAUACAGACCAAGAAAGUGAACACUUUGAUCAGGCCUGAUGGAACAAAGUAAGCAUAUGUUCGAUUAACUCCAGACUACGAUGCUUUGGAUGUGGCAAACAAGAUUGGAAUAAUAUAAACAAAUUUAGUCAUUGUUUUGUUCCGAUCAAAGAUACUGUCUUUUAAGUAUGACAAUUUUGUUAGUCUUGGUUCCUUGAAAUGUUUUAUCUAACUUUCUUCAAAUAUAAGUGUUGUUGCCUAUCAAAGAAUCAGGUACGAAUAUGUCGUGAGAAAAAACAGGACACUCAUGUCGGACGGCCGAAAGGAAUCUGUCGGACGUCCGAAGGGAUGAAGAACAUCAGGAAGGAGUUUCUGUCGGACGCACAUCGAUCGUGUCGGACGUCCUAAAAAUUCCACAAAGCUUUGAUGACUCUCUGCCAAGACACUGUCGGACGCUCGCAAGGAAGCAUCGGACGUCCUGAAGGAUCGGACGCAUGCUUCGGACGAACAUCAAUAUCAUCGGACGUCCUAAAAAUUCCUCGAAGAUUUCAUAACUCUCUGGACGACGUUCGGACACUGAAGCUCGGACGAUAAAAUUCCAUCGGACGUCCGAACUUCAAUUUGGCUGUUUUUCGGACGAUUGGUUCGGACGAUAAUUUGAUCGUCGGACGUCCGAAAGCCCCAACGGCUAGCUGACUCUUCAUCUGCCUUCUAUCCGUUGGAAGCUUUAAUGAAGCCCAUUUCUGUUCCCCUUUAAAAACAAACUGUUCUGAACGAAGUAAGAACUUUUGCACACUUGGUCUACAAGAUCUCAAGAGAUAUUUUAGCUAGAAAAUAGUCUCCAAAGUUAGAUUUGUUCUCUAAGUGGUGUGAACUUCUGGUGAGCUUUUCUCUUGUGGUUGAAAGUUUCAUUAGUGUAGCUUUGUUGAGGGUUAUCUGAGUGUUUGUAAAACUUCUUAGCUUGACUAAGUGAGGCUUAGGGCAAGGAGGAAGUGCUCCCUCCAUUGUACAUCUAGUUGAUCAUAUUUCAUCAAAGAGAAGUUGCUCAACCUUGUGAUUGGUCUUCAAGUUUGAGGAAAGCUUGGUAGACAAUCGGUUUGAUUUCCUAUUUUACUUUUUGUUUAAUAAAAUUCUCAUUUCUUAUAUAUACUUGUUUUUCUGAUCAAUAUUGCUAUUGUCUUCUAAUCUACUUGGUUGAUCUUUACUAGAAAAGAAGGUAAAUUUUUAUUAAAGAAAAAGUGCAUAAAUUUGGUUAAGGUUUUAAUCAACCCAAUUCACCCCCCCUCUUGGUUGUCUUUGGGACUUACAGUUUGGCUCCCGCGAGAGUAACCCUACCCAUAGGGUUAACGAGGUAAAGACGUCGUCCAUUCAGCAGCAGCUAUCGGAGUUAACAUCUUUUGCUCAGCAGUUAGCUGUGGGGAAUAUGCAUCAAGCAAAGGUCUGUGGAAUUUGCACAAACAUGGGCCACCCCACUGACUUAUGCCCUAUUUUGCUAGAGGAUGGGGCUGAACUAGUAAACAUGGUUGGGGGCGUGCCCACGCCCCGUAGGUAGUACGAUCUAUACUCGAACACGUACAAUUCGAGUUGGAGAGACCACCCCAACUUCAACUAUGGGAACAGGCCACAGAAGUCAUUCUCAAAUCGUCCAGCAACCAUGGCAACCAAAGCUUCAACCUUCGUCCUCCAAUUCAGGAGGCUCUUUGGAGGAUAUUGUCAAGAGCCUGGCCACGAGUACUACUCAGCUCCAGCAAGAAACUAGAUCCUUGGUCACGAGUACUGCUCAAUUCCAUCAGGAAACUAGAUUAGGCAUGAAAAAUCUGGAGACUCAAAUAAGUCGUAUGGCAACUGCAAUUAAUCGGUUAGAGUCUCAAGUUUUUGAAAAAUUGCCAUCGCAACCCGAGGUAAAUUCCAAGAAUGUAAGUGCCUUGACAUUGAGGAAUGGCAAGGAAGUGGAGGGGCUUAAGGCCACGAACCUAAAGAGUAAAAGUGAAGAAGAGAUCGAAAAGGAGAUUGAAGAAGAAGGACGCAUUCGUGGAGACCCUAAGGUAACUCUUACUCCAUCAAUUCCCAUUGAAUCUAAUUUACCUCCUUUUCCAUACAGGUUGGAAAAGACAAAGAAGGCGGAGAUGGAAAAAGAAAUCCUAGACGUAUUCUGAAAAGUAGAGAUCAACAUUCCCUUGUUGGAUGCAGUUAAGCAGGUACCAAAGUACGCAAAUUUUUUUAAGAAUUUGUGCACCUAUAAGAGGAAGUUGAGACGGGACAAAAGAGCAGCAGUGGGAGAAAAUGUAUCAGCUAUACUCCAAAGAAAACUCCCACCCAAGUGUGGAGAUCCAGGUAUGUUCAUGAUCCCAUGCAAAAUAGGAAAUACACCGAUUAGAAAAAUAAUGUUGGAUUUAGGGGCAUCAAUCAACGUAAUGCCAAGCACCAUUUAUGUUUCUUUAAAUCUUGGGCCACUAAAAGAAACAGCCAUCAUAAUCCAACUAACUGACCGCACCAAUGCUUAUCCAGAGAGGCUAGUUGAGGAUGUCUUGGUUCAGGUAAAUGAGUUAGUUUUUCCAACAGAUUUUUAUAUCUUAGGUAUGGGAGAUGAAAAAUUGUUAAAUCCGUCACCUAUUUUGUUAGGUAGGCCAUUUCUUAGCACUGCUAGGACUACAAUAAAUGUGAAUGAGAGUACUUUAUCAAUGGAGUUUGAUGGCGAAAUUAUAAAUUUCAAUAUUUUUGAGGUGAUGAAGUAUCCGGAGGAAUCUAACUCAGUCUUUGCAUUGAGUGUUAUUGAACCUAUUGUAUAGGAAACUUUCGAAUUAGACUGUGAAGACGCAUUGGAAGUGGCCUUUAUCAAGCAUCUUGAAAUGGAUGUAACUCUUAAUGUGGACAUGAGGGAUGAGUUGCACCAUACAGUUGAAGCAUUACAUUCACUUCCAACCAUUCCUUCGAGGUAUGAGCUUACCUCUCUUUUUGUGCCAAAAACUCAGACAAAGUUGUUGCCUUCAGUUGCACAGGCACCGGAGUUAGAGCUUAAGACUCUCCCGAAACAUUUAAAGUACGCAUUCCUGAGAGACUAAGAGACGCUUCCGGUGAACAUUUCUGCACACUUAUCUCCAAGUCAAGAGAGCAAACUGGUGCGAACCCUUAGGGAUCAUAAGGAAGCGAUUGGGUGGAGUAUAGCAGAUAUCAAAGGAAUAACUCCGUUCUUAUGCAUGCACCAGAUACGGCUCGAAGAUGAUGCGAAACCGGUAAAACAGGCGCAGCGGAAAUUGAAUUCGCUAAUGAUGGAAGUAGUGAAAAAGGAGAUACUUAAAGUCCUGGAAAUAGGAAUUAUCUUUGCUAUCUUGGACAGUCCUUGGGUGAGUCCCGUUCAAAUAGUCCCAAAAAAAAUAGGAGUGACUGUAGAGGAAAACCAGGAGGGUGAGAUGGUUCCAGUCAGGAAAGCUACAGGUUGGCGCCAGUGCAUUGACUACCGGAGACUAAACGCUGUGAUGAAAAAGAACCAUUUUUGAUGUGAAACCCCGGUCUAGACAACCAAAACACCAUGGCUUAGGCAGCGGAAAUUUGACCCAACUAAUCCCUAGAAGUCACGAACAAUUUUGAUAUUAUCUCAACCCGUAACUACUCGAAUUAACGAACCAAAUUGGAGGUAGUAGAACGCCACAAUCAAGGAGAUACUCGAUUGAUAAGUUCGGGUGAAUAACUUGAGAAGAUUCUCAAGUAUUCAAAGGCAACUCUCUUGCCAAAGAGAAAGUGAAAACUCACUAAUUGUAUUUAAUAGCCAAAAACUCGUCCCAAAACAAAGAGGAAGUGAGGCAAUUUAUAGCCCUUACAAGCAUUAACCCUAAUCCAAAAGUUGACCAAACUACCCUACAUACUUAAGAAAGAUUUUGGGCCUUACUUACUAACAAAUGGGCCGCAAUUAAACUAUCUUAAUUACCUAGAUUUUUAAAACAAGAAAUAACCAAAAUCAACGAGAAAAAUCAAAUAAUCCUACUAAACUCAAGCAUUCGUGCAAUCAACUAGUCUUCACUUGAAUCUUCCAAUUCCCCGUGUGCUUGAAUGGGCCUUGGUCUUUAUAUUCUCAUCAUUCCCCUCCUCUUAAAAGCAAUUUGCCCACAAAUUGAAGCACGAAUGGUGACAAGACGAGUUACAUGCCUUCGACUCAAUCUUGUUAUGAUGGCUACAGAUGGCAUCCAAUGCAAAACCCAUGUGCUAAGUUGGAAAAUAACCCUCGUCGAACCUUGAAUCUCACAGACCAUCUUCAAUGUAUGCUCAACUUUAUUGUUUGUGGUCAUGAGAUAAGGGUCCUCAAAGUGGUAUGAAGUGUAUCCCGUGAAAUCGAACUCCGGCUCGAACACACUUGCAAGGUACCAAGGCGGAUUUGGUGAUGUUGGAGCUUCAUGUGGACUAAGAGCAAGACGAAAAGCAUAAUGGUCAUUGAGGUACUUGUUCUUUAAACGAACCCUUGGUACACAACCAUUCCUAAAAUAUGGAGUGUUCCCUUCAAGAUGAGCUCGAAUCAACUCCCCUUUGGUGUGGACUGAUUUAAGUUGACAUUGUUCCAUGAAUGGAUACCAAGGGGGUUUAACUCUUGGAGUACCAACUCCAUGGAGGCUUGCAACGUCUACAAUUGAUUUUGGAAUGGAACACACCAAGAUCAGCUCAACUUGCCUUUGCUUGAUCUGUAUAAAAGAAGAAACACUAAACAAAGCAAAGGUAAGUUUGUUAAGAAAAUAAUAGGCCUUCACCGGGUUGCUCAAGAUCAGCCCACUUUCUCUUCUUUCUUCCUUUUUACCACCAAUCUCAUUAGAUUUUUCCAUCUCUUUUCCUAGUUCAACAGCUGACCCUUUUAUCUCAUUACUUUCAACUUCCUCGGGUUUUACCUCUGCAGGCACAAUUCCCUCAUCUAGCUUUUUCUCCAUUCUAUAACGCUCAAACUCACUUUUCAUGCAUGCUAGAUCAAUACAAAGUUGGUCAUAAGUAAGUGAUACAAGUGCAAGACGACGACUAUUAAAUAAGAAGGAAUACUUAUUAGUAUGUCCAUCAAUUUUAACUUCUCGCCUCGACAUCCAUGCUUUGCCCAACAACACAUGUGUCACUUGAAUUGGGACUACAUCACACAACACCUCAUCCACAUAUUUGCUGAUUUGAAUAGGUACAAGUGUGUGCUUAGUAACCCAAACAUCCCUAUGAGUGCUCGUCAACUUGUAAGGUUGAAGAUGAUCAAUGGUUGGAAGAUUUAAUUUCUCAACCAUGAUAGCACUUGCAAGAUUGACUUCACAACUACCAUCAAUGGCCAAGCUACAAAUUUUAUCUUUGACACCGCAACGAGUAUAAAACCAACCAAGCAACUGAGAUUUGACGAGGUCCAAUUGCUCAUCUACACCACGUAAUGCCACUUCUUUGACUCCCUUAGGAUCAGGAAGACAAUGUUGUGGGCUAGCUUUUAUGUGUCUUAUACUCGCCAUGACGUAUGAGGGAACCUGCAAAAAGUUAGCAACGAAACCGAAGAUAUUGCCUUUCACGCUCCCUUACGUGUAUCCACUCGCACUCGUGUAUAUGGAUGUCACUCUAAUGGACUUACCAAAUACCUUUACCUGUUGGGUUAGGUAGUUGAGAAAUGCUGCUCAAGUCCAACAACCGUUACCAACCUUUCCACAAGUGUAAUCACAAGAAUGUAGGAGAAAAUGUAUGAAAGUGUUCCUAGAAUCUAGGAAGAGAAUAUAGGAGAGUUUCAUAAAGUGGAUGAGAGAAUAUAGGAAAGGUCCUAAAAAUGGAUGAGAGAAUUUUAGGAGAGUUUCCUAAAAAAUGGAUGAGAGAAUUUAGGAAAGUUUCCAAAAAAAUGGAUGAGAGAGUUUAGGAAAAUUUCCUAAAAAGGUAGGAGAGAGAGUGUCCAAGUGAGUACAAAGAGUUAUCCAAGUGCUUUACUUAGUUUCCUAAUUGAUUUUGGAAACAAGUUAGUUUUUGGAAACCUUUUGAAAAUCCUCUUCCUCUUGAACAACUUUUGGUAACCUUCUUGAAACAACUUUUGGUAACCUUCUUGAAACAACUUUUGGUAACUUCCAAAUUCUACUCCAAGAAAGAUUGCACAAAUCAGAUUUGGUUCUCUAUUCAAAACAAUUCGGUUGCCCCUUUCUUUCCUUGCCUUUUUUUUUUUCUCUUGCCAACCAAUUCCUCUUUUCUUUCUUCUUUUUUUUUGUCUUUUUUUGACUACAACUAUCAACCACGACACAAAACAAGGAAGUCCACAAAUAAUAACAACCAAGAACUCCAAGAUCUUUCAAGAACGUUCAAGGAAGUUGUCAGGAACUUCAGAAAUUUCAAGAUUGUGGUCAAGAAUUCAAGAAGCUCAAGAUUAUUGUAAGUUCUCUUCACGAUUCACAAAAUUCCAACAAUUUUUGCCAAAAUUCAGAUUUGAAAACCAAGUAAACAAGUUGGAUAACACAAACAACAAGGCUGGACAGAUUUGUAUUCGGAUGAACAGAACCCUAUGAACAGUAUCAGUGAACAGUGUCGGUGAACAGUAACGAUGAACAGUAAUAUUUUUUUUUUUUUUUUGGUUCUGAACAAACGAACAGAUUGGGAUAAACACAUAUGACUCGAAAUAAACGAAAACAAAAAAAAAGAUAUAACCUGGUGGUUGUCAACUAGCUCUGGUACCAACUGAUGUGAAACCCCGAUCUAGACAACCAAAACACCAUGGCUUAGGCAGCGAAAAUUUGACCCAACUAAUCCCUAGAAGUCACGAACAAUUUUGAUAUUAUCUCAACCCGUAACUACUCGAAUUAACGAACCAAAUUGGAGGUAGUAGAACGCCACAAUCAAGGAGAUACUCGAUUGAUAAGUUCGGGUGAAUAACUUGAGAAGAUUCUCAAGUAUUCAAAGGCAACUCUCUUGCCAAAGAGAAAGUGAAAACUCACUAAUUGUAUUUAAUAGCCAAAAACUCGUCCCAAAACAAAGAGGAAGUGAGGCUAUUUAUAGCCCUUACAAGCAUUAACCCUAAUCCAAAAGUUGACCAAACUACCCUACAUACUCAAGAAAGAUUUUGGGCCUUACUUACUAACAAAUGGGCCGCAAUUAAACUAUCUUAAUUACCUAGAUUUUUAAAACGAGAAAUAACCAAAAUCAACGAGGAAAAUCAAAUAAUCCUACUAAACUCAAGCAUUCGUGCAAUCAACUAGUCUUCACUUGAAUCUUUCAAUUCCCCGUGUGCUUGAAUGGGCAUUGGUCUUUAUAUUCUCAUCAAUUUUCCUCUCCCUUUUAUUGACCAGAUGAUAGAAAGAUUGGCUGGUCGUGUUUACUAUUAUUUUUUGGAUAAUUUUUCAGGGUACUUCAGAUCUCGAUAGCACCGGAGGACCAGGAAAAGACCACAUUCACCUGCCCAUUUGGUACUUUUGCGUACCGUAGGAUGCCUUUCGAUCUUUGCAAUGCUCCAACAACUUUUCAAAGGUACAUGGUAAGUAUUUUCUCCGAAUAUGUAAAAAGAUUAUUGAUGUGUUCAUGAAUGAUUUUAGUGUAUACGGGGAUAGCUUUGAUGAAUGUUUCGAUAAUUUAGCUGUAAUUUUGAAAAUGUGCAUAGAGACGAACUUAGUUCUUAAUUGGAAAAAAUGCGCUUUAUGGUAGAGUAUGGUAUUGUCUUAGGGCACGUUGUGUCGGCUAAGGGAAUAGAGGUAGAUAAAGCAAAAAUAGAUCUAAUUUCUACUUUGCCUUACCCUGUAUGUGUACGGGAAGUACGUUUCUUUUUGGGCCAUACAGGAUUUUAUAGGAGGUUCAUCAAGGAUUUCUCAAAGAUUGGAGCACCCCUAUUCGAGUUGCUGCAAAAGGACGUGACAUUCGAUUUCACCAAUGAAUAUAAGGUGGCUUUUGAUAAAUUAAAGGAGUCGUUGACAUCGCCGCCCGUCAUUCAACCCCCAGAUUGGAGCCUACCGUUUGAAAUAAUGUGCGAUGCGAGUGAUUAUGAGGUAGAAGCAGUGUUGGGCCAAAGGAUUGGCAAGGUGGCGCAUGCAAUUUACUAUGCGUCGAAAGCAUUGAGUGGAGCUCAACUUAACUACUCCACGACGGAGAAAGAAUUACUAGCCGUUGUUUUUGCACUAGAAAAAUUUAGGUCAUAUUUAUUAGGUGCAUGUAGACACCAAAAAUUUCAUCGAUUCAGUUUUAGCUUUAUUCAUUCAAUUUUGACUUCCUUUGAUUCAAUUUUUAGUUUUAUUAUUAUUAUUUAUUCUUGUCUCAUAUUUAUUAUUUUUAAUUGAUUGGAGGUUGCAAAUGGUAAUUGAUGUUCAUUCUUAUUUUAAAUGCAUUAAAAUUCAUCAUUUUCUUUUUAAAGCAAUUUUACACUAAAUUUUAGGAAAAUCCCGAAUAAAGAUCCAUUUUAUCUUUUUAAAAUUUGAUUUUUUCUUGCUAAGGCAUUUUGCAAGGUAAUUUUUAAAAAUUAAGCAUGUUAAACAAGUGUGUCAAUUGCAUGUUGAACAAGUGUGCAAAUAAGCAUUAGACAAGUGGUUGAGGAAUGGUAGGACAAGUGUAUAGGGGGUAGCUGUCAAGGACACUUGGGGGGUUUUUUGGGGGGCAUCGGAAAAAAAAGGAAGAAAAAACCCUCGAAGAGGCUUGAAAACAGGGGGAAGAGAAAAGAGCUAAAAACAGGGAGGGGGCUUCGGAGGAAAGGGGAGAGGAAAAACGAAAUCGAAAAAGGAGGGGAGAGUAGGGAAAAAUCUGGGGAGAGUCUGUGGGCUAAGAAAAACAGCGGAGAGAUAGCGGAAAAAAAGGAGAAAAAGAACGGCUGAGGGGAAGGCUAAAAAUCUGAAAAGAGAAGAAGGCUUCGGCUGGGAGAAGCUGGAGUGGAAAAAAUAGAAAAAGGGAGAACGGCUGCGGUUGAGGGCCGAGAGAGUGGAGAGCCGAGGAGGAAAAAUCAGAAAAGGAGGAGAAAAAUCAAGGGCGGCGGAUGAAGGGAAAAGCUGGGAAAAUUAGAAACAGAGAAAGAGAGGAUAGCAGCGGACAAAGAGCUUGCGACUGAGGAAGCAGAGCAGCUGGAACUGCCGUUCGCGGGAAGCUGUUGCCGCCCUCUUCCGUCACGCGCGACGCCAGCUUCAUCGCUUCUUCCAUCAUAGUUCAAGCUCCGCCCUCUGCCGGCACAAACAAGUGGCCAACCGCCCGCCCAAGCAACCAAAUCCGAGAUCAGCACCCGCAAAAUUUUACCAAGAAACAAACGGUAAGCCACCAUCAUCCUUCAAAUUUCAGUUUUCAUGUAAGUUUUCGAAGCGUGUUUUAUUUUUCACGUUGUGGCUUGUAGCCAUUUCUCUGUUGAAUUAUUCACUAAUUGGAAGUAUGUAUGCUUUGAAUGUCGAUUGGACUGGAGUUUUCUUGCAUUUGAUGAAAUUUUGGGUGCUGAUUCAUGUCAAUUGAGCGAGAAAUUGGUGAAGUUUUUUAAUGGCUGUUUGUUGUUCGACAGAAUGCUUCAAUGAAAGUUCGGCCUGAAGAAUGGAUUAAUUUCUGAUUUAUAUACGUUCGACUGUUUCAUGCUUGUCAAAAUAAUUGAUUCGAAUGGGUUUGUUUGGGCGUCCGUUUGUUUUGGCAAUCUGCUCCGCUUCUCGUUUGUUUGGUGUUCCUCUUGUAUGGAUUUAAAUUCAUGACAUAAAAUGGCGUGCGAGGGGAUUCAUGUGAGAGUCAUUUGUUUUGCUUUUGUUUUGUUUUGUUGAUUGGAGUCCGAAGUUGAAUUUUCUGGUUGCAAAGAGGAAUGAAAUAGCAGCGAACGUUGAGCCAAUUUGGGAAGAAGAGGAUUGCUUGAUUAAAUUCAUGAUUCCAGUCCCUCAAUUUCCCUUUCCAUUAUGAUUUAACCCCAGAAUUUUAGGACUUCAUAAUUUUUCCUCCAACACCUUCAUAAGUCCUUCAAUUAGGUCCCUGCUCUUGUUGCAUUUUAACCCCUCAGCUUCCCCUUGUUCUGAUAUGACCCGAAAAGUGGAAAAAGUGCGUUUGUUUCUCCCUUCUAGAUUUAAAUCAUCUUCUAAUAAGCAUGAAUAGUCCUUUUACUAGAUUAAUUCUUGUUUGUAGGUUCUAAUUGUGGUUCAAUAAUUUAUUUUGAUUUUAUCAUGUUGGGUUUAAUGAAACAAGUGCCUUGGGCUAAGAGGUUAUUUUUGUUUGGGUUUAAGAAAGUCGUUUUAGUUUAUUUUGUUUGGUUUUUUGGUUCGGGCUAGAGGGUCAAGGCCCAUCUAUUUGGUUGGCUAAUUUUUGGGCCAGGAUAUUAUACUAGCCCACUUGUUUUCCUUGGACUUUCGAUUGGGCCAAGUUAUCUUGGCCCAAGAAAGGUGAAGAUGGCCCAUUCCCUUUUUGUUUUGGAUUUUCGGUUGGGCUUGUAAGGCUUUGGCCCAAACAAAUAAAGGAAAUGGCCCAAUGGCUUGGUCCAUUAAGAAACCAGAAAACGAUUUUGCAAAUCAGUCCCUGAAUUUCUCCCUAAUUGUAUUGUGGCCCUGGACAUUUUCAACUUCUUUCAAUUCGGUCCUUGCUUUAAUUGCAAAUAGGUCCCUGAACUUUAUUUUUCUUUAAUUUUGACCUCCAAACUUUGUCAAUCUUUGCAAUCAGGUCCUUUCUUCUCUUGACUUCUUAAAUGUGAAUUGUCGACAUGAUUUAAUUGAUUCAAAUUCAUGCUUAUUUUUUAUCCUUUGUGAUUAUUUGCCAAAUAAAUUGGUACCUUGACCUUUUUAUUGUUUUGAAGCUAAUAUCUCAUUUACUCGAUUUCCGUUGCGAGGGAGGUAACUUCUAUAUUUUUGAGUUUAUUUUUUCCUACGUGCUCCUACGUGUUAUGUGAAUAUGCCUGUCUACUUUGCUUUCUUUGCCUUUCUUUAAUUCUUUUCAUUUUUUUUUACUUACUUUUGCUUUUUAUUUAAGUUAUUCAUUAUGGGGUAUGUGUACACCUCUUGGCUUGUAAUAGUUAGGGAUUUAAUUAUUUUAUUCUUUUCCCCCUUUUAGAUUGUAGUGGGGUCUCCCUAAUGUAAUAGAUAGGGUUUGGAGGAGCAUUCAAUGAAGACCUAUCGAAGACUUGUGCCUAGCUAGCAAAUGUAAUAGUUAGGGCUUUAAUUGUCUCAUGUGCCUUGCAUGCUUAGUUGCUACGUGUUAAUUUGCUUUGCUAGGGCCUUGCAUCUAGUCGAGCAUGCAAAAUGUUAUGUGCUAUGUGUUUAUAAGUGUUUGGCAUGUCUACUCGCUUUCCAUAGCCUGAAUAAAUGUGAUGGAUGAAUGUACGUCACCACACUAGUCCAAUGCUAGUUGUGGCUCAUUAUUUCAUUAGGAAUUCAUAGAAAGGGCUAGUCCAACGCUAGACCCAAUAGGAUUUUUCCUUUGUUUUUCAUUAAUGCAUUAUUUGCCUGUUCACUACAUAUCAUGCAUUUUUCCUUAGUUUUAUCAUCUGGCAUGCUCCUCGAUUCCCCUUUCCCCUCACUUUAGGAUUUUUGCAUUUCAUGCUAGUUAUAGGGUUCAUUUGCCUGAAGAGUCCCCUUCUGAUAAGGGAAACGAGCGAGUGUGGCUACUCGAUAGCCUUAGCACGCUAGUUUCGCCUUCUAAUCAAAGGGAAGAUUAAGUCACAAAGUUAGGACUCCCCGUUCCCGUCUUGAUGCAUUCCUAUAGGAUUCAUGCAUUCUAUUCAUUCACUAUCACAUACACUUACUUUAUAUUCUAACCCUUUUUCCACAUUCUCACUUCACACUACUUUUACACGUUUUCAUUUAACUACUCACACUCUAUGCCAUAUCACUCGCACACAUGCACUUUAUAUUAUUUUCACAUUAUCAUUCUUUACUCACCUUACCUUGUAAAUACAUUUGCACACCUCCACUUUUCUCACUUCACAUAAACUUACAUUUUCACAUGACAUGCACCCCAUUCAUUUUUACGUCAUUUAGGAUUACGUGUGACCUCUCCAAAGGAUCAUUAUUGGGCUUCACAAUUAAUGUGAUUGGCACCACUCAACCUUUGAAGAGAAAUUUCCCCCAAUACCCCUAGGUCUAGGGUUUUGCAUUCAUAUAGACAUAUCCAACACGCGAUACAUACCUUGGGUAGAAAAAUUAGGAAAAAUUGGUUUAAGUCACGCAACUAGCCUUGGCUAGGUCGAAGGGGUGCCUUGGAUUUUUUAUCCUUGCCUUCCCCUUCGUCAAAUGUGACCCCCGAUCCCUCUUUUUGGUUACGUAGACCCAAAAGUUCUUUAAAAGGGUUUAUUUACUUUUUUUAUUCAAAAACAAAAAACCAUUUUUUGGGUGACUUGGUACACCCUAACCCUAUACCAAGUGGCGACUCCAUUUUUGAUACAAAAAACCCUUUUUGAACUUUAUAUGGCCAAACCGUCGCAUUAUCAAGUCCCAUGGCCUUUUACUUUUCAUUUACACACGUUCACAUUCCAUUACACCACUCACAUCUCACACCACACACACACCACAACUCAUCAUCUUCGAAAAGUGGGGCGCGACAGUUGGCGACUCCACUGGGGAAGCUCCUAAGUGGGUCCGAGCAUUUGACUUAGCCAUUCGUUUCCUUUUUCUACCCUUUUUAUGCAUUGCACUUGGAUAUUAGGGUUGCAUUUUUUUUAUUUUAGGCCUUUUUGCCUCGUGCGCGUAUCCAACUAUUCCCUCACUCACGUACGUGUGAUUGGUUGAUUGGAUGUAUGUUUACUUGUUUAUCUCGCGCUUGCAUUGCAUUUGGGAGGGGGCGUGUCACCUUUAGAGCCUCACGUUGGUUCUCAACCCCUUCCCUCAAAAUAGGGGAGCACUUCAUACGUGCACGUUUACUUGCUUUUAUCCCAUUUUAUUUUGUUUUUCGUGGGCGUUUCCCACACCGCCUUGUAGGAUUAGGAUCGAUUGCCUUGGGUAGGCGGCUGGUGUGCUCUGCGCCCAUAACGCUACCUAAGGGAUCACUCGAGCCACCGAUCAAAGGCCUUGGGAGUGAUGACCCUUUGCCUUUAGGUCUGAAGGCUUGGGAGCCGAAGCUUUAUCGAGUCUAGGCAUUAAUGAACCAAACCUCAUGCAUCCAUGUUAGCAUUUGCCUAGGGUAGAGUCAGCCUCACCCUUUUUAAGCACAAUUAGGCACGAGGGAAGGGGUUCCACCCCUUUUUAUUGGCUUUUAUUGUAUUUCUUUUUCUUAAUUGCUCCCAAUAUGUUAUGUGUAUUACCAAUUGCACUAACCAUUCUUUUGUUUUCUUGGCUUGCAUUCAUAUGCCCUAGCAAUAAGAGGCCCUUUUGGCACUCUUUUAGUGACCUAUCCACUAGAUAACUCACAUGUUUAAAUUUCAGUCAUUAUACUUAAUAAAUACAUUUCAUUUUAGACCUUUUUUCCCCCGAUGCAUUAUUUAUGUCCCUUAGGUCAUAUUUGUCACAUAUUUACAUCGCUUUAAUAAAUGACAUCAUGCAUAAACCCUAGAAAGGGAAUGCCAUUUAGGGGAUCCCGUGUCAGGAAUAAGCCACCUUGUGUCUCGGAUACUUAAUCCAGUGAGACUUGCACGUUUACAUUUUGUACCAUCCAAAGGGGGUAGUGCACAAGGUAAGGUAGGAUCCGAUCAUUUUCAUAGAGUGAUCUUUGGGAUAUGAGCAUCUAAUAAUCACUUUUUGGCCAUUUUAUCAAAAAUUGGUAAAAAUUCCUUGCGUGAAGGACAGUAAUUUGAAGAAAUUCACAAAUGAUUCCUUCUAUUGAGACGAUAAAUAAAUUGAGGCCAAAAUUUGAUUUUUAGAAGCUCAUAGACUAAUGCAUCUCAAUCAUUUUGAAAUCACCAAUGGCCGGACAAUUCAACCAAUCCAUUUUACCCAUUCAUUCAAUAAAUCAUCAAUUCAUUUGAUCAAUUUACCCUUUUUAGGGUCAUCCGGUCGAUUUUGAAUAAAUCGUCAAUUCAUUUGACCAAUUUACCCUUUUUAGGGUCACCUGGUCGAUUUUCAAUAAAUCAUCAAUUCAUUUGAUCAAUUUACCCUUUUUAGGGUCACCUGGUCGAUUUUGAAUAAAUCGUCAAUUCAUUUGACCAAUUUACCCUUUUUAGGGUCAUCCGGUCGAUUUUGAAUAAAUCAUCAAUUCAUUUGACCGAUUUACCCUUUUUAGGAUCGUUCGGCCGAUUUUUGAACAAGUCACUAAUUCAAUUUCAUUCAUUUGGCCAAUUUACCUUUUUUUAGGGCAACCGAGCCGUUUUUUGACCUGUUUCCCUUCUAGGGUAAUCCGGUCGAUUUUCAAUAAAUUGUCAAUUUCAUUUGACCAAUUAGGAUUUCAAUGUCGAAUUCCAAAUUGGGAAAUCUAGUCAAUUUUGAAGAAAACCGUCCAUUGCAUCCAAUCACUUGAUCAAUUAGGGUUUUUGACCCGUAAUUCACUGAGAAAUUUUAUCAACGAAUUCCAAUCUCUUCGAUAGGAGUUCGUCAAGGUCAAACCCAUGCGUUUUGCAAAUCAAAGGUGAUCAAUCUAUUCGGACGUUGUCCUCAUUUUGACAAAUCUCUUGCCACUCCAAUGGCCAAAUUUUUCAAAUUAUUUUUCACUCAAUGAGUUGAUCAGAUCCGUCAGGUAUGGUAUAGUGCUUCCCUAGAGGAUUGCAUUUUCAUGCUAGGCCUACCCUUGGCAUAAAAAGGGUUCCCCCAUAGGACAUGCAUACCGAUUUUUUUUUAUUCUUACUUACUGACUCUGGGUAUUUUUCUUUUUGUUUUCCCCUCCCCCUGCAUUUAUAAAAAUGUUUCAAUAAGGCGAGAAUAUUCUUCUAUAUCUGAUAAUUUUGAUCCAAUAAAGCUUGAAGAUUACAAGUAUUACUUGAUUUUUAGGUAGACAUUGCCGCGAAAGCAUAAAGGGGAAAUUCUAUUUAUUUGAUUUGUUAAUACAUUUUGUUCCAAAAGAAAAGGAGACAAAAAGUGUAUGUGUUGAGCUCUUUACGAGUUUCUCUCUUCUCAUUUGUAUCAUAAUUGAUUGAGCAAUUUUGUUUCAAACUUUUUCAACAAUAAAAUUUUUUGGAUAAUUUUUGUUUUGUGUAUAUUUAUGUACAUUUCAUUCUUUAUUCUUACUCAUUGGAGAUUUCAUGAUGAUUUUUGAGAAAUAAGACCCAAUUUGAGAUUUUUCAACCUAUAGCCUGAAUUUCACAAGUGUGUGCUUCCUAAAAUCCUUACACUCGAUUGGUGUUCCAACCUGUACAAUAAGAGUGCUCAGAAAGAAAGAGAGUGAACGGUCACUCAAAAGGCCCUAUGAGAUACCUUUCUCCUUCACUUAAUUCCAAAAUAAAAUCAGUCACAUUGAUUGAUAAAUUGUAAAUUGGGGUAACUUUUGCUUGAAAAUGUUCAAGGCGUCUAAUCUGGUUCAAUCACAUCUAAGUGAAAGCAAAAAUGUGCAUUAUUCUUAUUUGUUUGGAAAAUUUGGAAUGAUACUUCAAGCAUUCGUUUCAUUACCUGUACAGAUUUUUAUCAUUUGCUCUCCCAUUUGAGCUUCUAAAAGAAUAAUUUCGUUUCAAAUAAGGGUCUUAAUGAUCACUACCCGUCAUUGAAAAAUUUUCAAAUAUCAAAAGAAGAAUGGGUUUUCAAUGACCAUUUCGCUACUUCGGUUGUCAUGAGGUAUAAGAAUGAUACUUUGGCCGUCAGUUCUACAAUCUAAACACUGAUCAUCCCUUGCAUCCUCGUUUGAGCUAAAUUGGUGGUUCUUUUCGAGUGCACAUAUGAUCGCACCCCACAUUGGGGAAGGAGAUUGGGAAAUUUUGAAAAAAGGGAAAAGAAAAGGGGAAAAGCAAAAAAUGCUAGAAUAAGGAGGGAACCGCAAAUUUGGGGAAUUUGAUUCCACUUGGGUUCCAAUUUUGAAAAAAAAAAAGAAAAGAAAAAGAAGAAAACAAGUUCUAUCCGGUGGAUCACUUAUGUUUCAUAGACAUGAAUGAGCAAGGGUCUUCCUCAGUCAGUUAAUUCAGAUACAUGCCAAAAAUUUCCCAUUAAUGAAAAUUUCUUUUCAGAGUUAAUGUAAGGAACGGAAUACAAGUCAGGCCAUCUUCUUUUCCGAUCAAGCAUCUAUCCCUAGUUAUCCCUUUUGAGCAUUCAGAAUGAAAUACUUCGUUUGGCAACCCCUGAGAAUCGCAAACCCCACACUGGGGCAAGUUGGUUUGAAAAAGGAAAAUUUCAAGAAGCGGAAAAGUGAAAAGCCACAAAAUCAAAAGGCAAAGGAAGAAAAGAGAACCUCAGUUCAAAAAUAAACUGGGGCAAAUUUUGUGAAAGUUCGAAAAAAUGGCCGAAGGCCGAAAAAUCAAAAGAAAGAAAAUAAAAGUGAAAAAGCCUCAAUUGAGCAAAAACUGGGGCAAAUUCUGAUUUUACCCUAAAAUAGGGUUGACGCAACAAUGCGAUUUCAGAUUCUUCAAACCACUUUUGAAAUCCGCUUUCAAGCCUUAACUUUUCUAAGCACCCCACCUGACCCCAUUACAAAAGCCAAAAGUCCUGACUUCUGUUCUUUGCAAUGGCCCUGUCAAGAAAAUUUCUGAUGCCGGAAAAUUUUAGCUGUAUUGCUGAAUUGCUUGAGUAUGAGGUUGGCGCUACUCAUGUGAAAACCCAUCAGCUCGAGGGAAAAGAAAAGAGGCAAAAAGCAAAGCAAGAAAAGUAAAUGCAAGGAAAAUGCAAAAAGACUUGACGCUGAAGUCCCUGGGGAAUGAUGAGAAAAUCCAAACAAAGUCUGAAAUCUUUUGAGUUCAAAUAGGGGCAAUUUUGGAAAAAUGUGAUCUUCGGUGCAAUGUCCUUGAAAGUUUUAUUCUUUAGCUAUCGUUUUUCAAGCCAAAUUACAAGCUAAGAAAGUCCAUCGUUGACUUAUUCCUUCAUGACAAUCCAAAGUGAGGAUCAUACUCAUAAGAAAUUCAUCAAAUCAUUUGUGAUCAUAAGGGUAUAACCCGUUUCCACAUGUUUAGCUAUCACUUCUGUCCAUACGUUACAAGCCUAGAAAGCUGGUAUGUUGACUAAGUUUUCUUGAAAAAUAAGGGUGACAAACUCUUUGCUUUCACUAAGAUGUGACAUUGAAUGGAUUACAUACAAUUGGGGCACAAAAAUGAGACAGAUUCUGACCUCUCAUUUUCCUUCAGCCACUUCCAAAUCAAAAAUAAAGUCACUUGAUUGGUCCUGAAAAAUGAGCCAACCAGAAGUGGUGACCCGUUACCCUAAACACCAAUGCUAAAAGUGAGGAAGAAAUCUUCUUGAAUUUGGUGUUACUUCGAGGAAUUCAUCAUGAAAUUUCUGCAUGAGUUUCAAACUUGACGUUUAAAGUUUCUUCACAUUGUUGUAUAUGUGCACUCUUUUCUAAAUUUUAGAAAGUGCGGUUUUUCUUUGUUCAAAUCAAUGGGAAAUCAUCUGAACAAAUUUUUGCAAUUAAGGGAGCCCACACUGGGGCAAAAAUUUUAUUUGUGAGAUUUCAUGAAAUAAGCCCAUACUGGGGCAAAUUUUUUGUAAUACAUUUGAGAUUUGUGUCCAAAAAUCAAAUAAUAACAUUUUUCGAAACAAUCCCGCUGCUCUUUUCCUGGAAUUUAAGUGCAUGUCAUACUUUGAUGAACCCCUUGUACAGGUAUUCAUGAUUCAAAAUGACGAAAGGCAUCCAGUAAGGCGGAAGGCCGAUACUGCAAAGAGAAGCAAGAAGAAGGAGGAAAAAUGGACACUACACUUGGGGCAAAUUAUUUUUUUAAAAUUUUUGAAAAAAGGGAAAAAAGAAGGAAAAAAGAAAAAAAGAGAAAAAACCAAAAAUCAAAUCAAAAAGUCAAAAAUCAAGUUCAAAUUCUUGUUUCUUGAAAAAUCAAAUUUGAUUUCUUGUGGGCGAAGCUCCAAUGCACGCCGCGCAUCAUUCUGUUCCCCCCUUCUCUUGACAUUCCAAAUCAAGUUGGGCCUGGAUUUCGUGCCACCAACAUCAUUUUAUCACGUUGGGCCUGGACUUGGUGCCGCCAACAUCACUUUAUCACGUUGGGCCUGGACUUGGUGCCGCCAACAUCACUUUAUCACGUUGGGCCUGGACUUGGUGCCGCCAACAUCACUUUAUCACGUUGGGCCUGGACUUGGUGCCGCCAACUUCACUUUAUCACGUUGGGCCUGGACUUGGUGCCGCCAACAUCACUUUAUCACGUUGGGCUUGGUUUUCGUGCCACCAACUUCGCUUUGUCACGUUGGGCUUGGAUUUAGUGCCACCAACAUUACAAAAGUCACAUUGGACCGGGUUUUAUCCCGCCAAUCUCGGCAGGACCGGGUCUAAUCCCGCUGACCGCUUACAGGACCGGGUCUAAUCCCGCUGACAGGCAGGACCGGGUCUAAUCCCGCUGACCGCUUACUUCGGCAGGACCGGGUCUAAUCCCGCUGACCGCUCACCUCGGCAGGACCGGGUCUAAUCCCGCUGACCGCUCACCUCGGCAGGACCGGGUCUAAUCCCGCUGACCGCUCACCUCGGCAGGACCGGGUUUUAUCCCGCUGACCGUCCACACCCCGUCGGCCUCAGAUGUUAUCCCACCGACCAAUUCAUCACACUGGGGCAAAUUUUUUAGAUAAUUUUUCAAACAAGUCCUAUACAGUUCUCUAUUUAAUUUUCUGUUCGGGUCUAUCCCAUGGGUCUGUCCCAUCUACAUUUUUAUCCGAGUCUAUCGCAUUUACAUUCCUGUCCGGGUCUAUCCCGUUUACAAUUCUGUUCAGGCCAGUCCCAUGUUUGAAAUUCCUUGUUUAGGUCAGCCCUCCGAAUAGGGGCAACCGAAUGGUACAGGUAAGCAUUUGGUGUCUACUUCUUUGUCUCAAGUUUUUUCAAAACUCAGACAAAGAGGGGCAAACUGUAGACACCAAAAAUUUCAUCGAUUCAGUUUUAGCUUUAUUCAUUCAAUUUUGACUUCCUUUGAUUCAAUUUUUAGUUUUAUUAUUAUUAUUUAUUCUUGUCUCAUAUUUAUUAUUUUUAAUUGAUUGGAGGUUGCAAAUGGUAAUUGAUGUUCAUUCUUAUUUUAAAUGCAUUAAAAUUCAUCAUUUUCUUUUUAAAGCAAUUUUACACUAAAUUUUAGGAAAAUCCCGAAUAAAGAUCCAUUUUAUCUUUUUAAAAUUUGAUUUUUUCUUGCUAAGGCAUUUUGCAAGGUAAUUUUUAAAAAUUAAGCAUGUUAAACAAGUGUGUCAAUUGCAUGUUGAACAAGUGUGCAAAUAAGCAUUAGACAAGUGGUUGAGGAAUGGUAGGACAAGUGUAUAGGGGGUAGCUGUCAAGGACACUUGGGGGGUUUUUUGGGGGGCAUCGGAAAAAAAAGGAAGAAAAAACCCUCGAAGAGGCUUGAAAACAGGGGGAAGAGAAAAGAGCUAAAAACAGGGAGGGGGCUUCGGAGGAAAGGGGAGAGGAAAAACGAAAUCGAAAAAGGAGGGGAGAGUAGGGAAAAAUCUGGGGAGAGUCUGUGGGCUAAGAAAAACAGCGGAGAGAUAGCGGAAAAAAAGGAGAAAAAGAACGGCUGAGGGGAAGGCUAAAAAUCUGAAAAGAGAAGAAGGCUUCGGCUGGGAGAAGCUGGAGUGGAAAAAAUAGAAAAAGGGAGAACGGCUGCGGUUGAGGGCCGAGAGAGUGGAGAGCCGAGGAGGAAAAAUCAGAAAAGGAGGAGAAAAAUCAAGGGCGGCGGAUGAAGGGAAAAGCUGGGAAAAUUAGAAACAGAGAAAGAGAGGAUAGCAGCGGACAAAGAGCUUGCGACUGAGGAAGCAGAGCAGCUGGAACUGCCGUUCGCGGGAAGCUGUUGCCGCCCUCUUCCGUCACGCGCGACGCCAGCUUCAUCGCUUCUUCCAUCAUAGUUCAAGCUCCGCCCUCUGCCGGCACAAACAAGUGGCCAACCGCCCGCCCAAGCAACCAAAUCCGAGAUCAGCACCCGCAAAAUUUUACCAAGAAACAAACGGUAAGCCACCAUCAUCCUUCAAAUUUCAGUUUUCAUGUAAGUUUUCGAAGCGUGUUUUAUUUUUCACGUUGUGGCUUGUAGCCAUUUCUCUGUUGAAUUAUUCACUAAUUGGAAGUAUGUAUGCUUUGAAUGUCGAUUGGACUGGAGUUUUCUUGCAUUUGAUGAAAUUUUGGGUGCUGAUUCAUGUCAAUUGGGCGAGAAAUUGGUGAAGUUUUUUAAUGGCUGUUUGUUGUUCGACAGAAUGCUUCAAUGAAAGUUCGGCCUGAAGAAUGGAUUAAUUUCUGAUUUAUAUACGUUCGACUGUUUCAUGCUUGUCAAAAUAAUUGAUUCGAAUGGGUUUGUUUGGGCGUCCGUUUGUUUUGGCAAUCUGCUCCGCUUCUCGUUUGUUUGGUGUUCCUCUUGUAUGGAUUUAAAUUCAUGACAUAAAAUGGCGUGCGAGGGGAUUCAUGUGAGAGUCAUUUGUUUUGCUUUUGUUUUGUUUUGUUGAUUGGAGUCCGAAGUUGAAUUUUCUGGUUGCAAAGAGGAAUGAAAUAGCAGCGAACGUUGAGCCAAUUUGGGAAGAAGAGGAUUGCUUGAUUAAAUUCAUGAUUCCAGUCCCUCAAUUUCCCUUUCCAUUAUGAUUUAACCCCAGAAUUUUAGGACUUCAUAAUUUUUCCUCCAACACCUUCAUAAGUCCUUCAAUUAGGUCCCUGCUCUUGUUGCAUUUUAACCCCUCAGCUUCCCCUUGUUCUGAUAUGACCCGAAAAGUGGAAAAAGUGCGUUUGUUUCUCCCUUCUAGAUUUAAAUCAUCUUCUAAUAAGCAUGAAUAGUCCUUUUACUAGAUUAAUUCUUGUUUGUAGGUUCUAAUUGUGGUUCAAUAAUUUAUUUUGAUUUUAUCAUGUUGGGUUUAAUGAAACAAGUGCCUUGGGCUAAGAGGUUAUUUUUGUUUGGGUUUAAGAAAGUCGUUUUAGUUUAUUUUGUUUGGUUUUUUGGUUCGGGCUAGAGGGUCAAGGCCCAUCUAUUUGGUUGGCUAAUUUUUGGGCCAGGAUAUUAUACUAGCCCACUUGUUUUCCUUGGACUUUCGAUUGGGCCAAGUUAUCUUGGCCCAAGAAAGGUGAAGAUGGCCCAUUCCCUUUUUGUUUUGGAUUUUCGGUUGGGCUUGUAAGGCUUUGGCCCAAACAAAUAAAGGAAAUGGCCCAAUGGCUUGGUCCAUUAAGAAACCAGAAAACGAUUUUGCAAAUCAGUCCCUGAAUUUCUCCCUAAUUGUAUUGUGGCCCUGGACAUUUUCAACUUCUUUCAAUUCGGUCCUUGCUUUAAUUGCAAAUAGGUCCCUGAACUUUAUUUUUCUUUAAUUUUGACCUCCAAACUUUGUCAAUCUUUGCAAUCAGGUCCUUUCUUCUCUUGACUUCUUAAAUGUGAAUUGUCGACAUGAUUUAAUUGAUUCAAAUUCAUGCUUAUUUUUUAUCCUUUGUGAUUAUUUGCCAAAUAAAUUGGUACCUUGACCUUUUUAUUGUUUUGAAGCUAAUAUCUCAUUUACUCGAUUUCCGUUGCGAGGGAGGUAACUUCUAUAUUUUUGAGUUUAUUUUUUCCUACGUGCUCCUACGUGUUAUGUGAAUAUGCCUGUCUACUUUGCUUUCUUUGCCUUUCUUUAAUUCUUUUCAUUUUUUUUUACUUACUUUUGCUUUUUAUUUAAGUUAUUCAUUAUGGGGUAUGUGUACACCUCUUGGCUUGUAAUAGUUAGGGAUUUAAUUAUUUUAUUCUUUUCCCCCUUUUAGAUUGUAGUGGGGUCUCCCUAAUGUAAUAGAUAGGGUUUGGAGGAGCAUUCAAUGAAGACCUAUCGAAGACUUGUGCCUAGCUAGCAAAUGUAAUAGUUAGGGCUUUAAUUGUCUCAUGUGCCUUGCAUGCUUAGUUGCUACGUGUUAAUUUGCUUUGCUAGGGCCUUGCAUCUAGUCGAGCAUGCAAAAUGUUAUGUGCUAUGUGUUUAUAAGUGUUUGGCAUGUCUACUCGCUUUCCAUAGCCUGAAUAAAUGUGAUGGAUGAAUGUACGUCACCACACUAGUCCAAUGCUAGUUGUGGCUCAUUAUUUCAUUAGGAAUUCAUAGAAAGGGCUAGUCCAACGCUAGACCCAAUAGGAUUUUUCCUUUGUUUUUCAUUAAUGCAUUAUUUGCCUGUUCACUACAUAUCAUGCAUUUUUCCUUAGUUUUAUCAUCUGGCAUGCUCCUCGAUUCCCCUUUCCCCUCACUUUAGGAUUUUUGCAUUUCAUGCUAGUUAUAGGGUUCAUUUGCCUGAAGAGUCCCCUUCUGAUAAGGGAAACGAGCGAGUGUGGCUACUCGAUAGCCUUAGCACGCUAGUUUCGCCUUCUAAUCAAAGGGAAGAUUAAGUCACAAAGUUAGGACUCCCCGUUCCCGUCUUGAUGCAUUCCUAUAGGAUUCAUGCAUUCUAUUCAUUCACUAUCACAUACACUUACUUUAUAUUCUAACCCUUUUUCCACAUUCUCACUUCACACUACUUUUACACGUUUUCAUUUAACUACUCACACUCUAUGCCAUAUCACUCGCACACAUGCACUUUAUAUUAUUUUCACAUUAUCAUUCUUUACUCACCUUACCUUGUAAAUACAUUUGCACACCUCCACUUUUCUCACUUCACAUAAACUUACAUUUUCACAUGACAUGCACCCCAUUCAUUUUUACGUCAUUUAGGAUUACGUGUGACCUCUCCAAAGGAUCAUUAUUGGGCUUCACAAUUAAUGUGAUUGGCACCACUCAACCUUUGAAGAGAAAUUUCCCCCAAUACCCCUAGGUCUAGGGUUUUGCAUUCAUAUAGACAUAUCCAACACGCGAUACAUACCUUGGGUAGAAAAAUUAGGAAAAAUUGGUUUAAGUCACGCAACUAGCCUUGGCUAGGUCGAAGGGGUGCCUUGGAUUUUUUAUCCUUGCCUUCCCCUUCGUCAAAUGUGACCCCCGAUCCCUCUUUUUGGUUACGUAGACCCAAAAGUUCUUUAAAAGGGUUUAUUUACUUUUUUUAUUCAAAAACAAAAAACCAUUUUUUGGGUGACUUGGUACACCCUAACCCUAUACCAAGUGGCGACUCCAUUUUUGAUACAAAAAACCCUUUUUGAACUUUAUAUGGCCAAACCGUCGCAUUAUCAAGUCCCAUGGCCUUUUACUUUUCAUUUACACACGUUCACAUUCCAUUACACCACUCACAUCUCACACCACACACACACCACAACUCAUCAUCUUCGAAAAGUGGGGCGCGACAGUUGGCGACUCCACUGGGGAAGCUCCUAAGUGGGUCCGAGCAUUUGACUUAGCCAUUCGUUUCCUUUUUCUACCCUUUUUAUGCAUUGCACUUGGAUAUUAGGGUUGCAUUUUUUUUAUUUUAGGCCUUUUUGCCUCGUGCGCGUAUCCAACUAUUCCCUCACUCACGUACGUGUGAUUGGUUGAUUGGAUGUAUGUUUACUUGUUUAUCUCGCGCUUGCAUUGCAUUUGGGAGGGGGCGUGUCACCUUUAGAGCCUCACGUUGGUUCUCAACCCCUUCCCUCAAAAUAGGGGAGCACUUCAUACGUGCACGUUUACUUGCUUUUAUCCCAUUUUAUUUUGUUUUUCGUGGGCGUUUCCCACACCGCCUUGUAGGAUUAGGAUCGAUUGCCUUGGGUAGGCGGCUGGUGUGCUCUGCGCCCAUAACGCUACCUAAGGGAUCACUCGAGCCACCGAUCAAAGGCCUUGGGAGUGAUGACCCUUUGCCUUUAGGUCUGAAGGCUUGGGAGCCGAAGCUUUAUCGAGUCUAGGCAUUAAUGAACCAAACCUCAUGCAUCCAUGUUAGCAUUUGCCUAGGGUAGAGUCAGCCUCACCCUUUUUAAGCACAAUUAGGCACGAGGGAAGGGGUUCCACCCCUUUUUAUUGGCUUUUAUUGUAUUUCUUUUUCUUAAUUGCUCCCAAUAUGUUAUGUGUAUUACCAAUUGCACUAACCAUUCUUUUGUUUUCUUGGCUUGCAUUCAUAUGCCCUAGCAAUAAGAGGCCCUUUUGGCACUCUUUUAGUGACCUAUCCACUAGAUAACUCACAUGUUUAAAUUUCAGUCAUUAUACUUAAUAAAUACAUUUCAUUUUAGACCUUUUUUCCCCCGAUGCAUUAUUUAUGUCCCUUAGGUCAUAUUUGUCACAUAUUUACAUCGCUUUAAUAAAUGACAUCAUGCAUAAACCCUAGAAAGGGAAUGCCAUUUAGGGGAUCCCGUGUCAGGAAUAAGCCACCUUGUGUCUCGGAUACUUAAUCCAGUGAGACUUGCACGUUUACAUUUUGUACCAUCCAAAGGGGGUAGUGCACAAAGUAAGGUAGGAUCCGAUCAUUUUCAUAGAGUGAUCUUUGGGAUAUGAGCAUCUAAUAAUCACUUUUUGGCCAUUUUAUCAAAAAUUGGUAAAAAUUCCUUGCGUGAAGGACAGUAAUUUGAAGAAAUUCACAAAUGAUUCCUUCUAUUGAGACGAUAAAUAAAUUGAGGCCAAAAUUUGAUUUUUAGAAGCUCAUAGACUAAUGCAUCUCAAUCAUUUUGAAAUCACCAAUGGCCGGACAAUUCAACCAAUCCAUUUUACCCAUUCAUUCAAUAAAUCAUCAAUUCAUUUGAUCAAUUUACCCUUUUUAGGGUCAUCCGGUCGAUUUUGAAUAAAUCGUCAAUUCAUUUGACCAAUUUACCCUUUUUAGGGUCACCUGGUCGAUUUUCAAUAAAUCAUCAAUUCAUUUGAUCAAUUUACCCUUUUUAGGGUCACCUGGUCGAUUUUGAAUAAAUCGUCAAUUCAUUUGACCAAUUUACCCUUUUUAGGGUCAUCCGGUCGAUUUUGAAUAAAUCAUCAAUUCAUUUGACCGAUUUACCCUUUUUAGGAUCGUUCGGCCGAUUUUUGAACAAGUCACUAAUUCAAUUUCAUUCAUUUGGCCAAUUUACCUUUUUUUAGGGCAACCGAGCCGUUUUUUGACCUGUUUCCCUUCUAGGGUAAUCCGGUCGAUUUUCAAUAAAUUGUCAAUUUCAUUUGACCAAUUAGGAUUUCAAUGUCGAAUUCCAAAUUGGGAAAUCUAGUCAAUUUUGAAGAAAACCGUCCAUUGCAUCCAAUCACUUGAUCAAUUAGGGUUUUUGACCCGUAAUUCACUGAGAAAUUUUAUCAACGAAUUCCAAUCUCUUCGAUAGGAGUUCGUCAAGGUCAAACCCAUGCGUUUUGCAAAUCAAAGGUGAUCAAUCUAUUCGGACGUUGUCCUCAUUUUGACAAAUCUCUUGCCACUCCAAUGGCCAAAUUUUUCAAAUUAUUUUUCACUCAAUGAGUUGAUCAGAUCCGUCAGGUAUGGUAUAGUGCUUCCCUAGAGGAUUGCAUUUUCAUGCUAGGCCUACCCUUGGCAUAAAAAGGGUUCCCCCAUAGGACAUGCAUACCGAUUUUUUUUUAUUCUUACUUACUGACUCUGGGUAUUUUUCUUUUUGUUUUCCCCUCCCCCUGCAUUUAUAAAAAUGUUUCAAUAAGGCGAGAAUAUUCUUCUAUAUCUGAUAAUUUUGAUCCAAUAAAGCUUGAAGAUUACAAGUAUUACUUGAUUUUUAGGUAGACAUUGCCGCGAAAGCAUAAAGGGGAAAUUCUAUUUAUUUGAUUUGUUAAUACAUUUUGUUCCAAAAGAAAAGGAGACAAAAAGUGUAUGUGUUGAGCUCUUUACGAGUUUCUCUCUUCUCAUUUGUAUCAUAAUUGAUUGAGCAAUUUUGUUUCAAACUUUUUCAACAAUAAAAUUUUUUGGAUAAUUUUUGUUUUGUGUAUAUUUAUGUACAUUUCAUUCUUUAUUCUUACUCAUUGGAGAUUUCAUGAUGAUUUUUGAGAAAUAAGACCCAAUUUGAGAUUUUUCAACCUAUAGCCUGAAUUUCACAAGUGUGUGCUUCCUAAAAUCCUUACACUCGAUUGGUGUUCCAACCUGUACAAUAAGAGUGCUCAGAAAGAAAGAGAGUGAACGGUCACUCAAAAGGCCCUAUGAGAUACCUUUCUCCUUCACUUAAUUCCAAAAUAAAAUCAGUCACAUUGAUUGAUAAAUUGUAAAUUGGGGUAACUUUUGCUUGAAAAUGUUCAAGGCGUCUAAUCUGGUUCAAUCACAUCUAAGUGAAAGCAAAAAUGUGCAUUAUUCUUAUUUGUUUGGAAAAUUUGGAAUGAUACUUCAAGCAUUCGUUUCAUUACCUGUACAGAUUUUUAUCAUUUGCUCUCCCAUUUGAGCUUCUAAAAGAAUAAUUUCGUUUCAAAUAAGGGUCUUAAUGAUCACUACCCGUCAUUGAAAAAUUUUCAAAUAUCAAAAGAAGAAUGGGUUUUCAAUGACCAUUUCGCUACUUCGGUUGUCAUGAGGUAUAAGAAUGAUACUUUGGCCGUCAGUUCUACAAUCUAAACACUGAUCAUCCCUUGCAUCCUCGUUUGAGCUAAAUUGGUGGUUCUUUUCGAGUGCACAUAUGAUCGCACCCCACAUUGGGGAAGGAGAUUGGGAAAUUUUGAAAAAAGGGAAAAGAAAAGGGGAAAAGCAAAAAAUGCUAGAAUAAGGAGGGAACCGCAAAUUUGGGGAAUUUGAUUCCACUUGGGUUCCAAUUUUGAAAAAAAAAAAGAAAAGAAAAAGAAGAAAACAAGUUCUAUCCGGUGGAUCACUUAUGUUUCAUAGACAUGAAUGAGCAAGGGUCUUCCUCAGUCAGUUAAUUCAGAUACAUGCCAAAAAUUUCCCAUUAAUGAAAAUUUCUUUUCAGAGUUAAUGUAAGGAACGGAAUACAAGUCAGGCCAUCUUCUUUUCCGAUCAAGCAUCUAUCCCUAGUUAUCCCUUUUGAGCAUUCAGAAUGAAAUACUUCGUUUGGCAACCCCUGAGAAUCGCAAACCCCACACUGGGGCAAGUUGGUUUGAAAAAGGAAAAUUUCAAGAAGCGGAAAAGUGAAAAGCCACAAAAUCAAAAGGCAAAGGAAGAAAAGAGAACCUCAGUUCAAAAAUAAACUGGGGCAAAUUUUGUGAAAGUUCGAAAAAAUGGCCGAAGGCCGAAAAAUCAAAAGAAAGAAAAUAAAAGUGAAAAAGCCUCAAUUGAGCAAAAACUGGGGCAAAUUCUGAUUUUACCCUAAAAUAGGGUUGACGCAACAAUGCGAUUUCAGAUUCUUCAAACCACUUUUGAAAUCCGCUUUCAAGCCUUAACUUUUCUAAGCACCCCACCUGACCCCAUUACAAAAGCCAAAAGUCCUGACUUCUGUUCUUUGCAAUGGCCCUGUCAAGAAAAUUUCUGAUGCCGGAAAAUUUUAGCUGUAUUGCUGAAUUGCUUGAGUAUGAGGUUGGCGCUACUCAUGUGAAAACCCAUCAGCUCGAGGGAAAAGAAAAGAGGCAAAAAGCAAAGCAAGAAAAGUAAAUGCAAGGAAAAUGCAAAAAGACUUGACGCUGAAGUCCCUGGGGAAUGAUGAGAAAAUCCAAACAAAGUCUGAAAUCUUUUGAGUUCAAAUAGGGGCAAUUUUGGAAAAAUGUGAUCUUCGGUGCAAUGUCCUUGAAAGUUUUAUUCUUUAGCUAUCGUUUUUCAAGCCAAAUUACAAGCUAAGAAAGUCCAUCGUUGACUUAUUCCUUCAUGACAAUCCAAAGUGAGGAUCAUACUCAUAAGAAAUUCAUCAAAUCAUUUGUGAUCAUAAGGGUAUAACCCGUUUCCACAUGUUUAGCUAUCACUUCUGUCCAUACGUUACAAGCCUAGAAAGCUGGUAUGUUGACUAAGUUUUCUUGAAAAAUAAGGGUGACAAACUCUUUGCUUUCACUAAGAUGUGACAUUGAAUGGAUUACAUACAAUUGGGGCACAAAAAUGAGACAGAUUCUGACCUCUCAUUUUCCUUCAGCCACUUCCAAAUCAAAAAUAAAGUCACUUGAUUGGUCCUGAAAAAUGAGCCAACCAGAAGUGGUGACCCGUUACCCUAAACACCAAUGCUAAAAGUGAGGAAGAAAUCUUCUUGAAUUUGGUGUUACUUCGAGGAAUUCAUCAUGAAAUUUCUGCAUGAGUUUCAAACUUGACGUUUAAAGUUUCUUCACAUUGUUGUAUAUGUGCACUCUUUUCUAAAUUUUAGAAAGUGCGGUUUUUCUUUGUUCAAAUCAAUGGGAAAUCAUCUGAACAAAUUUUUGCAAUUAAGGGAGCCCACACUGGGGCAAAAAUUUUAUUUGUGAGAUUUCAUGAAAUAAGCCCAUACUGGGGCAAAUUUUUUGUAAUACAUUUGAGAUUUGUGUCCAAAAAUCAAAUAAUAACAUUUUUCGAAACAAUCCCGCUGCUCUUUUCCUGGAAUUUAAGUGCAUGUCAUACUUUGAUGAACCCCUUGUACAGGUAUUCAUGAUUCAAAAUGACGAAAGGCAUCCAGUAAGGCGGAAGGCCGAUACUGCAAAGAGAAGCAAGAAGAAGGAGGAAAAAUGGACACUACACUUGGGGCAAAUUAUUUUUUUAAAAUUUUUGAAAAAAGGGAAAAAAGAAGGAAAAAAGAAAAAAAGAGAAAAAACCAAAAAUCAAAUCAAAAAGUCAAAAAUCAAGUUCAAAUUCUUGUUUCUUGAAAAAUCAAAUUUGAUUUCUUGUGGGCGAAGCUCCAAUGCACGCCGCGCAUCAUUCUGUUCCCCCCUUCUCUUGACAUUCCAAAUCAAGUUGGGCCUGGAUUUCGUGCCACCAACAUCAUUUUAUCACGUUGGGCCUGGACUUGGUGCCGCCAACAUCACUUUAUCACGUUGGGCCUGGACUUGGUGCCGCCAACAUCACUUUAUCACGUUGGGCCUGGACUUGGUGCCGCCAACUUCACUUUAUCACGUUGGGCCUGGAUUUGGUGCCGCCAACAUCACUUUAUCACGUUGGGCCUGGACUUGGUGCCGCCAACUUCACUUUAUCACGUUGGGCCUGGACUUGGUGCCGCCAACAUCACUUUAUCACGUUGGGCUUGGUUUUCGUGCCACCAACUUCGCUUUGUCACGUUGGGCUUGGAUUUAGUGCCACCAACAUUACAAAAGUCACAUUGGGACCGGGUUUUAUCCCGCCAAUCUCGGCAGGACCGGGUCUAAUCCCGCUGACCGCUUACUUCGGCAGGACCGGGUCUAAUCCCGCUGACCGCUUACUUCGGCAGGACCGGGUCUAAUCCCGCUGACCGCUCACCUCGGCAGGACCGGGUCUAAUCCCGCUGACCGCUUACUUCGGCAGGACCGGGUCUAAUCCCGCUGACCGCUCACCUCGGCAGGACCGGGUUUUAUCCCGCUGACCGUCCACACCCCGUCGGCCUCAGAUGUUAUCCCACCGACCAAUUCAUCACACUGGGGCAAAUUUUUUAGAUAAUUUUUCAAACAAGUCCUAUACAGUUCUCUAUUUAAUUUUCUGUUCGGGUCUAUCCCAUGGGUCUGUCCCAUCUACAUUUUUAUCCGAGUCUAUCGCAUUUACAUUCCUGUCCGGGUCUAUCCCGUUUACAAUUCUGUUCAGGCCAGUCCCAUGUUUGAAAUUCCUUGUUUAGGUCAGCCCUCCGAAUAGGGGCAACCGAAUGGUACAGGUAAGCAUUUGGUGUCUACUUCUUUGUCUCAAGUUUUUUCAAAACUCAGACAAAGAGGGGCAAACUGUAGACACCAAAAAUUUCAUCGAUUCAGUUUUAGCUUUAUUCAUUCAAUUUUGACUUCCUUUGAUUCAAUUUUUAGUUUUAUUAUUAUUAUUUAUUCUUGUCUCAUAUUUAUUAUUUUUAAUUGAUUGGAGGUUGCAAAUGGUAAUUGAUGUUCAUUCUUAUUUUAAAUGCAUUAAAAUUCAUCAUUUUCUUUUUAAAGCAAUUUUACACUAAAUUUUAGGAAAAUCCCGAAUAAAGAUCCAUUUUAUCUUUUUAAAAUUUGAUUUUUUCUUGCUAAGGCAUUUUGCAAGGUAAUUUUUAAAAAUUAAGCAUGUUAAACAAGUGUGUCAAUUGCAUGUUGAACAAGUGUGCAAAUAAGCAUUAGACAAGUGGUUGAGGAAUGGUAGGACAAGUGUAUAGGGGGUAGCUGUCAAGGACACUUGGGGGGUUUUUUGGGGGGCAUCGGAAAAAAAAGGAAGAAAAAACCCUCGAAGAGGCUUGAAAACAGGGGGAAGAGAAAAGAGCUAAAAACAGGGAGGGGGCUUCGGAGGAAAGGGGAGAGGAAAAACGAAAUCGAAAAAGGAGGGGAGAGUAGGGAAAAAUCUGGGGAGAGUCUGUGGGCUAAGAAAAACAGCGGAGAGAUAGCGGAAAAAAAGGAGAAAAAGAACGGCUGAGGGGAAGGCUAAAAAUCUGAAAAGAGAAGAAGGCUUCGGCUGGGAGAAGCUGGAGUGGAAAAAAUAGAAAAAGGGAGAACGGCUGCGGUUGAGGGCCGAGAGAGUGGAGAGCCGAGGAGGAAAAAUCAGAAAAGGAGGAGAAAAAUCAAGGGCGGCGGAUGAAGGGAAAAGCUGGGAAAAUUAGAAACAGAGAAAGAGAGGAUAGCAGCGGACAAAGAGCUUGCGACUGAGGAAGCAGAGCAGCUGGAACUGCCGUUCGCGGGAAGCUGUUGCCGCCCUCUUCCGUCACGCGCGACGCCAGCUUCAUCGCUUCUUCCAUCAUAGUUCAAGCUCCGCCCUCUGCCGGCACAAACAAGUGGCCAACCGCCCGCCCAAGCAACCAAAUCCGAGAUCAGCACCCGCAAAAUUUUACCAAGAAACAAACGGUAAGCCACCAUCAUCCUUCAAAUUUCAGUUUUCAUGUAAGUUUUCGAAGCGUGUUUUAUUUUUCACGUUGUGGCUUGUAGCCAUUUCUCUGUUGAAUUAUUCACUAAUUGGAAGUAUGUAUGCUUUGAAUGUCGAUUGGACUGGAGUUUUCUUGCAUUUGAUGAAAUUUUGGGUGCUGAUUCAUGUCAAUUGAGCGAGAAAUUGGUGAAGUUUUUUAAUGGCUGUUUGUUGUUCGACAGAAUGCUUCAAUGAAAGUUCGGCCUGAAGAAUGGAUUAAUUUCUGAUUUAUAUACGUUCGACUGUUUCAUGCUUGUCAAAAUAAUUGAUUCGAAUGGGUUUGUUUGGGCGUCCGUUUGUUUUGGCAAUCUGCUCCGCUUCUCGUUUGUUUGGUGUUCCUCUUGUAUGGAUUUAAAUUCAUGACAUAAAAUGGCGUGCGAGGGGAUUCAUGUGAGAGUCAUUUGUUUUGCUUUUGUUUUGUUUUGUUGAUUGGAGUCCGAAGUUGAAUUUUCUGGUUGCAAAGAGGAAUGAAAUAGCAGCGAACGUUGAGCCAAUUUGGGAAGAAGAGGAUUGCUUGAUUAAAUUCAUGAUUCCAGUCCCUCAAUUUCCCUUUCCAUUAUGAUUUAACCCCAGAAUUUUAGGACUUCAUAAUUUUUCCUCCAACACCUUCAUAAGUCCUUCAAUUAGGUCCCUGCUCUUGUUGCAUUUUAACCCCUCAGCUUCCCCUUGUUCUGAUAUGACCCGAAAAGUGGAAAAAGUGCGUUUGUUUCUCCCUUCUAGAUUUAAAUCAUCUUCUAAUAAGCAUGAAUAGUCCUUUUACUAGAUUAAUUCUUGUUUGUAGGUUCUAAUUGUGGUUCAAUAAUUUAUUUUGAUUUUAUCAUGUUGGGUUUAAUGAAACAAGUGCCUUGGGCUAAGAGGUUAUUUUUGUUUGGGUUUAAGAAAGUCGUUUUAGUUUAUUUUGUUUGGUUUUUUGGUUCGGGCUAGAGGGUCAAGGCCCAUCUAUUUGGUUGGCUAAUUUUUGGGCCAGGAUAUUAUACUAGCCCACUUGUUUUCCUUGGACUUUCGAUUGGGCCAAGUUAUCUUGGCCCAAGAAAGGUGAAGAUGGCCCAUUCCCUUUUUGUUUUGGAUUUUCGGUUGGGCUUGUAAGGCUUUGGCCCAAACAAAUAAAGGAAAUGGCCCAAUGGCUUGGUCCAUUAAGAAACCAGAAAACGAUUUUGCAAAUCAGUCCCUGAAUUUCUCCCUAAUUGUAUUGUGGCCCUGGACAUUUUCAACUUCUUUCAAUUCGGUCCUUGCUUUAAUUGCAAAUAGGUCCCUGAACUUUAUUUUUCUUUAAUUUUGACCUCCAAACUUUGUCAAUCUUUGCAAUCAGGUCCUUUCUUCUCUUGACUUCUUAAAUGUGAAUUGUCGACAUGAUUUAAUUGAUUCAAAUUCAUGCUUAUUUUUUAUCCUUUGUGAUUAUUUGCCAAAUAAAUUGGUACCUUGACCUUUUUAUUGUUUUGAAGCUAAUAUCUCAUUUACUCGAUUUCCGUUGCGAGGGAGGUAACUUCUAUAUUUUUGAGUUUAUUUUUUCCUACGUGCUCCUACGUGUUAUGUGAAUAUGCCUGUCUACUUUGCUUUCUUUGCCUUUCUUUAAUUCUUUUCAUUUUUUUUUACUUACUUUUGCUUUUUAUUUAAGUUAUUCAUUAUGGGGUAUGUGUACACCUCUUGGCUUGUAAUAGUUAGGGAUUUAAUUAUUUUAUUCUUUUCCCCCUUUUAGAUUGUAGUGGGGUCUCCCUAAUGUAAUAGAUAGGGUUUGGAGGAGCAUUCAAUGAAGACCUAUCGAAGACUUGUGCCUAGCUAGCAAAUGUAAUAGUUAGGGCUUUAAUUGUCUCAUGUGCCUUGCAUGCUUAGUUGCUACGUGUUAAUUUGCUUUGCUAGGGCCUUGCAUCUAGUCGAGCAUGCAAAAUGUUAUGUGCUAUGUGUUUAUAAGUGUUUGGCAUGUCUACUCGCUUUCCAUAGCCUGAAUAAAUGUGAUGGAUGAAUGUACGUCACCACACUAGUCCAAUGCUAGUUGUGGCUCAUUAUUUCAUUAGGAAUUCAUAGAAAGGGCUAGUCCAACGCUAGACCCAAUAGGAUUUUUCCUUUGUUUUUCAUUAAUGCAUUAUUUGCCUGUUCACUACAUAUCAUGCAUUUUUCCUUAGUUUUAUCAUCUGGCAUGCUCCUCGAUUCCCCUUUCCCCUCACUUUAGGAUUUUUGCAUUUCAUGCUAGUUAUAGGGUUCAUUUGCCUGAAGAGUCCCCUUCUGAUAAGGGAAACGAGCGAGUGUGGCUACUCGAUAGCCUUAGCACGCUAGUUUCGCCUUCUAAUCAAAGGGAAGAUUAAGUCACAAAGUUAGGACUCCCCGUUCCCGUCUUGAUGCAUUCCUAUAGGAUUCAUGCAUUCUAUUCAUUCACUAUCACAUACACUUACUUUAUAUUCUAACCCUUUUUCCACAUUCUCACUUCACACUACUUUUACACGUUUUCAUUUAACUACUCACACUCUAUGCCAUAUCACUCGCACACAUGCACUUUAUAUUAUUUUCACAUUAUCAUUCUUUACUCACCUUACCUUGUAAAUACAUUUGCACACCUCCACUUUUCUCACUUCACAUAAACUUACAUUUUCACAUGACAUGCACCCCAUUCAUUUUUACGUCAUUUAGGAUUACGUGUGACCUCUCCAAAGGAUCAUUAUUGGGCUUCACAAUUAAUGUGAUUGGCACCACUCAACCUUUGAAGAGAAAUUUCCCCCAAUACCCCUAGGUCUAGGGUUUUGCAUUCAUAUAGACAUAUCCAACACGCGAUACAUACCUUGGGUAGAAAAAUUAGGAAAAAUUGGUUUAAGUCACGCAACUAGCCUUGGCUAGGUCGAAGGGGUGCCUUGGAUUUUUUAUCCUUGCCUUCCCCUUCGUCAAAUGUGACCCCCGAUCCCUCUUUUUGGUUACGUAGACCCAAAAGUUCUUUAAAAGGGUUUAUUUACUUUUUUUAUUCAAAAACAAAAAACCAUUUUUUGGGUGACUUGGUACACCCUAACCCUAUACCAAGUGGCGACUCCAUUUUUGAUACAAAAAACCCUUUUUGAACUUUAUAUGGCCAAACCGUCGCAUUAUCAAGUCCCAUGGCCUUUUACUUUUCAUUUACACACGUUCACAUUCCAUUACACCACUCACAUCUCACACCACACACACACCACAACUCAUCAUCUUCGAAAAGUGGGGCGCGACAGUGCAAAAAUAAUUAUUUUCUCUGAUCAUGCAGCCUUGAGGUACUUGUUAGUGAAGAAGGAUGCAAAACCAAGGCUCAUAAGGUGGGUUUUACUUCUGUAAGAGUUCAAUUUAGAGAUUAAGGAUAAGAGUGGGGCCGAGAACUUGAUGGCUGAUUAUUUGAGGCGUUUUCUUACGAAUAAGGAAGAUCUGUCAUUGAGAGAAUUGUUUUUCGAGGAGCAGUUACUAGCCAUUAAUUCGUCAGUACCUUGGUAUACUGAUGUUGUCAAUUUUUUGGUAACAAAUCAAUUACCUGCAGAUUGACCAAAGGCUAAGAGAGAUAAAUUGAGAAGUGAUGCCAAAUACUAUAUUUGGGAUGGCCCUUACCUGUGGAGGCAAUGCUCGGAUCAAGUGAUAAGAAGGUGUGUAAGUGCAGGUGAGUUCCAUUCUAUUUUAACUUUUUGUCAUUCAUUUGUACGUGGAGGGCACUUUAGACCAAAGCGAACAGCUCGUAAGGUGUUGGAGAGUGGUUUUUAUUGGCUUACUCUGUUUAAGGAUGCAUAUUUAUUUUGUAAAUCUUGUGAUAGGUGUCAAAGGGUGGGGAAUAUUUUUCGUAGAGACCAAAUGAUUCAAACUCGCAUGUUGUUUGUUGAAAUUUUUUAUGUCUGUGGUAUAGAUUUCAUGGGUCCCUUUCCCUCGUCUUUUGGUUUCUUAUACAUUUUACUUUGCUGUCGAUUAUAUUUCUAAAUGGAUGGAGGCAAAGGUCACCCGGACUAAUGAUUCGAGAGUGGUUGCAGAAUUUAUAAAGUCUAACAUUUUUUGUCCGCUUUGGAAUGCCUAGAGCUGUAGUUAGUGACAGGAGCACUCAUUUUUGCAAUAAAACGAUCGUUGCCUUGUUCCGUAAAUAUGGCGUACUCCACCAAAUAUCCACACCCUAUCAUCCGCAGACGAAUGGUUAGGCCGAAGUGUCGAAUAGGGAGAUUAAGUCAAUUUUGGAGAAGAUGGGGUGGCCUGAUAGAAAGGAUUGGAACUUGAAGUUGGAAGAUGCUCUAUGGGCUUACCGCACCGUGUAUAAAAUACCAAUUGGAACGUCCCCAUACAGAUUAGUCUUCGGGAAGCCGUGCCACCUCCCAAUAGAAUUUGAACACAAGAAAUUUUGGGCAAUUGAGCGGUGCAACAUGGACCUUGUGGAUGCCGGGGGACAUAGAAAGCUCCAAUUACAAGAGUUGGAAGAAUUAAGGAAUGAAGUCUAUGAGAACGCAACAAUUUAUAAAGAGAAGAGCAAAGUCUUUCACGACUAACAAGUCUCAAGGAAGUCAUUUGUAGUAAGGCAAAACGUCCCCCUAUAUCACUCGAGAUUUAAGUUUUUUUCCGGUAAGUUGCGUUCGCGUUGGAUUGGUUCAUUUGUCAUUUCUAAUAUUUUUCAUUAUGGUGCAGUGGAAAUCCAAAGUUUGAAAAUUGAGAAGAAGUUUGUGGUAUAUGGUCAACAUUUUAAACCCUAUUAUGAGAGGUUUAAUAGUGAGCAAGUGGAUGUCAUAUAUGUUGAUGAUCCAAAUUGUGUGGCUUAACUAGCUAUUACUGUGUCUAGCCAAAAACAUUAAAGAAAGACGCUACUUGGAAGGCAAUCCAAGGAUUUCAAUUGUGUUUUAUUUCAUAUUUGUGUAUUCAAGAUCAGUGGAUUUAGGUUCCUAUUGACAAACAAUCUGUAUUGUACGUCAUGGGUGUUUCUGUGCAGUUUUAUUCUAGGUUGGGGGCACAAAUUUGUGGGCAAGAGACUUCAUGUUACAAGGCGUGCUCGCGCCUUGUAUUCACCGCACAUGGACAUUUGUAAAAUUUGGUGAACAGAGGACUUACACCCCCAAGGCAUGCCCACGCCGCACAGCAGAUCGUGUCGAACAUAUUACAAUGGGAUGGGCAGACAGAGUCAAACGUGACCAGGACCUUCUCUAACCCCACUUUUCUACUUUUCUCUUUUCUUGUCUUGACUGGUCUUUUCAUUUUUUUUUGUCUUAGCCUCCCCUAGUUUUCUCCCAUCUUUGCUGAAAUCUCAGAGGCCACCGCCACUGCACACCUGCUCCGUUGAUGCCGCUGUCUCCACUAUCUGCGGUCAAGCUCCGGCCGCCAUCAUGCACGCUGUCCGGGCGCACAUCGGCAUCGCCAUAUGCGCCUCGCCGACGCUGCUCAUGCACGUCUCAUGCCGCACGCCAACGCCUCCGUACUUCCCUUCCUCGCCGUAGCGCGCCACCACCGUAGGCGCCAUCAGCUCUACCUAGGGCGCCACACCAAUCAUCGACCGCUCGCGCCCCGCGAUAUCUCACUGUUCCCCGCCGUCGCGACUGCUGCCCUCCGCCAUCGUCGUCAUUGAGGCUCCACUUCUUCCUCUCUGUGCACCACCAACGCUUGCUCCUUCCACGCCACCGCGCCGACCGCCGACUCACCCCUGACGCCCUUGCAGUCGUACCGACCGUCGCUUCCACCGGGGUCCCCUCCAGCAUGACAAAGUGGUACCCCUAAUUCAUUUCUUGCCAUUACUGCUUAAAAUCUGAAAUUGUUUCUAUGCGAUAUUACUCUAUUGUUUGAGCUGAGCUUGCUGAACCUCUGAGACUUUCAUAUGUGUUCUUUGCUUCGCGGUUGAAUUGCUGUGAUUGGUUGUUGGUGUUGGUGUAGAAUUGUUGUGGGGUGCUGAGGUUGUUGUUGUUUAUUUUGCUUUCGAAUUGGUUGUCGAGGGUUUGAUAGGUGAAGCACGUGGCGCAGUAUCAAUUCUGGUUUAAUGUUGAGUGCAUUGUUGACCAGUUAUUUUAGGAAUCUGUUUGUCUUUUUGCCUUGUUGUUGUGGUGGUGGGGUAAUUAUAUUUUUCUUUGCUAUUGGACUGUUGACUGUUGAGUGACACCUAUUGACUGUGGUCCCCUGUCCCCAUUUGGUGGUUGCUUCACUGUUUCUGUGCUUAUUCGUAUUUGUCCUGUGGCCUCCAAAUGCCUUCGAAAAAGCGCGUGUUCAGACACCCACUUCAUCUGGUCCAUCUAAGUCCCAACCUCGUAAGAGGCGAGCCCAAUUCAACCCCCCACUCGAUCCCGUUUAGGUCUCUCUAAAAGUACUAUAUCUCCUGGGACAUGGGGGGAACCUACCACUAACCUUACACAGGAACAAAAGGACCGAUUGACUAGCUUGAUGCCACGUCCUUUUGCUCCGUGUAAAUGUUUCCAUGCCCCAACCCUGGAUCAUUUGCAAAUUGCACGAGAAGUUGAACAGUUGUUCUCAGCAAUUGGUUGGCAGUGGUAUCUGGUCAUCGACUAUCCUACAUUUGAGGAGCUAUGUUAUGAAUUCUACUCCACUUUUGAGUUCAAUAAAAAUGAAUUCAUCACUUUGGAUGAGCGGGGGUGAUUACAUUUAGAUUAAGGGGUACCCCACAAGAUUUGUCCAUUAAUGACUUUAAUCUGAUUUUGGGGUUUUUCAGUGAAGAGACCCUUUCCUCCGGGACGUAUAUCAACAGUGCGUGUGAUUAUACCAGACCCUUUGCUAGUGAAUAUAUUGACAUAUGGAGGGAGUAGUUCACGGACCCUCAACUCUAUGAUCCGAGUCAGUCCAAGGCCUCUCAUCUUAAGAAUCCGAUCUUGAAGGUUAUCCACAGGUUCUUGGCCUACAAUUUCUCGGGUCAGAAGAACUCUUCCGGCACCCUUGCCAAGGUUGAAUUCUAUUUUCUUUGGUGUAUGCGCAACAAAGUACAUGUCGACUUUGGGUGUUGGGUGACCACUCAAAUGCAAUCCGUCAUUCAAAAGCGACAUAAGUAGGUGAUUAUGGAUUCGCUCAUUACUCACUUGGCCGUUCGGUUGGGAUUGCUUGACCUCGACAAAGAACACAAGUUCGCUCUAACUUGCGAGAUUGAGCCAUUGGAUUUGCGUAGCUUAGAAAGGAUGGGGGUUAUUUUCAAAGUAGGAGAUGUAUAUCAGAUGACGCUUCCUGGCGAUGGCAGGCUACAACCCCGGGUUCCUCCUACUAUUCCCCCUACUGGUUCACCAACCCGCACAGAUCAAGUGGGUCCGUCCUCCUACCAUGCUCCCCCUGCUUGGGAUUUCCAAUACCGUGCCCUCCAAGAUUCUAUUCGUGAACUAGGCGAGCUAGUUGUGGGACUGGAUGGCCGUCUUGCAGCGUUGCAAGUUUUUUCCCGUAUUCAGACAAAGAAUCAGGCAGCUUUCUUUGCUUAGAUUGGAUUCUAGCUGCCUCAUCCUCCUCCCCCUUAGUGUUUCGCUGCGUCGUCUCGGCUGUCAGGGAAGUUUCACCCCUUUACACUUACACACUAUUUAUUUUUGCUACAUUGAAGACAAUGUCGAUUUUAGGUGUGGGAGGGAUGGUUUCUAUUAUUUCUUUUUUGCUUGAAAAGAGAAAAAAAAGAAAUAAAAAAAAGAAAAAGAAAGAGAGGAAAAAAUGAAACAAAAAAAAAAGUAUAGUUAGUUGACUUCUUUAGUUCUAUAUUUGUUAAUUGCUAGAGCAUGUUGCUAUGAUGGAUUGCACAAUCAAGGUGCACGUGUAUGUAUCAUUUAUGCUAACUAUGUACUCUACUUUUCCUAGCCAAUGUAGCUGAGUGAUGAAUAUGCUGGACUUGACCCAUUCUUGAAACUUUUGGGAGUUUUUGAGCAGUGCACGAGCACAUUACUCUCGUUUGCUUCGUUUGUGUUGUUGAGUGGGUAUCACACAUGGUAUUAACAUUCUAGAACUUGCUAUUUUAUACAUGUCAAAGCCACAUCUUGUUGAACUGGAUGCAUUUGAAAUGAUAAAGGCAUUUAGGAUUUAACUUUCUUUAAUUUUCUACAAACCAUACCUUCAUCUUGUCUCCCAAUAGUGAAUCAAUUUGAGCUUUUAUUCUUCUCCUUUGUUUGUUAGCCGUGUUUGAUAACCCAGGACUUUUUUUUUUGACUUUCUUGUCCAACCUUGUGUCGUUAAGAGAUGUCUGAAUUUCAUUGUUUGUGCAAGGCAAAUAAAUUUAGGGUCGCAAGUGUUGUUAGAAUAGAAGUUGUAUGGUGUUGGUUCUGUGCAUCUGAGAUCGAAAAGAAAAAGAAAAAAAAGACGAGAAAAAGAGAAAAAAGAAGGAAAAAAAUGUCUACAAACUGGUGAGCAUGGGAUUCUGCUUACAGGGCGUGCCAUGCCUUGCAAGACGCCCUUUCAAAAAAAAACAGAAAGAGAGAGAAAAGAGUUUCGACACUUGCGCAGUUGGUAUAGCAAAUGGAAAUGCCUUGCUUGUGGAAGUUCUCCAGUAAAGCGUUGAGGUUAUGUAGUGGAUAUCGGACAUUAUCUUGACACAGUGCACCCUAUCUUUACCUUCUUAUCCCGCUUUGUUGGCCUAAUCAGCAACAUCCCUCAGAUUCCGGCUCGAAGGGACUAACCGCCCAACUCGUGGCACCCAGGGGUGCAGCCCCUCAUGCUGGCCAAGCGUGGUACGAUGCUUUUCGCUGCUAUUGUGGUUAAGGAAAUAAAGUUACAUCUUCACUAACAGCUAUAGCUUUUGGUGCAAUGGUAAGCGCUUGAUCCUGACAAGUGGUAUCGGAGCGAGGUCGCAGGUUCGAGUCUCCCUGGUUAUUGUUGGGGGAGGAAAUGUUGGCCUAAUCAGCAACAUUCCUCAGAUCCCGGCUCGAAGGGACAGCCCGUGGCACCCAGGGAUACAGUCCCUCAUGCUGGCCGAGCGUGGUACGGUGCUUUGCGCUGCCAUUGUGGUUAAGGAAAUAAAGUUGCGCUUUCACUAAUAGCUAUAACUUUUGGUGCAAUGGUAAGCGCUUGAUCCUGACACGCUUUUCAUCCAAGCCCCAUUACAACCCUAUUAAAGUCCCUUUGAUUUAUGUAUUGAGUUCAUUUUUGAAUGGUAGAGAUGUGAUAAAUGUGCAAGCCUAUGGUAAUGUCAUUCCGUGGUGUUGAUUUGAGCGUUCCUGGUAUCUAUACAUUUUCUUGAAAGUGAUGAGUAUUACUGCUCAUACUCUUUGGAUAACUACCUGUCCGGUGUGCUCUAACUUUGGCGACAUUGUCAGGAAUGCAGGAUGCUUGUGUUAGUGUAGAUCACCGCAUAGUAGUUGCUAUUGUGAUUGAACUUCUGAUCUUCGAAAUGCUUGAGAACAAGCAUUGCCUAGGUGUGGAGGGAUUUGAUAGAGCAAUGUUUGGGCAUCUUAUGUGCUGUUAUGUGGUCAUAAUUUUGGCUACUUAUUAUGCUAAAUAUUGAAAUUUUGCUCAUAUUUGAUAUUUGUGUAAAUUAUAGGCGGUUGGUGUCAAAAAGUGUCUCUGAAGGUGAAUUUCCACAAGACUUUUUAUUUCAGGGUGUGCCCACGCCAGAAACUGUAGAAGAGACGCCUCAAAGUCAGACCGCGGGACUAACUAACUAACUAAACUCAUCCUUAUUCCUGCGGGAUGCGGUUGGAAGUGCGUCAAAACAAAAAGACGGCAAUUUCCAGCGAAUUUGUGAUAGGGUAUUAAUUGUUAGUAAUUUUAUUGUUAAUUUUUUCCUUUGUCCUUACCAAAUAUUGUUUUAAAUUGUUAAUAUAUACUUGUAUUUGGUAUUUGGACCUAUCUACAGGAAGUGGAACUAAAAAGUGCUAAAAAGGGGGGACCUUUUGGAGAGAAUUGCUCCACACGUGGGAGACUUCAAAAAGCUUCACGAACCUGGCCCACAGGAUACUAAGCAACGGACUUCCUUUUCUUUUUGCUGAUAAAGAGUUGCUGACUAGGAGUCUUCCUAUCAAAAGGAAACGAAAAAAGUGGAAUUCGGAGAGCUUUCUUUUUGUACCUUUUCUUUCAAUUCGGCAGGGACAACGUAGGGAGCAUUAGUCAUUGUUUAAGAGACAGUUUAGUUUUCUUUCUUUUCUUUUUCAUGCGUAAGUCUUGUUCGAUAAAAGUCUCGACUGGAGAAAUAUCGUUUAUUUCUUGAUUAUCUAGUGAAAAACGUGAUGCCUUUGCAAUUAAUUAAUUUGCGUGGAGAUUUACUGAUGCGGCGUGGUUAAGUUUUUCAUCUAGUCAAGGAUCAAUGCGACAAUGCAAUCCCUAAUAUCCGUGAGAUCGAAUUAAUUUUCAUGCAUUCCUUAAUUUGUUAAUAUUUGCACGUUGUCUGCUUGAAUUUUCAUGGGAUUAUUUUGUUAAUUGAAUGUCAAGGGCCCGAUGUUCAAUGCGACUUAUUAAUCUCCUGUCAAAUUAGUUAAUUAAAUCUGUAAUUAUUUAAAUUGAUUGAUAUCAGUGGCAACUAACGUUUUUAUACACUAGGGGAGCGUUCAAUCUGUUUCAAAUAACUCUCGUAGCAUGUUAUUGAUUAGGGUUAGACUUUUCUAGUUUUUAAUGCAAUUAGAGAAUUAAAUCCUAUGAUCAUACCUAGGAGUGUUUCCGGGUUAGGGGUAAUCAACGGUCGUACCUUGGUUGUCAAUAAAUUAAGGAAAAGCUGGUCGUCAGAACUUAUUGGCGACUAUAACUAACCUGUUAAUAAAAUUAAGUAAGCCUCCCUUGCAUCAAUAAUCGGAUGAAUGGACUGUGUCGGUGAAGUUGUAUCCUUGGCUCGAACUUGUCUAUUAUUUAUUUAAUUCCUAUCUACAUUCGUGUUAGUUAAUCGUUUACUUUUGGUUGAAUUGCUUAAUUAUUUUUAGUUUCAUUCCGAUAAAAUCCCCCAUUGUUAACUUGAACUUUAGUAAGAAACGAAUUACUCCCAAUCUCUGAGAAUACGACCCUACUUGCCCUGUUUUCAAAGCAAUAAUUAUUUGUGAAUAAGCAAUCCCAUUCUGGUAUAUCGGGUCAAGCAAACUUUUUGGAAACAGGGUGAAUCAAGUAACCUAUUGCACACCUAGAGUCCCUACUCCAGUACUUAGAAUUGGAUUUUGAUUACUCCGAUUGGCAACUAGGUUUAUUUUUAUUAUUGCGCAGGUUCGGCCCUUGUCAAUUUUUGGCGCCGUUGCCGGGGACUGGCAUUAAUUAUUUGUUUCUUUUUAAGUUCAAUUUUGUUCUAAUUUUCUGAUAUUUUUCUAGUUUAUGCCUCGUUCUUCUUGGACAGACGAAUUAAUUUUUGACCCUGAAGUAGAGAAGACCGCGCGUAAAAAGAGCAAAGAGACAAGACAGCUUAGAGAGGAGUUGUCCAGUGUUGCACCUGAGGGACUUGAUCCAAAGGUUGAGUCAACAAAUUCGCAUGGUGAUAAUUCGAGUGAUUCAGACCAAGAGGAAGUCACCAUGGCGAAUGCACGAACAUUAAGGGGGUUAGCUGCCCCAAAUUUAAAUCAACAACCCUUAUGCAUUACUUUUCCGCAUUUAAAUGAUAACACAUCUUUCGAGUUAAAAUCUGGCCUGAUUCAUCUUUUACCAUCUUUUCAUGACUUACCAGGUGAGGAGCCCUACAAGCACUUGCAAGAGUUCAAUGUCGUUUGCAACAGUAUGAAGCCCUCGGAAAUUACAGAAGAGUAGAUAAAAAUGAGGGUCUUUCCCUUCUCUUUGAAGGACUCCGAGAAAAAUUGAAUGUACUACCUACAACCAGGUAGUAUCACCACGUGGGACCAGCUGAAAAAAAAAUUCUUGGACAAAUACUUUUCGGCGUCUCGAGCUGCAAGUCUAAGGAAGGAGAUAUGCGGUAUCAAACAACACCCAGGCGAGUCUCUCUAUGAGUACUGUGAGAGGUUUAAGAAGCUGUGCAUCAAAUGCCCUGAGCAUUAGAUAAGUGAGCAACUGCUCAUCCAAUAUUUCUAUGAGGGGCUACUCUUCAGGGACAGAAGUAUAAUCGAUAUUGCAAGUGGAGGGGCAUUGGUGAACAAGAUUCCUCGAGAAGCAUGGGAGUUGAUUAAAGGGAUGGCUGAGAAUUCACAGCAGUUUGGUUCAAGAGAGGACAUCCCGACGCGUAGGGUGAAUGAGGUAGAAACAUCCUCUAUCCAACAAUAGCUCUUCGAAUUGACAUCUUUUGUACUACAACUAGCUGUGAAAAAUGCUCCACAAGCCAAAGUAUGUGGAGUAUGCACUGCUUUGGGUCAUUUUAUGGAGAUGUGUCCACUAGUUCAAGAAGAAAGUGCAGAGCAAGUGAACAUGACUGGUCACGCGCCCGCGCCAAGAAGGCCAUAUAACCCGUGUUCGAAUACGUACAAUCCGGGUUGGAGAGAUCACCCUAACUUUAGUUAUAGAGGAAAUAGGCAGUCCAAUUUUGCACCAAAUAGAGAGCAAGGGCAUCAACAGCAGUACCAGUCUCGCCCACCACCACCCCCUUCGAACUCAAGUCCGUCCAUGAAAGAGAUGAUGAAGCAAUAAAUUGCUAAUCAACAAAAGACGGAUUCAGAGUUGUAAAGUAUGAGAAAUCAAUUGGGACAGAUGCAAUCAUUGCAAAAUCAAAUAAAUCAAAUGGCCAUAACGAUCAACCGCCUGAAAUCCCAAGUUCAAGGGAAGUUGCCAUUUCAACCUGAGUUGAAUCCGAAAAAUGUAAGUGCACUGACCUUGAGGAGUGGCAAGGAAGUCCAAGGAUCCGAACCGGUGAUUCUUAGGACAAGGACAAGGAACGAAUUGAGAAAGAGUUGGAAGAAGAGGGCAGAGACAACAAAGAUCCAAAGGUAACCUCGGACCAAUCAUUACAGUUAGAACUAAUCCACCUUCCUUUCCUAGCAGGUUGGAGAAACCAAAGAAGCAAUACAAAGAAAAAGAGGUCCUGAAGAUAUUUCGCAAGGUGGAGAUCAACAUUUCCCUACUGGACGCGAUUAAACAAGUACCCAGUUACGCAAAGUUUUUGAAGGACUUGUGUGUCAACCGAAGGCGGUUAAAAGGAGAUGAACGAGUUAUAGUGGGGGAGAACGUGUCAGCAAUUCUACAAAGGAAACUUCCCAUCGAAAUAUGGGGACCCAAGUAUGUUACUAUUCCCUGUAGGAUCGGUAAUACCUUGAUUGGAAAGGCCAUGUUAGACCUAGGAGUUUCGAUAAACGUCAUGCCAAAGUCCAUAUAUGCUUCUUUGAAUUUAGGUCCUUUAAAAGAAACGGGGAUAAUAAUUCAAUUAGCUGACCGAACUGCCCUGAUGGGUUGAUUGAAGAUUUUUUUAGUAAAAAUUAAUGAAUUGAUUUUUCAACUGAUUUUUAUGUGCUUGAUAUGGAUGAUAAAUACUCCCACGACCCCUUACCUUUAUUGUUAGGUAGACCCUUUUUUAGCACAGCCGAACCAAAAUUGAUGUUAACAAGGGUAUCUUGUCUAUGAAAUUUGAUGGUGAUAUUGUUCACUUUAACAUUUUUGAGACCAUGAAAUAUCCUUCAGAUUCAAAUGUCAGCUCUGUUUUCUCUGUAAAUGUUAUUGACCCUGCGGUACAGGAGGUUAUUGAAAUUGAAGGCAGGGAUGAGCUGGAAGUCGCCUUGACCAGGCACUUCGAGUCAGAGACGACCUCUGAGAUAGAGUUGAGUGAAGAGCUCAAAUGUGUGAUUGGAGCGUUGCAAUCAUUGUCAAUCACGAAAACAAGGUAUGGGCUUGCACCCAUUUUCACACCUGAACCUCACCAACGGUUACUUUCAUCUGUGGUGUAGGCACCUAUCUUGGAACUGAAACCCCUGCCGAAACAUCUAAAGUAUGCAUACUUGGGUGAAGGGGAGACUCUCCCAGUGAUCAUCUCUGCUAGUUUAUCGGAGGUCCAAGAAGACAAACUAAUUCGAGUUUUGAGGGAACAUAAGCAGGCGAUAGGAUGGACCAUCGCCGAUAUCAAGGGAAUUAGCCCCGCGGUAUGUAUGCAUCGCAUUCGACUCAAUGAGGGUUCUAAACCCGUGCGGCAGGCUCAGAGGAGACUAAAUUUCCUCAUGAUGAAGGUAGUGAAGAAAGAGAUCCUGAAACUGCUGGAUGUGGGGAUAAUAUUCGCAAUAUCAGACAGCCCUUAGGUAAGUCCAGUAUAGGUGGUUCCGAAAAAGGCAGGGGUGACGGUGGAAUCAAAUUAAGAGGGUGAGCUCAUGCCAGUUCGGAAGCCCACCGGAUGGCAACAGUGUAUCGACUAUCGGAAGUUAAACGUCGUCACAAAAAAGGAUCAUUUUUCCCUUCCUUUUAUUGAUCAGAUGGUAGAGCGAUUAGCAUGUCGAGCUUAAUAUUAUUUUUUGGAUGAAUUUUCAAGUUAUUUUCAGAUUGCUAUCGCACCCGAGGAGCAGGAGAAGACCACUUUCAUGUGCUCGUUUGGAACAUUUGCAUACAGGUGAAUGCCAUUUGGAUUGUGCAAUGCACCUACUACCUUCCAACGUUGCAUGGUAAGCAUUUUUUCGGAGUAUAUUGAGAAGAUUAUUGAGAUUUUCAUGGACAAUUUUAGUGUGUAUGGUGAGAGUUUUGAUAACUGUCUAGAUAACCUGAAACUAAUCUUAGUAAGGUGUAUAGAAACUAAUUUCGUGCUUAAUUGGAAAAAAUACCACUUUAUGAUCGAACACGGGAUAGUUUUGGGUCAUGUAGUGUCGUCUAGGGGUAUUGAGGUUGAUAAAGUGAAAAUAGACAUUAUAUCUACUUUACCUUACCCCAUGAGUGUGCGGAAAGUGCGUUUUUUUUGUCACGCAAGUUUCUAUAGAAGGUUCAUCACAGACUUCUCGAAAAUUAGAGCACCCUUGUUCCAACUUUUGCAAAAAGAGGUGCCCUUCGAAUUUGAUGAAGCGUGUAAGAGGGCAUUUGAUAGGUUGAAGGAGCUAUUGACCUCGUCAUCUAUUAUACAACCUCCUGAUUGGAACCUACCAUUCGAGAUCAUGUGCGACACCAGCGAUUAUGCAGUGGGCGCGGUGCUGGGUCAGAGAGUAGGAAAGACAGCCCAUGCUAUCUACUACGAGUAUCAAGCCUUGAACGGAGCUCAAUUGAACUGUUCAAUCACCGAAAAGGAGCUUUUGGCGGUUGUUUUUGCUUUAGAGAAAUUCUGGUCUUAUUUACUAGAUACCAAAGUUAUUGUCUUUUCAGACCAUGCAGCGUUGCGGUAUCUGUUGACCAAGAAAGAGGCAAAACAGUGACUGAUAAGGUGGAUAUUAUUGUUACAAGAGUUUGACCCAAAGAUCAGAGACAAGAAAGGGGCAAAAAAUCUGGUAGCAGAUGUAGACACCAAAUUUUUAGCCUUUCUUUUUCUUUUUAUUUUAUUUAUUUAAUUAGUUGAUUUUGUUUUAAUUUUUGCUAAGAAAAUUGUUUUACUAUUAUUAAUUAAUUCAUUGAAAAAAAGAAAAAGAAAAAGCUAUUCCAUGUGCAUGUGCUUGGCACGUGCGCCAUUUUCUUUUCUUUCAUGCAAAAAAUGCAAGCGGAAGGCGAAAAUAGGGACAGAAAUUUGCAGCUGCAUUUUUUUAAUCCCAGCCUCAUCUCAAAAAUGCCAUCCAAUGGCUCAAGUUUUCAGUAGAAACCCACCCUUCAUCCUCACCUUUGAGGUGAGGGUUUUAGGGACCUGGGGUUUCCUAUAAAAGAAAAAAGAGCAGCGGGGACAAAGGGUAAGAGGAGUCGGCAGCUGGGGCUGAGUAGAAACAACGGAGGAAAAAAGCAAAAAGGGGGGGUUCUUGGGGAGAGUAGUUGACGGCUGAAGGAAAGAGUGAAUGGAGAGUCUGAGGGCUAGAGAGAGUUUUGGAGAGGGUGACGGCCGAAAGAAAGAAACCAAGCGAGAGGAAACCAAGGAAAGGAGAAGCGACUUCAUCAAUGUAAAGGGCAUUUCGUGGGUCUUCGUUUCCAGAAACAACGUGUUUGUCCUGAGACUGGUAGAGAAACGAAUCAAGAGUCUGAGGAAGACACAAGGGAGGAUCGGGGAAUAAGCAAAGGAAAUCUGCAAAAUCUUGAAGAAGGCUUCGAAGCUGAGAGCGAGGGAAAGAGGACUGCUCGACGAGGUGGCAACUUCUGCAGCAAAAGUUCCCGAUCGCGUUCCUGGGAACCCGUAUGCGUUUCCGGGCAGAUCCCAAGGCCGCUCAACCAUGCUAGCAUUCUCAGGUAAAAAUGCCUCUUAUUUGGUGGAUUUUAACAUGUUUUUAUGAAAGAUAAAGCCAUCGGAUGUGAAUCUUUUUGUUUGCUAUUGGGUCAAGCUCUCGCUGGUUCUAUGAUUCUGCCAUUUUGCUCGUUUGCUAAGAUCUGAUUCAGUAGGAACCUAUGAGAUGAGUCUGAUUAAGAACAUGGGGUUUAGGGUUUUCUGUAGUGGUCACCUGAUGAAUCCAUGAGUUCUUUGCUCGAUGUUUAUGGUCAGUCUUUGUGUGCAUGAAUAAGCAAACCCAGAAAAGUGGCGUAAAGCUUCGGACAAGUCUGUUUUGAUGUUUCCUUGAUUGCUGCUUCUCCAUUUCUUGUUGUUUGUGUAAUAUUUGAUAUCGGGUUUCAGUGUUAAAUGGAGCAAAUGGUGAGUUUUGGUUGUUGGCUUGGAGAUUGAUCCAUCGGAUCCGAACAUUUGAUAAUAAAAAUGGUAGAAGGUUUUUUGAAUGCACCUGGUUCGAUGUUAGUUUUGUACUUGGGUUAUGUUAAUAAGGGUGAUUUGGAGAUUUAUGAGAGUUCUAGUUCACAAACAAAAUAAGUUUCAUUGAUUUCUUUUCAUAUAAUAUCAGCGUGGGUUGAGCUGCAAUUUUGCAGUAGAAAGUUGCGGCAGAAGAAGAAUGUUUUUUUCAUAUCAGGUUGCAUGAUCCUUUUGUAUGAGUGUCGGGUGCUUAAAUAUAAUGGUUUUAUGUUAGAAAACAGAGGGGGGAAUGUUUAAUAAUCCUGUUGCCUGGCUUCAGUUUGCAUUGCGCUUAUAGUUUGCGCAUAAGAAUGCUUGUUGCAGCGGUAUGGACGAAGUUCUGUUUUUUCCUUUUCCUGUUUCAAGUUCAAGUUUUGACUGUGGAAUAUGUGUGUUUUGUUGCUCAAUUUAAGUUGAAGUCUAGGUGAAAUGUUUUGGAUCAAGUCUGGAAUCCUUAUUUGAAAUGAAAGGGCAACAGCGUGCGUUUGUUCUUGAUUGCAGAAGCUUUAAGCUUCGGGAUUGUGCAUGGACUUGCAUGAAUAGCUUUCAAAAUUUGCACUUUGCUCCCCUUAGCUUCUAUCUAUGCUACAGAGGCCCAAUUAUGUUCUAAUUUCUUGCAAUUAGGUCCUAAAGUAAUUGCCAUUUGAACCAUUGCUUGACCUUUCCAUUACUUAUGGGCCUUUGAAGUUCCCAAAUAUUUUAAUUGGGCUUGAAUGAUUGGUUAAGGCUUGCUCUUGGGUCCUUAGUAGUUUUUUUCUAUUUUAGGAACUUGAUUGACAAUUUACCUUCCUUGCAAUUAUGCAUUAUUUGAUUACAUUCAAUUUGCAAUUGGGAAGGAUUAGGUGAUUUGUUGGUUUAACUUAUUUUGUGCUUUUGUUUAUAUGGUUAUUCGUGAUGCCUUGACUUUUUCUUUUAUUUUGGAGGGUAAAUAAGUAAUCUCACUCCAUUAGGGCCCCAAUUCAAGGAAGGUACACCCUAUCUCUUAUUUCUUACUUUAUUUGACUUUACGUGCCCUAUGUGACUUUACGUGUUUGAUUGCAUACCUCUUGAAUGUUUUUUUUAUUAUUUUAUUAUUUAUUUAUUUGUUUGCUUUAUUGACUUUAGUUUUGUAUAUCUAUUUUAGUUCAAUUUUGAUCAUUUGAAAGGCAAUUUAAUGUCAAAGUUGUAAUAACUAGGUUAUGAUUUUAUUUAUUUAUUUCUUUCCCCCUUAAAUUGUAGUAGGCGUUCCCUUUUGUAAUAGAUAGGGCUUGGGUGUGCCUACAUGCCUAUGUGUUUAAUUGCUUUCCCUAGGCUUCUGCAUCUAUAUAAGCAUGCUUAUGUGCUACGUGCUAUGUGAAACUAUGUGCUUUGCAUGUCUAUUUGCUUUAGUAUUAUAUCUGAUUAUGUGGAUGGAAUGCACGUUACCGUGACUAGUCCAAUGCUAGUCAUGAUCUUCCCCUCGAUCACUCACAAGUCCAAUGCUAGAUCCAAUAGGACUGUCCCUCACUAGUACAUACUUGCAUGCCUUCACUACAUCUUCAUUCAUUUUUUUCCCUUUUAGUUUUACAUUUUUGCAUGAUCCUUCACUCCCUUUCCCGCAUUUGAAACAUGAUUUUUAGGAUUUUGUAUUUCAUUCUAGUUAUUAGGGUCAUUUGCUUGAUUAGGUUAGGGAGUCACCCUUCUGGUAAGGGGAAUGGACGAGUGUGGCUACACAUAGCCUUAGCACGCUCAUUCUUUUUCUAAUCAAAAGGCAAAUCGUAAGUCACGAUUUAGGGUCUCCCCGUACACGUUUUGCUUGCAUUCCUCUAGGUCUCAUGCAUUUCAUUUUGCACACACACACACACUUUACACUCUCUCUCAUUUGCACACGUACACUUUACACUCUCUCUCAUUUGCACACGUACACUUUACACUCUCUCUCAUUUGCACACGUACACGUUACAUAUUCAUUUGCAUCCUUACACUUUAUACACUCCCUCAUUUGCACACAUGCACUUCUCACUAUCACUUUACACUCUUCCUCAUUUGCACACAUACACUUCACAUUAUCACUUUGCACACUACCACCUUACACUUUCUCACUACACACCCGUUCAUAUUGAUCACAUUUGCAUCCAUUCAUCUCACUCGAGCAUUCAUUUGCAUUUAUUCGUGGCCUCUUUGAGGGUUCACCAUUUGGCUAUCACAAUUCAUGUGAUUAGGACCAAUCGAGCCUCAAAAGAGACAUUUUGUUCCUUUCGAACCAAUAAUUAGAUUUAGGUUUGCAUUCACAUUAGACACAUCCAAAAUGCGAUACAUCUUUUGGGUAGAAAUUAGGAAACUUGUCACUAAAUCACGCAACUAGCUUAGGUUAGGGUAAAAGGGUGCCUUAGACUUCGUUUUUGCCUUCCCUUUUAUCAACCGUGACCCCCGAACUCAUCUCUUUGAUUUUCGUAGAUUAGGAGUCAUCUAAAAAGGUUUUUCACCUCAUUUUUCAAAAACUAUUUUUUGGGUGACUUGGUACACCCCAACUCAAUAACAAGUGGCGACUCCUAUUUUUCAUGUUAAAAACCCUUUUAGAUUAUCGUUUUGGCCAAACCGUCGCAUUUAAAAGUCCCAUGGCCUUUUCCUUUAAUUCUCAUAUUCACACACUUCACACACAAUACACAUUAUGACUUCAAAACAAACUUUCACUUUUUUCUUUAUAUUUUCUCAAAAAAUGGGGCGGGACAGCUUGGCGACUCCACUGGGGACUUCCUAAGUGGGUCCGAGCACUUGAUUUAGUUAUUCUUUUCCUUUUUUACCCUUUUCAUGUAUCGCAUUUGCGUGUUUAAGGUUGCAUUUUUUUUCUUUUUUAGGAGUUUUGCAUUCCGCGCGUAUCAACUCACUCCCUUACUCAUUUGCGUACAUUUGAUUUGAUGGAUGGAUGAUUUAUUUAUGUUAUCCCGCGCUUUGCAUUGCAUUUGGAUGGGGGGAUAUUACCCUAGAGCCUCGCGUUGGUUCUCGAUCCCUCCCCUCCAAAUGGAGCACUAGCAUACGUGCAUACGCUUUAUUUUUUAUCCCUCAUUUAUUUUUCUUUUUAGUGGCUUGUCACGCCACUCCACCCUACUAGGAUUAGACGACCCAUUUGGACGUGUGAUCGCGACACGAUGUGUGCGUAGCAUGAUCCAAGGGGUCACUCAAUCUUCCAUUUUAAACUUUGGAUUGAUAACCUUUAGUUUUUAGUCAAAGGUUGAGGAUUUUUGAUAGAUUCACUCAGAUAUGUAGCCGUGACACGAUGUGUGCGUAGCAGUGUCUGGAGAAUCGCUCGAGCCACCGACAAAGAACCUUGGGAUUGAUGACCUUUGGUUUCCAAGUCUGAAGGCUCGGGGACCUAAAACCUAUCGAGUCUAGAUGCAUUAGUGAGCCAAUACCGCAUGCAUCCAUGAUAGUUUACUUAGGGUAGAGCCUGCCUUACCCUAUUAGGAACACUAUUCACGAGGGGAGGGAUCCAACCCCUCUUUUCCUUUUAUUGCUUUAUCUCUUUGUAUUGCUUUGCUUCAAUGUGUUAUGUGUAUUUAUCUGAUUGAACUAACUUUUCUUGGUUUUUGUCUCUAUUGCAUUCAUAAAUCCUAGAAAAUAAGAGUUCUGGCAUGGUACUCUCUAGGAACUUACCCUAUUUGAUGUGACACGUUUAAAUUCAAUGCUUCGCAUUUGUAACAUGAAUACAUUUCAUUUUAGGCGUACCCCGGCAUACAAAAGGGGGUUCCUUUAGGUCACGUUUCAUUUGUAUACUGCAUAUUUAGUUGCUUUGAUAAAUUGACAUCAUGCAUGAACCAUAGAGGGAAUGCCAUUUAGGGGAUCCCACGUUAGGAAUAAACCGCCAUGUGUCUCGGAUAUACAAUCCAAUGAGACUUGCACGUCUAUAUUUCUUGUACCUUCCAAAGGAGUAGUGCACAAGGUAAGGUAGAAUCCGAUCUUUUUCCAUGAUUAUAGAACAAAUUUUGCACAUUAGAAUAUGAACAUCUAACAAUCAUUUUUUGGUCAUUUAUCUGGUAAAAAUCCCUUGCGUAAAAGGCAUUAAUUUGAAGAAAUUUACAAACGAUCCCUCAUUGUUCAGACGAUAAAUAUAUCGAGGCCAAAUCUUGAUUUUAGAAGACUCAUAGACUAAUGUAUCGCAAUGAUUUUUUUUUGAAACUACCAAUAGGUAGACAAUUCAAUAAAUCAUCAUUUUCAUUCAAUUCGUUUGAUCAAAUUAUCCAUCAAAUUCUUCCAAUCUAUUUGGUCAAUUCAUUCAUUUUAGGACAAUUCGGUCAAUUUUGAAUAAAUCAUCAUUUUCAUUCAUUCGACCAAUUUACCCUUUUUAGGGUGAUCUGACCAAUUUUGAAUAAAUCAUCAAUUCCAUUCAAUUCAUUGGAUCAGUUUAUCUAUUUUUAGGGUGAUCUAGUCAAUUUUGAAUAAAUCAUCAAUUUCAUCCUAUUCAUUUGACCCGCUUAUUCCGUUUAGGGUUUAACUCUAAGGUUCACUAAAUAAAUUAGUCGACACAUUGCAAUCCUUUCAAGAGUAGACUCUUUUACACAUCAUUUUAUGUGUUGAUCAAAACAAGCAAUCCAUUCGGACUUUGUCCUCAUUUUUAGGACAAAUGUCUCUUCUCACUCCAAUUGACCAAAUUUGUUAAAAUUAUUUUUUCACUCAAUAAGUUGAUCGGAUUCAUCAGGUAUUGUAUAGUGCCUACCCCAGAGAAUUGCAUUUUCAUGCUAUGCCUACCCUUGGCAUAAAAAGGGCACCCCCAUAGGACAUGCAUACCGAUUUUAUAGUCUUGCUUACUAACUCGGGGUAUUUUUCUUUUAUUUUCUCCCCUCCCCUGCAUUCAUAAAAAAUGUUUCAAUAAGGUGAAAAUAUUUUUUCUAUAUCUGAUAACGAUUUUAUCUAAUAAAUCUUGAAAAUUACAAUUAAUAUUUGAUUCUUGGAUAGACCCUACUAUUUGAAGAAUCUAUCUGGAGGCACAAGGCUAAAACACCUAAGAGACUUCAUAAUUGUUUGUCAAAGAAAAAAUUUUGUUUAUUUGAUUUGUUAAUACAUUUUGUUCCAAAAGAAAAGGAGACAAAAGUGUGUAUAUGUGGAGUUCUUUAGAAGUUUUUCUCUUCUCAUUUGCAUUAUGAUUGAACAAGAAAUUUUGUUUCAAACUUUUCCAAUAAUAAAGUUUUUUAUUUAGACAAUUAUUGUCUUGUAUAUAUAUUCAUCUAUAUUUCAUUCUUUAUUUUGCUCAUUGGAGAUUUCAUGAUGAAUUUUAAGAAAUGAGACUACAUUGAGAUUUUUUCAACCUCUAGCCUGAAAAUUCACAAGUGUAUGUUUUCUAAAAUCUUUGCAUACACUAGAUUGGUGAUCUGAACUAUACAAUAAGAGUGUUCAGAAUUAAAAAGAGGUCACUCAAAAGACCCAAUGGGAUACAUUUUUCUCCUUCACUGUACAAUUCAUAUUUUUGCCCAUUUCUAUUAGCCCCCCAAAAUCAGUCACAUUGAUUGAUAAAUUACAAAUUGGGGCAAUCUUUGCUUGAAAAUGCCCACUGUGUCUAAUUAGAUUCAAUCCACAUCUAAGUGAAAACAAAAAUGUACAUUAUUCUUAUUUGUUUUGAAAGUUUGGAAUGAUACUUCAAGCAUUCGUUUCUCUAUCUAUACAGAUUUUAUCAUUUGCUCUCUCAUUUGAGCCUUUAAAAGAAUAAUUUCGUUUCAAAUGAGAGCCCUAAUGAUCACUACCCCAUAUUGGAAGAUUUUUCAAAUAUCAAAAGGGAGUGGAUUCUCAAUGAGCAUUUCGUUACUUUGGUUGUCAUAAAACUUAAGAAUGAUGCUUUGGCCAUCGUUUCUACAAUCUAAACAUUAUUUAUCCCUUGCAUCCUCCUUUGAGCUAAAAUGGGUGGUUCUUUUUAAAAGCAUUUAUGAUCGUACCCCACACCGGGGAAGGAGAUUGGAGGAUUUUUCAAAAGAAGAAAAAAAGGAAGAAAAAGGAGGCAAAAAAUGCUAAAAUUCAAGAAGAAGAGAGGGAAUUGCAAAUUGGGAAAAUUUGAUUCUAUCUGGGAUUUAAUUUUGGAAAAGAAAGAGGAAGAGUUUUGUCCGGCGGAUCACUUAUGUUUCACAGAUAUGGAUGAACAGGAGUCUUUCUCAAUCAAUGAUGCGAGACGCGGAAGCAAAGACUGGAUUUCAGAGGUACACGUCGCGAUUGACGGAAUGGAACCCGACUUGGACCACUCAAGGACGGAUUCAACGGUAGAGGACGCCACAAUCAAGUGUGUGAGCUUGAUUGAUAAGUCAAUAAAACAGCCUAGGAACCACGCUCGGACAUUCAACUUAGCCUUCACAAGCUAAAGGAAUUUGCCACAACCAAUGGACGAAAUUCUGGAAUUUUAUUGAAUAAUAUCGGAAAACUGAAUGUAAAACAUGAUUUAAGGCUAUUUAUAGCCUUGACUAAACCCUAAUAAAGCUUGGAAAAUACAAAAGAAAAUUCGGCCAACCCAUUUCCUUCACUUGGCCGAAUAUUAACCCAACAACCUAUGGCCCGUAACUCAGCGUAGGUACUUAACUGCGGCCCAAUCAGCCGUUUGAAGCUUGACCACUUGCAUCCUCAACUGUAAGCAACACUUUAGUAGUCUCGCCCGGAUCUUCCAACUCAAUCCCUUCAAUGGGCGGUUUCUCUUGGGUUUGGACUGUGACGGCCCCACAUCUCCUUAAGGCGAACCAAAGGGUAUCCGCGGGACGCCUGCCCAACUCUCGCCAGGACUCAAGCAAUUCCAUUCCUCUUAAAACCAAACCGAACAUUUCGAAGAGAGUAACAUGAGUACAAAUAAUGCGGAAGCGUUCAACUUAACAAGUCACUUAACAUGUAACCAGUACAUCGGGUAAACAUAAUACGACUUAAAUUCUAAUUACACGUCAGGGCCCAAAUUUUACAUUUCAAUUCCAAAAGUACAGUCCAAACCAGGGCCUAGCCAAAAUAUAGAAGAAAUCCUAAACAAAAGUACAACGAAGGGUUUCUCCAUACUUCUCCGAGAUUCGGUCCUGUUAAGGAAAACAAAACUAUGGGGUGAGCUAAAUGCUCGUGAGGCCAAGAACACAUAUUCAAGCACAUUGUUCAAAUAGCAAUCCUAAAUUUAUUAAAUAAAACCGUGAUAUUUCAAUAAUCAACCAUUCGAGCAGGAAAAGUAAUCAGAAACAAUUCAAGGAUAUAGUAGCUCUCAGGAGUUAAGUUCCACUCGCUCUGCCGAUGUCAUUCGUAUACCUUCCCGCGAUGACCCUCCGUCAACCGGGUCGGUAUUUCCAUUUCCGUAGAUCACCACUUACUUCCCUCCGUCCACCGUACACCUCCAGGGCCCACAAGUCAUUUAUAAGGCGAUACUCCACGAGUAUGCCAAGCAAGACCUCUCAUUAGGUCAAGCUUAUAUAUCUCAUGGCUCGCCCAGGUUCCCGACCAAGCCCAUUGCCGGCUCGAGUCCAAGGUCGGCCUAUGAGUUUGGGCGUCCCCCAUUCAUUUGAAAGUCGAGGAGAUUCACUCCAACGACGUAUGUAGUUAUAACAUACCAUUGCAUUUCAUUCAUUCAUUCAAUACAUUUCAUUCAUUCAUUUGAAAUUAGAACGAGUGUGAUAAAAUACACACCCGCCCUUAUUUUUAAAAUCUCCAACAAUUACCACAAAUAAGCAAGUAUCAAGGAUUCACACACUUGACACUCACCGAGCAAUUCAAUAAGAAUUAUUUUCUGGAAGUUCAAGUGUCCACUGUAAGAUCCUCUUGAAGGUCUCCUUGUGCGCCUGGCAAUUAAUAGUGGAUAAUCACUCAAAUAUCAAAAUUAUCAAGGAAGAUUGUACACUAGUACAAUCUAAAGAAUAUUUCACAAAAAUGAACCUCAAUUACUCGUAAAUCGAGGUUCAACUUGCAUUUUAUUAAGUACAAUAUUAUUUGAGUUUUUAUCAUGAAAAUCGAGGGCAAAACGUUUGAAUAAUACUAAGAGAAUUAAGAGUUUUGGAAAAACUCCUUUGCCUUGAAAAUUGAAAAUUUUCAGUUUUAUUAUAAAUCUUUGAAAAUUCGUAUCUCUCUCGAUAUAAGUCCAAAAUUGGAAAACUUUAUCCCGUUGGAAACCUUUUGGAAAGUGUUAAAAGUUCGUAGAAGACACUUUUCCAUGAAUCUAAGUGGAAAGUACUUAAAAAUGAGCUUGAAAUCACUGUUCCAGAAUGUUCAGGAUUGAGUUAAGGUUGGUUUUUUUUGCUAACUUUGGAAAUUUGGCAGAAUUCACUCGUUGCAAGCUAGCCCUUGAAAUUUAUAACUCAAUUAGAGGUGUAAGUAAGGUUUAGGGCAGAACAAGCGGAUUGAGAAUUGGAGUUUCGAGCACCGAGAUACGGUAGCUCGAAGUUGGGAAAAUUCAAGUCUGGUGAACAAUUUCCAGAUUUGAGUUUCCAAAAAUUGGAACCUUAGCUAAGUGUCAAAACGAACUUGGAUUGGUAUAAACUUUUGUAGUAUGUUACUCCUAUAUGAAAGGUAUCUCUCUAUCAAAUUUCAGGAAAAAAUACCUUCGGAAAGAUAGUUAAUUAAUCAUCCAAAGUUCAGGAAAAUUUCUAAGGCAACCUGUCUUUUGACUUCAUUUCCCAAUUCAAAUCGUUUAAUCAACAAAGCUAUCCAACCAUGGUUCAUUUAUGAAAUAAAGGUCUAAGAUACAUCCAUGAUACCUUUGGUAGGUGUUUAGCAUCAAGAACUUCAAUUAAUAAGAUCACUCCCAGGUUUUGUCCCAAACCAGUCCAAGUAUUACGGUUUUUCCAAAACAGUGCAGUCCUCUUGUUUCGGUCACAACUCAGUCAAUUUAACUCAGAAUCGAGCAUGGUUUAUGUCGUUGAAAAAUACAUUCAUAGGGCUAUAAUAUCACAGAAGAAAUCAUUUCAAAAUUUGGUGCCCAACUAGUUCAAAAUUGGGCAUCAAUUUGCUGCCUUAUCACUUCAUUCCAGUUGAACAGAGCAACAGGACAGCGAUCUUAAAACGUUUGGUUCGGCUCACUCACAAAGAAUCAGAACGUGCAUUUUAUCUCAAAUUAAAGCCUGAAAUGUCUAGUUUCCAACGCCACCAACGGCACAUGAUUUCGACAUCCGAGGACGGAGUUAUGGCCGAAUCACCACCGCUGGUCAGAGCCAUACGUGAACAGUUUCCAGAUUUGCUAGUUUCACAAAAAAAAUUCGUUUGCCCAACCAAACCUCAUUAUUUUUCAAUGAAAUUUUUCACACAUCUAAUACGUCAUAUAAACAUCAAAUUCAAGCCAUUAGGUCAUUAAAAAUUGGCCUUAAAAUGGCCGAACAAGGCAGGGGCAAAAUCGGAAACUUUUGCUUCUUGCACCCAAUGAAGUUUCUAUCAAUUUCACACCAUUAAUCCAUCAUUUUAACCACUAAACCAACAAUAUAUCCACCAUCAAUCAUCAAAUCAGCAACAACCCAAGAGUGGGAGUUCAUAGAGCCCACUUUCACAUUUUUCCAACAAUAUCAAGUCAUCUACUUAUAUGCAAGUACUUAGAGAUGCAUAUCUACUACUAUAAAUCAAGUUUAAGGUGAUGGAUCAUGUUAUACCUUCUUAAUGUACUAGAACAGAAUUUUUGGCCCUUGAAAUGCUCCAAGAAAUCGUGAUUUCCAGCACCCUUUUUGCAGCUCAAAAUGAUCUCCUAGUGUUAAGCUAAGUGUGGUGCAAGUUUGGUUGAAUUUGGAGAUGUUUUGGUGGUGGUUUGAGUAAGCUUUGUGAAGUAAAAUGAAGAACAAUGAAGCUUAAGAGAGAGAGAGAGCUAGUCGGCAGUCUUGAGAAGGAAGAGAGAGAGAGUGAUCAGAUUUUUAAGCUUCCAAGAGAAGAUACUAACUUGUGGCUACAAAUCACCCAUUAGUCAACUCACAUUAGGGGGCAUUUGGCGCGAUUAGGGCUCGUUUUCACGCGCGUUUGGUUCACUAGUGCACUAAGUCUCUAAUGCACUUAUUUUCAUGUAAAUAUUAUUCACUCUUAAUUGUCCCGAAAUAAGGGUCUAAAGUCCCUCAAAUAAAGUCGCGCGUAUGAAAACGCGUACCGUCAAUUUUAACGCUAUAACGCGAAACCUCCGAGAAAUUCUUAUAACAACCGUGCUACUAACUAUCACUUGAGUAUUUAUUCAUAAGAUUACCUAUUUUAGGACCAUAGUACAAGUCUCCAAUAUUCCAAACUUAUUGUGCUCCCACGCGGUAAAAUCUCCGAGCACUGUUCACUAUUUUUACUAAACGCACUCCAGGAAAUUAAUUUUUGAGACGAGUCACUUUAAAAAUAUAACGAAGUUAUAUUAUCAUGUAUUUAGGUCUAAUAAGACUAGAAAAUAUUUCUCGUGGUAAAAAUCCAAUUAAAUAAUUUAUUAAGCCAUAAGUUAGGCUAAAAAAAAUAAUAGUUUUUACGAGUCCUCACAUGGACGGCAUAAACCAAGGCUUGAAGUGACUCCUUGAAUCUCUUAACUCGUGCUCGUGUCACUGGGCCUUGGGGCACCUUUACAGGGUCUACUUGAGCACCAUGGGCCUCGUCCGCAUCAAUCAAUUAAUUCAGAUACAUGCAAGAAAUUUCGCAUUAAUGAAAGUUUCCUUUCAGAGUUAUUGUAAGGAACGGAAUAAAAAGUUAGGCUCUCUUCUUUUCCAAUCAAACAUUCUAUCGCUAGUUAUCCCUUUCGAGCCUUCAAAAUAAAAUACUUCGUUUGGCAACCACUGAGGAUCGCAAACUCCACACUGGGGCAAGUUUGAGUUGCAAAGGGAAGGAAAGUUUCAAGAGGUGAAAAGUGAUAAAGUAACAAAAGAAAAAGAGAAAAUGAAACAAAAGAGAACCUCGGUUAAGCAUAAACUGGGACAAAUUUUGAAAAGUUCAAAAGAAUGGCAAAAGGCCAAGAAGAAAAUAGAGAGAAGAAAAUGAAAGAGAAAAGAGCCUCGGUCGAGAAUAAAUUGGGGCAGGUUUUGAUUUAACCCUAAAAAUAGGGUUGGCGCAACAAUGCGAUCUCAGAUCAUUUAAACCACUUUUGAAAUCCGCUUUCAAGUUUUAACUUUUCUAAGCACCCCACCAGACCCCAUUACAAAAGCCGAAAGUCCUGACUUCUGUUUUUUGCAAUAUCUCUGUCAAGAAAUUUUCUAAUUGGCAAGUGAUGCUCAUAUAUUGAUGCCAAGGAAUUUUUAAAUAUAUUUGAAUUGAUUAGGCGUGAGGUUGACACUGCUCUUCAUGUGAAAACCAGCAAGGGCACUUUUGAAAAAAAGAAGGAAAAAGGAAAAAGCAAGCGAAAUAAAUGCAAAAGAAAAAUGCAAAAAGAUUCGAUGCUGAAAGUCCCUGUUGAGUGAUUAUAAAGUCAAACAAAGGUCGAGAUUGGGGCGAUUUUUGGGAGGAAAUGCGAUCUUCAAUGCAAUGUCCUUAAAAUCUUAUUUAUUUAACUAUCGUUUUCAAGCCACAUUACAAGCUCAUAAAGUCCAUCGCUGACUUAUCUUUCAUGACAAUUCGAAGUGAGGAUUAUGCUUCUAAGGAAUCCAUUAAUCAUUCAGGAUUAUAAGGCAAUAACCGGUUUCCACAUGCUUAACUGUCAUUUCUACCCAUAUGUUACAAGUUUAUAAAGCUUAUAUGUUGACUAAGUUUUCUUAAAAAAUAAGGGUGACAAACUAUUUGUUUUCACUAAGAUGUGAUAUUGAAGGGAUUACAUACAAUUUGGGCACAAGAAUAAGACAAAUCCUGACCUCUAAUUCCCCUUAGCCCCCUCAAAAUAAAAAAUAAGAUCACUUGAUUGGUCCUGAAAGAUGAGCUAACAAAAAAGAGGUGACCCAUUACCCUAAGUCUCGAUGUUAAAGUGAGGAAGAAAUCUUCUGUAAUUUGAUAUUAUUUUGAGAAAUUCAUCAUGAAAUUUUUUGUAUGAGUUUAAGCAAGAUGUUUAAUUUUCUUCACAUUAUACGUUAGGAAACAUAGUUUCUUACUUUGUUCAAAUAAAUGGAGAGUCAUCGAAACAAAAUUUUUGCAAUUGAAAGGGCCCACACUGGGGUAAAUUUUUGUAAUGCAUUUGAGGAUUUCGUCCAAGAGUCAAAUAAGAUAUUUUUGAAUCAAUCAUACUGCUCUUUACAUGAGUAAUAGGUGCAUCAAUCAAAAAAAUAAUAAGAAAUUUAAGUGCAUGUUGUACUUUGGUAAGACCCCUAUACAGGUAUUCAUGGCUGAAAUUGAUGAAGAAACAUUUAGUGAUGUGGAAGGCCGAUACCGGAAAAAGAGAAGAAAGGAAAAGAAAAAGGGCUCUACACUGGGACAAAUUAUUUUUUGAAAAGAAUCUCUCAAUCAAAAAAAAAUCCCAAAAAAAAUCAAAAGAUCAAAAAUCCAAAAAAAAAAAAUCAAAAGAUCAAAAUUUUAAAAAAAAAUCAAUCAAACAAAAAAAAUAAAAAAUAAAAAAUCAAGUUUAAAUUCUUGUUUCUUGGAAAAUCAAAUUUAAUUUCUUGUUUCUUGAAAAGUCAAAUCUAAUUUCUUAUUGGUGAGUCUCAGCGUCCGCUGCGCACCCUUCUACCUCAUUUCUGGACAACCACAUUUAAUUCACUGACUUCUACCACCGUUAGCAUCGAGUCUAUCUCACUAACGUGUGCGUUUUUAUUCAACUACCGUUAGCAUCGAGUCUAUCUCACUAACGUGUGCAUUUUUAUUCAACCACUGUUAGAAUCGAGUCUAUCUCACUAUCGUGUGCGUUUUUAUUCUACCACCGUUAGCAUCGAGUCUAUCUCACUAACGUGUGUGUUUUUAUUCUACCAUCGUUAGCAUCGAGUCUAUCUCAUUAACGUGUGCGUUUUUAUUCAACCACCGUUAGUAUCGAGUCUAUCUCACUAACGUGUGCGUUUUUAUUCUACCACCGUUAGCAUCGAGUCUAUCUCACUAACAUGUGUGUUUUUAUUCUACCAUCGUUUGCAUCGAGUUUAUCUCACUAACGUGUGUGUUUUUAUUCAAAUACCGUUAGCAUCGAGUCUAUCUCACUAACGUGUGCGUUUUUAUUCUACCAUUGCUAGCAUCGAGUCUAUCUCAUUAACGUGUGCAUUUUUAUUCAACCACCGUUAGCAUCGAGUCUAUCUCACUAACGUGUGCAUUUUUAUUCUACCACCGUUAGUAUCGAGUCUAUCUCACUAACGUGUGUGUGUUUUUAUUCUAUCUUCGUUAGCAUUGGAUUCAUCCCACUAACGUUAUUCUAUCUCCGUUAGCAUUGGGUUCAUCCCACUAACGUGCCUUUCUAUUUUCGAUUUUUUCGGCAGGCUCGAGUGUUAUCAUACUGACCGACUAUCACGGCAGGUUUGGGUUUAUCCCACUAACCGAUUCUCAAGGCAGGCUCGGGUGUUAUUCCACUGACCGAUUAUCAAGAUUAUUAAGGCAGGUUCGGGUUUAAUCCCACUGACUGAUUAUCAAGGCAGACUCGGGUUUAAUCUCACUGAUCGAUUGUCAAGGCAUUUCAUUCAUCACUGCCACUAAACAUGGGUUAGUCCCACUAGUGAGCACUUCAUUCAUCAUUGCCAUUAAACACGGGUUAAUCCCACUAAUGUACAUUACAUCUUAUCGUUAGACAUGGGUCAGUCCCACUAACACUUCAUUUCACUUCACUUCACUUCAUCCCGUUGGGUUUGGAUUUUGUGCCACCAACCUCGGCAGGCUUGGGUUGUAUCCCACUGACCGAUGUCAUAGCAGCUUCGGGUCAGUCCCGUUUUAAAUUUCUUGUUCGGGUCAGUCACGUUUUAAAUUCCUCAUUCAGGUCAGUCCCGUUUUAAAUUUCUUGUUCAGGUCAGUCUCGUUUUAAAUUUCUUGUUCGGGUCAGUCCCGUUUUAAAUUUCUCGUUCGGGUCAGCUCCAUUUUAAAUUCCUUGUUCGGGUUAGUUCCGUUUUAAUUUUCUUGUUCGGGUCAGUCCCGUUUUAAAUUUCUCGUUCGGGUCAGUCUCGUUUUAAAUUAUUUGUUUGGGUCAGUCCCAUUUUAAAUUUCUUGUUCGGGUCAGUCCCGUUUUAAAUUCUUUGUCUGGGUCAGUCCCAUUUUCUAAUUUUUUGUUAAAGGGGUCAGUCCUCAUUUUGAAAGCGUCAGUCAUUCGAGUAGUUUGCAGCAGAAUAACCACAGGUGAGUAUUUGGUGUCUACGUCUUUGUCUCAAAUUUCUUCGAAACUCAGACAAAGAGGGGUAAACUGUAGACACCAAAUUUUUAGCCUUUCUUUUUCUUUUUAUUUUAUUUAUUUAAUUAGUUGAUUUUGUUUUAAUUUUUGCUAAGAAAAUUGUUUUACUAUUAUUAAUUAAUUCAUUGAAAAAAAAGAAAAAGAAAAACUGUUCCAUGCGCUCGUGCUUGGCACGUGCGCCAUUUUCUUUUCUUUCAUGCAAAAAAUGCAAGCGAAAGGCGAAAACAGGGACAUAAAUUUGCAACGGCAUUUUUUUAAUCCCAGCCUCAUCUCAAAAAUGCCAUCCAAUGGCUUAAGUUUUCGGUAGAAACCCACCCUUCAUCCUCACCUUUGAGGUGAGGGUUUUAGGGACCUGGGGUUUCCUAUAAAAGAAAAAAGAGCAGCGGGGACAAAGGGUAAGAGGAGUCGGCGGCUGGGGCUGAGUAGAAACAACGGAGGAAAAAAGCAAAAAAGGGGGGUUUUUGGGGAGAGUAGUUGACAGCUGAAGGAAAGAGUGAAGGGAGAGUUUGAGGGUUAGAGAGAGUUUUGGAGAGGGUGACGGCCGAAAGAAAGAAACCAAGCGAGAGGAAACCAAGGAAAGGAGAAGCGACUUCAUCAACGUAAAGGGCAUUUCGUGGGUCUUCGUUUCCAGAAACAACGUGUUUGUCCUGAGACUAGGAGAGAAACGAAUCAAGAGUCUGAGGAAGACACAAGGGAGGAUCGGGGAACAAGCAAAGGAAAUCUGCAAAAUCUUGAAGAAGGCUUCGAAGCUGAGAGCGAGGGAAAGAGGACUGCUCGACGAGGAGGCAACUUUUGCAGCAAAAGUUCCCGAUCGCGUUCCUGGGAACCCGUACGCGUUUCCGGGCAGAUCUCAAUGCCGCUCAACCGUGCUAGCAUUCUCAGGUAAAAAUACCUCUUAUUUGGUGGAUUUUAACAUGUUUUUAUGAAAGAUAAAGCCAUCGGAUGUGAAUCUUUUUGUUUGCUACUGGGUCAAGCUCUCGCUGGUUCUAUGAUUCUGCCAUUUUGCUCGUUUGCUAAGAUCUGAUUCAGUAGGAACCUAUGAGAUGAGUUUGAUUAAGAACAUGGGGUUUAGGGUUUUCUAUAGUGGUCACCUGAUGAAUCCAUGAGUUCUUUGCUCGAUGUUUAUGGUCAGUCUUUGUGUGAGUAUUGGAGCAGGGACUGAAACCCGAAUUGCCAUCUCAACCUGAAUUGAACCCGAAGAACGUAAGCGCGAUGAGUACUGGAGCAGGGACUCUAGGUGUGUAAUGAGUUACUUGAUUCAUCCUAUUCCCGAAGUGUUUGCUUGACCCGAUAUACCAGAAUGGGAUUGCUUAUUCGCAAGAAACUAUUGAUUUGUAAACAGGGCAAGUAGGGUCGCAUCCUCAGGGACUGGAAAAAAUUCGUUUCUUUUCAAAUCCACAAUAACAAGGGGAUGUUUUUGGUAUAAACGAUGACAAUCAAAGGAGUUUAAAUAAAGAUAAAUAGCUAACUAGGAAUUAAAUGACAAUUUACUAAAAUCAGAGUAAUAAUAAUUAAAGGUCUAGCCAAGAAAUAACUUCAGCAAUGGUUCACCUAAUUGAUCAUCGAUGCAAAUGCAAUUCCAGUUAUUUACUAAUAAAUAGGUUAUAACUGUCAAACAAGCAAUGACAGUCAACCCCUUCUUACUGUGUCGGUGACUAAGGUACGCCCGUUAAUCACUACUCUAAUUGAGAAAUAAUCCUAAGUACGCCCGUAAGAUUUAAUUUUCCAAUUGCCUUACGUAUUAAAGAAGCCCUAUUCUAACCAAAUAACACACUACCAGGGUUAUUUUAGAUUAGCCUGCGCAUUCCCCUGACACAAACCCAAUCAUGCCAGUUGUCACUAUUUUAGGGCAAUUAAACAAUUACGAUUUAAUGCUCUAAUUGACAAUAGGUUACUAAACUAAUUCAUUAUCUGGAUCCAAGACAAUCAAUUAAUUAAAUAACCAUAAGUACUACAAUCAGGGAAUAUGCAAAUACCAAUAAAUAAGAGGAAAAGAUAAAUUUAAAUCGAUCUCACAAUUUUUAGAUGAACCAAAACCUCCGUUGUUUCUUGACCAGAAAAGGGAAUUUAAUUCAUCCCGGAUAGGAAAGACCCACACAAAGUUGCAGCAAUAGUUGCGGCCAUUGUCUCCAAGAAUUGGGAAAAUUCAAUUCGUUCGAAUCAAUAAGAAAAGCAAGCUACAGAAAAUAAUUACUGGUCUUCACUUUGUCUUGACAUACGAAGAAGGAAAACUACUAAGAGCCCACAAGAAGAAAAGUCAAAAGCUAAAACUAAAAAGUAGUGCCCUCUUGUUUCUCUCUAUUCCUAUCUAAUGCCCCCUGCUUUGCAGCUGCCCCGCGGCAGAAAAAGAGAGAGUCCAGCCUUGUUCCGUCUCUUCCUUCUUCGGUAAGUACCAAAAGGGGAAAAGUUCCCCUUUUCCAAAAAUGCCACUGGGAUGAGGGCUGCUACUUGAACUCCUUUCCUAAUGACUAUCAAAUUGGCACUUGUUGUGGUAUUUUUGUUCUACUCCCUGUAAUAAAUGUAAAUUUUCAAAAGUGAGUAGAAUCUAACAAUUAAUCCACAUCAGGUCAAGUAAUAAGAGAAAUUAAUAAUAAAAGAAAUGAUAAAAUUGCGACCUAUCAAAAUGGGAUGGAUGUUUAGAUAGGAAUUCUGUAGAGGGCUGGUAGCAGCCAUCCAAAGAGAACAAGUCCAUUUGUGGACAAAAUAAAGUGAAUGGAGAAUAUAUAUAUAUAUAUAUACGCUACAUGAAUAUUCAACAUAUACAAAAAUGUGAUCAAGAAAAAUGAGGAAUCUGACAGCCUAAUGCUUACUUGCUGCUUUUUAUGGUUUAACUUUAAAGAGACUUUGGUGUCUUGGUAGUUCGUAAUUUGAUUCGAGGUUGAUAAAAAGAAAUUUUUCAGAAAACGUGAAAUAGGGUAAGUAUCCUAGUUUAUUUUAGGUAUUGAAAGUUAAUAAAAAUGGAAAUUAUGGCAGUAAUCCUCUUCAUUUUUCCCCACCAACCAAAGCAACGAUUUUUAAGAAUACAAACAAGAUUUUAAAAAAUAGUUGUGGAGAAAACUUUUAACAAGUUUAAAAUGCAAAGUGUCCAUCAUAAUGUAGAAGAGCACAAUAAUUAGAACUCCCACGUUGGCUAAGCAAAAAUAUAUGUUUGCUCUAAUAACAUAUUACAUAUUAAAUUAUUUUACUAUGAGGUAGGGUACAUUUUUUUUAUAGUUUAGCAAACUAGAACAAAAUUAUAAUAAUUUUAAAUUAAUAUAGUUGCGUGGUGAAAUAUCAUCUGCGGCAAUAUAUAUAUAUAUAUAUACACACACACAUGCGCACGCACACUACUUAUUCAGUUGAAAAAAAUACAAGAAUUUGACAAUAUUGGUUAAUCAAAGAGCACCUUUAGUGACAUGAGAAUGAAAAUUGCUCCUAGAAUAUCUUCCUGAACUUUGUCAUUGAACGAUUGCUCAAAGAGUCUGUAAGAAAUUUAAUUCAUUCUAAUUUUGUCAGUAUUUAAGAAAGUAAGGAUGAUUGAAUUUGACUGCCAUUGUUUUCGAAAGAAUGACUCCACUCAUUAAAGAAUCAAGCCAAAAUUGAGACAAGUAUGAACAAACAAGCAAUUAGUAAUUUAUAUUGUGGUAAUACAAGUUUAUACAAAAAAAAAAGUAGGCACAGUGUAUUUUUUCUGCACCUGUUGUCUAAUAAUAUUAUCACCUUCCAAACUUUGUGGGUUUGUAAAAUGCAUCAAUUAUGGAUCUUGGAGUAAAGAUAUUAAGUAUUAACUAAAUUAACUAAUUAUUGAACUUAUACUCAUGGAAUAAUAAUUUUUUUUUGUAAUGUGCUAAUCUCUAGAAUAUUUGACUUUUAAUAUCCAGGUCUCCCAAUGGUGUGGAAAUUAAGUUGUUCUUCAACAUGCAGCUUCGUGGGACUUCAAGCAUGCCAAGAGUUUCUGGGAAAGAAUAGGUCAAGAUAAGUGACUUGGAGGAAUCUUCAAAAUCAAUACACUUUGUUGAAAUUGAAACUCUUGGAAGUAGCUUGACUGCAUUCAUACCAAAAAGUAAUUUAACAUAAUACUUAUGGACUUUCUCCAUCUCUUUUGUCAUUUCUUUUUCGAAAUUUAUUGUUUAUAGGAAAAAGAAAAAGUCGAUUCAAGAUAUGAAUCUAUGAACAGUUCAACAAUCUAGAUAAUAUUACUCAUUAACGAGAGAGGUUAAUCUAAAAGGACUGAGAUUCGUAGACCAACUGGUCACUACUCAUUACUCAUUAAUAUUCUAAUGUUUGCUUGCUUCUUUUUCAUGGUUUAACUUUAAAGUGAUUUUGGUGUCUUGCUAGUUUGUAAUUUGAUUCAGUCCGGUUGAUAGAAAGAAAUUGCUCAGAAAAUGUGAAAUAGGUUAAAAUAUCCCAGUUUGGUUUGGAUAUUGAAAGUUAUAAAAAUGGAAAUUAUGGCGGUGAUCCUCUUCAUUUUUCCCCACCAAUCAAAGCAGUGAAUUUUUUAAGAAUACAGACAAGAUUUGAAAAAAUAGUUAUCUAUAAUAAUGUAGAAGGGCACAAUAAUUAGAACUCCUAUAUAUGUUGGCUAAGCAAAAAUAUAUUUUUGUUAUCAUAAGAUCUUACAUACGAAACGAUUGUACUAUCAGGCAGGGUAGAUUUUCUUUAUAGUUAGCAAACUGGAACAAAAUUAUAAUAAUCUUAUUUUAAUAAAAUUGCCAAAUGAAAUAUCAUUUGCAAUGACAAUGUAUAUAUUACUAGUUUAAUUGACAAAAUAUAAGGAUUUGACAAUGCUAAUUUGAUUAAUCAAAGAGCACUUUUAGAAGAUAUUACGUUUACACGUAAAACUUAAAAGCCAAUUUAUUUAUUUUUUUUUGCUUUUCUAAAUUUAAAUUCUUUUUGCACGUGCUUCCACUAUUAUCUUGCUCUACAUUUGAGAAGAACUUCUUACAACUUUCUUCAAAUAAAUACCUUUUCCAUACAAAUCCCGCGCCUUUAUAUAAACAAUUACGCUGGUUACAAAGUUUAUCAAGCAAUAAUGAAGAGGCCGAUAACAUUUUAUAGUACCUUACUUUUCUUCUUUCUUUUACAUCCUGAAGAAGUGAUCACUUUCACUUUCUUGGAAGAUCAUUUGUGCCAUCAUGAUGAGGCUCUUGCACUGCUUCAGUUUAAGGAAAUGCAUAGCACAUCAACUGAUGCUUCUCAUGAUUGCAAUUAUUUUGGUCAGUACUCAUAUCCAAAGACAACACAUUGGAAACCAGAUACAGAUUGUUGCAAUUGGGAUGGUGUCACAUGCGACAACAUCACCGGUCGUGUAAUUGGGCUAGAUCUGAGUUGUGGCCAGCUUCAGGGAGUCAUCCAUCCAUACGCUACCCUUUUCAAUCUUUUCCAUCUCCACAGUCCCAACCUUACUUUUAAUGAUUUCACCGGCUCACGGAUUUCAUAGUGAUUUGACUCGCUAAAAAGUUUGAUCCACCUCAAUCUCUCAAAUUCAAAUUUCCAAGGUGAGGUUGCUUCAGAAAAUAUCACACCUGUUCAACCUAAUUUCACUUGAUCUCUCUUUCAAUCUCUUGUGUAAUUCUAUGGGUUGCUCAUAUCCAAGAUAUGAAUUUAGUAAUUUUGAAGCGAUGCUUCAAAACAUAACCCAUUUAAGAGAGCUAUCACUUUCGUCAGUGAACAUCUCAUCCGAGUUAAGGGUGAAUUUUUCUUCAUCUUUGACAUAUCUAGAUCUCUCAUAUACUGGAAUAACAGGUAAUCUACUAGGCAAUGUUUUUCAUCUACCGAACAUGCAAGUUCUCUCGUUAGAUAGCAAUGAGAAUCUUACUGUUAGUUUAUCAAACUUGAACUGCAGCAUUUCUGAUUCUCUGAGGCAGUUGGACCUAUCGGCGACAAGUCUCUCUGCUGCACUGUCAGAUUCAAUUGGGUGCAUAAGGUCCUUAAAUUCUUUGGAUCUAGGAACUUGUCAAAUUUCUGGUGUCAUUCCUGAAUCAAUUGUCUUCGGAAGAUAACUAUCUUCUAGGGAAAAUUCUAGCUAAAUUUUCCUGUUCACAAAAGCUAAGUAGACUAUCACUUGGUCUUUUUAGAUCUCUCUAGUAAUCAACUAAGCGGUUCACUUCCUCCAACAAUUUUUACUAUUCUGACUCUAUCUUAUCUUGACCUUUCUUCAAACCAUUUUGCUGGGGUUGGGCAAGACGUAUUUGUGGACUUCAAUAAGCUUCAAAAGAACCCUCUUGAGAAUGAAGCCCCACGGAACACUAAAAACAAUGUGAGCAUUUCCUAUCCAGAUUUCUGGCACUUGGGAUUGUCUUCUUGCCAGAUAAAGGAAUUUCCUGAGUCGCAUAGAAAUUCAAAGAGCUUAAAAUUUCUGGACCUCUCAAAUAACAGGAUUCACGGCGAAAUUCCAAGCUGGUUCAUGUUGAAGAAAAGGGUUCAGAUUGGGAAAAACUUCAAGCGUAUAUUACUGAUUGCAAUAGUCUGCUGAUAUAGUUACAAGAAUUUGACAAAAAAGGGAAGAUACAAUUAUUCCUAAAAUCAUGUAAUGGAAAGCUAAAACUACUCCUACAAUCACGUCAUGACAAAAACUUAUAUGGUAACAAUAUAUACAGCUAUAUGAUUGAAUAUCUCAACACUCCCCCUCAAGUUGGAACAUGGAGAUUGCGAAUGCCCAACUUGCUCAACAAAUGGUGGAACUGAGCUUUCCCAAGUGCUUUGGUGAACAAGUCGCCAAUUUGAUCACAUGAGCGAACGUGAGCAGUCUGCAACUCGUUACUUAGUAUGCGAUCACGAAUGAAAUGGCAAUCAAUUUCAAUGUGCUUUGUACGUUCAUGAAAAACUGGAUUUGCAGCAAUGUGUAGAGCAGCUUGGUUGUCACAAAAGAGAGACAUGGGUGAUGCUAAUGAAACUUUCAAAUCUGCAAACAAAGAACGCAGCCAGAGGAGUUCACUAGUAGCAUUGGCCAUUGCCCUAUACUCUGCUUCAGCGGAUGAGCGGGAAACUGUAGUUUGCUUUUUGGACUUCCAAGAAACCGGGCUAUUACCGAGGAAAACGAUAUAACCACUAGUCGAUCGUCGAGAUGUUGGGCAGCUGGCCCAAUCUGAGUCACAAUAAGCAAUGAGUUGCAGCAAACUAGCAGAUGACAAGAAUAUACCUUGGCCUGGUGCCCUUUUGAGGUAGUGAAGGACUCGAUAAGCUGCAUCCAAGUGAGGAACACGUGGAUCUUGCAUAAAUUGAUUGAGAACUUGUACUGGAUAGCUAAUGUCAGGUCGAGUUAUCGUCAAAUAAAGUAGCCUUCCAAUGAGACGACGAUAUUGACCAGCAUCUUUAACUACUGCACCAACUCCCGCUGCCAAGUUGUGUCGUUGUUCCAUAGGAAAGUCAGCAGGACUUGCGUCGAGAUGACAAGUCUCUUCAAGGAGGUCUAGAGUGUAUUUUCGCUGGCUAAGUACAAUUCCUUCCUUAUUACGAGCCACCUCAAUACCAAGAAAAUAUUUGAGUUGCCCAAGAUCUUUGAUGCGAAAAGCUGAAUCAAGAUGAUGCUUCAUAUGAUUGAUGGUGGUUGAAUCAUUUCCAGCCACAAUAACAUCAUCUACAUACACUAACAAAGCAGUAAAGUGUGCUCCACUGGUGAAUGUAAAAUGUGAAUUAUCUGUAGCAGAUUGACUAAAACCAAUACUCUACAAGCAACUAGAAAAUGUUUGAAACCAAUUUCUAGAGGCUUGUUUAAGGCCAUAAAGGGACUUUCGAAGUCGACAAACCCGAUUGUCACCUGGUUUUGCAAAGCCUUGUGGUAUUUUCAUGUAUACCUCUUCACGUAGAUCUCCAUGCAGGAAGGCAUUAUUAAUGUCCAGCUGAUGUAAUUCCCAAUGUCGUACUGCAGCCACAACUAAUAGACAACGUAGAGUUGUAAGCUUUGCAACUGGAGCAAAAGUAUCAUGGUAAUCGAGUCCUUCAACCUGUGUAAAACCUUUAGCAACCAAACGUGCCUUAAACCGCUCAAUUGUGCCAUCAGACUUGUACUUGAUUUUGUACACCCACUUGGAAUCAAUGGCAUGCUUACCAGGUGGUAGAUGCUCUAAUGUCUAAGUUUGAUUCUCCUCCAGUGCCUUAAUUUCUUGCUGCAUAGCAAGUCUCCAACGAUGAUCCCUAACUGCUUGGGAAAAAAACUUUGGUUCGUCUAAUGAAGUGAUGGAGGCCAAAAAAGCUUUAUGGGCAUCAGUGAAAUGAGAAUAGGACAAGUUAUGAGAGAUAGGAUAAAUUGUACCUGAGUUUGCUGAUGGAGGGGACUCCCGAGAUGGUUCCAAGGAGGGUAACAACUUAUAAUCAAAACCAGAAAGCUUUGUGGAUACAUGCCUUACUCGAUGUGGACGCUGCAAGGAAGGAAUUAUAUUUCCACUAGGGCUGCCAGUAUCUGGUUGUAGUGUAGAAUUAUCUUUUUCAUGUUGGGUUUGUUGGGAAAAUGUAUGUUCAAUAGGAGAUGGUGUGGUGUCCAUCGAAGUGGAGUUUAUAGGAGGUGGAAUUGGGUCAGAUUGUGAGUAAUCAUGCUGAUCUAUAUGGGGUUGCACACUCCACAUUGAAGGUUUAGACUCGUUAUUUCAUUGAAAAGGAAAUUCUGUCUCAUAAAAUAUCACAUCCCGUGAUACAAAUACUUUUUCUCUUUCCAAAUCAUAGACUUUAUAGCCCUUUUGUCCAUGGGGAUAACCAAGAAAAAUACACCGAUAGGCUCUAGUAGAGAAUUUAUCUCGGUGUUUGUCAUGAUUAUGAGCAUAACAAAGUGAUCCAAACACCUUCAAAUGAUUGUAGUUGGGUUUACUUUUGAAAAGUACCUCAUAUGGGCUCUUGCCUUUGAGAGUGGGAGUGGGCAUCAAAUUGAUAAGAUGAACUGCUGUCAAAACACAUUCUCCCCAAAAUUUCAAAGGUAAAUGGGCUUGAAAACGCAAUGCUCGCGCAACCUCAAGAAUGUGGCGAUGUUUGCUCUCCACUCGCCCAUUUUGUUGUGGAGUAUCAACACAAGAGGUUUGAUAGUCAAUCCCUUGACUAGCAAAAAAAUCUCUCAUGGUCCUGAGACAAAUUCACUCCCAUUAUCACUUCUCACAACCUGUACUGGGUAACCAAAUUGAGUUUGUGUAGAUUGGCAGAACAUGGUUAGAAAAUCAUAGGCCUACAAUUUAUUUUUCAAAAGAAAGACCCAAGUACAUCGUGAAAAAUCAUCAAAAAUAGUUAAGAAAUAAUGAGCACCACUAAGUGAUAAGACAGAAUAUGCUCCCCAAAGAUCAACAUGAAUCAAAGCAAAAGGUUUAACACUUUUCUUAUUGCUGUUUGGAAAAGACAAUCUUGUUUGUUUGGCCCUAUGGCAUACAUCACAAAUGUGAUUAAAAUUGCUAGGAAAAGGAAUACUAGAAAUUAAUUUUAAUCGGCUAAAGGAAGGAUGACCCAAGCGCAUGUGCCACAAGGUAGCAUCAGAUUCAGUAACACUAAGACUUGCGAGCCCGUGGCCUCCUUCUAAUUGAUAAACCCCAUCUCGGAGCCUACCCACUCCAAUCAGCAUCCUCGUACACAGGUCCUGAAAAAAAACAAGAAUCAGGAAGAAAGGUUGCUGAGCAGUUUAAUUCCUUUGUAGCUUUGGCAAUAGAGAGGAGAUUGAACUUGAAACCAGGCACACAAAUAACAUUUUUCAAAUUGAUAUUUGGUGUUAGGUAGGCAUUACCAACGUGAGUUACAGGGAGACUAGAGCCAUUUGCGAUUCUCACAUUUGGAUAUGAAGAGAUGCAUUUAACAUUGUCAAGUAUACUUUUGUCUCCAACCAUAUGGUUAGAGGCACCAGUAUCCAAAAUCCAUGAGUUAUGGAAUGAAUUGCAUUUACCUGCAAAGUUGGCCAAGGCCUCAUUAUCAUGAUUUGGUGGUCCAAGGAUUUGCAUGAGUUUGUUGUACUGGUCCAUUGUCAAUCCAAGAGGUUGUUGUGACUGUGACUUCUCACUUGGGUUGAUAAAUUGGUGGUCAGUUGCUGCUAUGUUGCCAUAGAUUUGCAUCUGCCCUGAAUUGUUCUUGCCUCCACCACAAUUGCCACCUUUGCUUUGUUGAUUAUUCUUCCAAUUUGCUGGAUACCCUAUUAUCUCAAAGCAUUCUUCCUUGAGAUGUCCCAUUUUCUUGCAAUGUUCACACCUUUUACUUGAUCGACUUCUUGGGGCUUGACUCCUGGUAUUUUCGUUGCCCCUACGAUCAGUUUUUGCUGCAAAAGCCGCUCCUUCCAGGCUGUGUGAUGUUUGUUCAUUUACUUGUACAAAGGAUUGCUCUUCUUGUAAAGCCAAGGAAAACAGUUUACUGAGUGAAGGUGUAGGUUCCAUGGACAGCACAUUAGAUCUCAACCGAUCGAAAUUUCCAUUCAAUCCCAGUAGAAAUUGAAGGGCUUUUUCUUUUUCUCGGCGUAAUAAGUGAUCCUUGGCUGCCUCGCAUUUGCAAUAAGGCAAUGGAUCAUAGAUUUACAGUUCUUGCCAUAAGGUUUUGAACUUGGUAUAAUAUUGAGUUAAAGGCUGCCCAUCUCCUUGUAACAUGUUGGAAAAUUAUUUUUUUAUUUUAUAAAGUCGAGGUGCAUUACUUUGUCCAUACCUUUCACAAAUCUCAGUCCAAAUUUCUUGUGCCGUGCCGGUGUAGACAACGCUCUCUUGUAUGUCCUUGGCCAAGGAAUUCCUCAGCCAUGCUCUAACCAUUGCAUCAUUCUUCUUCCACCGUUGAAAGUCUGGUGACUUUAGAUCUGGCACUUCUAGACUGCCAUCAAUGAAACCACCCUUGCCUUUGGCAUAUAGGGCUGUUUCCAUGGUGCUUUUCCAUGCUGCAAAAUUUUCUCCUGCGAAUGGUGUGGAGACAAAUUGCAGCCCUGGAUGAUCUGAAGGUACAACACAUAGGGGGAGUCAUCAUAGAUUGUAACCUCUCCCCCUUUCGUUGAAUUCUCUGGAGUUGACAUAUUUUAUUGUCAACAAUUGUUAAGGCUCAACCUGCUCUGAUGCCAUGAAGAAAAGGGUUCAGAUUGGGAAAAACUUCAAGCGUAUAUUACUGAUUGCAAUAGUCUGCUGAUAUAGUUGCAAGAAUUUGACAAAAAAUGGAAGAUACAAUUAUUCCUAAAAUCAUGUAAUGGAAAGCUAAAACUACUCCUACAAUCACGUCAUGAUAGAAACAUAUAUGGUAACAAUAUAUACAGCUAUAUGAUUGAAUAUCUCAACACAUGUCCAAGACUUGGGAUAAUUUGCCCUACUUGAAUCUUUCGCAUAACUUUUUGACUGGUACCAUAGACCAACUACGGUGCAAACAUCUGUUGCAUCUAGAUAUGAGUUUCAACUCACUUCAGGGUCAAAUGCCUUCUUCUAUCUGUAACUCAACUUCUCUUUUCAUUCUUGAUUUGUCAUAUAACAAUUUGGUUUCCCGAAUCCCUCAAUGCUUGGGAAACUUCAGCCAGAAGCUCUCCGUUUUGGAUUUGGGAAAUAAUGGACUUUUUGGCACCAUUCCCACAACUUUUUCACAAGGUAACUCUCUGAAUAUUCUUAUGCUGAAUGACAAUCAACAAGAUUGAUGAUAGAUUUCCAAUUUGGUUGGAAUCUCUACCUAAUCUACAGGUUUUCAUAAUCGAUUUCACGGAGGAAUUGGUAAUUUUCAAACUGAAAGCCCAUUUCCGCAGCUGAGAAUCAUCGAUGCAUCCUGCAAUGAGCUCACUGGUGUUCUACCUACAGAACUCUUCAAAAGCUUAGAAGCUAUGAGAAGCUUAAAGGAUCACCCUGGGCAAUAUAGGUCAGAAACUGGCUAUGAGCUUGAUUAUUACAUCCAUUCCUUGACUUUAGUAAUCAAAGGGACGGAGUAUAGUCUUGAAAGAGUCCUGAUAGAUCGAACAGCCAUUGAUUUCUCAAGCAACAGAUUUGAAGGACAAAUUCCAGAAAUUAUCGGAACCCUUCAUUCUCUUCUUAUACUCAAUUUCUCUCAUAACAAUCUCAGUGGUCAUACUCCCCGGGCAUUAGGGAAUUUGAAUAAGCUUGAAUGUCUAGACCUCUCUUGGAACCAGCUUGAGGGAACUAUUCCUGUGGAGCUUCUGAAUCUGACAUUCCUUGAAUUCUUACACCUUUCAGAAAAUCAUCUGAUUGGACCCAUUCCUCGAGGAAGACAUUUUGAUACAUUUGGGAAUGAUUCAUGCAGAGGGAACUCGGCCUUGUGUGGAUCACCAUUGACUAAAGAUUGUGGAAAUACAGGGGCACCACCACCAGCCUCGCCAUUCGGAUCUGAGCAACAAUAUGAUCCAGAGUUCUUUGAUGGAUUCACCUGGAGAGCUGUUGUUCUGGGAUAUGGUUGCGGAUUAGUGCUCGGACUAACCAUGGGAAGUCUCGUGUUCUUAACUGAAAAACGAAGAUGGUUCAUAUAGAUUGUUGAAGAGUCGUACAAUCUGUGAAAAAGAUCGAGGAAAUAUGUCCACAUACGAACUUGAGAACAGCAAUGCAAUUUACAAAAUUGGUGGGCAAAACAUACUCUCUUCUGCAGCUGUUGUCUAAUAAUUUUACUUCCUCUGCAUAAUUUCCAUUUUCAUAAUCAAAUAUCCUUGGAAAUGAUAACUUUUUUCUAUGGCUAAUCACCAGAAAAUUUGACUUUUUAUGUCCAGGCCUCCCAUUGGAGUCGUAACUAGGAAGGAUCAGCAGUAAAACUGGCUUUGUUUCAGUUCCAGUUGUAUGUAUCUGCUAUGCACGUUUUAAGGUUCUAAUAGUUGCUUCUUUUUAUGAUUGUCAAGUUCCAGGUGCAAAGAGAUUCUGAUUCCUUGCAACUUUAUCUUUUGCUUCAUGGUUAAAAAUGAAAUCAAGAACAUGUUCAGAAAAUAUGAAAAAAGGGUAUAUCCCAGUUUGGUUUGCACAUUGAAAGUUGUUCGAUGAAAAUUAUGACAAUAAUUCUCUUCAUUAUUCCCCACCUGCCAAAGAAGUUAUCUUUGAGACUACAAACUAGGCUAGUGUGCUUUAAAAUGCUUUACAUUGACUAAUCAACAACGAAGAUGUUCUUCAACUUGCACCUUUGUGGGACUUGAUUUGGAACAGCUUUGCACCAUUCGAACUUCAAUCGUUUACUGCCACAGCUGGUAUGUGUGAACAGAGAGAGACUAAUCCAAGCCACUUUUCUUGACUUUGUGGAAAAGAACAAGUCAUCCUCAGUCUUUUGCAAUAAAUUAUAGAUAAGUGAAGCCUAGUCUUCAUCCAAAAUUGUCAAAAGUGAAAUUCAUGGAUGCAACUUGAACAUAACUUAUUCUUCACUGGACCUGAAAAUUAGAGCACCAGCGACCAGCUUAAUCUUAAUUGGCUUUGGAGCUUCCACGCCAAAUGGUACGACAAUUUUGAGAAAAGGGAAGGGAGAGUUAUAGAUUUCAAGAGAAUGAUCUUUUUUCACACUACCAAAUUAGGGUCUACUAACAAAAUUUAUAGUGAAGUUCUUCAAAUCAAAUGAUCAAUCCACGAGACAAAAUCUAAUAGCAUGAACUAACUCGAAAAUAAGGUUGAGAUCUCUAUUUUAAAUACAAAAGACAAUUCACAUAUCCGAGAUAAUGAGUCAAGGAUAACCAUAUAAUAAAGCACAUACAACCACAAACUUCAAACAGCAACAAGUAACCAUGAAAUGCUUCAUGAUCCAAUUAACACAAGAAAAGCAAGAUAGUUAAGUAAUCUUAACAGAAUGCUUAUUGACUUUCUACAUCUCUUUAAUCAUUUCUUUUUCCAAUUUUUUUUUUUGUUUUACAACAAAACAAAAGUGAAUUCCAGAUAUGACCCCAUUACAGGUUCAAAAGUACAGAUAAUACUCAUGAACGAAAAGGAAUGAGAUGGGUAGGCCACUUUGGCCCCAUAGCUGUGACAAUUAGUGGACUCGUUGAUCCAAAGGCAUUUAUGGUGGAAAUGAAUUUAGAACGUAAAUGUAGUUUCUUGGCAUUACAAGUCUUUACAAGCCUAAUGAAGAUAGCAAAUAAUUCAUAUGGAUGCUACGACUUUUCAGAGGAGCUAAGGCCCAUUCUAAUUAGCCAUUACUCAUGAAAGGGAUAGUUAGAUAGGAAUUUAGUAACAUAGUGAUAGAAGCCAUCCAAAGAGAACCGGUCCAUUUGUGCACAAAGCAAAGUGAGUUUAGGAUAUAUAUGCUACACCAACAAUCUGCACAUACAAAAUUUGAUCAAGCAAAAUGAGGAAUCUAAUAGUUUAUACACUAGUGCUCCUUUCUUUGCAAUCUCGAGAAAUUACCAGUUUGUCUUCCUUUUUACCUCAUUUGUGUCACCAUGAUGAGAGUCUUGCUCUACUUCAGCUUAAGCAAAUGUUUCAAAAAUCAACAGAUGCUUCUGCCUACUGUGAAAAUGCAUAUCCAAAGAUGAUAUCAUGGAGCAAAACUUCUGAUUGCUGCACCUGGGAUGGGGUAACAUGCCAUAGAGUUACAGGUCAUGUAAUUGGCAUAGACCUUAGUUGCUGCCAACUUCAAGGAUCCAUCUAUGCUAAUAGUAGCCUGUUCAAUCUUUCUCGCCUCCAAAAGCUUAAUCUAGCUUACAAUGACUUCAAGAAUUCACCAAUUUCUCAUGGCAUUGGUGGCUUGACUAGUUUAACAAACCUCAAUCUCUCCAAUUCCAAUUUCUACGCUCAAAUUCCAUCCCAAAUAUCUUUACUGUCAAAUUUAGUUUCACUCGAUCUCUCCCAAAAUCCUAUUGAGUUUGAACAUCAGGAUUUCCAACUGCUUCUUCAAAACUUAACUCAGGUUAGAAUACUUUCUCUUUCUGACGUUAGUAUCUUCUCCGAGUUCCCUAAGAACUUUUCUUCAUCUUUGACAAUUGUGGAUCUUGGUCAAACUCAAGUUUAUGGUAAGCUACCAGACCAUAUUUUCUAUCUAGCAAAAUUGCAACAACUCAUACUAAAUGGAACUCAAGUCACUGGAAGUUUACCGAACUUGAACUGCACUGCUUCAUACAUGUUGUCGUACUUAGAUCUUGCUUACACAAAUUUUUCUGGGGAACUUCCCAACACAUUUGGCUGCUUGAAGUCCUUGAACGCCAUGUUGCUCGAUGGAUGUCAGUUCACUGGUCGCCUUCCUGAGUCAAUUGGAAACCUUUCUCAGCUCACUACGAUGUCUCUGACUCAAAACAGUUUCAGUGGGCCUCUUCCAUCGGUGAUCUCAAACCUUGUCCAACUGGAAGUUUUAGACCUUACAGGCAACCAAGUGCAAGGCCAAAUACCAGAUUGUUUCACAAAUCUCCAAAAAUUAACUCAAUUGUCAUUGCGAGACAACCAUUUGGUUGGGCCUUUCCCAUCCACCAUUGCGAACCUUACCAAUCUCCAGACGCUAGAUCUACAAUCCAAUUCGAUAACAGGUCCUCUUCCAUCAAACGUGAGUGGCCUUCAGGAAUUGUCUUUUCUAUAUCUUUAAAACAACUUGCUCCAUGGCACAGCACCGACAUGGUUAUUUAGCCUGCAGUUACUCACAACUUUGCUUCUCAAAAACAAUCUCCUAACAGGACAAAUCGAAGAGCUCAAUGGAAUGUCACUGAUGAAAAUUGAUUUGAGUAAUAACCAAUUAUAUGGUCAAAUUCCUAAAUCAAUUUCAACACUCCCAUUUUUAGAUUUCCUUGACCUCUCAUCAAAUAAUUUGAGUGGCGUGCUUGAACUAUCCAGUGAUGGUCUUGAGUACCUUGUUCUCUCUAAUAAUCGAAUAUCAUGGAGCACCAGCGGAAAUGUCAGCAACUCUUUACCAAACCUUUAUCGUUUAGAGCUAUCUUCUUGUGAGAUGAAGGCUUUCCCAGAAUUUCUCAGAAGCUCAAAGAAGUUAGAAGUUCUACAGCUCUCUGACAAUAAGAUUCAAGGUCAGAUUCCCAGCUGGGUGACAUCCAUGCCUUGGGAUUCACUUCUGUAUCUAAAUCUAUCUUAUGACCACCUUUCUGGGAUGGAUGCAUUACCUUGGAAGAAUCUAAGGGUUCUAGAUGUUCGAUUCAACCAAAUCCAAGGACAAUGGCCUUUUUUCAUUUGCAAUUUGAAAGCUCUAGCAAUUCUUGAUUUGUCAAGGAACAAAUUUACUGGUGCAAACCUCGGUGUUUUGGGAACUUUUCUAGUUUUGUGGUCCUGAAUUUGGAAGGAAAUGGCCUGCAAAGGACCAUUAAUUCAAUGGUAUUUGCAAAAGAUAUCAGAUUGAGAUAUCUUGGUCUGAAUAGAAAUUUCUUGGAAGGGCCGCUGCCAGAAACUUUGGCCAACUGCAAGUCCUUGAUGUGGGGAACAACCGUCUGAAAGAUAUAUUUCCUGCAUGGUUACAAAAUCUUACGGAGCUCCAAGUUCUUGUGUUGAGUUCUAACAGAUUCUUUGGACCCAUAAGCAUUUUCAAGGCUAAGAGUCCAUUCCAAAAGUUGCAAAUCUUCGCCCUCUCUUGCAAUGAGUUCAGUGGUGUUCUAUCUACAGAACUUUGGAAAGCUUCAGGGCUAUGAUGAGCUUACAAAGCAACAAAUCAGAAUCUAAAUACUUGCAUGCAACCGGUAAUACAACAAAUUAUCUAUACUCUGUCAGCAUGACAUCCAAAGGCCAUGAGAUUGAGUUCACCAAAAUCAUUAGAACUCUCACAACCAUUGAUCUGUCAAGCAACAUGUUUCAUGGGAGGAUCCCAGACGUCAUUGGAAAUCUCUACUCCCUCAAGUUGUUGAACUUAUCCAACAAUAACUUUUCUGGCCACAUUCCACCAGCUAUUGGGAACCUGAAAUUUCUUGAAACAUUAGACCUUUCAAGAAACCAAAUUGGAGGAGAGAUUCCAAUGCAGCUAACGAAUCUUACAUCUCUUGAAGUCCUAAACUUAUCAUGCAAUCAUCUUAUUGGGCAAUUCCUCAAGGCAAUCAAUUGCGCACACUUGGUGAAGAUUCAUACAGCGGAAACUCAGGAUUAUGUGGAUUCCCAAUAACAAAAAGCUGUGAAGAAAUGCAUGUGCCACAAGCGCCCCCAGAUGAGGCAUUGGAACAAGGCGAGGAUUCGAGUUUCAUGGGUGGAUUUACAAGGAAAUCAGUGCUCAUAGGAUAUGGUUGUGGACUUGUUCUUGGCAUAGCUUCUGGUUUUCUAAUGUUUGCUACUGGAAAACCAAGAAGAUUGGUAAGAUUCAUUGAAGAAGAAGCAUAUAGUAAUAGUGUACUCUUGUUUGGAAAGAGAAAAACUGUAUAAUCAGCUGAAAAAACCAAUAACAUGUCACGAGCGCAUGGAAGAAGAAACUAAAUAUCCAGAUAAAUGAGGUAACUAGAACAUACAUUCUGUGAUUUUAUAUUGUUUCCUUGUACAACUUUGUUAUCUAUAUCAUCAAAUGUUUACAUUCUUAAGAUAAACUGUACUUCUUACAGUUGCCCAAUUUAUAUUCAAGCACUUACUAUCUUUGUGCUUAAUAAGCUAUUAUUCAUACAGCGGGUCUGGUUUUAUAUUUGUAUAGCUGAUAUCAAAUUUUUGGAGCAUGUCUCGUUGCCCCAUUAUUCAAAAAUAACAGCUUUAAGAUCUCCAGUCUAUGAACCAAGAUAUCACUCAAGGCCAUAACCAAAAGGAUGACCUCACAGGAUCCAAAGCCAUUUCUGAUAAUUAGUGAGACUGAUAGUUUCUUGGGUUUUCACUGAAUUUCUGAUUCAAUGAAUUAGAAUAGACAGCUUUAAGGAUAUGAUACCUUUCUUUUUAUUAUUCUCAUUUAUUGAUUUGAUCAAUUCAUCUAAGCAAUCACCAUUGUUGUAGUUUAAUGUGCUUACCUUUCAUUUUUGUAGGUGGAGAAAUUUGGGAAAGAGAACUUUUCAUUCCACGUUAGAUGUCUUAAGUAUUUGUGUUAGACCUAUUAACCUUUCACGGUUCUUCAAGUGCUGUCAAUUACUAAACUCAUAGAAAUCAAAAUCCGCUUCAAAAUUUCUCAUAUUAUGUCCUUUGUUCUUUUCAUGUGUGAAUCUUAGUGUGGUUUUGUAACACUUUGUAGAAGCUCAACAAUUGAUUACUAGAUUCAGGUUUCUAAAAGAUAGUCUCCAUUAAUUAUAUGAUUUAGGAAACCCAAAUUAAUGGUGAAAAUAAUAAUUACAUUUUUCAGAAGCUCCUAAAGGUAGGAACUAAUAUUGAAAUUCACCUUUAUGAGACGGUACAGACUCUAUACAUUGGCACAUCCCAAAAUUAUUCUGAAAAUGAUCCAGCUUUGUGUCAAAGUUCAUUAAGGGUACACAAGAAUGUCCAACCACAAGCUAAAAAUUAGUUUUACUAGAACUAAUUUUUAUUAAACUUCAAAACAUAAGCUAAAUUAUUUAACAACAAAAUAGCAAUGAAUUGAGAACAUAGGAUUUGUAAUUCAACAAAAAAGAGGAAAUUAAGGAUUAUGUGGAUUUGCACAAGUACAUGUAACUUGAUGUUACUGUUGGAUCUUUUAAUUGGAAAUAAAGGAUGGCUUACCUAAUUAAAUUUACCACUACCAGGUCAACCUUCUUGCAGUUUCAGCAUUGUUUUUUCAAUAACUCAGCUUCCCCAUGGAUUUUGCUGCAUUCAAAUAAUUUUGUCCUCAGCGUCAGAGAGAAGUCAUAGACAAGUAAUUUGAUUGAUAAGAAACCAACAUGUCAGGCCAUUCAAUUAACUUCUUAAUCAUGUAACUCACCGUUGUGCACAGAAAUAUGAGACUCUAAAAGACAAACCUUGAAAUAGCAUUUCUCCAUUCACGUUUAGUUUGAUUUUAUGAUCUAAAGUAACUGCUGGUGUACUUGCAACACAAAAUGAGAAGACUAACGUGCUUUGUGCAUCAGUUGAAUGAAGCUAAAGGAAAGCACCAACAAAGUGCCCUGCGUCUGGUGAACAAAAGCCACAUAUGGCAACACGAUGAACAUCUCCAGCUCCACGACAAACCUAGUUGCAAAGUUACCCAUUAAAGAACAUAAAAACGAAAGUUGAAAACUUUCUGAUCGAACAUCUUUAAAACCAACAGAACAAUCUUCCAGAAGGAGCAAGUCAUUCUGAUUCUUGUGCAAUCUUUUAUCAAUCCCACAAGGGUGGAACAAAACCUAGAAGUGGAUUCAAUUAAUAACUCUAUGGUGACAAAUUGUCAUCAAAAGAUUUAAGCUCUGAAGGAAACAACUAUAACCAAAAUUUUAAUUGUGGUAUAUACAUCUAAAUGAAAGCAAUUUCAAAGUUUGAGGAGCCAAAAACAUCAGCAAGAAUGAUGAUUGCUACCCAUAAAAGGAAAAAGAAAAAAAAGGAUAAGAUCAGCAGCUCUACUCAGCCACCACUCAAACUGAUUGCAACAUAGCUAGAACAUGUUGACACUCUGCCUAAUCUAAUUAACGAGAAACUGGCAUGUCAUACAAAUGCACUUCUGGACACGCAAUUGCGAGAAACUGGCAUGUCAUACAAAUGCAAUUGAUAUAAAUUUCUGCUGACAUGGGAACAAAAUGUUGAUCUCAGCAUCCUGGCAGUAUACUUCAUGGAUGGAAUAGUUGGAAAAUUGUAUUCAGCAAGUCAUGGAGCCUGAUGUUUCCAAGUCACUCUCUUCACUCCCAGCAAAUUUAAUAGAUCUGCCAAAAAGAGCCAUCUUCUCUGACAAAUUACGAAGAGCAUCCUGCCUAUUAGCCAAUUCCAUAAGCACCUUAAUCCUCCUAAAUGAAACAUUACUUGGUUUUUGCCCUUUCUCCACCAUCUGCAAGAAAGACCUCUCAGCCUCAUCCAACUUCCCCAUGUCACAAAGCAAAUCAAACAAAACGUCAGAGACCAAUAUAUAAGAGCCAUACCCCAUCUCCACCAUAUCAUUCCAUAGCUCAAGUCCCAUUUCAACCUUCUCGUGCCUUCUCAACAACCUGAUCAAAAACAUACAAGAUUGAGUGUUUGGUAGACACCCUGUUUCCCUCAUUCUCAGGUACAAGUUCCAUGAACUUAUCAAAUCAUUCCACCAAUAAAAGUCCUCAACAAAAUAUUUUAAGUAGUUGCAUUUGGGCUCAACACCUUCUUUACCAUCUCAUUCAUCAAACCAUAGGCAUCCCCAAUCCUCUUUGCAAUACAGAAAUUUCUAAUAGCAGCAUUGUAAGCUGCCACAUCAGGAUAGCAUCCAUACUCUCUCAUCUCUUCCAAAACAUCCCUUGCCUUAUCAGGUUGCCCCACAAGCCCCAAACCACCAAUCAAACUCGUAUAUGUAAUCACAUCUGGACUAAUAUCCCUCUCCCUCAUCUCCUCCACCACCCUAUACGCCUUAUCCAUUUCUCUCGUCUUACAAUACACAUCCACCAAACACUAUCAGGUUCAACCCCCAUUUCCCUCGUCUCCUCAAAAAAGCCCUCGGCCUCAUCAGUUGACUUCCAACCAGCCAACAAUAUAUUAAAAGUCUGCAAAUUCGGCCUAAAUUCAUGCUUCAAGUUAUGAUACACAUUCCUGGCAUCACUCAUCCUCUUCUCUUGACACAAUGUCCUAAACAGUGCAUUGUAACAACUAGUAUCAAACUCCAAAACAAGCCUUCGAAACCGCUUAAACGAAAUCACAGUCUGCUUAACUGAACAAACCUUAGCAAUCCUAGCUAAGACAACUUGAACAGUUCUUGAAGUGAUCGAAGAUUGAUCCUUUUUCUUCGCUUCCACCAAAACCUCCCAAAUAUUAUCAAAUUUUCUGCUCCUACCCAAAACAUACAGCAUUGUAUCCAAAGAAAAUGCAGAAUGCAAAAACCCCUUUUUCCUAGAUGUAAACUUAAAGAAUUCCAAAGCCUGUAAUGGAUUAGAAUGAGAAAAUCUGACCCUUUUCAGAACAUUAUCAAUUAAGUCAUUUGAGAAAGGGAUUGAAGCUGCUGCUGAUCUCAGUGACUGUCUGAGUUCAACUGAGGUUCUUGAACUUGUUAGUAUCCGAAAAACAGUCUCAACAUCGUCGUUUACAGCAGGGGAGGAAGAAGUAAAAGGCGGGAUUUUUUCAAUUUGGGGAAUGGAACUAAAGAAAAGAAGUGAAUUUAAACAGGCAUACCUUACUGUUGCCGUUGAUGAUGUACAAGAGUGAAGAAAAAUGGGAUUUCUGAUAAAAAGAUGGAGCAAUUUUUUUGGGAUGAAAUCUGAAUGAAGACAAGAACCAAAUAUUCAGACUCUAUGCUACUGCUGCUCCUGCAGGUUUUCCCUCAAGUAUUCGAAUGCAUGAAAUUUUUGGGAUUUUUGUGAUUUUGGGGUCAUUUUUUAUGCUGUGGUUUUGCCGCAAAGCGAUUCUUCCAGCUGAAUUGAAGUGAAAGUUACACUUCAGGGAUGCACCUCUGUAUUCUUUUGUUUUCCUCUUUUUUGCCUUUUUUUUUCCAUCGGCGAAAUAAAAAGAGAAAAAAAAAGUAGGCUAAUACCAUAAAAAUGACCAUAGUUUUAGAACCAUCAGAUCCAAUUACUUUUAAAGGUCAAACUAGGAGGGGAACACCGCGCGAUGCGCGGUGUAAUUUUCAAGUUUGCCCAGAAACGUUCAAUUAUUCAAACUGGGAUAUUCAAUAUAAAAAGUUACAUGAAGGUGCAUCCAAAUGUUUGUGAUUAUUUUUUAUAAUUUUAUUAUGCAAUGAAGAGAGCCACAAUUUCAGUCUAGUUGCUAAAUGACAGUCAUUUUUGGUAUGCUGACUAAUUGGACAGCAAUGGCAAUGUCAUUAGUUUGAAAAUAAUAUAACACUGUGUAAUGCUGCCUUAUAUUUUUUAUGUACACCAAAAUCUGUGACUUUGUAGCUAAAAAAAAAAAAGAGAGAGCAGUGUAGUAUUGCAGCAAGGCUUAGCCUUAUUUUUAGACUCUGAUACAACCAAUCCACUAUUUUCGUAAUUGCAUCAAAUUAACCCAAAGACUGAAAGAAAGACCUAUUACUUUGUAGUACAAUAACCAAAAUGGCUUCAUUAGCUUGUAACUUCAAGAAAUCUACGGAAAGCAAAAGAAUUGUGCUCACAUAUCAACCGUAGUGAGAUAAACUGCAUUUGACCAAAAACGGAGGAGGAUUACCUAAUGCAGGUGUAUCUUCUCAAUACAUCAAUAGUAUAGGGGAUGGUCAAGUACUCAAUACACAAAAAAAAAAGAAAAAAGGAAGUUUCACAGGCCUCGAUGCAAUUCUACCUUUGAUCAUUUGAUGCAUGUCAACAACCAGAAUCCCGUAAAAGGAAAGACAAGUACAUGAGAUAAUGUAAAAGCCUGCAUUUAUGAAACUUACUACCAGUAGACUGCAUUCCAGAGGUUCUCAUUACACAUCAAAGCUGUUCCAGCUCAAAAAGGAAUAUAAGAAAAAGAAGAAAAAAGAAAUGCACAGUGUGCAUCAAGCCUUUUCCUUGUUAUUAGAAUCAUACACUUCAAAAUAACCGAAAGACCGAAAAAUGCAUUACUUUGUAGUACAAUAACUAAAAAGGUUUUUAUUAGCAUAUAACUUCAAGAAAUCUAAUGAAAAGUGUGAAUUUCAGAGGAAGAGAAUAAAUUCCCCAUAUUUUUAUUCAUCAAUGGUAAGGGUAUAUAUACAGGUAUAGACAUCUUAUAAUAUGAAGAUAUCCUAUUACAAUAAAUCAGUCCUCUAAUUCCUAUAAUUUAGGCUACAAACUAGCCUACAUUUGUUAGCUAUCUAAUCCCUACAAAUCAGCCUAUAUCAAUCUGUGACAGCUAUCUAAUCCCUACAAAUCAGCCUGCAUAUAAUCUGUAACACUCCCCCUCAAGCUGGAGCAUAGAUAUUAAUCAUGCCCAGCUUGUUACAUAGAUAAUCAAUCCGGACCCCGUUAAGAGCUUUUGUGAAUAUAUCACCUAAUUGUUCUCCAGUCUUCACAUAACCUGUAGUGAUCAAACCUUGUUGGAUCUUUUCACGAACAAAAUGACAAUCAAUCUCAAUGUGUUUCGUUCGUUCAUGAAAGACUGGAUUGGAAGCAAUGUGAAGUGCAGCUUGAUUAUCACACCAUAGCUUGGCAGGUACUGAGACCUUAAUUCCUACUUCACUAAGGAGCUGAUAUACCCAUAUGACUUCACACACAGACUUGGCCAUAGCUCUAUAUUCAGCUUCCGCACUGGAUCGUGAGACGACAUUCUGUUUCUUACUCUUCCAUGAGACCAAAUUUCCCCCAACAAAAACACAAUAUCCUGAAGUAGAUCUCCUAUCUUCCUUACACCCUGCCCAAUCUGAAUCUGAAAAACAUUCAAUCCUAGUAUGACCAUGAUUGCCAUAUAGGAUUCCACGUCCAGGAGCACAUUUUAAAUAGUGCAAAACUUGUUCGACUGCUUUCCAAUGGUCAACAGUUGGUGAGGACAUAUAUUGGCUUAACACACUCACUGAAUAAGCAAUAUCAGGACGUGUCACAGUAAGAUAAUUCAACUUUCCGAUUAGUCUUCUGUACCUCUCAGGAUCUGCACACAAUUCACCUUCUUUGGUUAAUUGUAAAUUAGGAACCAUUGGGGUACUACAUGGUUUAGCACCCAACUUUCCCGACUCCGACAGUAAAUCAAGUACAUACUUUCUCUGUGAUAGAAAGAUUCCCUUCUUACUCCUGCUAACUUCAACUCCCAAGAAAUACUUUAACAUCCCCAAGUCUUUGGUAUAGAACUGAGUAUGAAGAAAGGACUUUAGAGACGAAAUUCCGCUAGAGUCGCUACCUGUGAUUACAAUAUCAUCCACAUAUACAACUAACAGAAUAAUACCUCCAUUAGAGUGUCUAUAGAAAAUAGAAUGAUCUGACUUGCUUUUCUGCAUCCCAAAUUUCUCAAUAGCUUGGCUAAAUUUUCCAAACCAAGCCCGAGGACUCUGUUUCAAGCCAUAUAGAGAUUUUUGCAGACGACAGACUUUCCCUUUCCCAUACCCCCCUUGAGCAACAAAACCAGGUGGUUGCUCCAUAUAUACCUCCUCCUGAAGAUCACCAUGAAGAAAGGCAUUCUUGAUGUCUAACUGAUGCAGAGGCCAGUCAUAAGCUGCAGCAAGGGAGAUAAACAACCUGACCGAAGCAAGUUUAGCAACAGGAGAAAAAGUAUCAUGAUAAUCCACCCCAUAAAUUUGAGCAUAUCCUUUAGCAACAAGUCGAGCUUUCAAUCGAGAAAUGGAGCCAUCAGAAUUCAUUUUGACAGUAAACACCCAUUUACAUCCAAUGGCUUGUUUACCUGCAGGUAAGGUAACCAAAGUCCAUGUACCAUUGACAUCUAGAGCAUUCAUUUCCUCAAUCAUAGCAGUCCGCCAUCCGGGAUGAGCUAAUGCCUCUCGAACAGUCUUAGGUACAGAAACAGUGUCUAGGGAUGUAAGAAAAGCACAAGAAGAGGAAGACAAAUGAUGGUAGGAAACAACUGAAGAGAUUGGAUAAGUACAUGCACGUUUACCUUUUCUGUGAGCAAUAGGGAGAUCAAGAUCAUCGUUGGCAGCCGGAUCUGAUGACAAAGAGACUGGUUCAUCAGGACAUGAUUCUGGAGACUCAAGGACCAAGUCAGAACUGGGCUGAUGUGCCCGACGUGAGUAGGUAUAUUUGAUGGGAGGCUUAACCGGUGUAGAAGGAGGCGGACCCAAAUUUGGUAUGACACUAUAGAUUAACAAAUCAUCAUCCUCCCCUGGACUCACAGAACUUGAAGAGCCUGAAGAUGAAGAUAAAGGUGUUUGUUCCAAAAAAGUAACAUCAGCAGACACAAGAUACUUACCAAGACUAGGACAAUAACAACGAUACCCUUUUUGCAUGCGAGAAUAACCCAGAAACAUACACUUUAAGGACUUAGGAUCAAGUUUUGUAACUUGAGGACGAACAUCCCGAACAAAACAAGUACAACCGAAUAUCUUUGGUUCUAUAGGAAACAACUGUUUAUUUGGAAAUAGAGUGUGGAAAGGAGUAUUACCAGACAAAACAGAGGAAGGCAUACGAUUGAUUAGAAAACAAGCAGUAGAUAGAGCAUCAGCCCAGAAACAUUUAGGAACCUUCAUUUGAAAUAACAAAGCUCGAGCAGUUUCAAGAAGGUGUCUAUUCUUUCUCUCGGCAACCCCAUUUUGAGAAGGGGUGUCAACACAAGAGGUCUGAUGAAGAAUACCCUGCUCAAGCAUGUAUUUCUGAAAACUGCUUGAAACAUAUUCUUUUGCAUUAUCACUUCGCAAAAUUUGUACAGGUUUACCAAAUUGGGUUCGAAUUUCAGCACAAAAGGAAGAAAAGUGAAGAAAUAGUUCUGAGCGACUUUGCAUCAAAUAAAGCCAUGUCAUUCUAGAAUAAUCAUCCACAAAGGUAACAAAAUAUCUGAAACCAGUUUUAGAGGUAACUGGACAAGGACCCCAAACAUCAGAAUGUACUAACUCGAAGGGAGCAGUAGCUCGCUUAUUGAUUCUAGGACUAGAACUAAGACGAUGAUGUUUAGCAAACUGACAAGACUCACAAUCUAAGGAAGUAAUGUUUGAAAACUGAGGACAAAGUUUCUUCAACAUAGAAAGCGAAGGAUGACCCAAUCGACAAUGUGCUUCAAAAGGAGAGAUUGUUCCAGCACAAGCUAUAGACCCUGGUUUCGGUGUAUCAAGAAUGUAGAGACCGUCAGACUCAUGUCCCUCACCAAUAAUCUUCUUCGUCAUGAGAUCCUGAAAUGAACAAUAACCAGGAAAAAAUGAGACACAACAAUUAAGAGCACGAGUAAGUUUGCUGACAGAAAUCAGAUUAAAAGAUAGUUGUGGUAGACUCAGAACAGAUGAUAAAUGGAGAGAUGAUGUGGGCUGAGUGGUUCCAGACCCAAUAACACUGGAUGUUGAACCAUCGGCUAAAGUAACAGGAGUGAUAGAUUUAUGUGGCUGAAAGUUAGAAAGUAAACUAGGAUUACCUGUCAUGUGAUCAGUAGCACCAGAAUCAAUGACCCAUUUUGGAGAAGAGGAAACAAGACAUGCAUUGGGUUUACCUGUCUCGACAGGAGCAGUAACAUGACCAGAUGGCUGUUUCACUGUUUCUUGAAACUGAGUCAAUCUAGCAUACUUAUCCGCAGAUAUUGUAACAUGCUUGUCAGAGGUGGCACAACUAGAUGCAAUAUGGGCAGAGUGAGCCUUCUUAUACUGCAGCUUCCGACAGUCUCGCUUGAUAUGACCUGGUUUAUGACAGUAGUGACAUACAAUCUCUCCUUGCUCCUGUCCAUGAUUGCUAGUAUUCUUAUCAGAGUGGUUGGGCCCCGACCCCAUGCUCGUACUGUUGCCAUUACUCUUGUAGUGUUGUCUUCCUGAAUCAGCUGUGGUAGUUCGGCUAAGAAGAACACUGUUAGGCUGAGUAGAUAGAACAGGUAACGUAUUCUCUGUACGGAGAACCCUUCGAAAAGCAUCUUCUAGACUGGAAAUUUCUGAACCGGAAAGAAUUUGAGAUUUAGCAGUCUCAAAUUCAGACGGAAGACCGGCUAGAAAACUCAUAACCGCCAUCUUCGCUCGCUGAUUUCGUUGUUCCUCCACAUCACAACUGAAGGGAAGCAGCAUAUUGAGCUCUUCAUAUGUUUUCUUGAAGUCCAUAAAAUAACUGGUGAGAGACUUGUCUCCUUUAUCUGCCCUGUAAAAAUCCUUGCAAACAUCAUAGAUACGAGAGAAAUUUCCUUUUCCAGAAUAUAAGAACUGUAAAUAGUUCAUUAAUUGUUUUACUGUCUUACAAUGAGUCACCAGACCAACCACCUCACUAUCAAUAGAAUUACGGAUCUGUAUAUACAAGCGAGCAUCCUCUCUCAUCCAAGACAAUUUAGAGUCAUCCGUAGGUGGAUCAUCAGUCAGAUGGCCAUCCAUAGAAAUACUGAGCAGAUAUAAUUCAAUAGUAUUGUUCCAAUCAAGAAAAUUAAUUCCAGUUAACUUAUGUUCCGUGAUUUUUGAAACCAGCGGAACUAUAUCAGAAACAACUCCAGGCUUUUUGUCAGACAUAAUUGCUAAGAAAAUUCAACAAGAUAACAGAUUACCCACAAGAAAAACCUGUUGUAGCCAAGUCCCACACCUAGAUCGAUGUUGACCCACAAACAGGUAUGCAAAUAGCGUCGAGAGACAGAGGAGAGGUGCUGGGUUCUGACCAAUCGGUACUACGUACCUCCCUGAGUUGGCGGUGUCUAUAAAGGAACCUCUAAAGCCUGUACCUUGAAUAUGGCAGCAGCUUCCCUCACACCCAACAACCCAGAAAAAAAAAAUUUAUGAACAAACCUUGCUCUGAUACCAUGUGAAUUUCAGAGGAAGAGAAUAAAUUCCCCAUAUUUUUAUUCAUCAAUGGUAAGGGUAUAUAUACAGGUAUAGACAUCUUAUAAUAUGAAGAUAUCCUAUUACAAUAAAUCAGUCCUCUAAUUCCUAUAAUUUAGGCUACAAACUAGCCUACAUUUGUUAGCUAUCUAAUCCCUACAAAUCAGCCUAUAUCAAUCUGUGACAGCUAUCUAAUCCCUACAAAUCAGCCUGCAUAUAAUCUGUAACAAAAAGAAACUGUGUUUACGUAUCAACCUUAGUGGGAUAAAUUGCAUUUGAUCAAAAAAGGAGGAGGAUUAUUAAUAUAGGCCAUACUUCUAUCCUCUCAAUACAUCAGUAGCAAAAGGGAUGGUCAAACUCUUGGCACAAAAUAACUCAUCCAGUUACACAAGAUUUUAAACCAAAUAAAAAUAUUAUGAUAACACCAUCCGCGUGAGAUAUAAUGCAUCAAGAGCUGACAUACAUAUAUAGCAGGUAAUGCAAAGAUCAGAUAGCUACAGUUAGUGCAAAAUCUAGUAUCCAGGGUCAUACGCUUCAAGGCUUUGAUCUUGAUAAAGCUUCAAGGGUGGCCGAUUCUGCUUCCCACAUAAAUAAACACGUAGUUUUGUUAAUCAAAUGGCAGAGGCAUUCUUGAGUGGUACUGCAAAAAUCCACUUCGUAUAGUUAAAUAUUAGUAACAAUUACCAUAUUCUCCAAAAAUAUAUCAUAGAUUUUUUUCUUUUAUCAUUGUCACUUCCAUUUUAAUCUAACUUUUUUCACUUACAGGAACAUCAUAAUUAGCGCCUAUCUAUGCAAUUACCUAUAUGGCAGACAAGUUUUUUCCAUAUAAUUAUCCCUGAAGGCAAAAGUAUGGGGCAAAGGAUUUUGUACAAUUCAUAGGUUAGGGCAUACUGCACCAGUGUGGCCAAAGAAUAAACGAACAAUCUUCAAUUACAAUAUAAAACAUGCAAUAACUACAAAUGAACAAUUUUCCAUUACAUUAUUAUAUACACAAUAUACACACUGUUGUAAAAAAAAAUUCCAUUCAUAGAGAUGGUUACAUUAAACCGAAAGGUGAAAGAAAAAAGGUUAGAAUCAGCACCUUAAAAGUAGUAGAAGGCCAUUAUUUGCUUUAUUAUAUGCCGAUAAUUUUAAUACCUAAUUCCAUCAUGAAGAGCCAGGUAGCCAUCUAAUUUAACGCCAAAUAAGGACACAAAGAAAUGGUUCGCAAGCUAAAUAGCAGAAAAGAUAAUUAACAGAAACUUAAUCAUUUUCUCAUAAUUAACAGAAACAUAAUCAACAAAGACAUCUACUAAUUAUUAGUAUACAAGCACAUCAAUUUGACUAAGAUAUUUUUUUAAAUAAAGUGUAAACAGCUUACUUGUCUAAAGCUGAACUAUGCUAAAAGGCCAAAGCUUGGGCUUAGACUGACUGGUACUAAACGAAGCAUUACCCCUAUAAAAUUCAACCCAAAAGUUAACAAAAAUAAACAGGAGCAAAAAUAAAUUGUUCAUAUGCAAAAUGGAAACAAGUAGCAAAAAAGAAGGCUGUAAAAUGUUACACAAAGAUAAUCACCAAGUUUUUAGCCAAAGACAUUGUGCUAAGAUUUAAACAACCCAUGAAUCCAAAACUAUAUGGUCAAAGAAGGAAAAGAGAUCUAGGGAUUUUUUCUUCUAAAUAAUAGGUUUUUUGGUAAACAUACACCUUUCAUAACAGCAUUUGUGGCCAAAGUGUUAUCUACCAACCAAUCUAACAAAUUUUGCCACUUUAACCUCCUUUCCCACAAUUAGUUGAAAAUUAUUCAAAACUAUAAUUAAAAACUUCAAACUAAAGUCAUCAAAAGAUGAAAUAAGUUCAAUUCCAUUGGAAAUUGACAAUGGCGGAGACAUGAAAAAGAAACAAAGAAAAUUGACAAUUUAAGUUAUUUCGAAAAUCCCAAGCAACAACUAAACAAGAGCUGGGAAAUUUGAGCAUAUAACAUCUCGAGUGAUAACCAAUGCAAUCUUGAUUUUGAGCUCCAAGACUCCAAAUGAUCAAGUAGUAUAGUACAGCAUAAACUGAAAAGCAUGAAACUUUUGCACUAAAAACCAAAGCCAACAGAUGAGAUAACUUAUUUAUGGCUUGGUUCCUAAGCUUAAAUGACACCACAAAUACAGCAAUAAUAAAAAAUCAACUUUAAUGUGCUCAAACUUCAAAGCUUGCGACGUCUGUGCAAUCACUCAGUUGAAAUUUUAGCUCAAAACACUAUACAACGGAAAAGGAAUAAGCAAAAGCACAAAAACACAUAAAAUCCGACAUUUUAAAAGCAAAAAAAAAAGAAUCCAUGGAAUUAAUGUUUGGAACCUUUUUUACGGCAUGCAGUGCAGCUCCAUGACCACUGACGCCAGCGCCAAUAAUGAUGAGAUCGUAAUCAAAGGAUUUGGGAGCGCUUCCAUUAUCAUCCGAAGAUGCAGAAACCUUCGUCGGACUCGCCUGCGCUUUUCUCGGAAAAAUUAGCCUCUUUGCUCGAAUAAACUGGCCGCGCUUCAGCUGCGAGGGAACUGAAAACCCAGAGAUUUCUAAUAUUUCACCUGCAAGAUCUAAGCAGAAGAAAAUAAAAAACAUACUACGGGUAGGAAAGCAGAUUUCUAAUAUUUCACCUACAAACUCAAAAGCAUACUCAACAAGAAAAUAAAAAACAGCAGAUCUCUGGGUUUAUAAAUACUUCUGACUUUCACUGCUUUUGGAUGAAGAUUUUACUACAGCUUUCUUUGUUUGCUCAAAGAAGGAGAUGAAAAAAUAGUAUUUCAGACCUCUAGGUUAUUAAUCGAAAGAUUAACAAAUCUUAGCAAGAAAAAUGUCUUUCUUUCUUGAAUAAAGGAAACUGUAAAACUUUGGGGAAAUAUUGGAGCUUACCAAUUAAGAUGAUUUCUGUGUCUCAUGCGUUCAGUAGCUUCAUAUCCAGACCAAUUCUAACAAGGGAAAAAAAUCAGUUAGAAUCAUAUAAUUGAAAAAAAAGGAAAGAGAAGAAAGGAAAAAGGGGGGAGGGGGGAAACGGGAAGGAAAAACAGAGAAAAAAGGACCAAAUAAAAACAACAAAAAGGAACAAAGAAAAGAAAAGAAAAGAAAAAUGGAAGGGGAGAGGAGAGGAGCUCUGGAGAGCAACGAAGCGGCGGACAUGAAUGAGGGGAAAGAAAACAAGGGAAGCCCUAAAACAAAAUUUUUGGCACGCGAGUCCCACGUGAUUGACGACCAAAUUCCAGCCAAUAAAACCCAGCCACGUCAGCAAAACAACAACCACCCUUAACAAUCCCAUUCGCGCUUUUACUAUAUAGGUAGAUUAGCAUUAUUCUUGUUCGGCUGGUUCUAGUUUCGAUUUCAGUUUCUAUCAUUUUCAAUUUUAGUAUUUUUCUAGGUAUAGUUUUCAGAUUUUCUAGUACAUUUAAUUACUUAUGAUUAUAAAAUUAAUUUUAAGAAAAUAUAAUAAUGAAUUUAGAGUAACGAGAAACUAAAGAAAAUGAAUGUAAAAAAAAAUAAGGCUUUUAUUGUAUUAUUAGCUUACAAGGAAGAGAAAGAUGAUAAAAAAAAAAUUUAUGUAAAACAUAUCUCAUAUUUAUUGAAUGUUUUAAAUAAAACAAAAGAUACAUAAUUUUCUAUCAAACUUGAAAAAAGAAAAAGAGAAAAACAUCUCAAUUUUCUCACUAACUUGCGCAUUGUUUUUCUUUUGACUCAACAUUUUAGAACUAGCUUAAUGCUGUUGAACUUUCGGUGAACCUCAACCAAAACCUUUAACCAUGGUUCCAACACCGAUUUAAAAUUUCCAAAUUAGUUAUAAUUUUUUUUUAACAAAUUGCUGAUUCAAUUCCGAUUUGAUUCCAAUUUGAACCUGAACUAUGGCCAUGGUUAUUACUAUUACGUAGAGGUGGCAAUUUGUCCCAAAUCCCAAUGAACUACCCAUACCCAAAAAGACUUUGGCGGGAUGGGUAUUGUAAUUUGAUAUUAGGUUUAAAAUGGGAUGCAUCCCAAUUAUACUCAUUAUUUGAUGGAAAAUGUUGGAAAAUACUUGGGUACCUAUUGAGCCCAAAUAUCUUCCCAAAAAAUUUCAUUUUAUCCAAAAAUUCAUCAUUAUUUUUUUUUUUUUGCAAAAAUCUGAUUUUUUUUCACUUCCAUUUUCUUUCAUUUCCUUUCUUCACUUUCCUACAAAAGAAAACCAGUUAAGUAAAAAUGAUUUCAUUUAAACAACUUUAAAAAAAUUAAAGAUAACAAUAAAAAUAAAAUAAAUUGGUAAAAUUUUGGUGUCUACAAGAUCAAUACUUUACUAACAACUGUUGGUACCCUAUAUGUUAAUUUUAUGCUAAUUGUUGAACUAUCUACAUAGAUUUCUAUAUGCAACCCUGUUAUCAAUUUUUAAUCAGCUUCUUCGUUUCUGUGCUAGCUUUAUUCAGCAUUUAAUGUGAAUUUCUUUUGUAUCAAAUUUUGAAAAUUUUAAGAAUGUCAGUAAGAAUGAAUGUGGUGUUAAAAAACUUGUUUCUAGUCCUUGUGUCAGACAACAUUAUGGGUAAGGUUGGAAUAUGGUUGUAUAUCUAUCUUUUCCUUUUUUUGUUAAUCCAAUUUUUGGUUUAAUCCAGGGAGAAGAUAUGUUCAUUCUUACCAAAAUAUUAUGUCUUUUAAAAGUAACUGCUGAUCGUUCUAAAGUGUAAAUGAAUUCAGGAAAAUAUAAAUUCACAAUAAGAUCAAAAGAAAUUUAAUAAAUAAAAAUAUUAAAGUUAUAUAAAAAAUAAAAAAGAAUUAAAGGAAAAAUAUAGAAAAUAGAUUUGGGUAUUGGACGGGAUCAAUCUAAACCUAUCCCAAAGUGAUCCCGCCCAAGUUAGUCCCAAAAUAUAUAUGGGUAAGAUUAGACCCAAACCCAUAUGAUUCGGUUCUAUUUCGAAUUCAAGCAAAUCACGUCCAUCCCGCCCAUUUUGCCACCUCUACUAUUACGAACCAAAUAGUGAAAAACUUGGGUUUUUUUUUUAUGGAAAUGAAACAACUUUGGUGCGAAGGAAGCUCAAGGGCUCAUGCAUCAAAAACAGAAACUGUUUCGUUGAAGCCCUUUUGGAUAGUGGAUAUUGCCGGCUCAGGCCAUUGAAUUUGAAUUGAAGAAGGAUUGCAUCGUGAUAUAAAUAAUUAGAUUGUAAACGAAUUGAAUCGAAUACAAAAUCUAUUCCCAGAUUGAAUUCUGGAUAUUAAGUCACACAACAAGUAGGAAAAAAUAAUAAAGUUAAAAUUGCCAUGUAUUGCCAAUUUUUCAUGUAAAUCCGAACUUUUUUUCAGUUUUCAUAUAAUGUUUUUAAAAAUUGAAGCCAAAAUCACUAUAUGUACUCGAAUUGUUAAUUAGGCAUUUUAUGACUAAUUUGAUUUAGCAAGUGCUCUAAGUUUUACUCAUCGUUAGCUUAAUUUCUUAAGAUUAUACUCGAAUGCCCAAAUGCACGUAAUUAGAAUGGUAUCUUAUGUACAUAUUAUUAAAAUGAUGUCUUAUGAAAUUAUUGCAGGUAUCAUGCAACAAAAUUUUAUCAAGUCCUAAAAAUGAUGUGAGUUCUUGGAAAAUAUUUUAAAAAGAAAAAAUGCAUGCAUUAUUAUUUUGGUAGUCCACUUAUAUUAAUUGCAUGAGCAAUUGAAGGCAGUCCAAAAUUUUUUCAACAAUCUUUACAAGUGCAAAGUGUUCAUUGUUCACAAUAACAAACAAGGGUGAAACUAUAAAAACUAUUCUUCCUUGGAAAAAUGUGAAAUGUGGGCAAAGAUAUUAUGAAAAUAACACAAAAGACUCGAUGAUCAUAAAAUCAAAUGUUCAAAACAACAUAGAAUAGUUCAUGAUCUUUGUAUACUUUAUACAUAAAUGCAUAAUUAAUGAGUUUUCUAUUAAAUUCCAUAAACUGCAUGGAGGAUAUUAUCAGUUUCAUAUGAGAUUAACUUGGGGUCAACUGGUCAUGGGUAGACCAUGAGAUGCCCUAAAACAUGACAUGGAGAAGAGAAUCUGCAUAUUAAGUGGCUCUUAGAGUCUCUUGCUACUAAUACUCUUGUUUAUGCCUUGGCUAAAAAGCUUGAGCUGCAGGUUAAAUGGCCUUAAUUUUAAGUACUCUUGUAACUUAGCUUAAUUUUGAAUUUGGCCCUGAACAAAUAAUUCAACUCUUGAUUCGAGUUCGAACAAGAAAUAUGAUUUGAUUAAAGUAUCAAAUAAAAUUCGAGUUGAAUAUUCGACUCGUACAUAUUCAAUUGAUUAAAGUUCAAUGCAACUCAACUAAUUUUUUAUAUUUUUAAGUUUCUUAAUAUUUUUUAUAAAAUUAUGCAUUUCCUAUUUUAUUAUUAAAAAAUUAAAUAAAAUUCCAAGCUCCGAAUUGAGCUCGAGCCUAGUGAGUACUAAAUUGAAUCAAACUCAACCUUAAAUUUUAAACUCGUUUAGGAUUCGAAUUGAGCUUUCGUUUGAGUCCAAAAAUUCAAAUCAAGUCGAAAAAUUAGAAUUGGAAUCUGAGUCUAACAGCUAAGAAGUUCGAGUAAAUUCGUUUGCUGCCCUAGCUUUAUGGAUUUGAAAUCCACGAAAUACAAGUUGAAAAGCCAAACAAUUAAUCAAGAAACCAGAGCAUCAAAAACUAUUCAAAAGUUUCCUUUCCUUUCUUCCUCAAUCUCCAUCCCUUGACCAAGACAAAAAAGGUUUUCACUAGUAACGACAUACAAGAAAGGUCUAUCAAUCCUUUAAAGGGCUAAGGGAAAGAGGAAAUGAAACCCCAACUCAAGGGAAGAACAACAGGGACAAUAAUUACAAAAACCUUUACAACUAUACAAAAUUCCUGUAGAAUUGAGGGAUUAUUUCCUCACCUCAAAAUUAGGGAAUGCUUUCUCUAUAACAUGAGUUGGCACUAUGUACUGUUAUGAUUUUUCUUUGUGUAUGUCAAAUAUGGAUCCUGAGCAAUGGUCAAAACAUCUGGCCUCUCUGCCUGAUUAUAUGUAAGACAACGACGAAUAAAAUCCUGCAAAACAUAAAAGGAGUUGCUACUUCAGCAUACAGGACAAAGGUGAUGAAAGAAAAGUUUAGCGCAGUCUAUAUACCAGUAUUCUUCAGCUUUUUGUCAGCAAAUGUCCUUUAACCACAUGUUAACAUCAUUCAUCGCAGAAAAUCCAAAAACUAAAAUAAACAUUGUAAUAAAGAAUCCAAGCUAAACAAGGAAACAUCCUAAAGGUAUAAAUUUUGCACCUUUGCCAAGCAAAUAAUUUAGAAAUCCAUCAACAGUAUUGUUAUCAAUUUUCAUGAGAAUCAGCAAUGGCAGUUUUAUUUAUAAAUCAUCAUCAUAGUUUCUUCAUUUUUGACAUACCUAGCAAGUUUCUCUAUUUCGUUUUGUUCCUUCAUCAAUCAUUUCCAUAUUAUGACUUGCAAUAUGAGUAAAAGGAAGCAUGAACAUUAUGUCUGAGCCAGUCAGCCAGAUGUUAAUCUGUCUCAGAAACUGCUAUAAAACAUUGAUACAAAUGAGAUUUUCAAAUUUGCAGCACAUCUGGCUUGGAGAAUUGCCAGAGACGAGUGGGGGGUGGGGGUGGGGGAAUAGAUUGACAUGUUUGUAAAUGGACACCCUCGAUUGAAUUUCAUACAGAAUACUUCCGCUAACAGAAAGUAUAGACAUUGACGAGUCAAAACCCAUUUACUGAAAUAAAUUUUGAAGCACUUCAAUACCACACAAAAAUUGACUCCACUAUGUUGGAAACAAUAACCAUUAUGAAACAAACAAGAGGAUAUCAAGAAUAAACUCAGUAGCAUCCACAUGAUUGGCAUGCUUAUCCAUUACAGAUAAAUUAAAGAGAUAAUUGUUGAAACUUUUGUCAAAUAAGAUUUACACAAGUGAAAACACAUCAAAUUGUAAAGUAUAAGAAAGAUGAUCGAUUUCACACCCCACUUUUACUGUUAUCAAAUUGUGGUAAUAAACACUAGCAAUUAGUGCUGGUGAUGGUGAUAGUGGUGGUGGUGGUGGUCAUAGUAACAAUGAUAUAGUCUCUCCUACGCAGACUCUCUUAGAGAAUUUACCCUACAUAAGGAUGUCGAAGAUUAUCACCCCAAGAAACAUUAGCAAAGAAGUUUACACACAAAUGAUUAGUGAACCUGCCUUUGCCUCGUUCGACACAGCUGGCCUUGAAGGAAAAUCCACCUUCCGGGCUUUAAUGAUGGUAUCUUCGCGUAAAACAAACAAAACAGACAGAAUUCAACCAAGAUCAAUCUAGCAAACGUCCGUGAUCUAUCCCCCAUUCUAACAACAACUCCCAAUUUUCCUUACUACGAGGAGCUUUAGCCCAUAAGAGACAAGUCAAGUUGAACAAUUUUAACCACUGUUGAUUUAAUAAAAUUUGGAGUGAAGCCCUCCAACGUGUACAGGGCUUGUCUUUCCAAAAAAACAAAAAACAAAAAACAAAACCGCUGCUGCAACUACUUCCAUUAUCAGUAUUCUGUAUUCGAAAAUCAACAUUUAGUCUUUCCCAAAUUUAGUAUAUUUUAGUGCAUAAUUGAAAAAUUCUCUUGGCGCAAGUGGAAAAUUAUAGAUUUGCAAUCAAUUACAAAUUUUCCUCGAAAAUAGAUGCCCAGUGAUCAACUAUGGCGCUUCAUAGUUCACCUUUUCCAGUCUUAUACUUAGGAGUUGGUCUUAAUAGUGCAUUAAUUUUUUCAUAGUUAAUCAGAAUUUUCUAUGACAAAAAAAAGAAGAAGAUUCAUGAAGAAAAAUAAUCUAUUGGCUGUACUUUUUUUCGAUUUAGACAUCAAUAGUGCAAUGGCAAAAGGACUUUGUAGAUGAAGCUAGUUGAUGUAAUGAAUUUAUGAUGAUUUAAUUAACUAAAAAGGCAAUCAAUUCGGUCUACUAAAUGUCAUACUCAAGAGGUCAUCAUCUUUGUCAAAGGGUCUAUACAUUCCAUACAUUAGUAGUAAAAGUUAGUGGAUUUGUUAGUAUUGAUGACCAUGUUAGCCACUGAUUUCUAUUAAAUCAUGUCUUCAGCUUCUUAUAAGCUUCUCUAUACCCUACCUAAUCUCAUACCAUUUUACUUUCUCUUGGAUUAUGUGGAAUGCCUACUUGACUGCCUGCAAUGCCUAUAUUUUAAUGAUUCCGGUGCAUUUUCAAAAUCUUCAAUUUAUUUUGUAAAGUAUCGAAGUUCAGUUCACUAAUUGGCCAUAAAAACAGAUCAAUAGCAAAGUUGAAAUAUGCCACUUAUCCUGAGACUUUGCAGAAAGUUUGGAAUGUUAAUGUUGUCCCUUGUAAUCCGAAUUAUCCGAUUAUGUGAAACUGAAGUUGUUGAAGGGUGAGAUGAGUUUUUCACUUGUAUACAAGCUGUUUAAUGGGGUUUUCAAUAAAAAACUUUAUCAUUUGCUCCAAAAAAAAAAAAAAAAAAGAAGAAGAAGGGUGAGUUGAGGAAGCUGAAUGCUAAGCAAUAUAGUUCUAUUAGUGAUAGAAUAAACAGGUGUGUAUGGCCAGUUAUGUGAAGUGCAAUCCUUUUCCUUCAUUCACCUUUUGAUAUCUCUUUGCAAUUUCAAGAACAAUCUCAGAGUAGUUGUCUCAACUAGGAGGCGACCAGCUAGGAUUUAUGUUUACUUUACGGGCCAAAGAUACUGGCCUGGCCACGUCUUCUUCUUCUUGGUUUUUUUUUUAAUUCUUCUUAUAGAUCUUUCAGGCGAGUAAGCAACCUUUUGGGGAAAUAAUGUGGUAUAUUUGGACAUUGGGAUAAUUUAACAAAUCUCCUCUGAGUUUAUAACAAAUUCAUCAUAGCUCCCCUCAAAUUAUGACAUGACGCUUGUGUCUAUUAGCUAUUGAUUUCCAAGGCAAAUACUGAAGUUUACCUCUAUGUUUACCAUUGACACUUUCUAUACAAAGCGAUACAAAUUAUAUAUAAGAGAUUUGUGAAAAUGUUAUACUUCCGAGCUAUAACUCAUAAACAAAGGCAUUCGUAAAACCCUUUUGAUUCAAAUAUAUAGAUAUACUCAACUAUACACUUAACAAUUUAAUGUGUGCUAAAGUGAGUAGAAUAGGCUUUUGAAAAAAGUACUCAAAAGUAUGCUACUUCCAUCAUUACCUUCUAGCACGCAUUGUGCAAACUCUUUUCAAAUAGAAAAAAGGGAACGGAAAGGAGAUACAAAAAAGGGUUACAAAUUCUUUAAAAUAUGGCAAGGGUAAGCAUGGAAGUAACAUAUAACAUGAAACAAACAUGUUAAGGAAACCUUAAAUCAAGAGAGGUAACAGUAAGUUUGAAAACUUUGGUGCAGCUAAAUGAAGUCAAAAACCUAAAACAAGGUUGAUGGAAUUAUCCUUUGUAAACUUUAUGUGUCCGUGGCCAAGUGAAAAAAUACUGUUCAAAAUUCUUAUUUCUAUCGGAACCAUUUCGAGGAACUCCAAUUUGGAUGUCAAUACUAAAAGAAAUUUUCCCUAUGGUACAACUGAUUUUGAAAUUUACUAAUUAUUUAUAUUUUUUUUCGGAGACGACAACUGUUAUAUAAUCUAAUCUAUCCUACACUAAAGGGGAGGGGGCGGACCUAAAGAGGCCCAGGGGUAUAUAGGAAGCAAAUGCAUUGUAUAUAGGAAGCUGAAAACCAAACAAGACUUUAUUAUUAGGUUAUCAGUAUUAUUAGUCGUAUCCAAGUGUCAUCAUGUUUUUUUUAUUCAAGUGUCAUAACGUUAUUGAUAGUAUAAUUGGGUUGCAUGAUUAUGGUUGAAAGUGUGGACUAUGCGAUUAAACUCCGUCUUAGGUGAUAGGGUGUUAAUUGUUAGUAAUUUUAUUGUUAAUUUUCCCUUUUAUCCUUGUCAAAUAUUAUUUUAAUUAUUAAUAUUUACUUAUAUUUGGUAUUUGGACUCAAUUUCAGGGAAUGGAGCAGAAAACUACAAAAAAUGAAGGACUUUCUGAAAACAAUGGAGACUUCAAACAAUCGGGCCCACAUGGUGCCACAAACGGAUGGCAUUUCCUUUUUGCUGAUUAGGAGUUGAAGUCUUUGAUGGGCAACAGGAAACGAAAAGUAGAGAAAAAUUCGGCAGAGCCUUCUUUUUGUACUUGGACUCCCAAUUCGUUGGGGACCACAGAGAGCAUUAAGGAGUCAUACUUUUGCUUGGAAUAAAAAGAACGUACAGAGGCUAGGGAUAGUUUUUAGCAAUAGUUUAGUUUUCUUGCUUUUUCCUUUUCAUGCACGCCUACUGUUAUCAAUGGUUGUACCUUGGUUAUCAAUAAAUUAAAGAAAAAUUGGUCGUUAGAGUUCGUCGGCGACUAUAACUAGUCUAUUAAUAAAUUAAGUGAACCUCCCUUACAUCAAUGAUCGGGUAAGUGGACUAUGUUUGAAUAGUUGUAUUCUUGGUUAGAAUUUAUCUAUUCUUGAAUUAAUUCCUGUGUAUAUUUGUGUUAGUUAAUUAUUCGUUUUAUUUGAAUUGCUUAAUUAUUUGUAGUUUUAUUCUGAUGAAACACCCCUUUUACCAAUUGGAAUCUCAAAGAGACAAAUAUCCUCAAUUCCUGAGGAGACGUGUGAGAACCCGUAUUUUCCCUAAUAAUUUUCCUAGGGUUUUUCCCCUUUAAUGGCAUGUUUUUUGCAUUUUCUGGCUUAGAAAAUUUUCCUGGUGAAUUUUAUGAGUAAUUAUAGUUUUUAGAUGAUUUUUCUAGCAUUGGAUAGUUUUUGAAAAAUUACGGAUAUAUAACGGACGUGGGGCCCACUAGUGCGAAAAGUUCGGAAAAAUUCGGCCAAUAAGGUUAAGUUUCGGAUACUGAGUGAAAUUUAUCGGGUGUUAAGAGAUAAGUAUAGGAUGUGAUGUGAUUGAUGUGAGAGGAAAACAAAAGGAUAGAAAUGCAUUAAUGAAGUGACACUUGUCAUGUUGGGAUUGGUUUCACUUGUUGACAACUAUUCAUUUUUUUUGACUUUUCUUACCAAUUGAUUAAAUAUCUCAAAAAUCACAAAAAAAAUCACUCUUGUCUUCACCUUCUUGGCCGGCCACCUUGAGCUUAAGAAGGAAGAAAACUCUUCAAAAUCUUGGCUACCAUCUAGCUCAAAUCCUCCAAAACAAUUGCUUGAUCUUGUUUCUACUCCAUAAAAUCUCUCCAUUUGGUACUAGUAAGUGAUUUGGUGAAGUGUUUAAGGAAGCUAAGGUGUCCAACAACUCUCCCUCUCUUGUUUACUAGGUGAGUGGUGAUUGAACUUCCUCCUACACUUAAUGAAGCUUAAGUUGUGCUUAGUGGUAGCUAAAGUGCUGAAAUUUGUGGUUUAUUUCUUGGUUUGAGAUGAAAUGAUGAAGUUUUCAAUUUAAUGGUGUAUUUUCUGGUUUAAUGUGAUCAUGAUGUUGUGGUUAUCUAUGAUGGUUGGUAAUGAAGGGUAAUGACUCUAGUAGGUGUACAUGAUUGGUAAUUGCAAGCAAUUUUGGGUUUGGAAGGAAUUUGAGAAAGUUAGGGUUUUAUAUCCCCAAUUCUGUCCGAUUUUGUAUCUCAUGGUUAGAGGCCGAAUUGGCCUUGUCUUAAAACAUGAAAGUUGUAGGUAUUGAUGUGUUUGAGGUGCCUGUAAAAUUUCAGGUUCAUCGGAGUUGUGUAGAGUGAGAAAAGUCGAUUUUACUGUUGCUGUUCUGGGUUCUUCAGGAUGGCCGAACUGCGUCUGUAAUUGGUGGUUUUGGCUGGAAUUGCUUUGGAUUUGGUUGUUGAGGCCUUCUGAUGAAAUGUAGCUUGAUGUCUUAGCUACCGCAUGCCUUUGGUAUGAAUGAAUUUGGACUUGUAUAGACUGAGUUGGACUAAUUACAGCAUAGUGUAUUUUGUAAACCUGCAAUUAAGGUUCUGGUUUGGUAUUUUGCAUAUUUGACCUAGUUGUGCUAGGAAUUGGACUGAGUGACCUUCUACAUUGUUGUAGCCCUGUUUCUUAGCUUCGAAACGGUGGGUCUUACACCCUCAUCCGAUAAGCGUAGUGCAAUUUGUGCCAUUACCGCAAACUGAGGACAAAACUGUUUUUUUUUCAGGGCCAAGUUAGUUACAUUUCCUGAUUUUCUGGUUUGCUAUAAUGCUUAUAUAUGAAUAUGAAACCCUAUUGGGGUUGUGAUUGGCAUGGCUUUAUGACUCGUUAUCGAGUCUCAUUGUAUUUGUUUACGUGUUUUAGGACGUGACGAGGGUUCACGACGACCUUUUAACGACGGUGCAUGAAACAUCACCUACUUGAGUAGUGAGUAUACUACUCACUUGAAUGUUUAUAAUGUGGCUUUGCUAUAUGUGAUUGUGAUGCCUUGAAGGCUUGUUUGGCUAUUGGACAUGGUUAAGGUGAGGGUGUACUUGACCGCCCUCAUCCUUUUUAUCUUGUUAAUGACUGUUUACCGUUUCACUGUAAUACUGCACUUGCUAUAUGAGAUAUUGAAUUCCAUUCAUGGGAAACUGUUUGGGUGUCGGUUGGACGAGUAUCCAACGGCCCUACUGCAUUACUGAGCUCGACCCCGUUGGUAGUUACUUGAAUCGAGCCAGCGAGGGCUUGGUCGUGAAAAUUGACUAGCCACGGGGACUGAAAUGGGAAUCUUGUGGUAAUGAGACCCUUGGUUCCGGUGUACUCGAGUAUCACCUAAAGCUACUGCUUGGAGUGCGGGCCCGGUUGGGGUAUGUUGGGUGGAAGGAAUGGAAGUGAAGUGAGGUCUACGGUCGGGUAUUCUUAAACAUUGACGGAGGGUCAAUGAGGUUGGAUCAAGAAUGUAAGCGUGGAAAUGGGCUCUUGAGAGCCGUCCGUAUCCUUUUACCGACUUGUUUUAUUUCUUAAUUGCGUACUUGAGAUGAAAGUUAAGUGAUCUUUGUUGAUUAUGUGAUAGUUGCUCACUGAGCUUUAGCUCACUCCGUUCCAUUUGUUUUCCUUACAGGAAAAAUGACUAUUUUGGGAAAGGUUGUGCUAGUUGGUUGUCAAGUUGAGCUCAUGUAAAUGUAUAUUUUGAAUAGCUCCUUGAGGGUGAAAACCCUAAGUGUUUUGUUUCAACCAAUGGUUGGUUUGUAAUUGGCCAAUUGCACAUGUGUGAACUUGUUGGAUAUUUUGGUAUACCGCUUUGGCUUGUAAAUGUUAAAUUUCGAUGUAUAUAUGUUGGAUUGAUGUUUGGUUGAACUCCGGAUUCUGACAUGGCCGGUACUGUUCAUCAUCGGCUUCGAUUUUCAUAUUUUUUUUAUUUUGUGAUUUUGACUUGUUUGCGCGCGUUGGUGUGUUCCGGAAUGUAGUAGAUCGACGUAAACUGAUCCGUUAGUCCUGGCGAGAGCUGGGCAGGCAGUCCGCUAACCCCUUUGGUUCGCCUUAGGGGAAGGUGGGGCUGUUACAAGACGACCCUACUUGCCACUGUCUGCCAAUUAGUAAAUUUUGUCAAAUAAUUAAUUCUGGUAUAUCGGAUUAAGCAAACUCUUCGAGAACAGGGUGAAUCAAGUAACCCAUUGCACACCUAGAGUCUCUGCUCCAGUACUUAGAAUUGAUUAUUGACUACUUUUGACGGGCGUAGGGUAUACAUAUAACAUUAAGCUCAUCCUAAUCAAGUUUUACAUUUAUAAACUCCUAAAUACCCUACACGCGAUUUAUCGCAAGUAUACGAAUCGUGAGCGAGUAUAGGGUAUUAAAAGUCGAUCUCACAAGGAAGAUUGCAAUUACCGGCACUACUAAAGCUUCUCUAUUAUUUAGACUAUCAAUGAAUUAUAACAAAUUUAACCUACUGAACUUAUGCAAGAAAAUAACAAAUGAAAGCUCCUUAAGUUGUGGUAUCCCUAACUACUCAUGCAAGUGCUAUAUUUGGAUCAUUGAAUACUACUAUCUAGGCUAGUUAUGGUGUAAUUUCCUUAAACAUGUGAAACCUACUUUCGUAGUGAAUCAACUAUAUUCAUAACUAAUCCAUACAUAUUCUCAUGGUUAUGAAAUUAGCUACAAGUUCAUUUCUUCAAUGAAAUUAAUCACUAAAAUCACAUAGGUGCACCUCUACUCUCGUGAGCGUACUCCCUAUGUUUAGCACUUCUUAAACUAGUGUUAAAUCUCAAUUUUCAUUGCAGAAACAACACCUUAAAUAAUCACAAUCAAUGGUACCAGAUUAAUCAUGAUUUAAAGAGCCAAAGUACUAAAUAACUUGCUCAAAUCAUAGCAAUCAAAUAACCAAAUAAUAAAUACUAACAAUUAUAGAAAGUUCAACCAAACCCAAGGCAUAAACGUUAGAGACACAUAUUAAACACAAAAUCCAGAACUUGCAUAUCAACUAAACUUAGAAUCCAAUACAAAAGAUAAAGAGUUGGAAAAGAGAUAACCAUUGUCACAUGAGCUUCAACUCCUCCUUUUUCAUCUCCAUUUUCAUCCUAAUCUAGCUAAUAUACAAGAAUGGAAGAGCUAUACUAUUCUAAACUAAACUAUCCUACUACUCAGAAAGUGCAAGAGCUACAUCUCUGCACUCCAAGUUUCUCCUGUAUGUCUCUCUAUUCUCCCUUCAAUCUUGCAAGCUUUGGCUAUAUAAAGGUGAAAGUUGGUCAAGAAGUGAGGUUUACACCUCCCUUUUACAGCUGGGAAUGUUUCUCACAUGUCUAGCAUCACCUGUGACUUAGUGGAGGUGAAAUUGAGUUUCCCACGUAAAGAGCAGCCUUCUCUGACCACAAUCCGGCCAGAAAUCUGGCCAAGUUCCGGCCGGAUUGCUACAGUGACAUUUUGGUGCACUUUUGUUCAAUUUCCAGCUCUGCUCCAAUUUUGUGUCAAUUUCAACUGAACUUUUGUUGAUGAUAAAAGCUGAUUUAGCUCUUGAUCAACAUAAAACUUGUAGCCCUUUGAGUUAGCUUUCCAAUGCAUCAAGAAUCACCUCAUUUGGAUCUGUGUAGGCUGAGAAAUGACCGAAAUACCUUUGACUGCUCACUGCCCUAUUUCAGCUUCGACCAAUAGAAAUUAGCUACUGUAAUUCGGCUUUUUAACCUGGAAAACCUUCAAAAUAGAUUCAGAUGUCUUCACCAAAGUUGUAGAUCUAUCUCUUAUCUUCAAAUUGGUUUAAGAAUCAUCUCAAUCCGAUCAUUAUAGCUCAAGUUAUAGCCAAAAUACGAAAAUGUGUCAAAACUGUCAAAAUGCACAAAAUCCAAGUAAAAAGUGAUAAAAACCUCAUUUAAUUACUUAAAAGCAUUUUUCACCAAUUAUAGCCAAAAUGAAUCAUUUUCUUCCAAUAAUGUAACCAAAGUGACUAACAAUAAUAUAAAAUAUCAUACAAUUAUUACAUAAAUUAGUCACUUAUCAGCUUUUAUUGGCAAUUAGGUUUAUUUUUAUUAUUGCACAGGUUCGGCACCUGUCAUUAGGAGUACUGGUUUUGCUGUGGGAUUUUUCGUUUUCUUUGUCAGCUGCGUCAGCUGCAUGGUGCUUUAGAGCAUAAGCCUUUGUUUUGUAUCGAAACAUCACGGCCAAAAUUGCCAAAAGCAUAUCGAAACAUGAACACAAAAUGAAAGAUGUGAGGAAACUUUAAUGAAGAUAUGCCUUGAGAUUUAAACACCAAAGACAAAAGCUCAAAAAAUAUUAUCAACGGAUCAAAAUAAGAACUUGAUUAUUGGUAAAACACUCCAACAAGUUAAGUCGAACCAAGAUCAACAUAAUCAAUUAUUUGAUUUCAAGAGUCAUAACUUUUGCUUGUAAAGAACAAAUAAAGUUAAACAAUUUAUUGCUUUUUUCCCCCCAGUCAGCUGUGUACCUCAACAUUAUUUCACGUCAAAAACUUGUUUUUCCUCGGAUUAAAUACCCUAGCAUCUGAGGUUAUCACCAGUCUCGACACCCAAUUGUCUACAAUAUUCAGUAUAAUACUCAACUCGAGCACUAACUGUGUUUGGAUUUGCACCAUCACAUUCAAGCCGACCAUUAAUGGCACGAAUUGUAGCCCCAAAACCCUGGCCAGAAGUGAUAAGAUCAUGACAAUGGUUCAUCCAAUACCACAAGCCAGUUUUGAAUGAAAUAACAUUAUUUGUAGCUACAGUUUCAGGUUGGCUGAGUCCAUUGAAUCCAAUGCUUUCACCUGCUGGUCCAUAGUUAGAGUUCCAUGAUAACUGUAUUGGACCCCUGCCGUAAUAUCCCUUGCCUGGCACACAUGGAUACUGAGUGUUGCUCUCAUCACAGUAAUCUCUGGAGGGGCCGUCUAUCUCUUCUAUGUAGCACAAAUCUGCGCAAUAUAAAGAAAUUUUGUCACUCAAUUGAAAUGAUUGAUAAAGGGUUAGAAUCAAAGAAAAUCAGGAGGUCUGGAAUUUUUUGUAAAUUUUUAGAUUUGAUUGUUUUACUAAUGAAUUCAAUUGGUGAGAAAAGACUUUAUCCCAUUUUGUAAAAAUUGGGUUGGACAGACCUAAAGUAAACACUCUUUUUAUGAGGUAAAAUUUUAGAAUGAUUUAACAUUAUAGGGUUAUACGAUAGAUAAAUAAAAAUUGGCAAUAGCAAGAUUAAGAAGGGACCAACAGUGAUAUAAAAAUUACAAAGGUAUCAUGGACGUCUAAAAUAUAUUUGGCUAAUAAAUUUGAACUAAUUUACGGCCAAAUUUAGGUGAAAUAGUUAAUUCUACUUGGUAAAUUGGAAGUUCGGAAACGUGUAUCUGUCAGUUGUCAUACUCAUGAGCGAGCCAAUCUUAACUUAAAAAAGAAAAAGAAAAAAAGAAAAAGAAAAAAGGAAUCCAAAAGAUAAAAGUAGAAAAGGCAUGAAUUUUAAAACGUAAUCGUAAUACCUUGUACCCGAAACAAAUAUGUGCAAUACUUAUUAAGCUAAGCAAAGCCACAUGAUCUACUCUUAGAUGCAGCAAAAUAUACAACCACCUUAAGCUUGGAAUGUAAAGGCAGAAAAACUUGCUUAUGUAGAUAUAAAAGUGACCACUACAAGAAAAGUAAAAAGAAUAUGGAGAUAAUAAUCCUUCUGUUCAUCAUGAUAAAUUAUUUAACAGUAAUAAAUCUUUCAUAUUCAAGUUUUAUUUUUUGAAGAAAAAAUUCUUGGAUAAUAGUGCACAGGAGAUUCCAAGAUAUACUAUCUAGAAAUUCACAGGAGCUACUAAAAAAGUAGAAAAUAUCUUCAAAAUUUAAUUUCCAAGCUAGUGUUAUUCAAAACUUACGUCCAGUCUCAUGAGUGACAUGAGCAAAGAAAGCAGCAAUCUCCCUUUUAGAAUCAUCAACAGAACCAGCGGUUCCAAACUGGGGAUACGAGUUCAGAGCUUCAAGAAAAGCUGAUCGAGUAUAGAACCCUUUUCCAGCACAGCUUGAAGCAGCUUGAUCAGCAAUCCCAUUAAAGAAAGCGUCCGUCACAAUAUCAGCAACUGAAACGCCACUAUUACCACUGCUCGGAGCAGCGGUGCAAGGGCCGGAUUGACAGCCAGAGCCGCAGUAGUCGUUGCCGGUACCGCAAUAGCCGAAUUUGCUGCAGCACAAGUCUGGUGCACAGCCGCAGUUUUGGCUUGAAAUCAGCUGUGGAAAGGCUCCUACAAGAACUACAAUGGAGAAAAUGAUGGUUGGAAAACUCUUCAUUUUUGGAUUUGAUAAAGGAGAGAAGCUUGUGGGCAGCAGUUGUAUCAGAAAAAAGGGUAUAUGUAGGGAAGAGAACUGAAAACUGAUCAGCUUGUGUGAAGCAUGCACAGCUGCUAUUGUUGAAAAUAUUGAAUUUGAGCAAUUAAAGAAAACAGAACAGAAGACGAAAGCGUGAAUGGUUGACUUCUAUCGAGAGUAUUGACUUUGACAUUGUCAAUGAAGCGGAAACUUUCUUUCUUGGCUUCUAGAAUGGGAAAGGUCAAAAAGAAAGAUUUUGGCCAAUUCGUAUGAACAAUUGUGAGAAUAAGGCAUGUAGACUCACAAGUCCCCACUAGAAUGUGUGCAAAAAUAUAAUUUGAAGUUGCCUAAAUCAUUUAAUUUCAUGCUUGUUAUUGAGUUUAUUUGCCUAACUGUGUUUUAGUAAUACUUCAAAAUUGUGUUUGAGUUAGAACGGAAAAAAAUAUGAGACAUUUUUUUUUUAAUUGCAAUUCCAGAAAUAAAAUCUUAUAAAACAUGUAUUAGAAAAAUUUUGAGGGUAAAUGAUAUGAAAAAAAAAAAGAAGAAAUAGUUCUAUAAAUUGACAUAAGUGUUCAUCGGCUUUUGGAAAAAUUAAGAAAGAAUAAAGCAGCCGACAUAUCUAUCAUGCAUAACAACAUUAUGUGGCUUUUGUUAGUACACGCUAUGACCAUAUAUGUUUCAUUUGAGAUGCUUGUCGGACGUGUUGAAUUGUUGGCAAUGAAAUGCUCCAAAAUGUCAGCACUAUAGUUUAUAAAUAGUAUUAGGUCAUAGUGAAUUAUCGACAUAUCGUUACAUGCAGAGUCGUGAAAAUAUACAAGUCUUUCCCUAUCAUUAAUUAGUUGGUCAAAUGACAAUUUUAGAGUGGCUGCUGACUAUGUCAAGAAACAUCUUGCAGUAAAUUGGGCGAUUUAAUGUACUUUUCUUUUUCUAAAUAUUUGCACUUAAACUCUCAAAUCGACCAUAGUUUUAACUAAUUUUGCUCUGGCUUUAUUCUUGAUUCGCAAAAUUCAGAAAAACCAAAACAAACCCUUGUUACUGAAGAUAUCAAAAUGGUAACCCAACUAAGUAAUUGAUUUUGAAAAACAUUCUGAACCAAAUUUCAAGUUUUGGUUUCUUUGCUCUUUUUCUACUGAAAGGCAACUUCCCCGGGCCAAGAAAUUGAAACAAAUAGUACGAUGCUUAAGUUUUCUAUGCUCUUAUGAUCAAGUCAAACCAUGCUUAUAAUCAAUUACAUAAAAAAUUACGGGCAAUUUCGUCAUUAUUUGGGAGGAGGAGGAAUAUUAAGCAAAAAAAAAAGUUCUAUUAAGAAAACGAUUAAGCAUAUUAUUUUCCAGGAAUAAAAAAGAACGAGCAGAGAAAUACAUUAGUUUGGAUGACAUUACAACAUUUAGCAACAUGAUUAGGGAUGCAAUGGGAUGGGUGCCAAUUGGGAAUCAAUGGGAUGGGAGAAAAUGCAGGAGGGGAUGGAGGGAUUGAAGAAUAUUUCUCCUCCAACAUUAAAUGGAUACCUCCAUCCCAUCCCCUAAAACCCCUUGUUGCUAUUCCUAAACAGGAUGCUACUUAUAUCCUCUCUCUAUGAGCAUGUGUGGCUAGUGAGGAAUGCAGGAUUUUGAUUUUGGCGGGGGGAGGGUGGGGCAAAUUGACAAUCAAGAAACAAUAGAAAAAAAACCUUAGCAAAUAAAGCACACAAACUUAAAAUGAAAGUUUAAUAUACGAUAAAUAAAAUAUAAAUAUUUUUAAUAAUAAAAUACACCAUAUAAAUAAAAUGAUAGAGCAAUAAUUGGGCACCAUAAGUGCUGUUAUUUGGUCAUAAUGUUGGCUACUUAUCAUGCUAAGUAGUGCAGCUUUGCUCAUAUUUGAUAUUUGUGUAAAUUACAGGCGGUUGGUGUUGAAACUGAUCUCUCGAGGCAAAUUUUCAGAAGACUUUUUAUUUCAGAGCGUGCCGACGCCAGAAACUAUAGAGAGACUCCUCAAAGGUGGACCGCGGGACUAAUUAACUAAACUUACCUUUAUUCCUGCUUGACGCUGCUGGAAGUGCGUUAAAACAAAAAGGCAAUAAUUUCCAGCGAAUUGGGUAACAACCAAUAAGGAGGAAAAUUAGGGGCACUAGCCUACAAAGCCGGACCCCGCGAGACUGGUAGACAAAGUGGGGAAUUAGGAAGUCUUCAAAGCGGCUAUUUUCUCGUGGGCUGCAGAGGUGAAAAGGACAAGUAGUUUGAGUCUUGCAGAGAGCUUUUGAGUUCUCUUACGUUUUGUCUUGCGGUAGCCACCCGGGGGAGGAUUGAAAAAGCCAUAUUCACGUGGGAUUAGGAGAUUAGCUUUAGUUUCUUGUAUCCCUGGGUAGACGAUCUGCUCUCUGCUUUGCUUUUGGCGACUUUCUUUAGACCUUUUUCUUUACUUUUCUCCGGCACGAACACGGAACCAAAAAAGAAGCAAGACUUUUCGUUUGUCUCGUCGUUAUUUCAUCUUUCCCAACUUUUUGGUAAUUAAGUGGAUGGAAUCAAUCAAAUCACGCGAGAUUGAUGUGAUGAGGAGUGGCUAGGUUUCUCUGCUACCCAAAGGUCGACGCGAAGGCGCGGUCCAUAACAUCUGUGAGAUCUAAUCGAACUUUCACUAUUUCUUCCAAUCCGUUACUAUUCGUGCGUUUUCUGGAUUAACUGUUUAUGAUUAUUUUAUUAAUUGAGUAUCAACAGCCGGAUAUUUAAUUUAAUCUAAUAGCCUACUGUCACGUUAACUAAAUUGAAUCCGUAAUUAUUCGUUUAGUUGAUAAUUAGUGACAACCAUCAUAAUUGGCUUUAUGUUGGGAAAAACGUAAGAUCUAAUUUAGAUAAACCCUCUUAUAGCGUGUUUAUUGGUUAGGGUUGGAUUUUUCUAGCGUUAAUGCAACUGAAUAAUUAAAUUCCUACGGUCGUAUCUAGGGUUAUUUUCUGGUUAGAGAAACAGUCAACGGUCGUACCUUGGCUAUCGAAAAAGUAAGAAAAAACUAGCAGUCAGAGCUUGUUGAUCGCUAUAACCAACCUAGUGACGAAUGAGUGAAAUAUCUUUGCAUCGAUGAUCAUUUAAUUGGACCGUGCCUGAAAAGUUGAUCCUUUGGAUAGAAUUUUGCUAAUUGCUAUUUUCAGUGAAUUGUACUUGGCGAGUUAGCUUUUGAAUUUUGUUUAUUUUAUUUUCAUUUUCAUUCCAUUAAAUAUCCCCCAAUUUUGUUCUAUUGACUUGGAAAGAAACAACUUCUUACCCGUUACUUGUGGAAUCGACCCUACUUGCCAUUUUCAGAAACAACUUCUUAAAUUUUAAUCCUUAUGAAACCCAGCUUCUCUCUCAAUUUUCAGAGGUUUCUUUUCCUUCAUCAUGUCAAAGUUGCUAUUAUAAUCACUGUAAUUAGACAGCUAAACCUGUCAUUCCAAUUAUACCCUUGGUCCGCCGUGGGAAAUACAUAAAAUGUGGUAGCGCUGCCCAAUAAGUCCCACAUUGGACCAUAUAAAAUUGUUUAAGGACUAAAUUGGUAAAAAAAAUCGUAAAUGAUGAAAUUGAUUUAAGUGAAAAAGUUCAAGGACCAAAUUGGCAAUUUUUCCUUAUUAUGAUUAUGAUUAUGAUUAUUAUUAUUAUUAUUAUUAUUAGUCUGAGAUGCCGAACAAGUUGUGGAGACUUAUUUCACCUUUACAAGGUCAUUGGAGGGCUUGACGAGGUGCGAUGUGGUAAGGAAAGGCACAAAAAACUCUUUUUUCUUUAUUAAAAAACAUACAAAUUGCACUAAUAAUGGCUGAAAAUGCAUCCAACAUGCAAUAGUGAAAAAUCGUUAGAUGCAAGAUAUAUAAAAGUUAACAAAAAUUAUCUUAGUACCUCUGAUAUAUUCCAAAUUCAGAUAAAUCAUCUGCCCCCAAUGAAUAUAUGUGCAUAUCAUCAUUGUCAAAAAAUAUUUAUGCAUAUCAUUGCCGUUAGAUUUUAUAUUGAAGUGGUUAAAGCUCCAAAUCUAGUAGAGAAGAAAUUCAACACUUGAGAAAAUAAGUUAAGAAAUUCAAGAUUUGACAUACAAAUCUGAAAAGCUCUCAAAUCUAACAAAACAAGAUAUAAAAUUAUCUGAAUAAAACUCUCACUAGAAUAUCUUAGUAGAGAAGAAAAUUCUCACUAGAUAGUCUCACUAUACUUUAUUAGACAUAAAAAAAAAAAAAAGAGAAGUCAAACAGAGGGAGGAAGGCAAUCCUCCAUGGAGGAAAUAAUAAUUGUCUUGAAGGUUGUGUAGAGAGAUGGUGGAGAAACUUCUUUUGUUUUAUCUAUUGGUUAUCUUUCUAAUUGCUAGUUAACGAACAAUAAACUCUAAAUGAAACUACUAAAUUUGCAACCGAAGACAUUUUUGGGCUUGUAUCUUAGUAUCGUAAUCGUCACCCAAUUAGAGCCGCCCAUGACGGCUUCAUUAAAUAUAUAAUUUGGGGGAACCAGGAUUUAAGGCCAAAUUUCGGCAACCUUCAAGGCACUUCAUUGUUUUCUCACAAAUUUUGUUUAUUUAUUGUAAAAGAUUAACUUUAAAGUGUCCUCAAAUUUCUUCCCUAUCUUCUCUCAAACUUUACCAGUGAAAAUUGUUUGUCUUCGGGUUCGUUUGUUUCGGGUGAAAAUGUUUUCCAGAAAAAGUAUUUUCCUAAUUUCCCGUGUUUGAUUGCACAAAAGUUACUGAAAACAUUUUACAUAAAUUUUCACUCAUCUUAUGGAAAACAACUUCCCUUCCAAACUUACUGAAGUUGUUUUCCGAAAUGCAUGCAUCCCGCCUGUAGUAUGUUCCAAACUUACUGAAACCAUCUUGUAGUAUGUUCUUUUUUUUUUUUAGUGUAAACAGGAGGACUCGAACCAAGACCUCUUCCUUACACUCCCUCCCCCGUACCAUCCAACCCAACCCAACCCUCCCCCUAGUAUAUUCAAAAUAAAAAAAAACCUCAUCCUACUCAUCCUAUUCUAGUAAUUAAUUAUGUAUAAUAGGGACAUUCUUUUCUAGAGAAACUUUCAGCAAUGAUAGUGCAAGAUAUAUGUCACAAUAAGCAUUGCAUGUGAUUGAUAUUUGACACUAAAUGGCCAGCAAUUUGUUUAUUGCUUAAGGAGAUAUUUUUUAUUCAUAUAUACAUUUCUCCAAGAUUUUUUAAAGUUAAACAAUGAGAUAAAUUUUCUUAUUUUGCAUGGGAAGAAGUAUGUAGUUAUAAUGUGUAGAAAGUAAAGAUAGAGAUAAAAGUGAAAAUAUUUCAAAAGUUAAACAAACACCAAAAAAAUGAAGUAAGAAAAUAUUUUCAAUAAACUAACCAAACACCUGAAAAUGAUGAAAGAGAAAUGAUUUUCAUGGAAAAUUACUUCCACGGAAAAUAUUUUCCCAAGAAAAACAUUUUACUUCCAACCAAACAGACCCUUCAUCUCGUUGAUUGUCUCCCCCAGUGCAUACAAAUGUAUUAUGGGCAUUUUGGUGAAAGAAAGGCAUAAACUGAGUUCUGCACAACUAAAUUUUGCCAAUAGCAUAUGAAAAUAUGAAGAAGAAUAAUAAUAAAUGAAGGGUCUGUCUAAUAAGUAUUCAUAGGGAACCAUUGAAAUAUAUCUCAAGUGUCAUGUUUUUGGAAAUGUAAAAUUAAUAGAAAAAAUAAAUAAAUACAAGAGAGAGUAGAUAAAAUUAAAUAAGAAAAGUUAAUAAUUGUUAAUAGAUAUAUAUACAUAAUAGAUUAGAUGAACGUUAAAUAUGUUAACAAGUACCUUAUUAGCACCCGUUAAAAAAAGCUAUAAAUGAAAGAUGUGAUCACCAAAUCAUUGACAAAGAAAUGUGUUGAAAAUGAAACAAGAAAGUCAAACAUGAUAAGGGAUCAAAAAUGGAAUUUAAUAAUUGCAGAUACUCCAAGAAGUUGAGUUGAAAUCAGUUAUCCGAUUUCAAAUUCACAACUUCUGCUGUCAAAGAACUACAAAGGGACUCAACUUCUGCUAAUUUAUAUUAGUUUCGAAACUCUUACAAGUACCCUAGCAUCUGAGAUUAUCACCGGGAUCAACACCCAACUGGUUACAAUAUUCAGCAUAAUACUCAACACGAGCACUAACAGUGUCCGGAUUUGCACCAUCACAUUCAAGCUGUCCGUUAACGGCACGAAUUGUAGCCCCAAAACCCUGGCCAGAAGUGAUAAGAUCAUGACAAUUGUUCAUCCAGAACCACAAGGCAGUUUUGAAUGAAAUAACAUUAUCUGUGGCCACAGUUUCAGGUUCAGUUAGUCCAUCGAACCCUAUGCUUUCACCUGCUGGUCCAUAGUUAAAGUUCCAAGAUAUUUGUAUUGGACCCCUGCCGUAAUAUCCCUUGCCUGGCACACAAGGGUACUGAGUGUUGCGCUCAUCACAAUAGUCUUUGGAAGGGCCGUCUAUCUCUUCUAUAUAGCACAUAUCUGCACAAUAUAGAGAAGUCUGUAUCAAUUAUCACUGCAUUCAAUUGCUUAUAUGAAAGCCACUCAUUGAUACAUUAUGGAUUUUAGAUAUUUUUACUAUUAAAAAACCUAUAAUCUAAAUACAAAAUAAAUGAGAACAUAAAAAAAAUUAAUUAUUUAAAAUCAGAAUCUAUAGUCAGUUAUAAUAAUCAAUCAAGAACAACCCCAAAAAAUGUCAUCAAUAUUUAAGAAGGGACCAUAUGUGAUAAAGAAAUUAUAAAGUUAUAAGUAAUCACAGACUAAAUAAAUAACCAAUACAACAAAGUAGAAAAAAUUAACGUCAAAGUGGGACGGAGGGAGUAUAUGUUUUUCUUGGUAUCCUAGCAAUAUGAUAGUUGGAGCAAUAACCAUUGUCAAAUUUUGGUGUUUGAUUGUUGCUCUCAUGCUUGAGGGCAAGCAUGGUUCAGGUGUGAGGAGAAUUGAUAGGGUGUUAAUUGUUAGUAAUUUUAUUGUUAAUUUUCCCUUUUAUCCUUGCCAAAUAUUGUUUUAAUUAUUAAUAUUUACUUAUAUUUGGUAUUUGGACUCAAUUUCAGGGAAUAGAGUAGAAAACUACAAAAAAGGAGGGACUUUAUGGAGACAAUGGAGACUUCAAACAACCGGGGCCACAUGGUGCCACAAACGGAUGGCAUUUCCUUUUUACUGAUUAGGAGUUGAAGUCUUUGAUGGGCAACAGGAAACGAAAAGUAGAGAAAAAUUCGGCAGAGCUUUCUUUUUGUACUUGGACUCCCAAUUCGUUGGGGACCACAGAGAGCAUUAAGGAGUCAUACUUUUGCUUGGAAUAAAAAGAACGUAUAGAGGCUAGGGAUAGUUUUUAGCAAUAGUUUAGUUUUCUUCCUUUUUCCUUUUCAUGCAUGCCUACUGUUCGACAAAAGUCCCAACUGGAGAAAUAUCUUUCACCUCUUGAUUAUUUAGUGAAAAACCCGAUGCCUUUGCAAUCAAUUAAUUUGCGUGGAAAUUUAUUUAUGCGGCGUGGCUAAACUUUUCAUCUAGUCAAGGAUCAACUCGACGGCGCAGUCCCGAAUAUCUGUGAGAUCUAAUUAGUUUUCACGCGUUCUUAAUUUGUUAAUAAUUGCGCGUUGUCUAUUCGAAUUUCCAUGGGAUUAUUUUGUUAAUUGGAUGUCAAGGGAUCGAUGUUCAAUGUGACUUAUUAAUCUCCUGCCAAAUUAGUCAAUUAAAUCCAUAAUUGUUUGAUUGGUUAAUAUUAGUGGCAACUGGCGUGUUUACACACCAGGGGAACGUGCAAUCUAAUUUAAAUAACCCUCGUAGCGUGUUAUUGAUUGGGGUUAGGUUUUUCUAGUUAUUAAUGCAAUUGAAAAAUUAAUUCCUACGGUCGUACCUAGGAGUAUUUUCUGGUUAGGGGUAAUCAAUGGUUGUACCUUGGUUAUCAAUAAAUUAAAGAAAAAUUGGUCGUUAGAGUUCGUCGGCGACUAUAACUAGUCUAUUAAUAAAUUAAGUGAACCUCCCUUACAUCAAUGAUCGGGUAAGUGGACUAUGUUUGAAUAGUUGUAUUCUUGGUUAGAAUUUAUCUAUUCUUGAAUUAAUUCCUGUGUAUAUUCGUGUUAGUUAAUUAUUCGUUUUAUUUGAAUUGCUUAAUUAUUUGUAGUUUUAUUCUGAUGAAACACCCAUUUUACCAAUUGGAAUCUCAAAGAGACAAAUAUCCUCAAUUCCUGAGGAGACGUGUGAGAACCCGUAUUUUCCCUAAUAAUUUUCCUAGGGUUUUUCCCCUUUAAUGGCAUGUUUUCUGCAUUUUCUGGCUUAGAAAAUUUUCCUGGUGAAUUUUAUGAGUAAUUAUAGUUUUUAGAUGAUUUUUCUAGCAUUGGAUAGUUUUUGAAAAAUUACGGAUAUAUAACGGACGUGGGGCCCACUAGUGCGAAAAGUUCGGAAAAAUUCGGUCAAUAAGGUUAAGUUCCGGAUACUGAGUGAAAUUUAUCGGGUGUUAAGAGAUAAGUAUAGGAUGUGAUGUGAUUGAUGUGAGAGGAAAACAAAAGGAUAGAAAUGCAUUAAUGAAGUGACACUUGUCAUGUUGGGAUUGGUUUCACUUGUUGACAACUAUUCAUUUUUUUUGACUUUUCUUACCAAUUGAUUAAAUAUCUCAAAAAUCACAAAAAAAUUCACUCUUGUCUUCACCUUCUUGGCCGGCCACCUUGAGCUUAAGAAGGAAGAAAACUCUUCAAAAUCUUGGCUACCAUCUAGCUCAAAUCCUCCAAAACAAUUGCUUGAUCUUGUUUCUACUCCAUAAAAUCUCUCCAUUUGGUACUAGUAAGUGAUUUGGUGAAGUGUUUAAGGAAGCUAAGGUGUCCAACAACUCUCCCUCUCUUGUUUACUAGGUGAGUGGUGAUUGAACUUCCUCCUACACUUAAUGAAGCUUAAGUUGUGCUUAGUGGUAGCUAAAGUGCUGAAAUUUGUGGUUUAUUUCUUGGUUUGAGAUGAAAUGAUGAAGUUUUCAAUUUAAUGGUGUAUUUUCUGGUUUAAUGUGAUCAUGAUGUUGUGGUUAUCUAUGAUGGUUGGUAAUGAAGGGUAAUGACUCUAGUAGGUGUACAUGAUUGGUAAUUGCAAGCAAUUUUGGGUUUGGAAGGAAUUUGAGAAAGUUAGGGUUUUAUAUCCCCAAUUCUGUCCGAUUUUGUAUCUCAUGGUUAGAGGCCGAAUUGGCCUUGUCUUAAAACAUGAAAGUUGUAGGUAUUGAUGUGUUUGAGGUGCCUGUAAAAUUUCAGGUUCAUCGGAGUUGUGUAGAGUGAGAAAAGUCGAUUUUACUGUUGCUGUUCUGGGUUCUUCAGGAUGGCCGAACUGCGUCUGUAAUUGGUGGUUUUGGCUGGAAUUGCUUUGGAUUUGGUUGUUGAGGCCUUCUGAUGAAAUGUAGCUUGAUGUCUUAGCUACCGCAUGCCUUUGGUAUGAAUGAAUUUGGACUUGUAUAGACUGAGUUGGACUAAUUACAGCAUAGUGUAUUUUGUAAACCUGCAAUUAAGGUUCUGGUUUGGUAUUUUGCAUAUUUGACCUAGUUGUGCUAGGAAUUGGACUGAGUGACCUUCUACAUUGUUGUAGCCCUGUUUCUUAGCUUCGAAACGGUGGGUCUUACACCCUCAUCCGAUAAGCGUAGUGCAAUUUGUGCCAUUACCGCAAACUGAGGACAAAACUGUUUUUUUUUCAGGGCCAAGUUAGUUACAUUUCCUGAUUUUCUGGUUUGCUAUAAUGCUUAUAUAUGAAUAUGAAACCCUAUUGGGGUUGUGAUUGGCAUGGCUUUAUGACUCGUUAUCGAGUCUCAUUGUAUUUGUUUACGUGUUUUAGGACGUGACGAGGGUUCACGACGACCUUUUAACGACGGUGCAUGAAACAUCACCUACUUGAGUAGUGAGUAUACUACUCACUUGAAUGUUUAUAAUGUGGCUUUGCUAUAUGUGAUUGUGAUGCCUUGAAGGCUUGUUUGGCUAUUGGACAUGGUUAAGGUGAGGGUGUACUUGACCGCCCUCAUCCUUUUUAUCUUGUUAAUGACUGUUUACCGUUUCACUGUAAUACUGCACUUGCUAUAUGAGAUAUUGAAUUCCAUUCAUGGGAAACUGUUUGGGUGUCGGUUGGACGAGUAUCCAACGGCCCUACUGCAUUACUGAGCUCGACCCCGUUGGUAGUUACUUGAAUCGAGCCAGCGAGGGCUUGGUCGUGAAAAUUGACUAGCCACGGGGACUGAAAUGGGAAUCUUGUGGUAAUGAGACCCUUGGUUCCGGUGUACUCGAGUAUCACCUAAAGCUACUGCUUGGAGUGCGGGCCCGGUUGGGGUAUGUUGGGUGGAAGGAAUGGAAGUGAAGUGAGGUCUACGGUCGGGUAUUCUUAAACAUUGACGGAGGGUCAAUGAGGUUGGAUCAAGAAUGUAAGCGUGGAAAUGGGCUCUUGAGAGCCGUCCGUAUCCUUUUACCGACUUGUUUUAUUUCUUAAUUGCGUACUUGAGAUGAAAGUUAAGUGAUCUUUGUUGAUUAUGUGAUAGUUGCUCACUGAGCUUUAGCUCACUCCGUUCCAUUUGUUUUCCUUACAGGAAAAAUGACUAUUUUGGGAAAGGUUGUGCUAGUUGGUUGUCAAGUUGAGCUCAUGUAAAUGUAUAUUUUGAAUAGCUCCUUGAGGGUGAAAACCCUAAGUGUUUUGUUUCAACCAAUGGUUGGUUUGUAAUUGGCCAAUUGCACAUGUGUGAACUUGUUGGAUAUUUUGGUAUACCGCUUUGGCUUGUAAAUGUUAAAUUUCGAUGUAUAUAUGUUGGAUUGAUGUUUGGUUGAACUCCGGAUUCUGACAUGGCCGGUACUGUUCAUCAUCGGCUUCGAUUUUCAUAUUUUUUUUAUUUUGUGAUUUUGACUUGUUUGCGCGCGUUGGUGUGUUCCGGAACGUAGUAGAUCGACGUAAACUGAUCCGUUAGUCCUGGCGAGAGCUGGGCAGCCAGUCCGCUAACCCCUUUGGUUCGCCUUAGGGGAAGGUGGGGCUGUUACAAGACGACCCUACUUGCCACUGUCUGCCAAUUAGUAAAUUUUGUCAAAUAAUUAAUUCUGGUAUAUCGGAUUAAGCAAACUCUUCGAGAACAGGGUGAAUCAAGUAACCCAUUGCACACCUAGAGUCCCUGCUCCAGUACUUAGAAUUGAUUAUCGACUACUUUUGACGGGCGUAGGGUAUACAUAUAACAUUAAGCUCAUCCUAAUCAAGUUUUACAUUUAUAAACUCCUAAAUACCCUACACGCGAUUUAUCGCAAGUAUACGAAUCGUGAGCGAGUAUAGGGUAUUAAAAGUCGAUCUCACAAUGAAGAUUGCAAUUACCGGCACUACUAAAGCUUCUCUAUUAUUUAGACUAUCAAUGAAUUAUAACAAAUUUAACCUACUGAACUUAUGCAAGAAAAUAACAAAUGAAAGCUCCUUAAGUUGUGGUAUCCCUAACUACUCAUGCAAGUGCUAUAUUUGGAUCAUUGAAUACUACUAUCUAGGCUAGUUAUGGUGUAAUUUCCUUAAACAUGUGAAACCUACUUUCGUAGUGAAUCAACUAUAUUCAUAACUAAUCCAUACAUAUUCUCAUGGUUAUGAAAUUAGCUACAAGUUCAUUUCUUCAAUGAAAUUAAUCACUAAAAUCACAUAGGUGCACCUCUACUCUCGUGAGCGUACUCCCUAUGUUUAGCACUUCUUAAACUAGUGUUAAAUCUCAAUUUUCAUUGCAGAAACAACACCUUAAAUAAUCACAAUCAAUGGUACCAGAUUAAUCAUGAUUUAAAGAGCCAAAGUACUAAAUAACUUGCUCAAAUCAUAGCAAUCAAAUAACCAAAUAAUAAAUACUAACAAUUAUAGAAAGUUCAACCAAACCCAAGGCAUAAACGUUAGAGACACAUAUUAAACACAAAAUCCAGAACUUGCAUAUCAACUAAACUUAGAAUCCAAUACAAAAGAUAAAGAGUUGGAAAAGAGAUAACCAUUGUCACAUGAGCUUCAACUCCUCCUUUUUCAUCUCCAUUUUCAUCCUAAUCUAGCUAAUAUACAAGAAUGGAAGAGCUAUACUAUUCUAAACUAAACUAUCCUACUACUCAGAAAGUGCAAGAGCUACAUCUCUGCACUCCAAGUUUCUCCUGUAUGUCUCUCUAUUCUCCCUUCAAUCUUGCAAGCUUUGGCUAUAUAAAGGUGAAAGUUGGUCAAGAAGUGAGGUUUACACCUCCCUUUUACAGCUGGGAAUGUUUCUCACAUGUCUAGCAUCACCUGUGACUUAGUGGAGGUGAAAUUGAGUUUCCCACGUAAAGAGCAGCCUUCUCUGACCACAAUCCGGCCAGAAAUCUGGCCAAGUUCCGGCCGGAUUGCUACAGUGACAUUUUGGUGCACUUUUGUUCAAUUUCCAGCUCUGCUCCAAUUUUGUGUCAAUUUCAACUGAACUUUUGUUGAUGAUAAAAGCUGAUUUAGCUCUUGAUCAACAUAAAACUUGUAGCCCUUUGAGUUAGCUUUCCAAUGCAUCAAGAAUCACCUCAUUUGGAUCUGUGUAGGCUGAGAAAUGACCGAAAUACCUUUGACUGCUCACUGCCCUAUUUCAGCUUCGACCAAUAGAAAUUAGCUACUGUAAUUCGGCUUUUUAACCUGGAAAACCUUCAAAAUAGAUUCAGAUGUCUUCACCAAAGUUGUAGAUCUAUCUCUUAUCUUCAAAUUGGUUUAAGAAUCAUCUCAAUCCGAUCAUUAUAGCUCAAGUUAUAGCCAAAAUACGAAAAUGUGUCAAAACUGUCAAAAUGCACAAAAUCCAAGUAAAAAGUGAUAAAAACCUCAUUUAAUUACUUAAAAGCAUUUUUCACCAAUUAUAGCCAAAAUGAAUCAUUUUCUUCCAAUAAUGUAACCAAAGUGACUAACAAUAAUAUAAAAUAUCAUACAAUUAUUACAUAAAUUAGUCACUUAUCAGCUUUUAUUGGCAAUUAGGUUUAUUUUUAUUAUUGCACAGGUUCGGCACCUGUCAUUAGGAGUACUGGUUUUGCUGUGGGAUUUUUCGUUUUCUUUGUCAGCUGCGUCAGCUGCAUGGUGCUUUAGAGCAUAAGCCUUUGUUUUGUAUCGAAACAUCACGGCCAAAAUUGCCAAAAGCAUAUCGAAACAUGAACACAAAAUGAAAGAUGUGAGGAAACUUUAAUGAAGAUAUGCCUUGAGAUUUAAACACCAAAGACAAAAGCUCAAAAAAUAUUAUCAACGGAUCAAAAUAAGAACUUGAUUAUUGGUAAAACACUCCAACAAGUUAAGUCGAACCAAGAUCAACAUAAUCAAUUAUUUGAUUUCAAGAGUCAUAACUUUUGCUUGUAAAGAACAAAUAAAGUUAAACAAUUUAUUGCUUUUUUCCCCCCAGUCAGCUGUGUACCUCAACAUUAUUUCACGUCAAAAACUUGUUUUUCCUCGGAUUAAAUACCCUAGCAUCUGAGGUUAUCACCAGUCUCGACACCCAAUUGUCUACAAUAUUCAGUAUAAUACUCAACUCGAGCACUAACUGUGUUUGGAUUUGCACCAUCACAUUCAAGCCGACCAUUAAUGGCACGAAUUGUAGCCCCAAAACCCUGGCCAGAAGUGAUAAGAUCAUGACAAUGGUUCAUCCAAUACCACAAGCCAGUUUUGAAUGAAAUAACAUUAUUUGUAGCUACAGUUUCAGGUUGGCUGAGUCCAUUGAAUCCAAUGCUUUCACCUGCUGGUCCAUAGUUAGAGUUCCAUGAUAACUGUAUUGGACCCCUGCCGUAAUAUCCCUUGCCUGGCACACAUGGAUACUGAGUGUUGCUCUCAUCACAGUAAUCUCUGGAGGGGCCGUCUAUCUCUUCUAUGUAGCACAAAUCUGCGCAAUAUAAAGAAAUUUUGUCACUCAAUUGAAAUGAUUGAUAAAGGGUUAGAAUCAAAGAAAAUCAGGAGGUCUGGAAUUUUUUGUAAAUUUUUAGAUUUGAUUGUUUUACUAAUGAAUUCAAUUGGUGAGAAAAGACUUUAUCCCAUUUUGUAAAAAUUGGGUUGGACAGACCUAAAGUAAACACUCUUUUUAUGAGGUAAAAUUUUAGAAUGAUUUAACAUUAUAGGGUUAUACGAUAGAUAAAUAAAAAUUGGCAAUAGCAAGAUUAAGAAGGGACCAACAGUGAUAUAAAAAUUACAAAGGUAUCAUGGACGUCUAAAAUAUAUUUGGCUAAUAAAUUUGAACUAAUUUACGGCCAAAUUUAGGUGAAAUAGUUAAUUCUACUUGGUAAAUUGGAAGUUCGGAAACGUGUAUCUGUCAGUUGUCAUACUCAUGAGCGAGCCAAUCUUAACUUAAAAAAGAAAAAGAAAAAAAGAAAAAGAAAAAAGGAAUCCAAAAGAUAAAAGUAGAAAAGGCAUGAAUUUUAAAACGUAAUCGUAAUACCUUGUACCCGAAACAAAUAUGUGCAAUACUUAUUAAGCUAAGCAAAGCCACAUGAUCUACUCUUAGAUGCAGCAAAAUAUACAACCACCUUAAGCUUGGAAUGUAAAGGCAGAAAAACUUGCUUAUGUAGAUAUAAAAGUGACCACUACAAGAAAAGUAAAAAGAAUAUGGAGAUAAUAAUCCUUCUGUUCAUCAUGAUAAAUUAUUUAACAGUAAUAAAUCUUUCAUAUUCAAGUUUUAUUUUUUGAAGAAAAAAUUCUUGGAUAAUAGUGCACAGGAGAUUCCAAGAUAUACUAUCUAGAAAUUCACAGGAGCUACUAAAAAAGUAGAAAAUAUCUUCAAAAUUUAAUUUCCAAGCUAGUGUUAUUCAAAACUUACGUCCAGUCUCAUGAGUGACAUGAGCAAAGAAAGCAGCAAUCUCCCUUUUAGAAUCAUCAACAGAACCAGCGGUUCCAAACUGGGGAUACGAGUUCAGAGCUUCAAGAAAAGCUGAUCGAGUAUAGAACCCUUUUCCAGCACAGCUUGAAGCAGCUUGAUCAGCAAUCCCAUUAAAGAAAGCGUCCGUCACAAUAUCAGCAACUGAAACGCCACUAUUACCACUGCUCGGAGCAGCGGUGCAAGGGCCGGAUUGACAGCCAGAGCCGCAGUAGUCGUUGCCGGUACCGCAAUAGCCGAAUUUGCUGCAGCACAAGUCUGGUGCACAGCCGCAGUUUUGGCUUGAAAUCAGCUGUGGAAAGGCUCCUACAAGAACUACAAUGGAGAAAAUGAUGGUUGGAAAACUCUUCAUUUUUGGAUUUGAUAAAGGAGAGAAGCUUGUGGGCAGCAGUUGUAUCAGAAAAAAGGGUAUAUGUAGGGAAGAGAACUGAAAACUGAUCAGCUUGUGUGAAGCAUGCACAGCUGCUAUUGUUGAAAAUAUUGAAUUUGAGCAAUUAAAGAAAACAGAACAGAAGACGAAAGCGUGAAUGGUUGACUUCUAUCGAGAGUAUUGACUUUGACAUUGUCAAUGAAGCGGAAACUUUCUUUCUUGGCUUCUAGAAUGGGAAAGGUCAAAAAGAAAGAUUUUGGCCAAUUCGUAUGAACAAUUGUGAGAAUAAGGCAUGUAGACUCACAAGUCCCCACUAGAAUGUGUGCAAAAAUAUAAUUUGAAGUUGCCUAAAUCAUUUAAUUUCAUGCUUGUUAUUGAGUUUAUUUGCCUAACUGUGUUUUAGUAAUACUUCAAAAUUGUGUUUGAGUUAGAACGGAAAAAAAUAUGAGACAUUUUUUUUUUAAUUGCAAUUCCAGAAAUAAAAUCUUAUAAAACAUGUAUUAGAAAAAUUUUGAGGGUAAAUGAUAUGAAAAAAAAAAAGAAGAAAUAGUUCUAUAAAUUGACAUAAGUGUUCAUCGGCUUUUGGAAAAAUUAAGAAAGAAUAAAGCAGCCGACAUAUCUAUCAUGCAUAACAACAUUAUGUGGCUUUUGUUAGUACACGCUAUGACCAUAUAUGUUUCAUUUGAGAUGCUUGUCGGACGUGUUGAAUUGUUGGCAAUGAAAUGCUCCAAAAUGUCAGCACUAUAGUUUAUAAAUAGUAUUAGGUCAUACUGAAUUAUCGACAUAUCGUUACAUGCAGAGUCGUGAAAAUAUACAAGUCUUUCCCUAUCAUUAAUUAGUUGGUCAAAUGACAAUUUUAGAGUGGCUGCUGACUAUGUCAAGAAACAUCUUGCAGUAAAUUGGGCGAGUUAAUGUACUUUUCUUUUUCUAAAUAUUUGCACUUAAACUCUCAAAUCGACCAUAGUUUUAACUAAUUUUGCUCUGGCUUUAUUCUUGAUUCGCAAAAUUCAGAAAAACCAAAACAAACCCUUGUUACUGAAGAUAUCAAAAUGGUAACCCAACUAAGUAAUUGAUUUUGAAAAACAUUCUGAACCAAAUUUCAAGUUUUGGUUUCUUUGCUCUUUUUCUACUGAAAGGCAACUUCCCCGGGCCAAGAAAUUGAAACAAAUAGUACGAUGCUUAAGUUUUCUAUGCUCUUAUGAUCAAGUCAAACCAUGCUUAUAAUCAAUUACAUAAAAAAUUACGGGCAAUUUCGUCAUUAUUUGGGAGGAGGAGGAAUAUUAAGCAAAAAAAAAAGUUCUAUUAAGAAAACGAUUAAGCAUAUUAUUUUCCAGGAAUAAAAAAGAACGAGCAGAGAAAUACAUUAGUUUGGAUGACAUUACAACAUUUAGCAACAUGAUUAGGGAUGCAAUGGGAUGGGUGCCAAUUGGGAAUCAAUGGGAUGGGAGAAAAUGCAGGAGGGGAUGGAGGGAUUGAAGAAUAUUUCUCCUCCAACAUUAAAUGGAUACCUCCAUCCCAUCCCCUAAAACCCCUUGUUGCUAUUCCUAAACAGGAUGCUACUUAUAUCCUCUCUCUAUGAGCAUGUGUGGCUAGUGAGGAAUGCAGGAUUUUGAUUUUGGCGGGGGGAGGGUGGGGCAAAUUGACAAUCAAGAAACAAUAGAAAAAAAACCUUAGCAAAUAAAGCACACAAACUUAAAAUGAAAGUUUAAUAUACGAUAAAUAAAAUAUAAAUAUUUUUAAUAAUAAAAUACACCAUAUAAAUAAAAUGAUAGAGCAAUAAUUGGGCACCAUAAGUGCUGUUAUUUGGUCAUAAUGUUGGCUACUUAUCAUGCUAAGUAGUGCAGCUUUGCUCAUAUUUGAUAUUUGUGUAAAUUACAGGCGGUUGGUGUUGAAACUGAUCUCUCGAGGCAAAUUUUCAGAAGACUUUUUAUUUCAGAGCGUGCCGACGCCAGAAACUAUAGAGAGACUCCUCAAAGGUGGACCGCGGGACUAAUUAACUAAACUUACCUUUAUUCCUGCUUGACGCUGCUGGAAGUGCGUUAAAACAAAAAGGCAAUAAUUUCCAGCGAAUUGGGUAACAACCAAUAAGGAGGAAAAUUAGGGGCACUAGCCUACAAAGCCGGACCCGCGAGACUGGUAGACAAAGUGGGGAAUUAGGAAGUCUUCAAAGCGGCUAUUUUCUCGUGGGCUGCAGAGGUGAAAAGGACAAGUAGUUUGAGUCUUGCAGAGAGCUUUUGAGUUCUCUUACGUUUUGUCUUGCGGUAGCCACCCGGGGGAGGAUUGAAAAAGCCAUAUUCACGUGGGAUUAGGAGAUUAGCUUUAGUUUCUUGUAUCCCUGGGUAGACGAUCUGCUCUCUGCUUUGCUUUUGGCGACUUUCUUUAGACCUUUUUCUUUACUUUUCUCCGGCACGAACAGGGAACCAAAAAAGAAGCAAGACUUUUCGUUUGUCUCGUCGUUAUUUCAUCUUUCCCAACUUUUUGGUAAUUAAGUGGAUGGAAUCAAUCAAAUCACGCGAGAUUGAUGUGAUGAGGAGUGGCUAGGUUUCUCUGCUACCCAAAGGUCGACGCGAAGGCGCGGUCCAUAACAUCUGUGAGAUCUAAUCGAACUUUCACUAUUUCUUCCAAUCCGUUACUAUUCGUGCGUUUUCUGGAUUAACUGUUUAUGGUUAUUUUAUUAAUUGAGUAUCAACAGCCGGAUAUUUAAUUUAAUCUAAUAGCCUACUGUCACGUUAACUAAAUUGAAUCCGUAAUUAUUCGUUUAGUUGAUAAUUAGUGACAACCAUCAUAAUUGGCUUUAUGUUGGGAAAAACGUAAGAUCUAAUUUAGAUAAACCCUCUUAUAGCGUGUUUAUUGGUUAGGGUUGGAUUUUUCUAGCGUUAAUGCAACUGAAUAAUUAAAUUCCUACGGUCGUAUCUAGGGUUAUUUUCUGGUUAGAGAAACAGUCAACGGUCGUACCUUGGCUAUCGAAAAAGUAAGAAAAAACUAGCAGUCAGAGCUUGUUGAUCGCUAUAACCAACCUAGUGACGAAUGAGUGAAAUAUCUUUGCAUCGAUGAUCAUUUAAUUGGACCGUGCCUGAAAAGUUGAUCCUUUGGAUAGAAUUUUGCUAAUUGCUAUUUUCAGUGAAUUGUACUUGGCGAGUUAGCUUUUGAAUUUUGUUUAUUUUAUUUUCAUUUUCAUUCCAUUAAAUAUCCCCCAAUUUUGUUCUAUUGACUUGGAAAGAAACAACUUCUUACCCGUUACUUGUGGAAUCGACCCUACUUGCCAUUUUCAGAAACAACUUCUUAAUUUUAAUCCUUAUGAAACCCAGCUUCUCUCUCAAUUUUCAGAGGUUUCUUUUCCUUCAUCAUGUCAAAGUUGCUAUUAUAAUCACUGUAAUUAGACAGCUAAACCUGUCAUUCCAAUUAUACCCUUGGUCCGCCGUGGGAAAUACAUAAAAUGUGGUAGCGCUGCCCAAUAAGUCCCACAUUGGACCAUAUAAAAUUGUUUAAGGACUAAAUUGGUAAAAAAAAUCGUAAAUGAUGAAAUUGAUUUAAGUGAAAAAGUUCAAGGACCAAAUUGGCAAUUUUUCCUUAUUAUGAUUAUGAUUAUGAUUAUUAUUAUUAUUAUUAUUAUUAGUCUGAGAUGCCGAACAAGUUGUGGAGACUUAUUUCACCUUUACAAGGUCAUUGGAGGGCUUGACGAGGUGCGAUGUGGUAAGGAAAGGCACAAAAAACUCUUUUUUCUUUAUUAAAAAACAUACAAAUUGCACUAAUAAUGGCUGAAAAUGCAUCCAACAUGCAAUAGUGAAAAAUCGUUAGAUGCAAGAUAUAUAAAAGUUAACAAAAAUUAUCUUAGUACCUCUGAUAUAUUCCAAAUUCAGAUAAAUCAUCUGCCCCCAAUGAAUAUAUGUGCAUAUCAUCAUUGUCAAAAAAUAUUUAUGCAUAUCAUUGCCGUUAGAUUUUAUAUUGAAGUGGUUAAAGCUCCAAAUCUAGUAGAGAAGAAAUUCAACACUUGAGAAAAUAAGUUAAGAAAUUCAAGAUUUGACAUACAAAUCUGAAAAGCUCUCAAAUCUAACAAAACAAGAUAUAAAAUUAUCUGAAUAAAACUCUCACUAGAAUAUCUUAGUAGAGAAGAAAAUUCUCACUAGAUAGUCUCACUAUACUUUAUUAGACAUAAAAAAAAAAAAAAGAGAAGUCAAACAGAGGGAGGAAGGCAAUCCUCCAUGGAGGAAAUAAUAAUUGUCUUGAAGGUUGUGUAGAGAGAUGGUGGAGAAACUUCUUUUGUUUUAUCUAUUGGUUAUCUUUCUAAUUGCUAGUUAACGAACAAUAAACUCUAAAUGAAACUACUAAAUUUGCAACCGAAGACAUUUUUGGGCUUGUAUCUUAGUAUCGUAAUCGUCACCCAAUUAGAGCCGCCCAUGACGGCUUCAUUAAAUAUAUAAUUUGGGGGAACCAGGAUUUAAGGCCAAAUUUCGGCAACCUUCAAGGCACUUCAUUGUUUUCUCACAAAUUUUGUUUAUUUAUUGUAAAAGAUUAACUUUAAAGUGUCCUCAAAUUUCUUCCCUAUCUUCUCUCAAACUUUACCAGUGAAAAUUGUUUGUCUUCGGGUUCGUUUGUUUCGGGUGAAAAUGUUUUCCAGAAAAAGUAUUUUCCUAAUUUCCCGUGUUUGAUUGCACAAAAGUUACUGAAAACAUUUUACAUAAAUUUUCACUCAUCUUAUGGAAAACAACUUCCCUUCCAAACUUACUGAAGUUGUUUUCCGAAAUGCAUGCAUCCCGCCUGUAGUAUGUUCCAAACUUACUGAAACCAUCUUGUAGUAUGUUCUUUUUUUUUUUUAGUGUAAACAGGAGGACUCGAACCAAGACCUCUUCCUUACACUCCCUCCCCCGUACCAUCCAACCCAACCCAACCCUCCCCCUAGUAUAUUCAAAAUAAAAAAAAACCUCAUCCUACUCAUCCUAUUCUAGUAAUUAAUUAUGUAUAAUAGGGACAUUCUUUUCUAGAGAAACUUUCAGCAAUGAUAGUGCAAGAUAUAUGUCACAAUAAGCAUUGCAUGUGAUUGAUAUUUGACACUAAAUGGCCAGCAAUUUGUUUAUUGCUUAAGGAGAUAUUUUUUAUUCAUAUAUACAUUUCUCCAAGAUUUUUUAAAGUUAAACAAUGAGAUAAAUUUUCUUAUUUUGCAUGGGAAGAAGUAUGUAGUUAUAAUGUGUAGAAAGUAAAGAUAGAGAUAAAAGUGAAAAUAUUUCAAAAGUUAAACAAACACCAAAAAAAUGAAGUAAGAAAAUAUUUUCAAUAAACUAACCAAACACCUGAAAAUGAUGAAAGAGAAAUGAUUUUCAUGGAAAAUUACUUCCACGGAAAAUAUUUUCCCAAGAAAAAUAUUUUACUUCCAACCAAACAGACCCUUCAUCUCGUUGAUUGUCUCCCCCAGUGCAUACAAAUGUAUUAUGGGCAUUUUGGUGAAAGAAAGGCAUAAACCGAGUUCUGCACAACUAAAUUUUGCCAAUAGCAUAUGAAAAUAUGAAGAAGAAUAAUAAUAAAUGAAGGGUCUGUCUAAUAAGUAUUCAUAGGGAACCAUUGAAAUAUAUCUCAAGUGUCAUGUUUUUGGAAAUGUAAAAUUAAUAGAAAAAAUAAAUAAAUACAAGAGAGAGUAGAUAAAAUUAAAUAAGAAAAGUUAAUAAUUGUUAAUAGAUAUAUAUACAUAAUAGAUUAGAUGAACGUUAAAUAUGUUAACAAGUACCUUAUUAGCACCCGUUAAAAAAACCUAUAAAUGAAAGAUGUGAUCACCAAAUCAUUGACAAAGAAAUGUGUUGAAAAUGAAACAAGAAAGUCAAACAUGAUAAGGGAUCAAAAAUGGAAUUUAAUAAUUGCAGAUACUCCAAGAAGUUGAGUUGAAAUCAGUUAUCCGAUUUCAAAUUCACAACUUCUGCUGUCAAAGAACUACAAAGGGACUCAACUUCUGCUAAUUUAUAUUAGUUUCGAAACUCUUACAAGUACCCUAGCAUCUGAGAUUAUCACCGGGAUCAACACCCAACUGGUUACAAUAUUCAGCAUAAUACUCAACACGAGCACUAACAGUGUCCGGAUUUGCACCAUCACAUUCAAGCUGUCCGUUAACGGCACGAAUUGUAGCCCCAAAACCCUGGCCAGAAGUGAUAAGAUCAUGACAAUUGUUCAUCCAGAACCACAAGGCAGUUUUGAAUGAAAUAACAUUAUCUGUGGCCACAGUUUCAGGUUCAGUUAGUCCAUCGAACCCUAUGCUUUCACCUGCUGGUCCAUAGUUAAAGUUCCAAGAUAUUUGUAUUGGACCCCUGCCGUAAUAUCCCUUGCCUGGCACACAAGGGUACUGAGUGUUGCGCUCAUCACAAUAGUCUUUGGAAGGGCCGUCUAUCUCUUCUAUAUAGCACAUAUCUGCACAAUAUAGAGAAGUCUGUAUCAAUUAUCACUGCAUUCAAUUGCUUAUAUGAAAGCCACUCAUUGAUACAUUAUGGAUUUUAGAUAUUUUUACUAUUAAAAAAUCUAUAAUCUAAAUACAAAAUAAAUGAGAACAUAAAAAAAAUUAAUUAUUUAAAAUCAGAAUCUAUAGUCAGUUAUAAUAAUCAAUCAAGAACAACCCCAAAAAAUGUCAUCAAUAUUUAAGAAGGGACCAUAUGUGAUAAAGAAAUUAUAAAGUUAUAAGUAAUCACAGACUAAAUAAAUAACCAAUACAACAAAGUAGAAAAAAAAAAGGAAAACAAUAAUCCCUCUGCCCAGUUAUAAGAGACACACCCUCAUGAUAAAUUUCUUUUUUUUCUUUUUCAGUUAUGUCAUUUUAAGUUAUUUGACAAUAGAAAGUAUUUCAUAUUAAUGUCGUUAUCUUUGAAGAAAGUUCUUGGACAAUAGUGCACAGGACAACAUCCUACGUAGAACUGUACAAAGAUUUAGUAAAUAGGAUCUAAGACGUAGAAAAGUUGCUAAAAAUUUCAAAAAAACUAAAUCUCCUUGGUGGAGUUGUUCAAAGCUUACGUCCAGUCUCAUGAGUGACAUGAGCAAAGAAGGCGGCAAUCUCCCUUUUGGAAUCAUCAACUGAACCAACUGUUCCAAACUCAGAAUACAAAUUCUGAGCUUCAAGAAACGCCGAUCGAGUAUAGAACCCUUUUCCAGCACAGCUUGAACCAGCUUGAUCAGAAAUCCAGCUAAAGAAAGCGUCUGUCACAACAUCAGCAACUGAAACACCAUUAUUACCACCAUCUGAUGAAGCGGUGCAAGGGCCGGACUGGCAGCCUUUGCCACAAUAGUCGUCGCUGGUGCCACAAUAGCCCCACUGGCUGCAGCAUAAAUCUGGUUCACAGUCACAGUUUUGGCUUGAAAUCAGCUGGGAAAAGGACCCUACAAGAACUGCAAUGGAGAAAAUGAUGAUUCGAAAAUUCUUCAUUUCUGUACUUGAAGAAGGAGAAAAGGAUGUGGACAGAAAUUGUUUGAGUAAGAAGGAUAUUUAUAGCAUGGAGAACUGGAAAAGUGAUCAGCUUGUGUGAAGUAUGGAGAACUGCUAUUGUUGGAAAUCUUGAAGUUGAGCACUGAAUGGAAUGGAUAUAAAAUGCAAUAUUAGUGCUUGACUUUCAAUUAAUCUAUUGACUUUGGCACUGUCAAAAAGUAGCAACCUUCUUUCUUGGCAUUCGGAAUGGGAAUUGUGGAAAAGAAAAAUUUUGGCCAAUUGAUAUCAACAAUUGUGAGUACAAGUCACAAGUCACAAAUAUAAUGCGUGCAAAAAAGAUAACUUGAUGUUGUCUGUAUCAUCUGAUGUUAAUAAAGCCUAACUCUGUUGUAGUCCUAUUUCAGUCUCGUAUUUGAGUCAGAACACAGAUGAUAUUUGUACCAUUCUAGAUCCACGGGCUGCCCUACUACAAAUACUUUUCAUUUGGCUUAAAAAAAACAUUUUAAAGGGUGUAAGCUUUACAAUUAAAGCACGAUCUUUACCUUAUCAUGCAAAGUAUUGGACAUAUAAAAUUUUAUCAAACUGUUGUAGUGAAAAGAACUCAAAUGAUCAAAUUUUAUCCAGUUGAUAAAUAUAGAAUCCUAAAUAAAAUGCAUAGUCCUUUUUUUUUCCUUUAGAGUUCUUAUUGCAUACUAUAUGAAUUAAUUGGUAAAAUUUUGGUAGCGUAUAGGAAAUGAUACCAAUAUAAAAACUACAUUUACUACUCGAGGGCUUAUUAUGCUGCCCAAUUUUUUGGUUUCUACCAUGAGCUGAAAAAAAAUCUUUUCGAAGCAUAAGUUUCCCCAAAUUCUCAUAGACUUUACAAAUGAAAGUUAUUUGUUUCUUGUCGUUCAUUGACUCACCAUGCGUGUGCAGAUGAAUUAUUGAUUGGCCUUUUUGUGGCAGAAAGAUAAAACAGAAUUGAACCAAAGACCUCAUAAUUCCCUAAUUAGUCACUUCAGCCAGUUGAAUUAGAUCUUAUUCACAAGUUUUUUGUACUUCGGUAUAAUAGCGCUCCUGUUCCUUAGUCUCUUAUGCUUCGGUUUACUCCCAAUCUUAAUUGCCUUAACAUUGGUGCAUUUAGACCCUUGCAUUUGGUAAUUCAUAAUCUUAGUAUAGUUAUGAUCCUCAAAUAUCAUACCUUGAGAAACAUCACGGCUAAAAUUACCAACAGCAUAUUGAAACAUGAAAAGUAAAUGAAAGACGUGCAGAAACUUCAAUGGAGAGGCUUGUUGAGAGUGGAAACACCAAAGUCGAAAGCUCGACGAAUACGAUCAAGGGUUCAAAACUGGAACAUGCCUAUUCGUAAAUAGUCCAAGAAAUCGAAACAAGACCAACAAAAUCAAUUAUAUGAUUUCAAAACUUAACAACUUUCGCUUGUAAAGAGCAAGAAAGGUAAACACCUUUUGCUAAUUUUUAUUAAUUUCCAAUCAGUUUUAAGCCUUUAUAGCUCAACAUAUUACUCCCUUCCGAGCACUUUCGGCUCUCCAGAAGUACCCUAGCAUCUGAGAUUCGGACCAGGAUCAACACCCAGUUGGCGACAAUAUUGAGUAUAAUACCCAACACGAGCACUAACAGUGUUUGGAUUUGCACCGUCACAUUCAAGCCGACCAUUAAUGGCACGAAUUGUAGCCCCGAAACCCUGGCCGGAAAUGAUAAGAGAAUGACAAUGGUUCAUCCAAAACCACAAGGCAGUUUUGAAUGAAAUAACAUUAUUCCUGGCUACAAGUUCAGGUUGACUUAGUCCAUUGAACCCAAUGCUUUGUCCUGCUGGUCCAUAGUUGUAGUUCCAUGAUAUUUGUAGUGGACCGCGGCCGUAAUACCCCUUGCCUGGCACACAUGGAUACUGAGUGUUGCUCUUGUCACAGUAGUUUCUGGACGGGCCGCUUAUCUCUUCUAUAUAGCACAUAUCUGCAUGAUAUAGAGAAGUGGUAUUAGUUAUCAUUCCGUCGAAUUGCCAAAAAAGGAAAAAAUGAACGUUAGGUAAGACAAGGAUUGUCGGAUGAUAUGAUAAUGAAAAAUGUAGCAAAAUUUUAUGAGUUCUAAUAACAAUUAAUUGCAAAAUUAUAGAAUUGAAAGGAUUUAAGAAUCACAAACAAAAAUAUUUAUGUGGGAGAAAAGAGAAUAAAUAACUUAACUCAAAAUGUCAUUAAUAUUUCAAACAAAGAAGAAAAUCUCACCACAAUAAAAAUCUAAUAAAUUUUCUAUAGACUAUUUUAGGCUCUCUUAAAUUUUUAGAAAAUACUCCACCUAAUACUCUAGUGCUAAUUUAUGAGAAUCAUUGAAUAAGAAACAACACGAUUAAUUAUGAAAUAAAACACCAAUCACUAAAUAAUAAAAUUACUAGAAAUUGACUUCAAUAAAACUAAUGAUAAUUAAAUAGAAAAUUUUUGAAGCUUGGUUUAUUUUGCCAAAAAAAGAAAAGAAAAGAAGAGCCAUCAAUAUUUAUGAAUAGACCACAAGUGAUUUAAAAUUUACAAAGUUGUAAGUAAUGAUUUAAAAUUUACAAAGUUGUAAGUAAUCACAUGCUUACUAAAUUAUAAAGUUGACUACUACAACAAAGUGAAAAGAACGGAAAAUAAUAAUUUCUCUAUCCAAUUAUAAGUGGCACCCAUAUUCAUGAUAAAUUAUUACAAUAAUAAGUAUUUCUUGUUAAAAUUUUAGUUUUUGAAGAAAGUUCUUGGAUAAUAUUGCAAAGAAAAAUAGUCAAAACUUGGGGACAUCCGGUUUUCAAAAAUCCAAUAGACCAAAGUGUGCUAUACUUUCUCACCAAGUGGUUUAACACAAUUUGGACUAUUGAAUUUUUGAACAUGGGACUUACCCAAGUGUGAGUCCAGAAAAAUAAUCUAUAUAUUACUGUACCAACAUUUAGAAAAGUUACUAAAAAUAUUUUAUAGAAAGUUCCAAAGUAAUUCUCUUUGGUAGAGUUGUUGAAAACACUUACGUCCAGUCUCAUGAGUGACAUGAGCAAAGAAAGCAGCAACCUCCCUUUUAGAAUCAGCAGCAGAACCAGCAGUUCCAAACUUAGAAUACGACUUCUGAGCUUCAAGAAAUGCCGAUCGAGUAUAGAACCCUUUUCCAGCACAACCCGAAGCAGCUUGGUUAGCAAUUCCAUUAAAGAAAGCGUCUGUGACAAUACCAGCAACUGAAGCACCAUUAUUACCACCGCUGGGUGCAGCAGUGCAAGGGCCGGAUCGGCAGCCGGGGCCACAGUAGUCGUUGCUGGUGCCGCAAUAGCCGAAUUUGCUGCAGCAUAAGUUUGGUGCACAGCCACAGUUUUGACUUGAAAUCAGCUGUGGGAAGGCUCCGACAAGAACCAUAAUGGAGAAAAUGAUGGUUGGAAAAUUCUUCAUUUUUGUGCUUGAAGGAAGAGAAAUGGAUGUGGGCAGAAGCUGUUUGAGAAAAAAGGGUAUAUAUAGGGAGGAGAACUGGAAAAUGGAUCAGCUUGUGUGAAGAAGGGAGAGCUGUUAUUGUUGAAAAAAUUUAAGUUGACUAAUGAAUGAAAACAGAAAUCACGUUUGACUUUAAUUCGUGCAUUGACUUUGACAGUGUCAAUAAGUGGGAAUUUUUGUUCUUGGUUUCUAGAAUGGUAUUUGUGAAAGAUUGAUUUUGAUCAAUUGAUAUCAAUAAUUUUGGAAUUGAAUAAUGUAGACUCACAAGUCGCAACUACUGUGUGUAUUUUUAUGACUUGAAGUUGUCUACAGCAUUUAAUUUAGUGCUCAUUAAUUCAUUAACUUGCCUAACUAUGUUUUAGUCAUACUUCACAUUUGCAUUUGAGUUUAAGCACUCAAAAAUAUGAGACAGAUCAAUUUGUCAGUUACAAUUCAUGAAAUAAAAUAGUGUAGAACCUGUGUUAGAAUAAUUUUAGGUUAAAUGGUAAAGAAAAGCAACACUUUUACAUAGCAAUAUAAGUGGUAGUCAGUUUUGGAAAAGCUAAGAAAGGAUUAAAGCCCCGCUUGAUAACCUAAUUCAACACUUAAAUUUAUUGAAUUCAAAUUUUAAUAUAUUCAGACCAUUUGAUAACCAAAGAUUGAACAUCUGAAUUAAUUAAUUCGCACUGAAUUUUCUAGGUAAAACUUAUUUCCAAAAUUAAGUGAUAAGCUAUUCACUUAUCAUUGAAUAUGAUAUGCACUCAAAUAUAUUAGAUUUAAUACUUAACAACUCAAUAAUUUAACGGAUUUAAAUUUAAAUUUUCAAUUUUCAAAUUUGAGACUUCAAUUUUCACGCUUAACUUUUGUCAAACGCAUCCUAAUUAGGCCACUUGCAUAUCACGAAUGACAAAACCAUGUGGCUUCUGCUAGUACACGUUUCGACAGUAUUCCACUUCACGUGUUUGUUGGGCAUACUGGCAUGUCCAUUUGCAUCAUGUCCUAUUUCAUAACAAAAUAUUAUAUUCUAAAUAUAUAUGAAAUAUUUAAUUUAUAUAUGUUAAUUUUUUAAUACAAUAAUAUAAUGUACUUGUAAAUCAAAUAGUAUUAAGUAAAAUAACUACAUAGAAGCAGAUAAAAAUAUAACUGCAGUGCCCCUGUUAGAUUGAAUCUUUAACAAAUUGAAUGCUUUGAACUUUUUUCAUUCAGGAUUUCAGUGCUAUAAUUUAUAAACAGUAUUUCCAAAAAAGAAUUGUUAGUGAAGAUAUCAAAUUGGUGCCCCUAGUAAGUAAUUGUGUUCAGAAAACAACUAGAGUCAAAAGUCAAAUUUUCGUUUCUUUCCUGUUCUUGUCUAAAGACAAUUCUGCAGACAAAGAAGUUGGAAAAAAAAAUAUGCUCACAAUUUGGCAGGGCAAACCUCCUUGCCUAAAAAUUAAGAAAAAUCCACGCCUAAAAAUUAAGAUAAGAAAAAAAAAUCAGUUCAUUUUCUCCUCAUGUUCACUAUUAUCUUAUUAAAUUAAAGGAAACCACGCUUAUAAAUUAUAAUCACUUGCAUCAAAAUCCAACGGCAAUUUUCUCCAUUUUUUGGAAAGAAGAGGAAGGGGGAAAAAGGAAGAAGCUUCCGUAGAAAAGGAAAGAAUUGAGAAAUGUGAUAGGUACUCUGUCUCCCUCUCGGCAAGUGCGGCUUAAGCCAAGCACAGCUCACAGAAGUCCAUUGUUGAAUUAGUCUCCCUGAAAAUUUCUAGCCAUAAAAAUUUUAACUUUUCCUUUUAGUAUAAAUGGAAGAUCUCGAAGUGGGGACCUCUUAUUUACAUUUUCUCUCCUCAUAUCAUUCAACUCAUUUUUUCCCCGAAUUUCAACUUGCUACUCCAUAACUUAGCUUCAUGGAUCUAUAUUUAUGUUCUCAGAAAUGUGAUGUCAUACUUCUAGAUACAUUCAAAAGCGAUGAAUAGUCGAUCAUUUGGACAAUUGUAGUUUAAAGAACUAAGAAUUAGUGCAAAUAUCUAGUUCAUUGAAAACGUAUGGCCCUUAAUUUUUGUAUUUUGACGAUAUACAAGUCUGAAAUUCUAGAAAACAAAGAAAACUGCCAUCCUUGAACAAUUCUUUAGAGAUUUUUUGUUCUUUUUAUUUUUUGAGCAAAUGAAACAUCUUCCCGUUUAUCAUUGGAACAUAAGCUUUACAAAGGAGCAAAACCUCUUACUACAACAAAAAAUCUGGAGCGAGCUAUACCCAUUAUACAAUACUAUGCAUGUGAAAACAAACAAAACAGACAGAAUUCAACCAAGAUCAAUCUAGCAAACGUCCGUGAUCUAUCCCCCAUUCUAACAACAACUCCCAAUUUUCCUUACUACCAGGAGCUUUAGCCCAUAAGAGACAAGUCAAGUUGAACAAUUUUAACCACUGCCGAUUUAAUAAAAUUUGGAGUGAAACCCUCCAACGUGUACAGGGUUUGUCUUUCCAAAAAAACAAAAAACAAAAAACAAAACCGCUGCUGCAACUACUUCCAUUAUCAGUAUUCUGUAUACGAAAAUCAACAUUUAGUCUUUCCCAAAUUUAGUAUAUUUUAGUGCAUAAUUGAAAAAAAUUCUCUUGGCACAAGUGGAAAAUUAUAGAUUUGAAAUCAAUUACAAAAUUUCCUAGAAAAUAGACGCCCACUGAUCAACUAUGGCGCUUCGUAGUUCAGCUUUUCCAGUCUCAUACGUAGAAGUUGGUCCUAAUAGUGCAUUAAUGUUUCAUAGUUAAUCAGAAUUUUCUAUGACAAAAAAAAAGAAGAAGAUUCAUGAAGAAAAAUAAUCUAUUGGCUGUACUUUAUUUCGAUUUAGACAUCAAUAGUGCAAUGGCAAAAGGACUUUGUAGAUGAACCUAGUUGAUGUAAUGAAUUUAUGAUGAUUUAAUUAACUAAAAAGGCAAUCAAUUCGGUCUGCUUAAUGUCAUACUCAAGAGGUCAUCAUCUUUGUCAAAGGGUCUAUACAUUCCAUACAUUAGUAGUAAAUGUUAGUGGAUUUGUUACUAUUGCUGACCAUGUUAGCCACUGAUUUCUAUUAAAUCAUGUCUUUAGCUUCUUAUAAGCUUCUCUAUACCCUACCUAAUCUCAUACCAUUUUACUUUCUCUUGGAUUAUGUGGAAUGCCUACUUGACCGCAAUGUCUAUAUUUUAAUGAUACCAGUACAUUUUCAAAUCUUCAAUUAGCUUUUAAAGUAUCGAAGUUCAGUUCACUAAUUGGCCAUAAAGACAGAUCAAUAGCAAAGUUGAAAUAUGCCACUUAUCCUGAGACGUUGUAGAAAGUUGGAAUGUUAAUGUCGUCCCUUGUAAUCCGAAUAUGUGAAACUGAAGUUGUUGAAGGGUGGGGGAGAGUUGGGUUGGGUGGUACGGGGCAGGAAGUAUAAGCAAGAGGUCUCGAGUUCAAGUCCUCCCGCUUACACUAAAAAAAAUUAAAAAAAAAAAGAAGCUGUUGAAGGGUGAAUGAGUUUUUCAGUUGUAUACAAGCUGUAUAAUGGGGUUUUCAAUAAAAAGUUUAUCAUUUUCUCAAAAAAAGAAAAAAAAAAGAAGAAGGGUGAAUUGAGGAAGCUGAAUGCUAAGCGAUAUAGUUCUAUUAGUGAUAGAAUAUAACAGGUGUGUAUGGCCAGUUAUGUGAAGUGCAAUCGUUCUCCUUCAUUCACCUUUUGAUAUUACUUUACGGGCCAAAUAUAAGAAUGAGAUCUCUUGGGCUGGCCACGUCUUCUUCUUCUUCGUUUUUUUUUUCCAUUCUUCUUAUAGAUCUUUAGGCGAAUAAGCAAUCUUUGGGGAAAUAAUGUAGUAUAUUUGGACAUUGGGAUAAUUUAACAAAUCUCCAUUGAGUUUUAUGACAAAUUCAUCAUAGUUCCCCCUCAAAUUAUUGCAUUACACUUGUGUCUAUUAGCUAUUGAUUUCCAAGGUAAAUGCUGAAUUUCCCCUCUAGGUUUACCAUUGACACUUUCUAUACAAAGCGAUACAAAUUAUAUAUAAGAGAUUUGUGAAAGUGUCAUACUUCCGAGCUAUAACUCAUAAACAAAGGCAUUCGUAAAACCCUUUUGAUUCAAAUAUAUAGAUUUUUUUUUAUCCAACACCAAAAUUAUAUUGCCCAAUAAAAAAAGAAAACCUUUUUUUUUGGUUAAACCAAACUAUUAUUAUUGCAGCCCCAAAAAAGUACAAAGUUCGGGACCAGCCCUUCCCUAAGAAUACAAGCUCACACACCCUGCCCCACCUCUAAUUAACCCCUACCGCCGGCAUCUACGAAAAUUUGGAUACCCACACACAUCUAAUAUAUAGAUAUACUCACCUAUACACUUAACAAUUUAAUGUAUGCUAAAGUGAGUAGAAUAGGGUUUUGAAAAAGUACUCAAAAGUAUGCUACUUCCAUCAUUACCUUCUAGCACGCAUUGUGCAAACUCUUUUCAAAUAGAAAAAAGGGAAUGAAGAGGAGAUACAAAAAAGGGUUGCAAAUUCUUUAAAAUAUGGCAAGGGUAAGCAUGCAAGUAACAUAUAACAUGAAACAAACAUGUUAAGGAAACCUUAAAACAAGAGAGGUAACAGUAAGUUUGAAAACUUUGGUGCAGCUAAAUGAAGUCAAAAACCUAAAACAAGGUUGAUGGAAUUAUCCCUAGUAAACUCUAUGUGUCCUUCACCAAGUGAAAAAAUACUGUUCAAAAUUCUUAUUUCUAUCGGAACCAUUUCGAGGAACUCCAAUUCGGAUGUCAAUACUAAAAGAAAUUUUCCCUAUGGUACCCCUGAUUUUGAAAUUCACUAAUUAUUUGUAUAAUUGUAUCAUAUAUAUGCUUUUAUGUAUUGUGUAAUGAUUCACAUCAAAUUCAUGAGAAAUUUCGCAUCCCUCUCACAAAAGUUAGCAAAUGCAUUGUAUAUAGGAAGCUGAAAACCAAACAAGACUUUAUUAUUAGGUUAUCGAUCAGUAUUAUUGGUCCUAUCCAAGUGUCAUCACGUUUUGUUUAUUCAAGUGUCAUAAUGUUAUUGAUAGUAUAAUUGGGUUGCAUGAUUAUGGUUGAAAGUGUGGAAUAUGCGAUUAAACUCCGUGUUAGGAGUACUGGUUUUGCUGUGGGUUUUUUCGUUUUCUUUGUCAGCUGCGUGGGGGCUUUAGAGCAUAAGCCUUUGUUUUGUUUCUAAACAUCACCGCCAAAAUUGCCAAUAGCAUAUCGAAACAUGGACACUAAAUGAAAAGAUGUGAGGAAACUUUAAUGAAGAUAUGCCAAAGACAAAAGCUCGAAAAAAUAUGAUCAAGGGAUCAAAAUAGGAACAGGCGAACACCAACAAGUUAAGUCGAACCAAGAUCAACAUAAUCAAUUAUUUGAUUUCAAGAGUCAUAACUUUGCUUGUAAAGAACAAUUAAAGGUAAACAAUUUGUUGCUUUCCCCCCCUCCCCAAUCAGGUGUGUACCUCAACAUUAUUUCACGUCAUGAACUUGUUUUUCCUGGGAUAAAUACCCUAGCAUCUGAGGUUAUCACCAGGCUCGACACCCAAUUGUCUACAAUAUUCAGUAUAAUACUCAACUCGAGCACUAACUGUGUUUGGAUUUGCACCAUCACAUUCAAGCCGACCAUUAAUGGCACGAAUUGUAGCCCCAAAACCCUGGCCAGAAGUGAUAAGAUCAUGACAAUGGUUCAUCCAAUACCACAAGCCAGUUUUGAAUGAAAUAACAUUAUUUGUAGCUACAGUUUCAGGUUGGCUGAGUCCAUUGAAUCCAAUGCUUUCACCUGCUGGUCCAUAGUUAAAGUUCCAUGAUAACUGUAUUGGACCCCUGCCGUAAUAUCCCUUGCCUGGCACACAUGGAUACUGAGUGUUGCUCUCAUCACAGUAAUCUCUGGAGGGGCCGUCUAUCUCUUCUAUGUAGCACAAAUCUGCGCAAUAUAAAGAAAUUUUGUCACUCAAUUGAAAUGAUUGAUAAAGGGUUAGAAUCAAAGAAAAUCAGCAGGUCUGGAAUUUUUUGUAAAUUUUUAGAUUUGAUUGUUUUACUGAUGAAUUCAAUUGGUGAGAAAAGAAUUUAUCCCAUUUUGUAAAAAUUGGAUUGGACAGACUUAAAGUAAACACUUCUUUUAUGAGGUAAAAUUUUAGAAUGAUUUAACAUUAUAGGGUUAUACGAUAGAUAAAUAAAAAUUGGCAAUAGCAAGAUUAAGAUGGGACUAAAAUAUAUUUGGUUAAUAAAUUUGAAUUAAUUUACGGCCAAAUUUAGGUGAAAUAGUUAAUUCUACUUGGUAAAUUGGAAGUUCGGAAAUGUGUAUCUGUCAGUUGUCAUACUCAUGAGUAAGCCAAUCUUCACUUAAAAAAAAAAGUAAUCCAAAAGAUAAAGCCGCAUGAUCAUCUACUUUUACAUGCAGCAAAAUACACAAUCACCAUAAGCUUAGAAUGUAAAGGCAGAAAAACUUGCUUCUGUAGAUAUAAAAGUGACCACUACAAGAAAAGUAAAAAGAAGAUGGAGAUAAUAAUCCUUCUAUCCCCUUAUAAGGAUUAAACCUUCGUCAUGAUAAAUUAUUUGACAGUAAAAACUCUUUCAUAUUCAAGUUUUAUUUUUUGAAGAAAAAAUUCUUGGAUAAUAGUGCACAGGAUAAUUUAGAUUCCAAGAUAUACUAUCUAGAAAUUUACAGGAGCUACUAAAAUAGUAGAAAAUAUCUUCAAAAUUUAAUUUCCAAGCUAGUGUUAUUCAAAACUUACGUCCAGUCUCAUGAGUGACAUGAGCAAAGAAAGCAGCAAUCUCCCUUUUAGAAUCAUCAACAGAGCCAACGGUUCCAAACUGGGGAUACGAAUUCAGAGCUUCAAGAAAAGCUGAUCGAGUAUAGAACCCUUUUCCAGCACAGCUUGAAGCAGCUUGAUCAGCAAUUCCAUUAAAGAAAGCGUCCGUCACAAUAUCAGCAACUGAAACGCCACUAUUACCACUGCUCGGAGCAGCGGUGCAAGGGCCGGAUUGACAGCCAGAGCCACAGUAGUCAUUGCCGGUACCGCAAUAGCCGAAUUUGCUGCAGCACAAGUCUGGUGCACAGCCGCAGUUUUGGCUUGAAAUCAGCUGUGGAAAGGCUCCUACAAGAACUACAAUGGAGAAAAUGAUGGUUGGAAAACUCUUCAUUUUUGGAUUUGAUAAAGUAGAGAAGCUUGUGGGCAGAAGUUGUAUCAGAAAGAAGGAUAUAUAUAGGGAAGAGAACUGAAAACCGAUCAGCUUGUGUGAAGCAUGCACCGCUGUUAUUGUUGAAAAUAUUGAAUUUGAGCAAUUAAAGAAAACGGAAGACGAAAGCGUGAAUGGUUGACUUCUAUCGAGUGUAUUGACUUUGACAUUGUCAAUGAAGCGGAAACUUUCUUUCUUGGCUUCUAGAAUGGAAAAGGUCAAACGGGAAGAUUUUGGCCAAUCAUAUAAACAAUUGUGAGAAUAAGUCACGUAGACUAACAAGUCCCCACUAUAAUGUGUGCAAAAAUAUAAUUUGAAGUUGCCUAAAUCAUUUAAUUUGAUGCUUAUUAUUGAGUUUACUUGCCCAACUAUGUUUUAAUAAUAUUUCAAAAUUGUGUUUGAAUUAGAACAAAAAAAUAUGAGACAUACUUAUUUAUUUAAUUGCAAUUCCAGAAAUAAAAUCGUAUACAACAUGUAUUAGAAUAAUUUUUAGGGUAAAUGAUAAAGAAAAGAAAUACUUCUACAAAUUGACGUAAGUGAUCAUCAGCUUUUCGAGAAGUUCAGAAAGAAUAAAGUGGCCGAUAUAUAUAUCAUGCAUGGCAAACUAUGUGGCUUUUGUUAGUACACGUUAUGACUAUAUGUAUGUUUCAUUUGACAUGUUUGUUGGACGUGUUGAAUUGUUAGCAAUGAAAUGCUCCAAAAUGUUUUCAUGCAAGAUUUCAGCACUGUGGUUUAUAAGCAGUAUGAGGUCAUAGUGAAUUAUCGACAUAUCGUCACAUGCAGAGUCGUGAAAAUAUACAAGUCUUUCCCUAUCAUUAAUUAGUUGGUUAAAUGACAAUUUCUAGAAUGGAGCUUCAUGGUUGGCCAUGUCAAGAAACAUCUCGCAGUAAAUUGGGCGAGUUAAUAUGGUCCUCUUGUUUUACACAGGAUGUACUUUUCUUUUUCUAAAUAUUUCCCCUUAAACUCUCAAAUUGAUCAUAGUGUUAACUAAUUUUGCUCUGGUUUUAUUCUUGGUUCGCAAAAUUCAGUAAAACCAAAACAAACCCUUGUUACUGAAGAUAUCAAAAUGGUACCCCAACUAAGUAAUUGAUUUCGAAAAACACUCUGAACCAAAUUUCAAGUUUUGGUUUCUUUGCUCUUUUUCUACUGAAAGGCAACAUCCCCGGGCCAAGAACUUGAAACAAAUAGUAUGAUGCUCAAGUUUUCUAUGCUCUUAUGAUCAAGUCAAACCAUGCUUAUAAUCAAUUACAUAAAAAAAAAAAAAUCACGGGCAAUUUUGUUACUAUUUGGGAGGAGGAGGAAUAUUAAGCAAAAAAAUAUUCUAUUAAGAAAACGAUGAAGCAUAUUAUUUUCCAGGAAUAAAAAAUAACGAGCAGAAAAAAACAAAUAGUAUGAUGCUCAAGUUUUCUAUGCUCUUAUGAUCAAGUCAAACCAUGCUUAUAAUCAAUUACAUAAAAAAAAAAAUCACGGGCAAUUUCGUCACUAUUUGGGAGGAGGAGGAAUAUUAAGCAAAAAAAUAUUCUAUUAAGAAAACGAUGAAGCAUAUUAUUUUCCAGGAAUAAAAAAUAAAGAGCAGAAAAAUACAUUAGUUUGGAUGACAUUAGAACAUUUAGCAACAGGAUUAGGGAUGCAAUGGGAAGAGUGCCAACUGGGAAUCAACAGGAUGGGAAAAAAUACAGGGCGGGGUGGGGGGGAUUGGAGAUAUAAUAAAUCUAAAAUUUUGUUUCUUUAGGAAACUUACAUAAGUGAACUUAAUAUUUCCUAAAAUAAUAUUUAAAAGUUAUAUUUAUUGUAAGGAAAAUAGAUUUGCUUUAUUUUGAGAUACUUUUUAACUUAAGGAAACUAGAGUUAAUUUAUUUUAGGACACUCUUGUUAAGGAGAAAUUAAAGGAAAUUAACAAUCUAACUAAUGAUAAAUAUGUUUUUUUUAGGGCAUUCGGUUGGUGCUUGAGAACACACCCGAGUACUGCAGCGUCUGCUGGAGAUUAGAGCAUUCGGUGGAGGAGUGCAGGAAGGAUACUCAUAACGGUGCAGGAGCCUUGGUUAAGGGCAACCAACCGCAAUUUGUAUCGCAGAGUGAUACUGUUGGGGCUGUCAUGGAGGCAAAAGGCAGUUCGGUUGGUGCGUCGAAGCCGCCCGGGGGGGGGAACACUCCCAGCAGCGCUGAUGGAGGCUCCGCUCUCCAUCCCUGGUCGAGAUGGCAAAAGCCCAGCGGCAGCAGCUGCGGUAACAGGGGUGGUGCCCAGGGAGGCAGAGCUGACCCACGAGCAUCAGCCUACUCGGGUUGCUGGUGUGAGUGUGGAGCUCCUUGAGGGAAGCGGGCAGGAUGAUGGCGCGCCAGAGGGGGAGCGUUCCACAGCAAGGGAAGGAGCCUCGCUUGCGCAGGUGAAUGCUAGAGCGGAGAUAAUGGUGGAGGGGCGACGUGCGGCUGAGCUUCCAGUGGCAGCAGGCUCGAAGGACAGUGGGCAAGCUGUUGGCGCACCAGAAUGGGAUCAGGCUGAGCAGGUGGAUGCUAGAGUAGAGAUCAUUUUGGAGGGGUGCAGUGCGGAUGUCCAGACUGCAACGGGCAAUCUGUCUCCGCGGCCCAGCGCCUAUUAUGGGGAGUUGGCAGCUUCUCCCUUGGAGGCGAUGAAUGUAGAUCAGUCACGGGCAUUGGAGCCGGCUAUAAAACUCGGAAAAUCAAAGGGAAUAAGAGCGAUUUUCCCUUCCGACAGGUAGCUGCGUUCCACUUCAACAUCCUCCAAAAACGGAUUCCAGGUUCUUUCCCAUGAUUAAUAGCAUAUUUUGGAACAUUAUGGGGGUUUCCAAACCUCCUAAUUUGAGACGGUUGAAAAACCUUAUUCGAUUACAUAAAGUUCAGCUGGUAGCUAUAUGUGAACCGAAACUUGAUGUCACAAAUAUUGAGAGCAUCCGCUUAAAUUUAUCGUUUGAUGCUGCUGUUGUUAACUUGUCAGCAGAUGUUUGGGUCUUGUAUAAUUUUCCGUUAGUAUGCUCUAUAGCUGGGAAUUCUCAGCAACAUAUCUCCUUGAAUGUCCAUCAUCCAUGGCUACCUCGCUCCUUGCGAUUUUCUUUUGUGCAUGCCAGGUGUACAUUGGAAGAACGACGGGGGUUGUGGCAAGCACUUUUGGUGGACAAACCACGCGACCAGCCAUGGUGCAUCUGUGGGGAUUUCAAUGUGAUCAUAUCCCCUAGCGAAAAAAAAGGAGAUCGGCCUUUUCGUGUCUCGGAGAGGUUAGAGCUUCUGACCUUCAUGGAGGAGGCGGAAGUUUUUUAUGUGGGUUUUUCCGGCUCGAGUUUCACUUGGUGCAACAAUAGCCAUGGCCGGGCUCGGAUAUGGAAGCGAUUGGAUAGGCUAUUGGUUAAUGGAGAAUGUUCUGAAUUACCGUCAGCCGUGUCGAUCACUCACUUGGCUAGACAUCCAUCCGACCAUGCACCGCUACGAGUUUCUUUCACAUCCUGUGUAGAGAUAAACCUCAUGCGUUCCGCUUCCUGAAUGUGUGGACAUCCAGAGCAUCUUUACUUGAUGUUAUUUGAACGACUUGGCAACAGGAGUGUCGGGGUUCUCCCUUAAGGAUCUUAUGCUCCAAGUUGCUAGCAGCAAGGAGAGCUAUCCAAGAGUGAAAUAAGUCCUCCUUUGGGAAUAUAUUUGCAGUGUCUCGCGAAGCAGAGGCUUCGGUGCUUAGGGCGGAAGCACGGGUGGAAACUGAGGCAUCGGAGAAUGCUCAGAUAGAGCUUCAUAGGUCUCAAGCACAGCUCAACCGUGCUUUGUCAGUGGAGGAGGAGUUUUGGAAGCAGAAGGCUCGUGUCAAGUGGCUCCGACAUGGCGACUGUAACUCAAAGUUCUUCCAUGCCACCCUGAGACAGAGGAGGAUGCAAGGGCAAAUCCACAGGAUUAAAGAUGAGACUGGCAUAUGGGUGAAGACGGAUGAAGAUAUAUCACGUGAAGCGAUACGGUAUUUUUCUGAUUUAUUCUCUGCUCCGGCGGAAUCCUCAUCAGACUUGCUGCAUGUUAUCCCUGCCAACGUCACGGCGGAGGAAAACAUGAGCUUAGAGGCCGAUCCGUCUUUCGAUGAAGUAAAAAGAACUAUCUUUGCAAUGGACGGUGAUAGUGCAGCAAGCCCCGAUGGUUUCAUGGGUAAGCUUUUUACUUUUGCUUGGGAGGUGAUUGGUCAAGAUGUCUAUAAUGCAGUUUUGAGCUUUUUCUGUAGGGCUGAGCUCCCUCAUUUUAUUACAUCUACUUCUAUUGUCCUUCUCCCGAAGGGACCGAACCCUCAGGAUUUUUUGAUGUUCAGACCGAUUAACCUCUGCAAUUUCUUUAAUAAAGUAUUGUCCAAGAUCUUGGCUGAUAGGUUGGCUAAUAUUCUGCCAAGAAUCGUCUCACCCCAACAUACAGGCUUUGUUAAGGGCAGGAAUAUAUCAGAGAAUUAUUUUCUCGCCCAGGAAAUAAUGUCAGGGAUGCGUAGAUCGUACAGGGGUGGGAAUGUAGCAUUGAAGUUAGACAUGUCCAAGGCAUAUGAUCAUGUAUCGUGGGUAUUUCUCAUGAACGUAAUGCGGCAGUUUGGGUUUGGAGAAAGGUUUCUUGACAUGGUGUGGAGGUUGAUUUCUAAUGCUUGGUUUUCGGUUAUAAUUAAUGAAGCGUCUUAUGGCUUUUUCAAGUCGGGUAGGGGAUUACGGCAGGGGGAUCCGAUAUCCCCCGCGUUAUUCGUAAUUGGGGCGGAGCUUCUCUCACAGGCUUUAAACAAUCUCGUGUUACAUUGUGGCUAUAGGGGUUUUAAGGUCCCACGGGGGUGUCCCCAAGUCACGUACUUGGCCUUCGCUGACGAUGUAUUGAUUUUCGCUAAUGGGUUUGCUCGAGCUUUGCAGGAUAUUGUGCGGGUAUUGGAGCUUUACCAACAAUCCUCGGGUCAGUUGGUGAAUAGGCAAAAAAAUGGGUAUAUCGUCCAUCUCUCCGCCUCGAUUGCUAGACGGAGGGUGAUUGAGCAUCUCACUGGCUUUUCUAGGCAACAGGCGCCUAUUCGAUACUUGGGCUUCCCAUUGUACUUGGGCCAAAGUAAGGCUUAUUAUUACGGUGAGGUGAGUCAAGCAAUAAUCGGAAGAAUCCUCUCAUGGAAGUCCAAGUUUUUGUCUCAGGGGGGUAAGAUCAUCCUCAUCAAACAUGUUCUCUCUUCUAUCCCACUGCACUUACUAUCUGCUGCAGUAAUGCCGACUUCGGUGUUCAGGGUAAUUAAAAAGGUUUGUUCUGACUUUCUAUGGAGUUCGACGGAGAGGGGGGCCAGGUAUUACUGGAUCCACUGGGAGUUGUGCUUUUCAAAGGAGGAGAAGGGAGUAGGCUUCAGGCUUCUAAAGGAUGUUUACACAGCUUUAUCUCAUAAACCCUAGUGGAAAUUCCGCACGGGGACGUCUUUAUGGGCAAGGUUCUUACGUGCUAAGUAUUAUGGGGCUUGCCACCCUUGUCAAGUGGAGCUUAAAGUGGGCGUAUCAGCAACUUGGAAACGGAUAAUCAAUGUCAGCAGGGAGGCGGAGUUGUCUAUGCGAUGGUUGGUGAAUGCUGGGACCUGUGACUUCUGGUAUGAUAACUGGCUAGGGAAUGGAGCUCUUUUCCUUAAAGCUCCUGUUCAGGGGGAUUUAUCGUUCAGAGACUUUAUUGUUGACGGGAAGUGGAACUCGGUGGGACUUGCAGAAUACCUCCCAAGGGACAUCACAACUAUGAUCCUGCAACACUCGACCCCAGAGGGUGAGAGGCCCGAUGAGGUGGUAUGGGUGUCAACAACUUCAGGAUCAUUUUCGUUAUCCUCUGCUUUUCGUGAGGUAAGGCAAGCUCGGAAUCCCUCUUGGAUAUUUUCCCACAUUUGGCUCCCCCAACUCCCUGUAAAAGUUUCUUUAUUUAUGCUCCGUCUUUUGAUGCGGAGGCUCCCCCUGGAUGAUAUCUUGGGUAAGUUUGGCUUUCAAUUACCUUCCAAAUGUUUUUGUUCUUCCAUGGCAGCGGCGGCGGGAGAAUCUAUUGAACACAUUUUCUCAACGGGACAACUAGCGGUAGAGAUUUGGGGUGUCUUUGGAUCCUCGUGCGGUAUAUGUCUGCCGGCCGUAUCAUUGCGAGAGCGACUGGUCGCUUGGUGGUUGUCCCCGCACUCAGAUGCUCAAAGACGUCAUGUUGUUUCCAUCCUGCCAAGUUUCAUCUGUUGGCAUAUCUGGAAGGCACGGAACAAAGCAAUCUUUGAAGGGGUUGAACUGACUAGGGGGGAGAUUUGCCAUGGCAUUCUCCGGGAUAUUUUCGCAACGGUUGAGAUUAAAUUUCGUCAUGGGAUUGUAGCGCAAACAUUUGAUCAGUUUUGUGAAAGACUCUCUUAGCCGCCGCUAGUACUUCGGGUCCAGUUGGUCAAGUGGUAGGCAUCUGGAAGGGGGGUUUUCUCCCUUAAUACGGAUGGGUGCUCAAAGGGGAAUCCAGGGAUGAGUGGUGGUGGAGGAAUAUUACGGGAUUCAAAUGGUCAGGUGCUAGUAGCAUUCUCAGCCUCCCUGGGGGUCAAUACAAGCUUGCACGCUGAAGCAUUGGCACUUUUAACGAGGCUUCGCGUAUGCUUCCAGCAAGGGUUUGUACAGGUGCGAGUGCAGACAGAUUCACUGGUUCUAGUAGAUAUAUUACAACGGAGGUUCCAGUGUCCAUGGCUCAUUCGAAGAGAGGUACACCAAAUAUGGCAGCUAGUCGCGAAUCCUACACACUUUUCGCAUUGUUUUAGGGAAGCCAACAAAGUGGCUGACAUCUUAGCUAAUGUAGGUAUCUUGCAUCCGCAGGAUCAUGUAAGGGUGUAUCACCAACUCUGCUCUCUUUCACAGCUAGCAAGGGGGGAAGUUAGGUUGAAUAUGCUAGACUUUCCUUCUAUUAGACUUAUCAAAGGAUCGUCGUGAUGACCGGUCCUGGUCUCGGCUUGUAAUCUUCUGAUUGGGCAAUAAAAGUUUUUUCAAUAAAAUAAAUAAAUAAAUAAAUGUUUUUUUUGGGAGGGGGAUUGAUAAAUUUUUAAUCUGAAACAAAACUCUAUAUUGUUGUUUUGGGUGAGGGGAGGGAGGAGGGGGGACUGCCCCCACAAUAGAUCUUUUGUUUCAUUCUCUGUGUUAUUUUCUGUUUCACUUUUUAUUAUAUCAUUAUUUUUUCUUCAUAGACAUCAUAUUUUAUUUUCUUUAUUUCUUUAAGAUCUAAUAACUAUUAACUAAGUAAAAAAUAAAUACAACAAUCUAAAAAUAUAUAUAUAAUAGAAAAUUAGAAAAUAUAGCAAAAAAUUUAUUAAAAAAUCUCAUUUUUCAUGCAUUUUAAUUUUUUGAAUUUGUUAAAUUUGGUGUAUUACUCAGUUAAUAGUUAUUGGAUCCUAAGGAAAUUAAAAAAAAAAACUAAAAUAUGAUGUUUAUGAAGGAAAAAUAAUAAUAUAUUAAAAAAUGAGACGGAGAGUGGCACAAGGUGUGAGACAGAAAAUCCAUUGCAGGCUGCCCUGCUGGCCCUUUCUUAUGUCCGUCACUAUAUGGCUAGAAACAAGUACCUAUUGCUGAAUUAGUCUCUCCCUUCUAACUUCUAAGAAUUCCAAGGUUUUGUAAUGAUUCCGCAGGAAAUAAGACAAAAAUAGUUAGCCAACUAUUACCUUGCUGGAAUUGUUAUAACGGCUACCACUUGCAGAAAGAAGGUUACUGAUUAGUUAGUGGGGAAGCUUUCUAUUAAUAGGCCAAUACUAAUGUAAAGGGGCAUGCAAAUUCUGAUCAUUGAGAAUACAACUUUCCCGCUUCUUUCCCAUUCAUUCUGCUCCCUCUCUUUUCUCUCAACCUUUUUCUCUCUAUUCCUUUCUAUAUUUUUGUUCCUUAGUUGAAUCAACCAAUUCCCAACCAUUACAGUUUUUUUUUCUUGUCAAUCGACAACUUCUACAUUUAUCCUACUCCUACUCCUACUUUUUCUCCUAUUCUAACCUAUCUAAAGAAUGGCCUAACAGGGCCAAAAAUCCUAUUCCUAGUUCUAUUUCCACUCCCAUUCUAACCUAUUUAAGGGAGGGUCUAGCUGGAUCAAGGGGACCUAGAGAGAGUAGUCCCCAUCUCUAGACCAACGUCUGGAUUUGGAGGAAACUACAUACUAGUCACAAUUGCUAGAAAGUAAGAAUUGAAUUCUUGAUCUCUUACUCCAAGGCCUUUGACAAGUGACUAAUUUACACUAUAUUUGAAUGAUAUCUUAUGUUAUUUUUAGUCACUUUGGCUAUAUUAUUGGAAGAAAAUGGAUCAUUCUGGCUAUAAUUAGUUUAAAAUGCUCUUAAGUGAUUAAAUGAGAUUUUUGUCACUUUUACUUGCAUUUUGUCCAUAAUUUGUAUAGGAGUUGGAAAUAUAUUUCCUUUGGAUGAAGAGGAAGUUGACAGCUUUGACACAACUUCGUAUUUCGGCUAUAACUUGAGUUACAAUGAUCGGAUUGAGAUGAUUCUAGAACCAUUUUUAAGAUAAGAGAUAGAUGUACAAAUCUUAUGAAGACAUUGAAAUACAGUUUGAAGGUUUUCCCUAUCAAAAAUCUGAAUUAUAGUGCCAAUUUCUAUUGGUCGAAGCUGAAACAAGGCAGUGAGCAGUCAAGGGUAUUUCUGUCAUUUCUCCAUCUACACAAAUCCAAAUGAGGUGAUUCUUGAUGCAUUGGAAACAUAACUAAAAGGGUUACAAGUUUCAUGUUUUGGUCAAGAGUUAAUUCAACUUCUAUCAUCAAGAAAAGUUCAGUUGAAGUUGAGGCAAAAUUGGAGCAACAUUGAAGACUGGACAGAAAUUGCUAAGAAUGGCAGGGGAGCAAUCCGGCUGAAAAUCCGUCCGGAUUCUGGCCGGAUUCUAGUCAGAAAUAGCUGCUCUCCACUUGCACAACUUAUUUCCUCCUCCAAUAUUCAUAGCUAUUGAUGGACGUGUAACAACAACUUUGCAGCUGUAAAAGUGAUAUUUGAAGCCUUAUUUCUUGACUAAAUUAUCUAUAAAUAGCCAUGGACUUAUAAGGAUAAGGAGAGCUUGGGGGAGUGCAAGAAACACCACAAAAAUGUAGUUCCUUGGUUCUUUAGUGUAGAGUAGUGUAGGAUAGUUUAGUUUUAGAUAGUUUAUCCUUUCUUGUAUGUUAGCUAAAUGAAGAUGAAGAUGGAGAUGAAGAAGGCAAGGAAAGAGCUCAUGUGACAAGGAUUACUUUACCUUUCCAACUCUUUAUCUUUUGUACUUGAUUCUAAGUUUAGUUAAUAUAUAAGUUUUGGAUUCUAUGUUUAUUAUGUGUUUCUAAAGUUUAUGCCUUGGGCUUGGUUGAACUUUCUAUGAUUGUUAGUGUUUAUUAUUUGGUUAUUUGAUGCUAUUAUUUUGAGCAAGUUAUUGAGUACUUUACCUCUUUUAAAUCAUGAUUAACUUGGUACCAUUAAUUGUAAUUAUCUAAAGGUGUUGUUUCUUCAAUGAAAAUUGAGAUUUAACAGUAAUUCAAGAAGUGCUAAACCUAGAGAAUACACUCACGAGAGUAGAGGUUCACCUAUGUGGCUUUAGUGAUUCAUUUCAUGUAAUUUCAUAGAAGAAAUGAACUUGUAGCUAAUUUCUUAACCACGAGAGUAGGUAUGGAUUAGUUAUAAGUAUAGUUGAUUCACUACGAAAGUUGGUUUCACAUACAUAAGGAAAUUUCGCCAUAACUAGCCAAAAUAGUAGUACUCAAUGAUCCAAAAAUAACACUUGCAUGAGUAGUUAGGAAUACCAUAGACUAAGGAGCUUUCAUUUGUUAUUAUCUUGCAUAAGGUUAGCAUAGUUUUAUCUCUUUUAAUUCAUUGAUCGUCUAAAUAAUGGAGAAGCUUUAGUAGUGUCGGUAAUUGUCCAAUAUCAUUUGCAAGGGUAGUGAGGAAUUCCAUAUCUCUAGAAGCUUUCUAGUACUGAUUUUCAUUACUUUUAUAUUUAUGGUAAUCUAGAUAAUAAAGGAGUUCGAAAAACACCGGUAAUUGCAAUCUUCCUUGUGGGAUCGACCCUUAAUACCCUAUACUCGCUCACGAUUCGUAUACUUACGAUAAAUCGCGUGUGGGAUAUUUAAGAAUUAUAAAUGUAAAACUUGAUUGUGGAUAAACUUAUUGUAUAUGUAUACCCUGCGCACGUCAGCCUUUAUGGUGGCCAACAGCCCAAUAGGACAUUGGUUACAUGACAUCAUACUUCUAGUACAUGAGAAUACAUUAAAAAUCAAUCGCUUUCACAGUUCCACUUCAGACAAUUAAGAAUUACUAUCCAUUGGAUAAAACUAGUUUUAACCUUCAAAUAUCUUAUUGCAAGUAAGCCUUCUAAAAUAUGCUCACGAUUACUAUAUUUUUAGCAUUUUCACUAUGUAUAAGUCUAGAAUUGUAUGAUGAAAAGAAUUUCCAUCAAUCAAUAACUACUUAAGACUUUAUUGAGCCCAAUGACUAGCUUCUGAUAUAUUUUUGAAAGUGUACACUUUAGGUCGUUAAACCAUCAUUUUCAAGUAAAAUUACAGACCUAUUAAGCAACAGUUAAGAAAUUAUAGAUUGCACAAUACUAAAUUCACAGAAAAAUGAAAGAUUACUAAAUGAGGAUAAAUAUAUAGUUGGGAGGUGGAGCUAGAAACAAAAUUCAGUACGGAUAAACAUACUGUUAAAUUAUACUACUUUCAGUGUAUAAAAAAAGUUACAAUAACUUUUCAAAUGAAUUUCUUGUGUGUUGGGAGCACAUCAAUGAUGGAUCUAAGGGGGGGCUGGGGCCCCCCUCGACCCAUGUUUUGAAAAGUUUAAUUCAUAGUGUGUAAAUAUAUAUAUAAAAUAAUGUUGGCCCCCCUUAAUUUUUUCCAAUUUUAAUUUAUAUUAUGAGAGUUUAUAUUUAUAUAUAUAUAGUCACCUUUGAAUUAAUUUUUUUAUUCAAAAAAGUUAUUUAUUUUUUACUAAUUACUUAACUUUCAAAAAAUUAAACAUACUAUUUGAUGAUCCAUAGUAAAUUGAUCCAAUUUGACAUAUUAUAAUAAAAAGACCCAAUUCACAAUAUCAAUGGGUUAAAACAAAAAUAAUAAUUUUAUUGGCCCAUAUGCAAAUAUACAACUUAACCCAAUUGAAUGAUUGUCUAAGUAUAUACAUAGAUAGGGGUGGCAAUGGGGCGGGGAUGGGGCAGGGGACACCUCCCCCAACCCCCGCCCCCGGCUUCCCCCGCCCCGCCCCGCUUCCCCCCACGGGGGCACUCGUAGGGUUAAAAAAAUUUUAUUAUGUAAUUUCAUUAUAAUUAAAUUUGAGCAAAUAAUCAAAUAUUAAAAUAUCAACACAUCACCAAAUUAUUAUUCAUUGUAACUUCACAAUUGAAACUCAUAAAAAUAAUUAAACAAAAGUUAUUUGAAUACAAUCUAAUAUGAUAAAACAAAUAUAACUAAAAUAAUCAAGUUUUCACUUUUGAUACAAAUACAAUCACUAAAUUAUUAUUGUGUUUUUUUUAGAAAAAAGUGUUAUUGUAUUAAGUGUAGUUAGAAAUUUAACAUAAAUGUAUUAAUAAAUUUAGUAUAAAUAAUUAAUAAUUUUUAUUAAUAGACAUGUAUAAUUAGUAGUAUAAUUGAUAAUAUCAUUAUAUAUAUAAUUAUGUACAUAUAUAUAUAUAUAUAUUUUUCAAACAGGUGGCGGGGCAGGGGUGGGGCGUACUCCCCUGCCCCCCGCCCCGUUUCUAAACGGGGGGAAAAAUUCCCCCCCCCGGCCUUCGCCCCAACCCCCACCCCACUAAUCCCCCGCGGGGCGGCUGUCCGCCCCCGUUGCUAUCCGUAUACAUAGAAAAGAAAAUUGCUGAAAAAUUUAUCAUUGAUUCAAUCAUAGAUGAAUUUAGUUCUAUGAAAGAAUGUAAAGCUCAAUUUACUUUAAAAUAAAAGGUUCAAAUUUUAAGUUAUAUUAACAUAACUUUUAUCUUGUUUUAAUUGAAAAUAGAUAUAUUUAUAUUGCAUAGUUAUAUGCUUUCUUUUCUUUUUGCAUAGGUGACAUAUUGGAGUUUAUGUUCAUAAUGUGCAUCUUGGAUGGUUUGCAAUGCUAUAAGACAUUUAAUCUAAUGUUAUUUCUUGUCUUAAUUUUCGUUAUGACUAUAUUGCAUAUUUAUGAAAUAGACAUACACUUAUAAUUAAAGUUAAUAUUGGAUAUUUUUAGAUAAUAUAUAUUUAAAUAGUUGAAAUUUAUUUUGAACAUAACAUAUUAAGAUAAUUUUGUUAGAAAAUCCCCCCCCCCUCACGAAGAAAAAAAUCCUAGCUCCAUCACUGGAGCAGAGAAAAAGAAGGAAAAGAGGAAUAAACAUAAAGUUGAGUUUUUGUUAGUUAUUUUUUAUUUAUUUGUAAGAGGUGAAAUGAGUUGUUUUUUAUUUUUAAUCUAUUGAAAUGGUGAGGACAAAGUGAUAAACAAAGGAUAAUAUUAGAUACAUAUUUUAUUAGAACAUAGUGGGGAAAAUAUUAUCUAACAACGACAUGAAUUGUAUAUAAGUUAUAUGCUUUUGGUGGGUCAGUGGAGGUUAUUGUCUCCAUUGUAUCGUUUCCUAGAAUCAGUAUAUUCUAGUAAAUGAUUCUAGUUAUAUGUAAGUGAUUUAUAUUACUAAUUUUUUGUUACAAUUUUUAGAGAAUAGUUGGUUGAUUCUUAAAAAUAGAGCGAAGUCAACAACUAAUGCGCUUCAUAGUUAAUAGAAGUUUCCAAGAGGGCACCAAGUAAUAUUUUCAUAAUUGAUUAGCUUGGUUUUCAAGUGCAUAUAAAAAGAUAUCCAUGAAGACCUCCCCACCCAAGGGAAGACUGUAAGUUACGAAAACGUUUACUUUACUCUCAACAAAAUGUUGAGCAUACUUUAUUUUACUUUCGACAUCAUGCAAUGAUUAAAGGAUUUUGUAUAGGGACCUAGUUAAUUCAAUAAGCUUUAUGAUGGUUUAAUUGACUAACGGAGGAAUUUGCUCAGCCUAGUAACUCUGGUACUCAAGUAAUCAUGACCUUUAUCUAAAGAUCUACACAUUCCAUAUUGAAGUAAAUGAUAAUGGAUUUAUUACUUUUGUUGACCAAGUCAAGCAAAAAGCUGUUAUCAAAUCAUGGUUUUAGCGACUUAUAAGUUUCUUGAUAUCCCAACUAACCUCAUAGGAGGGCUACUUUAUUUCUUUUUGGUUACUUUCUAAUGCCUAGUUGCCUGUCGGAUAAAAUAUUGCCUUCACGGAUUGAUUCCAAAACUUGCUCAAAAACAUCUAUUUAUUUUUAAAAUAUUGCUUAUACUAUAUUUUGAACCAUUCAAUUGCAAAACACAAACAAUUUUUCUUAUGGUGCCUUCUUGUCGUUGAAACUAGGAAGCUAACCAAACAUUUGAAGCAAAGUGAUAAACAAUUAAUAGCAAACUAUAUUGGAUCUUCGAAAGGAAAAUUGAGGCCUCAUCUAUGAAUUUAACAUUUUCCGUUGUGAUGACAUCCGAAAUUGAUUGUGAGAAGAUUUUACAAACGCUAAAAGAGUAUCUCCAUUUAAUUGUGGAAAGGAAUUUGAUUUUGUCAAAUGCACAGAUAAUGGAAAUGACAAAAUAGCAGCACUAUCCUUGUCAUUAGGAAGCACUCAAAAGUUACGUAUUAAAUGGGAGUCUAACGUACAAGCAAUGAAACACUAUUGUAUUUGCGAUAGUAUUGAUAAAAAUUAAGAUUCUAUAGUCUUUGGAUCAUAAUGAAUUCAACGUUGGAUGACACAAUAAGUAUUCUGAAUUCUUAAAUUAUAAUAAUGUUAAAUAUUUAAAAUAGAAGCUGAUAUCGUUAUUAAGAAAUACACAUUGAAGGAAUAGUUCUCUAAGCGAUAAAAAUUUUCCAAAAGUAAAAGAAUGAAUGAUCAAAGUUUUCCAUCUUUGCCCGAUGACUCGUCUCUUUCCAUUUUACUUUCCCAAAGGAUAGCAUUUAAUAGCCUCGUGCCUGCUCUCAUUUUAAUCCUAAAAUAAGUGAUCAUGGGCUUCUUUGAGAAUGGGCUUGGUCUAAAUAUUGAACGCUCAAAACAGACUUCUUUUGUUGGAGGCGGCUUUCACUAGAGAGCGUGGGACUGAUUCAGAGUUCUUUUUUUUUUUGUAGGAAAAGGGAGACUGAUUCAGACUUCUUGCUAUCAUAGUUAUUAAACCUACCUUGGAGAGGAAUCCGGUGAAGGAGGUGGGUCAACGGAUUAUUGGUUCAAUCAGUGGAUGAGUAGUUGAAUUGGUGGGUUACUAAAUAUAUUUAAAUAUUAUGUCUCAUAAUUUUUUCAUAUAGGGUAUCUGGUUUAAACUACAAUGAACUAUACCAAGCAAAUGGUUAUUUAGGGUGUGUUUAAUAAAAUUAAAAUUUGAAAUUAAAAUCUGAAAUGUGAAUCUAUUAAGUUAUUAAAUUGUUAAGUGCUAAAUCUGAUACAUUUGUGUGUGUGUAUAUAUAUAUAUAUAUAUCAUAUUAAGUAAUAAGUGAAUAGUUUAUCACUUAUUUUUAGGAAUAAAUUUUGCCUAGAAAAUUCAUUACUAUUUAAUUAAUUCAGAUGUUCAAUUUUUUAAUAUGUUAAGAUCUGAAUCCAUUAAAUUAAAGUGUUGAAUUGGAUUAUCAAACAGGGUUUUAGUCUAAUUCAUUAUAGUCUAAUUCAUUAUAGAAUGAUUAAUUAUUAUAAAAAUCUAUAAAAUCAAAAUUAAAUUAGUAAUCCACCAAAUUUCAAGUGCAAAUAUUUACCUAUAUUUAGUGUAAUUAUUUAGUUUAUUUAUGAAUUUUAAGUGCAAGAGGUUAUUAGGAACAAUAUUUGCCUUUAAAUGAAUUGUAUACUAUGUUAUUUUUGAAAUCCAUUUCAGAACUUAUAGAGUUUGAGAAAUAAUAAAUUUUAUUAAAAUAUCCCAAAUAAUUUUUAUUUUAGAGAAAUUAUAAAAAUAAAGAAACAAUUGACUAACAUAUAAUAUAAGACAGGUGAAUAACUAGCAUGUCAGCUGUUCACCUAGCGGUAAGUACUCGUUGUUUAUAUGCAUGAGGUUUUGAGUUUGAACCAUUAAAAAAACACAAUCUUGUCUAAUUUUUCCAAUAGCAACUAAUGUUCUACCUGAUUCAACCGGUCGGAUUUUCGAUUUAAUCCGGUUGAACCAUUGAUUUGUUGACAAGUCAAUGAGACUUGUUCACAUUCAAUCCAAUUAGAGACCCGAUGUUGUUUACUGAUCAGGCUUAAUAACUAUGCUUGCUGUGUUUCCUAGGUUUGCAAGAUUGAAUUCAAGGUUAAUUGUAUUCAUCUCCUUUUUGGUUAAACCAAAUUACAAAAAUCUUUUAUAUUGUUUGACCAAAUUAAGAGUACAGGCAAAGCCCUUGACCAAAUUACAAAAAUCUACCAUAUUGUCUGACCAAAUUAAGAGUACAGGCAAAGCCCUUGAUGGCAAAACAUUUAUCAAAUGCGCCCUUAUAUCAAUAGCUGUUAAAAUUGAUGCUUACAUUAACAAAAACCACAUAUUUGAAAGCCCCAAAAUAACCUUUUACACCUUGAGUUAAUUACACUUAUCUUUAUAUUUGGCAAUUGGGUGGGUUGAACGGAUUUUGGGCGGGUUAAUAUUGGAUUUUCACUUAAAUGGAUUAUACCCAACCCGUCCAACUUUAGAUUUGGUUGAUUUUGGGUUGGGUCAUAUUGGGUUAUUUCAAACCCAUGACCCAAAAAUAACCUAUUAUAUUAAUUAAUACAUAACCUUUUUUCACAUUCAUUUUAACAUACAAAAAAGAUUUUUUUCACACAUAUAAACACAUUUUCACAUACAUAAAUGUAUUUUCAUACACACUCACUUCUUAAGUUCCUUGAAAACACAUCAUAAAUAGAAUAAUAUUUUAUAUUACUUGUAUUGUAAAUUUUAGAUAAUAAAUGAUGGGGGUUGGGUUCUGCAGCAGGUUGCGUGAUGAAGUCGUAGAUGAUGUUGGGAGUACUGGGAAAGGAUGGAUGAUGAUGAUGGAGGUGAUGAGGAGGUGGCUCCGCCAUUAUACACACAGAGUAUACAUGAAUGAGGAUGGCGCCGAUGAUGACUGCACUCACUUCUUAUUAUAUGUAUCCACAUUAAUAAUUCCUAUGUACACAUGAAACUCUGUGUGUGUGUGUAGAUACAAUAUAUAUAUAUAUAUAUGUAUGUGGCGGGACUUAAAUUAUAUAUAUAUGGGACAUAGAGCCACUGCUACUGGUCUAUAGUAUAGUUCAACAACAACAGCAGCAACGGCAUUCGACUACUCUGUUAGUGCAGUGUAUCAGCAGCUUGAGGUUAAAAAAGGUUAAAAAAGAAAUUUGUACAAUAUUAUAUGUACACGAAAUAUUGACAAACAAAAGCAAUCAUGAAAUAUUAAAAAAGAAUGCAAUUAGAAUAAAUUUAAAACUCUAUUUUACGUACACGAAAUAUUAACAAACAAAAGCAAGUAGCAACUUGAGAACAACCACAAAAAAAAAAAGAAAAAAAGAAGGAGGAAAAUAACAUACUCUUAAAAGGCAUAAUAAAUUAUUAUAAAAGUUGAGUAAGUUUAACUACUGUUAUAAAAGUAAAAUAGCUAUGAGUUUUUAUUUCAAGUUUCUUUUUUCUUUUAAAUAAAAAUUAAAAAAAUUGAUUGAAAAAAAAAAAUAUAUAUAUAUAUAUAUAUAUAUAUAUAUAUAUAUAUAUAUAUAUGAGAAUUUUGAAUACAAAUUAAUCAAUGAAUUAUUAACACAUGUCCAAAUGCAAAUAGUUAGAUAUAUGUGUAUUGAAUCUUGUAUUUAUUAUUUUCAAUUACUUUUAAACAAGUUAGAUAUUGAGUACCCAAAUAAAAAAUUCAACCCGUCCAAUGAAUAAAUUGGAUUGUUCUUACCCAACCCAAUAAAACCCAUAACCCAAUUAACCCAACCCAUCAUUUAAAAUUAAUGGACGGAUUUUGGGCUUUUUUGCUAGCUCCACUUAUCUUCCUUGGAUUUUGUCCAAACUACUUUCAUCUCUCGUGAGGGUUGUACAAAUGACAAGUAAAGCCUAUUAUUGUCCAAAUCAAUUCAAAGCUAUAAAUAACCCAAUACUUUUCAAAUACACCAUAGUCAACUUAAUUAGUUGCAACAAACUUCUAAAACAAUUCUCAAAUACCGAUUAGUUACUACCUUUUUCUUUUACCAUUUUUUCUCCUCGUAGGUUAUAGUGUUACUCCACCUAAAAACUUGAAUUCGAUUUUCGCACAUCGUUGGGCCUUGCAUGAUGUCAAAUAUCAACAGUAUUUUCGGCAAUUGAUUCUUUAGUCGCAACUGCUAUGUACAAAAUUGAAACUUUUCUCCUUGUUAGCAUGCAAAUUAUCAAAAUCCAUUUUUCAAAUAAAAGACAGUAUAAACUUAAAUCCACCUUAGCACUAAAAUUUAAGGUUUCUAUAUAAACGAUAUUUUGGAAUUCAUUAGUAAAAGUCCAAGAAAAAAUUAUCUAGAAAUUUUAGAAUAAAAGCUUAACAUCUUAAUAUGGAUAAAAAGAAGACAAUCUAAAAAGAAAGUUCCGUCUAAGCUAAGUCAAUCCUUGCUGAUGGUUCAUGAUUUUGGAGGAAAUUGCUCCAAAUGCGAGACCUGGCAAGAUGAUAUAUUCAGGCUGUAGUAGGCAGUGGGCGCGCUAUACAUAUGUGGCAGGAUUCAUGGCAUCCACAUGGACCUCUGUUACAAUACUAUGGGUAUGAUAUUGUUAAGGGUAAAAAACAAAAAAAAAAAAUUCUCCUGUAGCAAACCUAAUACAUAGAAAAGCUCUCCGUAAUUUUAAAACGUACAACAUGACACCUCAUGUUUUGAACUAAAUUGUAAAGGUGAAUGCCUUAUUGGAACCUAAAAAAAAUUUUAUACCUAAUUUUUAACAAAUAUACAUGUUCUCCCUCUUAACCCUCAAUUCUCUUUAUAUAGAAAAUAAAACGAAUGAUUUUUUUGAACUGUUUUUUACUUAAUUAUAUGAAGGCAUUUUGGUCACUUCAUCCAUUUCUGUUAAGUUUAACGGAUUCCGUCACUUUUACAAUUUAGUUCAAAGUAUGGAGUGUUGUGUUGUACAUUUUGAAAUUACGGGGAUUUUUCUAUAAAUUAGAUUUACCACGGGGGCUCUUUUGUUUUUUACCCUAUUGUUAAACAAUUUAAUAGGUUUGAGAAUGCAAGACUGGCUUCAAUUGUGAACACAAGUGCUUGGUGUUGGCCACAUGGUAGAAGAAGAACCUCUCAAGCGGAGGAUUUGAUCCAUAAACUUCCCUCUGCUUGUGUACCUCUCUACCCAGGGAAGAUGAUACCUUCUCAUGGUUAUGAGAUAAAACUGGAAUGUUACUACAAAGUCUGUUAUUGCUUCUUUGAGAGAACAUUGUAUGAAUGUCGAGUGGUAUAAACUGGGGUGGUUUAAGCAACAUAUCCUAGACAUACAUUUAUCGCUUGGCAACAUAUUCCUAGACAUGCAUUUACAAACAAGCAACAUAUUGUUUGUAAAAAUAGUUUGGCUACAAAAGAUAGGUUACUUAAAUGGGGUAUGCCAGCUUAUGUUUGGAGUAGGAUACAACAGUGCUAUUUGCUUUAUGGAGGCGUAUAUGGUUGGUCUGUAGGAUUGGCAUUGUGGGUUGGUUUCCUGUAGAAUGAUGAAUUUGUUACCUCAGUCAAAAGAUUGGCUCUUGGGGGUUUUUAUUUAUUUCCUUUGGCAUGAGCGCAAUCAAAGGCAGUUCAAUAGUAAGGUGUCGAAUGCUGAUUAUGUGAUACAGCAUAUAAUUACUACUGUUAGGCAAACUAUAAUAGGCUGGCGAAGGGUGCAAAGGACACAUAGCAGCUGGGAGUUUGGCAUUGGCUGGAAUUUUGAAUAGCAGUUUUUUUUCUUAGAUUAAUAUUUCAUGGUUAUAAUAUUUGUUUUCAUUAUAGUAUGGUGUCUUGUUCCGUUAAGCUUGUAUAGGGCAGCUUUUCUUGUUGUUGGAACCAUUCCUUGCUUAUCUAAUGAAAAGAGUUAUUUUGCCUAAAAAUAUAUAUAAUAUUCUUCUUUAUUUUUCUUACUUGCCCAACCCUUCUCACACCCUUCCCAUCCCCAAGUGCUAGGUUAUACUAUUCACUUAGGCCCUGUUUAAUAACUAAUUCAGUACUUAAUAUUAAUUGAUUCAGAUCUUAAUAUGUUCAAAUGCAUUUGAUAACAAAAUAUUGAACAUUUGAAUUAAUUAAGUGGCAUUGAAUUUUCUAAGCAAAACUUGCUUUUAAGAAUAAGUGAUAAGGUAUUCACUUAUCAUUGAACGUGAUAUACACUACAAUGUAUUUAAUUUCAUACUUAACAAUUCAAUAAUUUAAUGGAUUCAGACUUUAGAUUUCAGAUUUCAGUUUUCAAAUUUUAGUUUUAUCAAACACACCCUUAAUCUAAAUAAAUUUAUUUUUUUGAAACCAAAUUAUAUAUCUAAAAUGUAGCGGACACUUGUCAUAUGGAGAAAUUGGGUUAGGUGAGCUUCGUAGCGGCCACAAUGAGCUGUAGCAAAGAAAAAGGGGAAGAGGUUUUUUUUAAAAAAAAAAUUUUAUCUUUUAUUUGUCAUUUCUUAGUAUUGAGCAAUUAAUUAUUUUCUUUUAAUUUGGGAUUCAAUUUUUCUUGGAUGAUAUCAUGAGUUUUCUUAUGAAUUGUUUGCUAUUCAAAUGAUUAAAUUUAUAUGGCCAAACUAUAUGGUAACUCUUGUAAUAUAGACAAACGUCAAGACAAGAAAAUGUUGGUUUUUCAAAAGGCAUUUUUUGUCAUUUCGCUCAUUUUGUUGGCUGAGUUUAGACGCUGUCACUCAUGGGUAAAUGUAGAUGCAUCACGUGCAAUUUUAAGUUGACCAUAACAAAUAAAGAAAUCCAAAAACAUGAAGUUUCAAAUAUUAAUGAAGCUUUUUGAAAAUAUAAAUAUGAACCGUCACAAAAUAAUUAUUAAUACCCAUAAUACUUCAAAUACUAAUAAUUUUGGCACUCAACAAUAAGGUUUCAGCCAAUCCUCCACUAUUUUUUACUCCAUGAAAAUGACUUUAAUGAUAGACAUUUGUGUUUUUUUUAACCUCCCACCCCUCUCCACGCUCUUCCCACCCCCAACUAUCAGGGCCAAAAUUCGAACUCUCAACUUGACACAUAUGUUUAUGUAUUUGUUAAGUAUAUGGUUUACUGCCUUGGCAAAGAAAUAUAUGAACUAAUGCACAUGUCAUGAUUUUCUAAGUUAAAUUAUCUUGGCGUUUUAAAUUCUUUAAGCAAUGUGAUAAAAUACAAUUUUAUUGGUUUAAAAUAUAUAUAUUUCUUACAUAUCUGUUAUCACUUGUUGUUCAAGAUUAUUUUUAAUGGAAAUAGUUUAUUCAAGUUUUUUUCUUCCUCGUCUCUUUGGCCAGGUUUGGCAUAUAAAUUAUGAGAAAACAUAGAUUAUGUAUCUUAGUUAUUUUGGUGAAGGCAAAGUACGAAUUGAGUGUCUCAAAGUCAAUUUGGAGUUCCAAAUUCAUUGGUUCAUUGGUUCCAAGUUCCAUUAUUUUUUGGACUCUUCUAGGAUCACAUACUUUAUGCAUGAUUUUGGAACUUGCAAGUAUAAACAAAAAGUGUUACUCUCAAAUGCAAAAGAUUUUCAUAUAUAUAAUAGCCCAAGUGUCUAAAAAAUAACUUGUGGAUAUGUCUAAAUUGUAAGAAAAGGAACGAAAAAAGCAUUUAGUUUGGGAGGUUGGAAGUACUUCCAAAUCACAUGUUUGAGAAUAUGUUAUUGCCCCUCUUUUCCUACAUGAAAUUCAUAUUGGAAUUGAUAUAUCAUUUUUCCGGUGCGAUGUUUAAAUUAUUGUUCAUGCAUGCUGAUGCGUGGAACCAAAGAAGAAAUUAACAAAAAUAGCAAAAGAAACAAACUCAAACUUAAUCCAUAGUACAAUACGUUCAUAGAUAGGAUGUCAUAGAUUACACAUCUUGGUUUACAGAUCCACUCAAACUCAAGCAUAAUUACAAUACAUCAGACUUUUAUUCCCACCAUCUUGGUUGAUAAAAGCACACACAAACCAAAUAGAAACACAUGAACACUUAAUUAAGCAGAGAAUAACAGCUUCUGCAAUCUGCGUAUCGCAGCUUGAUAGUCUGAUUAGUUCUUUCCUUGAGAAAUGAAAAUGAGAUCACUUUGAGACAUCCAAUGGCAUGCUUCACUUUGGCCAGGAGAAGUUUUCAAUAUCUUCAAGGCCACAUGAUCAGGGGACCAGCCUGAAGUAUCCAUAUGACAUACCACCGUGACUGUAUUAACUGGAACUUUGGUCCUAGGUUCAACAACAUCUACUGCAUAGACUUCAAUAUUGGACAGCAAAUGGCAGAAAUAUGUUGCAAAAGGAAGAAAUAAUUGAUGACAUGCCACAGUUUUUCCAUAUUUAAGCUUUUCCACGCGUCCAACCAUCAAUUCUUUUCUAGAACCCUCUGUGUUUUUCGAUGCCAAUGCCACCAAAUUCUUGUCACCUAUGGCAGUUUUUGAAAAUUCAAUCAUUUCCUCAAGGGAUUUUGCACAGCUCUGAGGCUCUUCCUUAAGAGCAG